CCAGAGAACUUGGCUCACAACACAAAGUUAUUCGACCGAGUGAAUGAAAUUGCACAAAGAAAGGGAUGCACCCCGUCGCAGUUAGCCCUCGCCUGGGUACACCACCAGGGUGAUGAUGUUUGCCCAAUUCCUGGCACGACCAAGAUUGAGAAUUUCAACCAGAACAUCGGAGCUCUAUCAGUGAAGCUUACACCGGAAGAGAUGGCGGAGCUCGAAUCGAUUGCUUCUGCAGACAAUGUCAAGGGUGGCAGGUACGAUGGAAACCUCUCUACAUGGGAAAACUCCGACACUCCACCCCUUUCUUCUUGGAAACCUGCCUAGAAACAUGUCUACUUCUUUUGCUGCGUCUUUGAUAUGCAGAGUUUGUGCAUUUGCCGCUGAAGUAAUUUGAGGCUAUGUUGUGUGGCUUUUAUAAGUAUGUGUAAUAAGAGUGACUGUUUUCGUUUUGUACAACAUGUGACAUUCACUAUGAGAAGAUUAUGGAUAUGUACUAAGCUUACUGGGGAAAGAUCACUCGAUAAACACAAGAGCGAGUUGAAUAUGAACUGAGCCUGCCAUGCCGACUUUAUCGGGGUGACUUUUAGAAUCUGAGAAAUCGGGAUUUUGAAGAAUUCAAACUCAGUCGUACAUACUAAGUGACGCUUUAUUCUCCUCCAACCAUGAGUUCAAUACUAACACCGUGUGCAACAUACUCUUAAGACUGGAUGCUACACAUAGAUACAAUGCUUCGCUUUGUGUUUGGUUUGGUAGCGAAGUAAAGGAACAGUAAAAUGUUACCGGAUGUUCUCGCAAAAACAAAGUUUGGGAUAAAAUGCUGGCGUAGUUGAUAUGAGUGUCGGGGAAAUCAAAGGUUUCUUGUUCAAGUUUCACCACCUACGGUGCAUGAGCUUUUAUGUAGCUCGAUACCUUUGCUCAUGCCUCUGCAUUAUUAUAAAACAGUCGGAGAUAUUGCGCAAGUUUCCUAAAAUUAAAAACGACACUUCUAUUGUUUUUUAUUUGGAAUUAGAGUGGAGCAAUGUUGUUUUGUUUUGGUUUAGGAAAAUAACGCAAAUAGUCAUUAAACUUUGGUCCAAUGUGUUAUGUUCUUACUGAACUUUUAAUUUAUUUAGUAUGGUUGUCGAACUUUUUGUACAUGUUUAAUUUAGAUCCUAGGCUAGAUAAAUCUAAUGACGCUGUGUUUGGUCGUUCGAACAUCUUUGCUAUAUGGGAUAAUGAUAGGAUAAAAAUCCCAUCUAAUAUUUCUUGACGUCCGGAUAUAACAUGAUUCAAAUAAAACAAAUUUAAAUGAGUGUUUGAUUUGUAUAAUUAAAAUUAAAAGUAAACCAUGGAAGUCGUGAAUAGUAUUCAUCCUUUCACAAUCUUCAUCGAUAUUAAACACCCCCGUUCCAUGUGACUUCAAGGACGCUCUCCUUCUGCAACGCCCCUUUCGCUGCCCUUGAUCAACUUGAUGGAUUACGCUCGCUCUACCUUUGACUUCGCCACAUUGAGAGGCCCUUGGGUUUGAGUUCUCCGCUGGUCUAGCCAUCUUUACUUUCAACGCCUUUUCCUGCGAUGAAUCCAUCCCCUUCGAUGAGUGUGAAUACUGCGUUGAUUCCCUGUUACCGUGUCCCGACUUGUUCAGUCACUUCAACAGCUUCCCCGAGACAGCGUGCGGAUCCGGUUUAUGAGUGGUAGCAGCAUCGGUACAACUCGCUCCAAGUGACGUGGUUGAGGAGCUCUAUCACCUUGGCUGCUGCCUCUUUCGGAUCAUCUUCUUCACAGAGGAGGUGUCCAGCUUUGAUCGGGAUCACAAAGUUCCCAACUAAAAUGGAGUUAAGUGACAUAAGAAAGAGGCAGGGCUGACGAGCUCCGGCGCCACUUUUCCGAGGCAGCCAAAGGUGGUAAGCAGCUUGUCACUGGUAGGAGGAACGGUGGCCCUUAGAGUUUGCUCAGGUCGUUGUGGCGAGGGCUUCUCUAGGUAUCUUCGUGAUACUCAUGCUUUAAGUUUGUGGUGGUCAUUUUAGCGAGAAAAAUCGGAACGAGAGAGAGAUGAUGGUGGCACUGGUAAAAAAUGAGGAUAAGCCAUCAACAAGCGCAGGAGUGGGGGAAAAACUUGUAUCCCUUAUUUUUUCAAUUUUCCAAAUUUCACAUAUCCUAUCUAGAUCUAUAUCACUUUUUAGAUGGGAUUUUUUAUCCAGACUAUAUCUAAAUUUCACUAACAUCGGGACCCCUAGAGUGCCAAAAGUUUGCACAAAAAGACAAUUAAGUGUCAAAAGUUAUGAAAAUGACACUUAAGUGCUAAAAUUGGAAUAAAAUAGAUCACUUAAGUGCAAAUCUGGUCAAAAUAUUGACAUGACAAUUUUCCAGCAAAACAAGUGCAAAACGGUGUCGUUUUGGUGCUGACAUGGAAAAAAUUAAUACAAAAAUUAAUUAAAUGAAAUUUAAAAUUAAAUUUAAUUAAAACAUUUAAAAAUAAAAAUACAAAAAUUUUAAAAAAGGAGAGAGGCGGUUGAGGGCUGAGCCCUUGUCGCUAGGAAGGGUCGGAGAUGGAGGGGGGAGGGUUAGCCGGGGUUGCCGGGCCCUAGGCCAGGGGCCGGCGACCUCGGCCAACUGGUGGCAAGGGCCCGCGAGCCCUCGCCUAGUUUUGGGGCGAGGGUUGCGGCCCUCACCUAGUUGAGCCAAGGGCCGCCGAUCCUCGCAGAAUCUGGGUGAGGGCUGCAACCCUUACUAGAUUUGGGCAAGGGCUCGUGAGCCCUCGCUGCCGGUUAGUUGGGGUCGCUGGCCCCUAGCUAGGGCUCAGCGACCAUGGUUGACCCUCCCCCCUCCGUCGUUGACCCUUCACGGUGACGACAGCGAUGGCUCAACCCUUAGCUACCUCCCCUCCCCCCCUCUUUGUCUCUCUGUCUCUGUCUCUCUCUGUCUAUAUAUAUAAAUAUUUAUGAUUUUUUAAUACUUGUAUUUGUAUUUUUAAAUGUUUUAAAUAAAUUUAAUUUUACAUUUAAUUUAAUUUACAUUAUUUUUUUACCAUAUUAACACCAAAACGACGUCAUUUUUGCAUUGUCUAGCUACGACAGUGUGCAAAAUGAUGCCGUUUUGCACUUACUUCGCCAGAAAUUGCGUACAUCAGAGCCAUGAUUUCGUUUGUAAUAAUAUCCGUUCCAUAUGCUUAAUAGGUGAAUCCAAUGCUGAGAAGGUUUCUUCACAUCAUGACAGAUCUAGAAAUACUAGAAGCAUCUGUUUCUCUUACUGCAUCUCCAUCUUUUUCAACCCCUUCAGAUUUUCAUGUUUUAAAUGCUUCUAAGAUAUACUAUCUCUAUGAAAUCUCUCUUAGCGAUGAAACCAAAAUCUCUGAAACUUAACUUUCCCUGAUGAACUCAUAUUUUGCUUUUGCUAAACCCACCUCAUCCUUUUCUCCCAUUCGUUCCAUUCGCCAACUUAUUCGCCAAACUCCAAAGGAAGUAAAUGAGUACGUUAAGUCCUUCAAGUUCGACCAACAUCCCAUUCUCGCCAUUGAAAAUGAGUACUUUGUUACUCUCUAGAUUCCUCCAGAGUUUCCUAGGCAAUAGAUUCAAAAAGGAUAGUCUCAUGUCCAUUAUGGAGUUGUUCGUCUUGCUCUUACUUUUUAUGGCCGCAAGGGCUUGCCAGUUGUGGCAAGAAUAGCAUUACUGGAUACUAGAUUUCUAAAGUACUAGUAUACUUGUAUCAGUACUAUCCAAACCACUUUAAAUGUUGGAAUAGUUUUUGUGACUUUGUAUCCAAAUUUCAAUUUGCUCUUUCAAAUCCACAGUUACUUUCCUUUUUGAAAGUCUAAGUUUAGCUCACUGGAGCACCUCAGACAGCUGAUUCUGUUGUUGCAACACUACACUACUAGAUCGUUUAUUAAGUGCAGAACCAUGCUCUUGACUUGAAUUUCCACAAUGAAAAUGAAGAUGCUUUAUUCAUCUCCAUGCAAAAUGAUCAUGCAUCCUGCAUUCAUGUUCCCAGACAUAUCCCAAAGGAAAAGUUGCCAAGCUUCUUCUAGAGACUUGGAUCACUAACUAUGAAAAGUUACAUCAGAAUAACAAACCUUUCUAGUCUUCAGACUUUGAAUUUGUCAGAAAGAAAGAUGGAACUGUUUCCAUCAAAUUUGGCAAGGAAAAUAAAGAAAUUCUUUUUAUCUUCCAAAUCCUCUUUAUGAUCGAACCAUGUGUUCCGAGCUAGAUAAAAAAAAAAGAAGCUUGUUUAAUACUUCAAAAGUGAUUAACAUCAUGUCCAUUACUACAAAGACUAGUAUGGUCACUGUUUCUAAGAUCCUUUUUGUCAAUGUUCUUUUUGCACAAACUCUCCCGACGAGGUAGACCCAUAUGCAAGACCUCGACGGAAGCAUAAGAAGCCAAAAGAUCCUAUGUACCAAAGGUACUUGAAUGGAGAUCCCUCCGUUGAUACUCUUGGUGAGUGUGAUAAAUUCUAGUUUAUGGUUUCCUAUACACCAACUCCACCACCAGAGUUCAUUACUCCACUAAUAUCACCAAGUUCAUCACCAUCACCUCCUCCAUCUCCUCCAAAAAAAAAAGAAAACCAACUCUUUCCCCAUUUUAUAAGCCAAUCUUAAAGUGGGCGAAUAAAUAUUCCUACCCACUUGAGGCUCUAGCAGAACACCACCAAGUUCUUUCAUAGCCAUGUUCCAUGAGACAUACUUUCCUCUUUUUAUUCGAGAAAGUUAUAAUCUCGUUUCCUGCUCCAAAAGAAUUCAUUGAUCUACAAGGCAGAUAUCGGCAUGCCCCUAAGAUACCUACCCCCACUGAUGUGGAUGGACAUGGAAGAUAGAAAAGGACUCCUGUUGUUGAAGCUGUCCUAAAUUGGCAAUCGGAAACUCUUUUAGCAUAUAACAAUGCGUUCAAAGCAAUUGAUUCCAAGAUUGUAAAUGUGCAACAAGAUUUUCGAAAUAUGAUGAAACCACCAAGAAGAUGCUUUCAGAUUUCCAAAAGAGGCUUCAUGCCUUGGAAUCUAGAUAACAUUUAGGGUGUCAUCAUCUCGAAAGUCCUAAGGUGGAAAUAGAGAAGCUCAAAAGGCAAAUUCAACUCCUUGAAGAAGGAAGAUUCAAUCCAUUUCCGACUACUUUGCGGACAGAGCAUCCCCCUCUUCCACUAGCCCAUAACACAUCUAUCUUUGUUGCUAUCACAGAUGUUCUUGUUAGGCAAGAUAAGACAAAUGUGGCUGAAAUGCGAAAUCUUCUCAAAGAACUGGACUGAAUAAGAAAAGAAAAGGGAAAAGAGAAGAUGCCUAAAGAAUCCUUGCUUGUCAUAAGGAAAAAGCCAGAUCAAUUGAUGCUGUCGAAUCUAUUAGAAUCUUUCCGAAGAGAUUUGGGUAAUCAGGAAUCACAGUCUGAUCUUGUUACUCAACAUCUUGAUCCCGUCAUUCCAACAGAUCAGAUUCUAUUUUCAGCAGAACUAGCUUUUCCAAAUAUCUUUGAUACUGAAUUAAAUUCGGUAUCCCUCUUGUCCUCCUCAUCCUUCUCAAUCCCUACCAUUGAUUCCUUCCCUAUUGUACUAGUAAUUUCAUCAAUAUUCAUGAUCGAUCAUCCGGACCAAGAUAUGGAAUCAAACCAUUCUGAACCAAAGGUUGUUUAGCCAAACAAUCCCUCCCAGCACGUGUAUUUUGCAUCAAAAUAGUUUAUUUAUUUAUUUAUUUAUCGUUGAUGACAUUCCCUAUCACAAAUGGCCAUAAAGACUUGAAGAAUUUCAUACUUGGUUAAAUACCCAAACCCUUACCAACCAGGAUAAGUAUGAUGUCAUUUUUGAUUUUGUCACAAGGUUUACAGGUAGCCUCAAAUAUUGGUGGCAAUCUGUGUUAGAACAAGACCGGCUUCAAUUUUUACUCUCACUUGAUUUUGGUCAUGCCAUUAUCCUUCUAUAUCAUUUCUUUGUGGGAAAACCUUUUGACCUCCAAGAGCUUAAAAGGAGAGAAUUUUUCGAAAGAAGAUGCUGCUUCUUCCAGAAAAAAACAUCUUGAUAAAUAUUAUCGAGAAAUGUUUAAGCUCUUCUAUGGUAUUGGAGCUGAUCCAAACCAGAAACGCAUCUUCUUGACUUCCAUCCCCAAAGAAUUGUCUCAAUAGGUGGAGAGAACUUUUCUCAGCAAACAAAGAAGGAUUCAGGAUAUUCCGUUAGGAGAAAUCUAACAAGAAAUUCAUUUGUGCCUUGAAGAAUUGUGUAUCAAAUGCCAAAUGAUCCAGACUUAUGUCGACAAUAACAGAGAACUUGAUAUAGCAUGUUCUCGCCAUAAGCUAAAGAUCAAAUGUUCAAAGCGAGAUUGUGAUGGUUCUUGCGGAAAAUUUUCCAGAAAAAAGCACUUCAAGAAGCUCUGGAUAAUGAAAUCUAGGCGUGGCUCUAAGCAUUUUUGAAGAAAGAAGAAAUGGCGACACCUAUGCAAAAGGAAAGAUCACUCAGGCCACAAGAAGUCAAAUCAAUGCUUCAUCUGCAAUUAGAAAAGACAUUUUGCCAAAAAUUAUCCCCAAGCGAGAAAAUGUCAAAAUCAUAUGAUAUAUCAUAUAGAGAAUGAAACAGGUAAUUCUCUUGAAAAUGAUAAUAUCGAAUCUUUAUUAUCUGAGAAUGAAGAACCAUCUGAAUAAACUCUUUGUGUCAUUCCUUGUUACGAAACUUCUAGUGAAAUUGAUUCGGAUUCAAAUCCUGAAGAUAUUUUUCACAUAUCUCUCACUUCUUCAGAAUAAAGCACUAACAUAUUUUCAAGCUAAAUUCAUUGUCCCCAUUUCCCUGUGAAAAUCUUCACUUCAAAGUUUGCCAAGCCUUUCAUUGUCAUUGCUCUCAUAGAUACUGGAGCAAGUUCUUCAAUCUUGGACACCAAAGUUAUUCUUGAAGAAUAUUGGACUUCCUAUGUUUGAUACUUCAAUUCUACCUCAGGAGAUACUUUUUCUACGAAUGUAAGAACUACCCUAGUAAUCAUCUAAUUUUUUCCACAGUGUUCCAUAACCAUAAAAAUCUCUGGUUCCAGUCUUCCCCACAAGGAUUUGAUCAUUGGCUGGGAUAUCAUGACUAAAAUUUCUCAACUUCGUAUCAUUUCUAGAAAAUGUCUUAAGUAUAAGGACUAAUUUUCUAAAUUCGUCAAUAUCCAAAGACUUUUUUUCCAUCCAAAUGAGCCUGCUAGACCCCAUCAUGCAAAAGUUGUUAAAAUCAUGUUUGGAAUUUCAUUUUGAAUUUGCUCAAAAAUGUUCUCACCCUCUAUGGGAAAAUUUAGAGUUCUUUGUUUGCCUUCCUUUUUUAAAAAAAAAUGAGGAUAUCAAUCUAAACAAGGCGAGUUACAUGGGAAUGAAGUCAGAACACUUGGUUUUAACUCAAAGGGAAUGUUCGGAACUAUUGCAGCAAUGCCUUAUUGAAAUCUCCAAUUCUCAAUGGGCCUGUGAAGCUUUUUUAUGUCAAUAAGCGUGCCGAACAAAAUAGAGGAAAUAUGAGAAUGGUAAUUAACCAUCAGCCUCUUAACAUUUUUUUCCAAGAUGAUAAAUUCCCUUUACUCUCCAGAAAUUCCCUAUUUACUAGAUUAUCCAAAGCCCAUAUUUACUCUAAAUUCAAUCUCAAAGCCAGAUUUUGGCAAUUGUGCAUCCAUCCUAAAUACAGACCCAAGAUAGGGUUCUGUAUCAUGAACCAACAUUUCCAAAUGGAAAGUUAUUCAUUUUGGUCUAAAGGUGGUACUAUCCUUAUUCCAAAAGGUCAUGUGUCGAAUUUUCCAACUAAUUUUGUCAAGUGCAGUAAUAUACAUUGACGAUAUCGUGCUUUACAAUCUUAAUGAGCAGUCACACUGCCAACUUCUUAAACAGUUUGUAGAAAUUGUGUAAAAGCAUGGGAUCAUGCUUUCUCAAAAAAAGAUGAACAUUGUCCAUAUAUAAAUUGAAUUUCUUGGUAUGACCUUAACAAAGGUAUGUAUUAUCCAUGGCCAUAUAUUGCUCAUGAAUUGUUGAAAUUUCCUGAGGAAAAUUUCACAACAAAGCAAGUUCAGCAAUUUCUUGGAAUAAUUAAUUAUCUCAAAGAUUUCGUUCCAAACAUUGCAGAACUGUUGAUUCCAUUGAAAUUGAUGCUGAAAAAGAAUCCCCCACCUUGGAGAAAAUCUCAGACUAAAGCAGUCGUCGAACUUAAGGAGAUUAUGUAGACUCUUCCUCUGUUACAAAUCCCAUCGAUAAGGAAGAUAAUUCUCUAGAUCGGCGCCAGUGAUGAAUACUGGACAGCCAUCUUGUUUGAAGAAAUUGAUGGUAAGAGACAUCUGUGUACCUAGAAAAGUGGAAAAUUUUCCCAAGCUGAAAUGCAUUAUCAUUCCACUUUCAAAGAAAUCUUGGUGAUGAAAAAUGGAAUAAAAAAGUUCGAAUUCCAUCUCAUUGGCCAUCACUUCAUGGUAAAAUUGGAUAUCCUCAGAUGAUCAAGUUCAAACAGAAGCAGAUUUCGAAUUUUCAACUGCUUCAAUGGGCUGAAUGAUUUUCAAAAUACUCUUUUGAAACCAAACAUAUUGCCGGAAAAAAAAAUGUGCUUGCUGACUUCUUGUCAAGACCAAAAGCACCAGUAAAAAUCAACAUGUACAUCAUGAGGCAUGCUUUUCAUAUUCUUCAUAACAAUGAAAAGUAUAAGAUUGAAAGAAUACAAGACUAGUCAAGCUGGCAAUAUUACUAGGAGAUUGUGGAACAAAUCUAGAAUGACUGCCUUAUUGAAAAUUUGGAUAAUCUCAUGUGGCAAUUCCACACAGAUCUGUUUAGAUUUAAUGGGGGUUCGAUUCUUUAUCUUUUUAGAUUAAAUUCAGACUAUCCGUUCAUACAUCCUUUAAUCUGGAAGGAAGAUAAUUUCCCUGACCAACUUCGAUGGUUAUUAUGGUACUUAACCAAUAAGUACUGAAUAGUAUUGAAAUUCCAACUAGAAGAUUUAUUACCAACCUCACUAGGAUAUUUAGACUUGGCAGAUGAAACAUUGAAAAAGAGAGUGACAGAAAUCUCAUAGGUUUCCUUAAUUGGUUUUAUCCCUCUACUCACUGGAAAUACCUCUUGCAGAAAGAGCUGAGAACCACACAACUAAACCCUGAGGUCCAUAUUAUUUUGUUUUUUCGACGACCGUGGGCUUUUGUCACAAAUAAUGGUAGCAGUAGCAAUGCCCCCCAAAUUAUAGGUACCACAUCCUAUAAACCUCAACCACAUAGUGUAGAAGCUCAGAUUUACAAAUCUUAUUUAGAACCCGUUGGUUGCUACGAGCACCAGUAUCGAGAACUCCAAAGGAUUUUGUACUAGGAAAAUAAAAUCAUUCCUAAAGAUGCAUGGAACUAUAAUGUACCCACUGUAUGAGAUUAUUAUAGUCUCACACUAGAAGUUAAGGAAGCACUCGAAAUAUUCAGACAAGUUACAUCAUCACAGGAGCAUGAAAUGGCAGACACAGAUGACAUCGCACAGUCCUCUCAAGAUCCCUAUGUCAAAUGGGGAGGUCCUCUUUCUCAAGAUCCCUAUGACCAAGAAACUUUGUCCUUAUCUCAAAGCAUUGACACAUCCUACUAUACUCAGUCAUCCAAUUGGUCUCAGCUAAGCAUUCUUGCCAACACUACAGGCUCCUCUUAGAAUCAAGCGAAAGCAUCCUCGUCAAAUCAAAUUCUCUCACCAGAUUCACUUGUAGGACUUGAGAAAAAAAUAUGAAGAAUAGCUUAUGUCAAUGUAUAGUUCGGACGACUCAGACUAUGACUAUAAUGCUCGUGAUGGACGAGACUAUUGACCGUACAAGUCACUGUAGCAAGUCACUUUUCACUUUCAUUGUAGCAGUAGACUAGGGAAAUAACUGUUCAUUAUCAAUGUUCAUAUCGUGCGAAUAAUCUCCUAUGCCUUUAUUUGUUUCAAGAUUGUGAGAAUGAUCCUUGUUUAUGUGUGACCUCUUAUUGCCUAUAAAAGACAAGAAUGAUGUAAUGUGUUGGGCAGAGUCCCUUGAAGUAAAGUGAGUAUUUUGUGUAAAACUCUCUAUGGCUUUAUAAACUUAUCUUCUUCUCCAGUCUGGUAGGAUCAUUUGAGAAAUGUAGUUCGGAUAGUUAGAAAUGUUACCAUCCUGGUUCUAUAUGAGUGUUUCUAGACUCUGAACUAAAGGGAAGAGUGGUUUUAUGUUAAAAGGCUGUCUCUGAAGGGCUUGAACGGAAGAGGUUCACCUACUGUGGGGUAUGCCAACUUUUGGCACUUGAAAUAAUCUUUUGCCGAAUUUCACGUUACUCUAAACACCGGAUAUGAUCAAACUUUUACUAUCAAAGUUUUAUCUAGCCCAUCAAAGGCAGUCUUAUGAGAUAGGAUGCAAUGAUAUAAUCUAUGAAUUAGAUCAAACAUUUAUUAAAAGUUUAAGAACGAUAUUUCAUUUUUUGAAUGUUAGGAUGCACGAGUAAGUUAUGUUAAAACAAUCCCACAAUAUAUUGAUAGCUUUGAAAUAAGGCUUUCUCUUGGUGAUGACGAAGAUCCAUAUGGAGAAAUUAAUGGGAGGGUUUGUUUGGCCUAACUAAAUGAGAGGCUAUAUCAGUGGGAGGUUUUUCAUUGUAACCUUGUGCUUGGUAUUUGUAUUUUAGUAAAGGAUUUUGUUAGCAUAAUAGUUUCUGAGUUAUUGUGAGAAUAACAACUUAUUAUGAGUUACAAAAUUUUCUCUUUCUUUUUUUCUUCACUUCCUUCUCCUUCCUCCAACCAAUCAUCACUAGUGAUUGGCAAGAGGCAAGGUUGGUGAGGUACCUCGCUGGUCUCGAGGAAGCUUGACCAUGGUUAGGCAACCUUGCUCAUGGCUAGGCGACCUCGCCUAGGCCGCCAACUGGGCUGGUGAGGGUUGACCCUCGACGGCCAUGGGUGAGGACAAAUGCCGCUAGUUGGGCUUGCGAGGCUCGCCCUUAUUGAAUUUGGCGAGAGUUGAGUCUCAUUGGCCAUGGGUAAGGUCAAAGGCCGUGACCUCACGUGGUCUUUGGUGAGGCUUGCCAAAGGUUGGGCAAGGCUCACCGUCGUUGGACUGAUGAGGGUCGAGUCUCGUCGGCCAUGGGUGAGAUUGCAACUUGCCCAUGGCCGGCGAGGUGAGCCUAGGCCAAAGGCAGGCGAGACCUUGCCUAACCAUGGCGAGGGUGGCCUCACCAUUGUUGGGUGAGGCUCACCCUUGCUAGUGGUGUGUGGGGGUAAGCCUUGCCAUUGGUUGGCGAGGCUAACCUUGCUGGCUUGAGUAAAAUAAAAUAUUAUUAAAAGAUUAUCUACAUCAAUAUUAGUUGGACGAGCGGUGUUGGUCGGCCAAAAUUUCUGAAUGAAUUGAAUAGUAUAAUUGCAAAAUGUUUGGGAUUGAAUUGGCUAAAAAAAAAGGUCUAAGUUUGAAUUGGAAAAAUUACAAUAAGUUUAUGAUUGUUUUGGUACGUCCUCCCUAUAUGGGAAGGAUCGUGACUAUGCUUCAAUUGAUGUAAGCAAGUGCAUCUUCACAGCCACUACCGCUCCCCUCCUACUCUUUGUAGCUUAUGCUACUCCCCUCUUAUAAAUCUCGGCUCGCCUGACGCCUUCGCCAUUGUGUAGGGAACGAGCGAGCUCGAGCUAGACCACAGUAAUGGCGGCAUCGACAAUGACGAUAAGGAGGAUCAAGUUGGGGUUGCAGGGCCUGCAGGUGUCGGUGCAAGGGCUGGGCUGCAUGGGCAUGUCCGCCUUUUACGGGCCACCCAAGUCGGAGCCCGACAUGAUCGCCCUCAUCCACCAUGUCGUCGGCUCUGGCGUCACCUUCCUUGACACCUCCGACAGCUACGACCCCCACACCAAUGAAAUCCUCCUUGGAAAGAUCGGUUCUCUCAGUCUCUGUUUUGCCUUCGCAUGAACUAUAUGUGCUUAUAAUGUUACGGAAUGUAGCUUCAUCGAGCAGAGUGCUUUGAUCCUGCGCCUUGGUUUUCUGAUUUCGGGGUUGAUUUUGAGCAGGCACUAACGGGAGGGGUGAGGCAAAAGGUGGAAUUGGCGACCAAGUUCGGAAUCAGCUUCGCGGAUGAGAAGAAAGAGGUCCAGGGCGAUCCGGCAUACGUGAGGGCGGCUUGCAAUGCCAGCUUGAAGCGACUUGACAUCGAUUGCAUCAACCUCUACUACCAGCACCGUAUCGACACUCGCGUCCCCAUUGAAGUCACUAUAUGGAUCCCUUAUCAAACUUUCACCUCGCUUGAGACUUUCUCCGAGCCAUAUGAUUAGUUGCUAAAUUAGAUUGGUGUUGAUGAUGCAUCGUCAUGUUGUUACAAGUUUGUUGAAUUUUGUUAAAUGACACUUAAGUUCAGCUGAUAGCAAAGCUCAAGAUGCGGCACGGUGUUGUUCAGGGGUUGUGGAAUUUAGUAGUUUAAUGGCUUGAGUUUUCGUUUUGUGGGCAUCCUUUACAAGUUAAGGGUCAACAAGCAUGAAAAUCAUUCGAAAUCUUCCUUACCUUUGAGAUGAAAGUGCUCCGGGGUUCAUCCUGAUUUUUUUUUUUUUUGGUGGUGAAAGUAAGUAAUUGUAUUAAGCUUUGCCAACUAUACAAGAUGAAAUCUUGGCACCAAAACUUGCACUCAGAAUGACAUGACGUCAAUGCGAGUGGAAGGAUGCUGAGAUGAAAAAUAGCAAGCAAUAAACGGUGUUGACACCUAAAUUUUGGCGAUCCGAUUAUUUAUUUAUUACAUAAAAAUUAUGGGUCAAUUUGUCUCUUAAAAAAUAUUAAUUACAUAUAGAUUUAGGUGCAUUUAUUUUUAAUUUAAUUUUUUUGUAUUUUAUUGGAUCGAUGGUGGAUGGAUUCAAAUUAAUGGUUAUGAAUUUUAAAUUGACAAAUCGAACUAAGUUCACGAAUAUAAGAAAUUGGCGCAAGCCCGUAUUUGAAAAAAUUCUAUUGUAAUUUUUGAAAAAUCAAUAGAAAACAUUCAUUUUUGCAAAGGAAAUCAAGAAGAGCUGUGGAAAAUAAAAAGUGAUAUUACGUGCGGAAAAGAAAUCUUUGCAGAUGUUGAUUUAAAAAGGAAAUUAAAAUCCUAAUUUUUGGUCUAUAAAAAAGUAACUUAGUAUAGGGUUUUGGGGAGGCUACACAUGGAAUACACAGCCAGUGGAGGGCGAAAUUCGAAAAAAUUUGGAGAGCAAACGCGAGGGGGCUUUUUCCUUCGGUUGAUUGGAGUUGAGAAUUCAAGAAAAAAGAAGAAGAAAGAAUUCGUUUGUUUGUGAAAAAAGGCAGCAAAAGUGUGCAGAAAAAAAGGAAGAGACAGAGACGGGACAGGGAAGAGUGAUGUGAGAGAGAGACGUGGAGUAGAAUAAAAAAGAAAAAAGAAAGUAAAAACAGGGAAGACUGUUCAUCCUCGCAAGCGCCUCAACCGCUGUCGCCGAUCCCUUUCGCCCGCACCGGCCCGCGACCUGCAGCCGCCGCGCUCCGUCGCCGCCUCACCCGAGCCGCCGACCACCACCGCUCGCUGCUCACACUACCGCUGUCCCGAUCUGCCCGCUCGAGCGUCCCUACGCCGGCAGAUCUGAGCUGCUCGCCACUCCACCGCCGCGCGAGUUCCCGCACCGGUCCGCGCCUCCUCUGCUGCUCGUGCCGUGCCACCACCAGGGUUCCUCUCGCUCGCGAGCUCGCACCGCCGCCCCGCUGUGCUGAUCCGCGACGACCCGACGCUCCGCUGCUGCUGCUGCUGCACCUUCGCAGGUCACCCCACCAGCACCACCGUUCGUCGCCCUGGCUGUAGGCGCGACGACUCGACACCGCCUCUGCUCAGUCACUCCUUCACCCGCUCCUGCUGCAGCACCAGUCGCUGCAACCUCCGCCGUCGCUCUUGCAUCCGACCCGACGCCAGCAGCAACGAUCCAGAUCCGGCGCCUGCUGCAGCCACAGCCCGACGCCGCUCCUCUGCCCGCGACCCAAGACCGGACGCCCAGGUCCGACGCCCUGCAGCUCCCUCUCUGAGUGACUCCCGCGACUUCCCUCACCGGAGCAACCCACCACGUUGCUGCUUCGCUUGAAAAAAAGAAAAAGAAAAAGAAAACAAAAAAAGAAAAAUCAAUUUAGGUAAUUUUUCCUUUUAUUUAUCUAUCUUAUUUUAUUAUUUUUGUUAUUUAACUUUAUUUGUUCUUUUUCAGUAUAAUUAUUCCUUAGUGUAAGGAUGAGAUGUUCGACAUGAAAUAGCCUGUGAAAUUUGUGAUUGUCAGUCCGAUUUUCACGCCUAAAAUCCGACUUGCAAUCACUUAAAAAAAAUCGCUAAUCCGAUCUUCCGCCUAAGAUUCAAUUCGCGAUUUAUGUGAAAUUGACCAACUCGAUUUCAUGCGCGAGAUAUAAUUCGUCAAUUUGGAUAUCAUCUUGCUCCGAUUUGUUGUCGUGUCAUUUAAUUAAAUUUGCUUUCAUAAAAAAAAAAUGUAGGUUAGAAUUAGGUUUAUUCCCUAUUUUAGGGUUUACAUAUUUAAAAUAUGAAUUUUAUUUCGAAUUUUUUUUUAAAAAAUAAUAAUAAAUUAAAAAAUCAAAAAUCAAAUCAAUUAAUUUAGGUUGCUAGUUUUUUUUUUUUUUUUUUAAAACUUGGAUUGCAUGUUUAAUUGUUUGGCAAUUAUUAAUUUCGAAAUUAAUAAAACAAAAACGCAACAAAAAAUCAUCAUGCAUAUGUCAUAUAGAAUUAGGGCAUCUUUUGUAUGUCAUUGCAUAUUAGGGUAAAAUUGCUAAUAUUUUUCUUAAUUUAUUAUAAGUUUAGGUAUUUUCUUAGAUAGAUUGCAUUUUAGGAUUGCUUGGGUUAGGAUAAUAUUCUAAUUUAAAUUAGGAUUUGGCUUAACCUAAUUCCUAAUACAAAUUGAAUAGAAUCUUAAUCUAGUUAGAUAAUUUUCACAUUUAAUCUAAUUUCGAAUUUCAUGAAAAAUACAAAAAAAAAGUCUUAGAAUAAAUUGGUUUUAUUCUCUAGGAUAAAUUGCAUUCUCUUUAAGGAAAAAAGAAGAAAAAUAUCAUGUGCAUGCCAUAUAAGAUUAGACUCAUGAGAUGCAUACCAUUUAGUGAUUGUUGCUAGUCCAUUUAAUUAGAAAUUGCAUAUCAUUAGAAUUAGGUCAUUUAGUUAUAUUGCAUUGCAUAUUAUAUGAUUUUCAUUAAAUAAGUGAAAAUAAAGAAAUUGCGUAUUGAUUAGAAAUUAUAUUUAAAACCGUCGAUGUGAAUUUUGAUAUAACAUUGUAGAUGCUUUCGUUGCUAUGAAAUGACUAUUACAAUUUAUUCAUUAUUUAUCUGGGUGUUAAAUUGGUGGUUUGCGCACUCAUAUGAUCACUUCAUAUGUUAAAAAAAUAGAUUUAAAAUCAAUCCAAAUUGCAUGUAAAAACAUUUUUGAAAAUAAAAAGAAGUGGUACCGAAAGGGUAUUAGAGAAUCUAGCAUAAUUAAGUCUCUGAACUCAUAAAUCUCUAAUUCGUAGGAGUGAAGUAAAUCUCCCGUUACUUUAUUUGAAGAUUAAUGGCGACUCCUAACUGAAAUAUCGUUUGUAUGUUAAGAACUUAAACCCAAGUUGCAAAUUGGUAUGGCUUGGGAGAGCUUGAGUUAGGUCUAGGCUUAACAAUUCAUUAGCCAAACCUUAGGUGAUACACACCUGAAAAUUUGGUCGCGACAAAUGGUAACAGCCACCACACAGCAAAGAAGAGCCAAACAACGGCCACCACUAGCAACCAAAGCAAAAAACAAAAGGCAACCGAGGGAUCAAACAGACGCAGCCAGAUCACCCCAAGCACCAAACCAAAAAGGGAAAGGCACAGUUCAAGCGUCCCAGUUGAGAGAAGCCGUGACCGACACGAACCAGGGGAGGAGGAAUCUUCAGUGAAACAGCCAACCCCAAGGACCUCGGCGGUAGCUCAGCACAAGAAUGUCCACCCUAGAAGGGUAUCCAGUUAGAAGGAGAUGGAUGAUGGAACAACCAUUCUCAAGGAUCGAACUCGCCGCUGAAAUAGCAGCUACAUGGAAAUCAGCUUCGUAGAUUUGAUCAAGAAUCACCUAAAGAGAAAACAAUCGGAUCAAUGCCCCAGGCACGCUGGAGUAUCCUGUUCCUCGCGGUACUAUCGACAUUUCUGAAAGUUAGAGCCUUAUCCCGGACAACCCUAAGGAGAUGGUUCUUCAGGGCCGGGAUCGUAGGAGUUAGCUCUCUAAACAAAAUAUCAUUCCUGUUCUUUCAUAUAAUGUGACAGAGGGCUCCAAGGGGUUCAUCCUGAAUUUAUAUACAGGAAUCACAGAUAAAGUUGUUCCUGGACUUUAUGCGGAGACAUUUGAUUCUUGACAUAUUGUGAAAUAUGACAAGUACUUGGAAUACUUCUUUUAUUUGCUCUCUUCUGUGAGAGAUUCAGGAAAUCUACCUCCGUUAACUCAAUACCUUGUGACUUUUUUGUUGCAUUGUGAUGCAUGAUAAUUGAGGGAUCUAGACACAUAAAAAGCUAAUGCCAUGCAUAAUUUUCUGGAUCUUAACAUGUAAGAUCUUUCGUCCAAAAAAAAAAAAAAACAUGUAAGAUCUUGAUUUUGUUGUUUUGUCAUGUGAAUAUGCAUAGAUCGGAGAGCUAAAGAAGCUCGUGGAAGAGGGUAAGAUAAAGUACAUCGGUUUAUCCGAGGCCUCUGCCUCAACAAUCAGAAGAGCACAUGCUGUUCAUCCCAUCACAGCGGUGCAAUUGGAGUGGUCGCUUUGGUCAAGAGAUGUGGAGGCAGAGAUCGUUCCAACGUGCAGGUAGGAUAUCACUCUGUUAAUUGUUUAUGCAGCAACAACAGCUUCCUUCUGACUCUGCUUUUCCUUUAAAAUGUUGACUAGGGAGCUUGGCAUUGGAAUUGUUGCCUACAGUCCUUUAGGACGAGGAUUCUUUUCUGUUGGCUCCAAGUUGGUGGAGAAUAUCUCUAAGGAUGACUUCAGACAGGUCUGUUCCUGCUUGUCAACAUAAUUAGAUGCCAGUAUCGGGCUUUGGCCCUCCGUCCUUUUUCAUUCUCAUCUUUCUUCACAAGAUAAACUAUAUCUUGACACAACCAUUUCUUGAGUAAGGACUCCUAGCACCCUUCUUAUGAGAGUUUUGGCUCAAGUUCCCAUCUGACAUAAAGCCAAUUGUGUAUUACUCCCCGCCAUUAGCGUUUGACUAGCGAUAGUGCUGGGCAAGUGAAGUAGCUAUUUUUUUUUUUUUGUAGCUAAAAGAGCUUUGCGUCUGAUAACGUUCUUCUACACAUCAUCUACAUUUCUGAUUUUUAUUUUAUGUGUGACUCAGGAAAAUGAUAAUUGCUCAUAUGCUCUCUGCUGAGACAUUGCUCUAUGUUAUGCAGUAUCUACCAAGGUUCCGGCCAGAGAACUUGGCUCACAACACGAAGUUAUUUGACCGAGUGAAUGGAAUUGCACAAAGAAAGGGAUGCACCACAUCGCAGUUAGCCCUCGCCUGGGUACACCACCAGGGUGAUGAUGUUUGCCUGAUUCCCGGCACGACCAAGAUCGAGAAUUUCAACUAGAACAUUGGAGCUCUGUCAGUGAAGCUUACACCGGAAGAGAUGGCCGAGCUUGAAUCGAUUGCUUCUGCAGACAGUGUCAAGGGUGGCAGGUACGAUGGAAGCAUGUCUACAUGGGAAAACUCCGACACUCCACCCCUUUCUUAAUAAAAUUAUGUGUUUUUCUAGUAAGGGAUGUUGCGAAAACUUUAUUGUCUUUUGCAUGCGUAAUUAUAACUAUGAGUGUAACUAUGCGUAAUUACAACAUGUGGCGUCACACAAUCCUCAGCACUUGAAUUGGGGUCUAUCAAGGUAGUGCUUGAGUCUAUGAUGCUCAAGCUCUAUUCAAUAGCACUUAGGCUCGGGUCCGCAAAGAUUGUGCAUCAGUCCUCAAUGCUUGAGGUCGGCUCGUUAGUUAAUAAAACGUUUGUUCUUAUAAAAAUAAUUAUUUUUAAAAAAUCUAUUUUUUUAUAUUAUUUGUUUUCUUUCUUUUUAUUUUCCUUCUUCUCGGCUAGUUGCCAACCAUGGCGCCGAUUGCGCCUGAUAACAAGCACCGGAUGAGCUAGCCCAAGGCCAAGAAGACUUGAGAUUGCUGAUUUGGCAAGCUUGAAGCUGGUCAAGUGCAAGCUCGAGUUUCGCCCCGUGGCUAGUCGCCAACUACCACCGUGGCUAGCGUUCGGUCGAGGAAGAAGAAAAAGAAAAAUAAGUAAAAAUCUGAAUAUUUUGUAAUCUUCUAUAGGGAAAUCAAAUAAGAUUUUUCAUAUUAAACGAUAAAAAAUAUUUUCUAGUUUAUUUUUAAGACUUAACCAAAUAUUGAAAAUGACUUUUUGUAAAAUAUUAUUCAAAUAUGUCAUAUUUUUUGCGAAACAAACGGUACAUAAAUUUAAAUUUGAUAAUUGUCCUUGUUAAUUUGGUACACAUUAUCUGUCUCUUUGUUUUGUUGCUGAACUGAUGCUAAUCUCUAGAUGAAGCUUGACUAGUUUCAAUAGGCGGCUUGACUUUUGCGCUUCCUUUUUUUUAAAACCCAAAACACUCAAAACUUUCGUGAUACACGACUUUCGACAUGCAGAGUUACAAUCACUUCAAAUAAUUUAUCUGAAAAUUGUAUAGUGGGCCAUCCGAGAAAGGUGAGGGCAACUUGUCCCCCUAGAAAUUGUCAUGACGUGGAACUCUUGACAUGAAUUGAAGUGACUUUUGUUAAGAGUUAACUAGUCAAGAUCGGGCCACAUCUGUCCAUUCAUGUCCGCCACAUCCGGCCCCUCCAAUCGGACUCCCCGGCGAAAAGAUUCACGGACACGUGGCUGGAUCUAGAAAGUCACGGGUUUGACUUGUCUUUUGUGUCACUAUCAAGAAUGUGCAUGGUCCGGACGGGCGAUUCCCGACCUAGAAUCGGGAACUGCUUGCUAAGGACCGAUUCCAAAACAUUGAAACGGAGAUCCACCAGUUAGUUGAAUGAAUCCACUUGGGAACCAGAUCGCUGAUUCAGUCCGAUUUCUAGGUGGAUCUAUGGAACCGAUCUUGACGCUAAAUAAUUUUAUUUUCAAUAUAGAACGACUACGUGAUUUCCAUAACAACAGCUGGAGAGGUUGUAGAAGGAUAUCAUGGUAGGCACUUACGAUAAUCGUGAGGAAAUGAUAGCAAUUUUGGUUAAACUUGUUUUCUAUCAUGGCUAUCAUGGGUCGAAUAAAAUUUUGCAAGCAAAUUUCGUGUCCUAGGCAUUUUUUUUCUCUUAGGUGUGAUGCUUUAAAAACCCUCUAUGUGAUGCUUAGGAACCUUUGUUUGUGAUGAAGCCUAAAGAUUUAUUCCUUGUUGUGGACUUGUUGUCCUACAUCAAAAUCUCUCAGUCAAACUUUUUUGCUUUGUUUUGGUAAGUCUGUAUAAGGUAUAUUACAGAAGUUGCAUUACGAGAUAUUUCUUCCUUAUUGUCUUUUUAGUUUAACUAAGGCCAAAUUGUUUUGGCAUUUUUCCAAGCAUUUCAUUAUGGAAUGAUGAUAAGAAGCGAUCUUGACUUAAUGCUUUUAGUUAUUUGAUUUGGAUUUAUUAAUUAGUAAUUUCAUUUUUUAAUAUUAAAAAUUAAUAUAUUAUUUUAAUAUAAUCGGUUCGGUCUAGGUGGGCGGGUAGAUAGAUCCGCUCAUGGAACUGGGAACCAGACUGGUACUCACCGGUUCCCAUAAAUUGGAAUCGAGAACCGGACCGGUUCCCUUAAAAACUACCGGUUCUGGGCGGUCCAAGCGGGUUUCGGUUAUUUUGCACAAAGAAUUAAAAAUUCAAUUUUUUUUAAAAAUAUUUUAAAAAGAAUUAUAAAAAUUUUCAUUAAAUUUGUAUUGCAUAAAAAUGUUUUAACAAUACUUUUUUUUAAAUAAAAAAAUCAUAAAAACGAGCUUUUUAAGGGUUAAUUAUUUUUUUUAUGUUAUUGUUUUUAGUUAUUCAAAGGUAUGUUUACUUCAAAUAAGGGAAGCAUGUGCAUAGUUUAAUUCUUUAUAAAUAUUUAAAUGUUUUUUUAAACUUUUCUUAUUUUAUUUUAUUUUCUAUUUUUAAUUUAAUUUGAAGAUUUAAUCUAAUUAGCAUAUAAUAGAAGUGGAUUUUCCUAAAAUAUUAAGAGGUUUUAGCAAUACGAGUUGGAUCGGGUAUGUGUCGGGUAUAUAUGAAUAUGGAUCAGAAUAAGUUAAAUAGAUCAAAUAUGAGUUCAUUCGUUUUCGACCGGACUCAAAUCCGGCUUGAUCCGGUUUCGACCCAACCCAAAUCCGACUCGAUCCACUCAUUUAACGGGUCUAGAUUGAAUUGACGUAAGCACGUGCGUCUUCGUAGCUACUGCCGCUCCCCUCCUAUAAAUCUCGGCUCGCCCGACAUCUUAGCCAUCGUCACGGUGCAGUGCAGGGAACGAGCGAGCUCGAGCUAGACGACGGCAAUGGCAGCGUCGACGACGACGGUGGGGAGGAUCAAGCUGGGGUCGCAGGGCAUGGAGGUGUCGGCGCAGGGGCUGGGCUGCAUGGGCAUGUCCAUCGGCUACGGCCCUCCCAAGCCCGACCCCGACAUGAUCGCCCUCAUCCACCACGCCGUCGGCUCCGGCGUCACCUUCCUCGACACCUCCGACAUCUACGGCCCCCACACCAACGAAAUCCUCCUCGGAAAGGUCGGUUCUCUCAGUCUCUCUUUUGCCUCCGCAUGAAUCAUACGUGCUUAUAGUGUUACGGAAUUCAGCUUCAUCGAGCAGGAUGCUCCGAUCCUGCGCCUUGGUUUUCUGAUUUCGGGGUUGAUUUUGAGCAGGCACUGAAGGGAGGGGUGAGGCAGAAGGUGGAAUUGGCGACCAAGUUCGGAGUCAGCUUCGCGGACGGGAAGAGGGAGAUCCGGGGCGAUCCGGCGUACGUGAGGGCUGCUUGCGAGGCCAGCUUGAGGCGGCUCCACAUCGAUUGCAUUGACCUCUACUACCAACAUCGCAUCGACACUCGCGUCCCCAUCGAAGUCACUGUAUGGAUCCCACAUCAAACCUUUACCUCUCUCGGGACUUUCUCCGAGUGAUCAGUUGCUAAAUUAGAAUGGUGUUGAUGAUGCAUCAUCAUCAAGAUAUCGUUAAAUGUGACUUGAGUUCAGAUGAUAGCAGAGUUCAAGAUGUGGCACGGUGUUGUUCAAGGGAUUGCGGAAUUUAGUAGUUUAUAUGGCUUGAGUUUUUGUUUUAUGGGUCAACAAGCAUGAAAAUUAUUCGAAAUCCAGGGUUCACCCUGAUUUAUAUCUGAGAAUCACAUUUGAAGUUGUUCCUGGACUUUCUGCGCAGACAUUUGGUUCUUGACUUGUCAUUGUGAAAUAUGACAAGUACUUGGAAUACUUCUUUAAUUUGCCUUCUUCUGUGAUAGAUUAGAGAGAUCCAUUUCCGUUAACGAUACCUUGCCAUUUUCUUGUUGCAUUGAGAUGCAUAAAGAUUGACUAUUUUUUGCUAGGAGCUACCUAAUCAAAUUGUAAUGUUUGAGAAGUCAGGGAACACAAACUAUUCAGGCAUCAGGACACAAGAAAAACUAAUGAUGUUCAAUAACUUCUGGAUCUUAACACGUAAGAUUUUGACGAUUGUUGUUUUGUCAUGUGAAUAUGCACAGGUUGGAGAGCUAAAGAAGCUCGUUGAAGAGGGUAAGAUAAAGUACAUCGGUUUAUCCGAGGCCUCUGCAUCAACAAUCAGAAGAGCACAUGCUGUUCAUCCCAUCACAGCAGUGCAAUUGGAGUGGUCGCUUUGGUCAAGAGAUGUGGAGGCAGAGAUCAUUCCCACGUGCAGGUAGGAUAUCACUGUUUAUUUGUUUAUGCAGUAACAACAUCUUUCUUCUGACUCUGCUCUUCCUUAAAAUGUUGACUAGGGAGCUUGGCAUUGGAAUUGUUGCCUACAGUCCUCUUGGACGAGGAUUCUUUUCUGUUGGCUCCAAGUUGGUGGAGAAUCUCUCUAAGGAUGACUUCAGACAGGUCUGUUUCUGCUGGUUAACAUAAUUAGAUGCUCACAGUUACUGUCAUUCCCAUUGAAGUGCUGGAAACCUGUUCUUAUUCUAUAAAGAAAAAGUUUGUGACACGAAUGCUUCAUAUUCUUAUUCGAUCCAGCACUUGCCAGUCAUCCCACCUCUCGUGAUUCUAGAUAAAUUUAAAAAUCACAAGUAAUGGCUUUAAUGAGCCUGAAAGGGGCAGUUUUCUGGAUUCUCGUGCUUUUGGGAAUGAACAAAUAUAGGUUUAUUUGUAAGUUGCUCCGUUUCCCAGCUUUCCCACCAUUUGCUUAUCACUAUCCUUUCCCCACUUUCCACCCGCCCUUUUUCUCUCAUAUCUCUUCACAAGAUUAGCAAUAUUUGCUCAAAAUAACCGAGACCAGUAUCGGGCCUUGGCCUCCGUCCUUUUUGUUUCUCAUCUUUCUUCACAAGAUAAAUUAUAUCUUGACACAACCAUUUCUUGAGCGAGGACUCCCUAACACCCUUCUUAUGAGAGUGUUGGGAUCAAGUUCCCAUCUGACAUAAAGCCAAUUGUGUAUUACUCCUGGCCAUUAGUGUUUGAGUAGCGAUAGUGCUGGGCAAGUGAAGUAGCUAUUUUUCUUUGUAGCUAAAUGAGCUUUGCGUCUGAUAACAUUCUUCUACACGUCAUCUACCUUUUGUGAUUUUUUUUUCUUAUGUGUGACUAAUGUUACCAUCACACGUACAAAACUUAGAUUGUCUAGUUUGUUUCUGUUUUCACUUCCUACAUCAAACCCAUCAGCCUUGUGUGGUAGUUGCUAGAUCACUUCGCUCGACGUUUCUAGUUCUUAUGAUUUGGGGCUAGGUAUUUUAAUCAUUUCAAGAUAAUCAUAACUGAUCAUGCUUUUCCAGGUACACAACAAUUGUGCACUUCUAAAUGCUUAUUAGGUCAAGUAACAAGGCAAUCUGUUGGCAUGCAAUGCGAUCACUUUUGCACCUUGCUGCUGUAGAAUUUGGCCUUAAAAGGAAAAUGAUAGUUGCUCAUAUGCUUUCUGCUGAGACAUUGCUCUAUGUUAUGCAGAACCAACCAAGGUUCCAGCCAGAGAACUUGGCUCACAACAUGAAGUUAUUUGACCGAGUGAAUGAAAUUGCGCAAAGAAAGGGAUGCACCACAUCGCAGUUAGCCCUUGCCUGGGUACACUACCAGGGUGAUGAUGUUUGCCCGAUUCCCGGCACGACCAAGAUCGAGAAUUUCAACCAGAACAUUGGAGCUCUGUCAGUGAAGCUUACACCGGAAGAGAUGGCUGAGCUCGAAUCAAUUGCUUCUGCAGACAAUGUCAAGGGUGGCAGGUACAAUGGAAACCUCUCUCCAUGGGAAAACUCCGACACUCCACCCCUUUCUUCUUGGAAACCUGCCUAGAAACAUGUCUACUUCUGUUGCUGCGUCUUUGAUAUGCAGAGUUUGUGCAUUUGCCGCUGAAGUAAUUUGAGGCUAUGUUGUGUGGCUGUUAUAAGUACGUGUAAUAAGAGAGUGACUGUUUUCGUUUUGUACAUGUGACAUUCACUAUGAGAAGAUUAUGGAUAUGUUCUAAGCUUACUGGGGAAAGAUCACCCGCUAACACGAGAGCAAGUUUUUUAUGAACCGAGCUUGCCGUGCCGACUUUAUCGGGGUGACUUUUAGAAUAUGAGAAAUUGGGAUUUUGAAGAAUUCAAACUCAGUCAUACAUACUAGAGUGAUGCUUUAUUCUCCUCCAACUAGUCUUGGUCCAGUUUCCAGAGAGAUUAGGUCGAUCCUUGGUCCUAGAAUUUCAGGACUAGCACUGUGCGGGUCGAUUCUUAGUCCUAAGAGUUCUAGGUCGGUCCAAUCCAAACCAACCUUAUAUAUAUAUAUAUAUAUUAUUUAUAAUUUUUUUAUAUAGAGAAAACCUUAAAACAAACGGCGUCAAUAACAUUAAAGAGUUAUUUAGUAAAGAGUUCAAGUAAUUUUACAUUGUUCUUUAAUAUUUUAGAUUUUUAAUGUCUUUUACGAUAUUAAUAGUCAUAAUUUACGAAGGAGGAAAUUGUUUUUGUAAGGAGUCCUCAUGAUAUCUAAAAAGGUAUAAAUGGCAUCAUUCUUUAGUAUUCGUUCUCUUUGGUUUUAUUCGUUCUCUUAAUUAUCAAUUUGCCAAAAUUGAAAGAAGCAAUCGCUCACUUUGGGUCACUCCUGCCGCUCGCCGCUUAAUGCUCGCUUGGCUUGUUGCUCCAUGCUCGAUAUUCGAUAUUUAUUCUGUUCGACGCUCACCCCACUUGACUCUCGUUGCUUGCCUUUUUUAGUUGACCUUGCUCAUCAUCGAAUCCAUUAGGUCAAUAUGGUCCUCAGUUGCUUUUUCAAGGAUUACAAAAAAUGAAAUAAAAAAUUAUUAAUUAGUCCUAAGUUGACCUUGAAACCAGACCGAACCCAUUGGGUCCGUUUGAUCUUCAAUCGCUUUUUUAAGGUGUACAAAAAAUGAAAUAAAAAAUUAUUGGUUGGUCCCGGGUUGACCCUAGAACUGGACCGAACCCAUUGGAUCAGUUCGGUCAUUGGUCCUAAGCUUAAUAGGGUUGGUUCUCGGUCCAAAAAACUGAGGACCAGCAUUGUGUGAGUUGGUCAUAGGGUUAGGGGGUGAACCGGCCCAACCUGGACCAUACUCACUCCUACCUCUAACCAUGAGUUCAAUACUAGCACCAUGUGCAACAUACUCUUAGGACUGGAUGCUACACAUAGAUACAACGCUUCGCUUUGUGUUUGGUUUCGUAGCGAAGUAAAGGAACAGUAAAAUGCUAUUGGAUGUUCUCGCGAAAAUGAAGUUUGGGAUAAAAUGUUGGCGCGGUUGAUAUGAGUGUCGAGGAAAUCGAAGGUUUCUUGUUCAAGUUUAACCACCUACGGUUCAUGAGCUUUUAUGUAGCUCAAUACCUUCGCUCAUGCCUCUGCAUUAUUAUAAAACAGUCGGAGAUAUUGCGCAAGUUUCCUAAAAUUAAAAACAACAAUUCUAUUGUUUUUUAUUUGGAGUUAGAGUGGAGCAAUGUCGUUUUGUUUUGAUUUAGGAAAAUAACGCAAAUAGUCAUUGAACUUUGGUCCAAUGUGUUAUGUUCUUAUUGAACUUUUAAUUUAUUUAGUAUGACUGUCGAACUUUUUAUACAUGUUUAAUUUAGAUCCUAGGCUAGAUAAAUCCAACGAUGCUGUGUUUGGUCGUUCGAACAUCUUUGCUGUAUGGGAUAAUGAAUGGAUGAAAAUCCCAUCUAAUAUUUCUUGACGUCUGGAUAUAGCAUGAUUCAAAAUAAAUCUUUUUUUUUUUAAAUGAGUGUUUGAUUUGUAUAAUUAAAAUUAAAAAUAAACCAUGGAAGUCGUGAAUAGUAUUCAUCCUUUCACAAUCUUCAUCGAUAUUAAACACCCCCGUUCCAUGUGACUUCAAGGACGCUCUCUCCUUCUGCAACGCCCCUUUCGCUGCCCUUGAUCAACUUGAUGGAUUACGCUCGCUCUACCUUUGACUUCGCCACAUUGAGAGGCCCUUGGGUUUGAGUUCUCCGCUGGUCUAGCCAUCUUUACUUCGAAUGCCUUUUCCUGCGAUGAAUCCAUCCCCUUCGACGAGUGCGAAUACUGCGUUGAUUCCCUGUUACCGUGCCCCGACUUGUUCAGUCGCUUCAACAGCUUCCCCCGAGACAGCGUGCGGAUCCGGUUUAUGAGUGGUAGCACCAUCGGUGCUACUCGCUCCGAGUGACGUGGUUGAAGAGCUCUAUCACCUUGGCUGCCGCCUCUUUCGGAUCAUCUUCUUCACAGAGAAGAUGUCCAGCUUUGAUCGGGAUCACAAAGUUCCCUACUAAAAUGGAGUUAAGUGACAUAAGAAAGAGGCAGGGCUGACGAGCUCCGACGCCACUUUUCCGAGGCAGCCAAAGGUGGUAAGCAGCUUGUCACUGGUAGGAGGAACGGUGGCCCUUAGACUUUGCUCAGGUCGUUGUGGCGAGGGCUUCUCUAGGUAUCUUCGCGAUACUCAUGCUCUAAGUUUGUGGUGGUCAUUUUAGUGAGAGAAAUUGAAACAAGAGAGAUGAUGCGGCACCGGUCAAAAGUGAGGAUAAGCCAUCAACAAGCGCAGGAGUGGGGGAAAAACUUGUAUCCCUUAUUUUUUUCAAUUUUCCAAAUUUCACAUAUCCUAUUUGGAUCUAUAUCACUUUCUAGAUGAGAUUUUUUAUCCGGACUAUAUCCAAAUUUCACGUUACUCUAAACACCGGAUAUGAUCAAACUUAUCAUAUCAGAGUUUUAUUCGGCCCAUCAAAGACAGACUUAUGAGAUAGAAUGCAAUGAUAUAAUCUAUGAAUUAGAUUAAACAUUUAUUAAAAGUUUAAGAAUAAUAUUUCACAUUUUGAUUGUUAGGAUGCACGAGUGAGUUAUGUUAAAACAAUCCCACAAUAUAUUGAUAGCUUUGUAAUAAGGCUUUCUCUUGGUGAUGACAUAGAUCCAUAUGGAGAAAUUAAUGGGAGGGUUUAUUUGGCCUAACUAAAUGGGAGGCUAUAUCAAUCGGAGCUUUUUCAUUGUAACAUUCCCUUGUGCUUGGUAUUUGUAUUUUAGUAAAAGGAUUUUGCUAGCAUAAUAAUCUUUGGGUUAUCAUGAGAAUAACAAUUUAUUAUGAUUUACAAAAUUUUAAAAUAGUAAACCUCAAUUCAAUUUUAAACUUUUUUUUUUCUAACUAAUUCAAUCCUAAAUAUUUUGCAUUUGUGACAAUUUAGUCUAUUCGGCCAUUUUUCGCCAAGAGGCAUUGAUGUGAACUUUGGCUGAUCGACCAAUGCUGACAUGGACAAUUUUUUUAAUAAUAUUUUAUUUUUCUUAUUUUUUAUUAAUUUUUUCUUUCUUUUUUUCUUCACUUCCUUCUCCUUCCUCCAGCCAGUCGGCAAGAGGCAAGGUUGGUGAGGGACCUUGCUGGCCUUGAGGAAGCUUGGCCAUGGUUGGGCAACCUUGCUCGUGGCUAGGCGACCUCGCCGAGGCCGCCGAUUGGGCUGGCGAGGGUUGACCCUCGUUGGCCAUAGGUCAGGACAAAGGCUGCUAGUUGGGCUUGCCCUUAUUGAAUCUGGUGAGGGUUGAGUCUCAUUGGCCAUGGGCAAGGUCAAAGGCCGCGACCUCUCGUGGUCUCUGGCGAGGCUUGCCAAAGGUUGAGCAAGGCUUACCCUCAUUGGACUGACGAGGGUUGAGCCUCGUCAGCCAAGAGCGAGAUCGUAACUUGCCCAUGGCCGGUGAGGCUCGCCUAGGCCAAAGACAGGCGGGGCCUUGCCUAACCAUGGCAAGGGUGGCCUCACCAUUGUUGGGUGAGGCUAGCCCUUGCCAGUGGCGUGUGGGGGUAAGCCUUGCCAUUGGUUGGCAAGGCUGACUUCACUGGCUUGAAUAAAAUAAAAUAUUAUUAAAAGAUUAUUCACAUCAAUAUUAGCCGAACGAGUGGUGCUCGUCGGCCAAAAUUGGCCGGAUGAAUUGAAUUAGUAUAAUUGCAAAAUGUUUAGGACUGAAUUGGCUAGAAAAAAAAAAGAUUUUAAGACUAAAUUAGAAAAAUUGCAAUAAGUUUAUGAUUGUUUUGGUAAUUUUUUCGUAUAAUAACCCUAGUAAAGAUGACUCACUUAAUUUGAGCGUCAAUAAAUCAAAGGUCACUUGUUUAGUUCUCACAACUUAUUUGUAAAUCACUUUAGAAGUGCAAAUCCAAUCAAUUUAUGAGCUUGCAAAAUGAGUCUCUAGAUAAACCAACUUUUGUAUUCGUGCUUCAGGAUUAUAAUAAAAUAUUAGAGGUUUUCAUCAGUGUAUCAUGAUAGGCUAGAUAGGGCGUUUUCUUUUGCACUUGUCAUACAUGAUCAUUUUGUAUCCUUUGAACUCAUGUUAUUUGUUGGUACUAGGUUGAGUGGUAAUAUGAUCUCCUACCUUAUACUUAGAUAUUUCAUUUAUUAGGCUUCGCCUCACUCCUUUUUUUCUUUUUUUUUCUUUUUUGUUGUAGGAUGAUUCCCCUAAAGAUGGUGACGGAGGGGCCGAGUUGAUAUCGGAAGCCAUUAAUCCUUGAGUUGGAUGGUAGUUUAGUUAGUAUGGAUGUAAUGGUAUUAGGUGACCCCGAUCUUUCCUAGGACUAUAAAAUUUUUUGUGAUAAUUACUAUCGAUAUUGUAUAAAGCCAAAGACACUUUUUUUUUUAAUAAACUCAUGCAUUUUUCUAGUAAAGGAUGUUGUGAAAACUUUAUUGUCUUUUCCAUGCGUAAUUAUAACUAUGAGUAUAAAUGGAAAUGACAUGUGCCGCAUGUGAUGUUCCAAGGCGUCACAUAAUCCCCAACACUCAAAUUAGGGUCCAUUAAGGCAGUGCUUAAAACUAUGAUGCUCAAGUUCUAUUCGGCAGCACUUAGGCUCGGGUCCAACAAGAUCGUGUGUCAGUCCUCAAUGCUCGGGCUCGGCUCGUUAGUUAAUAAAAUGUUGUUCUUAUAAAAAUAAUUCUUUUUAUUUUCAUUUUAUAUUCAUUUGUUUUCUUUCUUUUUCUUUCUCCUUCUUCUUGGCUGGUUGCCGACCAUGAUGACGAUUGCGCCUGAGAACAAGCGAGAGAUGAGCUAGCCCAAGGCCAAGAAGACUUGAGAUUGCUGAUUUGGCAAGCUUGAAGUUGGUUGAUCAAGUGACGCUAAAGCUCCCUAGCGUUGGGCAACCUCGAGUUUCACCUCAUGGCUAGUCGCCAACUACCACCGUGGCGAGCGAUCGGUUGAGGAAGAAGAAAAAUAAAAAUAAAAUUAAAAGAGAAAAUAACUAAAAAUCUGAAUAUUUUGGCAUUUUCUAUAGGGAAAUCAAAUCGAAAAAAUAUUUUCUAGUUUAUCUUUAGGACUUAACCAAAUAUUGGAAAUAUUAUUCAGAUAUGUCAUAUUUUUUGCGAAACAAACGGUGCGUAAAUAUUUAGAUUUGAUAAUUGUCCAUGUUAAUUAGGUACACAUUAUCUCACUCUUUGUUUCGUUGCCGAACUGAUGCUAAUCUCUAGACGAAGCUUGACUAGUCUCAACUCAAUAGGCGGCUUGACUUUUGCGCUUCCUUUUCUUCUUUUCUUUUUUCUUUUUAACUCAAAACACUCAAAACUUUCCUGGUACACGACUGUCGUCGUGUUACAAUCACUUUCAAUAAUGAUGGCCAUCCGAGCAAGAUGAGGGCGACUGGUCCCCCUAGAAAUUGUCAUGACGUUUGACUUUCAUGAAUUGAAAUGACUUUUCUCUGUCAAGGAGAAAAAUAGUUAACUAGUCAAGAUCGUGCCACAUCUCUCCAUCCAUGUCCUCCACAUCCGGCCCCACCAAUCGGACUCCCCGACAAAAAAAAUCGAGGACACGUGGCUGGAUCUAGAAAGUCACAGGUUCGACUUGUCUACUGUUAUCACUGUCCUUUUGCAAUAAUUUUUUUACACCCGUCUAGCUGUUGUGAGCUCCUCUGACAUACUAAUUGUGUGGAUAUGGUGAACUUGGGACCUUCUAUAAUCUGUCCAUAUUAAAAAUUUAAAAUGGACAAAUUCCGCCUCUCAUUGUGGAAUUCCACCCACAUUUCUCGCAAACUUUCAAACAUUAGUUCCAGGUCGUGCAUUCCAAUUGAGCCUUGUCUGGUCAAAUAUCAAAGUACUCUAGAGAAAAAUUUUAAAAAAAAUUGUAAAAAAGAGAGAGAAGGAAAACGAUUCAGCCUUAUAAUAACUUGCUAGGAACCACGUAGUUAAUUAGAGCAUCAAGAAAUUAGAGGUAGCUUGUGUAGUUCUCGCAAGUUACUUGUAAAUUGCUUUAGAAGUACAAACUUAAUUGAUUUAUGAGCUUGCACCAUAUUUUAUGAGUUUCUGAAUAACCAACUUUUGUAUUCAUGCAACUCACUCCGCUGUGACUGAGUUGGUUCGGACGUUCCCUCCUCUUCCAAUUGGGGGGAGGUUUGAGUCACCACGAUUGCAUUUGCGCAACUUAAGUGCGGCGCCAUGAGAGGUGGGUCCCCGUGCUAGCGUCACCGUGGGUUUACGUCGCCAGCUGCCGGUUGUACGGCGAUUCUCAAGUCAUAAAAAAAAAAGAAAAAAGAAAAUUUGUAUUCAUGCUUGUAGAUUAUAAUAAAAUAAUUGGUUGUGGUGGGCAAUUGAGAGUGACACCGUUUUCGCCUUUUAUUUUUUGUAAUAUGUGAAGUGUUGUUCUGUUUUUUGUUUUCGUCACCCUCCCACUUGUGCUAUAUUUGUUAGGUCUCCUCGCCAGGAGUUCGUCACUUUAUGUUAUUGACCUCUUAAUUAAAUACAACAAUACCUUCAAGGACUGCUCUUCAUAAAGGCGCGGAUUGGACGGCCGGUGACCGAGAUAGCAGCCUCCGCCCCUCCCUCGGUCUUGCCCUUUGCAUAACUUUUAGAAAACAUGCGUGAUUAGAGGAUCAAUAGUGACUUAAUUCUAACCCGUAUCGAUGUUACCCGUUUAGCAUCUCUUAGUAAAUGUAAAUAUUGUACGCGGAUGACAGCAUUUUGAAGAAUUUACAAUUGGUGUUCUUUUAUUAAAUAUGGUUGAUAUCAUGAAAAAUCUUAGAUUGAUACAUUUGCGACAAACUUAUCCCAAACUAUUUUUUUUACACAAAAACCGUAAACUAGUAUAUUUGUAAUUUUACCUAAAACUAUUUUUUUUUAUCGUCAAAAACCUCAAACUGAUAUAUUUGUAGCAAAAUUACUCUUUACUAACUAGUGUUAAAUUAUACUAAUAUGAAUUGGUACAUCUAUGACAAACGAAGGGUAAAAUCCUAAAUUGGUACACUCAUUAACUAUCAUAUGUCAUUUAACUCAGUAAUUUAAUAGUACAAUUUAAGGGAAAUUAACGGAGGGUCAAUUUGUCAUAGGUGUAUCGGUAUGAGAUUUUUGAUAGCAAAUGUAGGAGUUUUACAUGGUAUUAAACUCUAUUGCAUAUGAUCAAAAGUCCUAGUUUCUACUAUUUUUGUCGACACAAUACCUUAAAAAACCUCAAACUUAAGCUCUGAUCCUAAUUCUAUCUUUUGUGUUAUAAGACCUCCAACUUUAGAUCAUGUCCCAAUUCCACCCUAACAUACAUAUUUUAGAAAACCCCAUAUUUUAGUUAUAGUCCCAAUCUUAUCUAAACAUCUGUUAUCUCAUAAAAUCCCUCAAAUUUAGGUCAAGUACCAAUUCCAACCUAAACGUUAUUUUGUCUUAUAAAAAGAAUCCUAGCUUUAGGUCCAAUUUCAUUUUCACUUUUUUUUUUUAUCUCAUAAAAGAUUACCAACUUUUACUUGAGUCCCAAAUCCACUCUCCAUUAACCCUCCAUCAAAAUUGCCCUUAGUGAUUUUGUGCUCGGUUUUUGAUCUCGCGUGCUUGGAAAUAUUUCAUUUCUCUUGAACAACUUGUGCUUGAGGGUUUUCCAUCUCUCGAUGUCAGCAGGAAAUUUUGCACGAAGGGUUAAUGGUGGCAAAUAUGCGACUCAAGUAAAAAUUUAUAGUUUUUUCAUCAGACUAUAAAAAUUUUACGGUAAUAUUGAGAGUGGAUAGGCUUUUCAUAAGACAAGAAAAGGUUUAAGGUAGAAUUAGUAUAUUAUUUAAAAUUGAAUUGUGAAUGGCUAUAAAAUUAGUGAUUUUUUUUAUGAGAUAAAAGGUAAAAUUAGGAGAAAAGCUAAAGUUAGAGAGUUUUUUUUAGGGUAUCAAACCUAUUUUUGUCAAUCAUAUGAUGUCAACAUUAUCUUUGUUUUUGUUUUUCUUUCAAUUGUCCAUUUGGUCGGUUCUUUUCUAUUCUUAUUCUCAAACUUUUGCCUUGACUCAUUACAAGUGUGAGAAUUGAAACCACAUUUGAUACUAUAUUGUCCCCCGGUAGGCAUUCAAAACCCCCAUCUCCCGCUUCUCAUGUAAGUUAUGAAUGGAGCCUUCGUGUCGUGUCCGACACGCUCGAAGAUGCGGUCAAUACGUGUUCGAAAUCCGACACGUGAACAAUUCUUAUUGACACAUUCUAACACACAAGUCCGAGAGAGAGGAUCGUUGAAGAAAACAAUGGCAAGGGAGCGAAGGCAACGGCAAGGCCACGACGGUGAGAGAGGGCUAGAGGAAGAGUAGAGACCGAGAUGACCUAAAGAGAGGAUCGUGACUGCAAUGGAGGGCCGGUGGCGAGACUGCACCUAUGUAGGAGGAAGGGUUGGAGGUGAGGCGGCAAGCGAUUAUGACAAGGCAAUCAAGAGAGAGAAGAGAUUGAGAGGUGGAUGGUCGUGCGAGGAGGAGGGGAAGGCCAGGGCUAGGGUUUUUGAAGGGGGAAAAUCAAAAAAUUAAAAACAUGAUUUUGAUGGGACAUUAGGGUUGUGCAAGGAGGAGGGGAAGGCCAGGGCUAGGGUUUUUGAAGGGGAAAACUCAAAAAAAUUAAAAACAUGAUUUUGAUGGGACAUUGCUGUGAUUUCUCCUUUAUGGAGAGGGGGAGCGUGUCGGGAGGUGGAGGGGGAGGGCAGAUAAAUGAGGGAAAGAUGAGUGAAAUAAGUUUGUUGGGGGCACAAAAGGAGGGGUUGGUAGGACCUGAGCAAGUCCUUAGACUGCUCCGUCUGGUCGGAAAUAGCCCACGGACGUAAAAUGUGGGCAAUGUUAAUCGUGGGAGAUCAGACCACCCUGUGUAAGGAUCUCCUGGCUCAGAUUCCCGCGAUGCCUUUCUCCUAACAUAUUAGGCUGGGUACAGGAAAAUGAUGAGUGAAAUAAGUUUGUUGGGGGGGGGGGGCACAAAAGGAGGGGUUGGUAAGGGUUGGCAUGGACCCCAUGGAUUUUUAUUUUUUUUUAAUCAAAAAAAUAAAUAAGGAAGGCCAGAAAGUGGGGGAAGAAACUAUGGAAAGAGAGUGAAGUAAAUGUGGGGGUGAGGGUUGGGGUGGACCACGGGGGUCUUUUCUUAUCAGAAAAAUAAAUAAGAAAAACUAUAAGGUGAUUUCGGAAAAUGAAAGUGUUGAAUGUUGAAUAAUAAUAAAAUUUGAUAAUUGUAAAAGAUUAUAGAUUUAUUUAAAUAAGUUAAUUCUAAUUUUUCUUAAUCAUUAGUUUUAUCAAUAAUUUUUGUUAGAGUUAGAAAUAUGUUCGUAUGGAUGCUAUAUGGCAUAUGGAAAGGGUGGCCUCACUUCUGGCGUUUCAUGUAUGGAAAGAGUGAUUAUUAAUGGCGCAUUUGGUAACGUUUUUGUUUCGGAGGACAAUUUUUGAAUAGAAAUAGUUUUUUUUUUUGUUCUAGGGAAUAAUUUUUGAGUAUAAGAAUGUGUUUGGUAACUGCAAACAAUUUCUACUCUAAAAAUAGAAACGCGCUUGGUAAACUUGUAUAAUUUCUUUGUUUCUUUUAAUUUUUUAAUAUUUUUAAUAUUUUUUUUCUUUUUUUCUUUUUUCUUUUUCUCUUUGGUCGGUUGCUGGCUAUGGCGAUGUCCGUUGAGCCUUGUCCAGGCAACGCGAGGUUCGCCUCGUGCCGAUUGGGGAGGUCAAGGCCUCUUGGCUUUGUCUGGGCUAAGCGAGGUUGACCUUGCCCAGCCACCGGCGAGACUCGGCCUCGCUGGGCCACCGCUAGGCGACUCUGUCCUGGAGGUGGCUCGGCGAGGUCGAGCCUCAUGCGGCCAUGGCGAGGCUCGGCCUCUCUGGGGGCUAGCGACACUCCGGCGAGGUCGUCGGCUCUCGUCUAGCCAGUUGCCGGUGUCAACUAUGGCUAAGGCUGAUGACNNNNNNNNNNNNNNNNNNNNNNNNNNNNNNNNNNNNNNNNNNNNNNNNNNNNNNNNNNNNNNNNNNNNNNNNNNNNNNNNNNNNNNNNNNNNNNNNNNNNCGUCUGGUCGAAAACAGCCCAUGGACGUAAAAUGUGGGCAAUGUUAAUCGCGGGAGAUCGGACCACCCUGUGUAAGGAUCUCUCGGUUCAGAUUCCCGCGAUGCCCUUCUCCUAACGUAUUAGACUGGGUACAGGAAAAUGACGAGUGAAAUAAGUUUGCUGGGGGCACAAAAGGAGGGGUUGGUAAGGGUUGGCAUGGACCCCAUGGACUUUUAUUUUUUUAUCAGAAAAAUAAAUAAGGAAGGCUAGAAAGUGGGGGAAGAAACUAUGGAAAGAGAGUGAAGUAAAUGUGGGGGUGAGGGUUGGGGUGGACCACGGGGGUCUUUUCUUAUCAGAAAAAUAAAUAAGAAAAACUAUAAGGUGAUUUCGGAAAAUGAAAGUGUUGAAUGUUGAAUAAUAAUAAAAUUUGAUAAUUGUAAAAGAUUAUAGAUUUAUUUAAAUAAGUUAAUUCUAAUUUUUCUUAAUCAUUAGUUUUAUCAAUAAUUUUUGUUAGAGUUAGAAAUAUGUUCGUAUGGAUGCUAUAUGGCAUAUGGAAAGGGUGGCCUCACUUCUGGCGUUUCAUGUAUGGAAAGAGUGAUUAUUAAUGGCGCAUUUGGUAACGUUUUUGUUUCGGAGGACAAUUUUUGAAUAGAAAUAGUUUUUUUUUUUGUUCUAGGGAAUAAUUUUUGAGUAUAAGAAUGUGUUUGGUAACUGCAAACAAUUUCUACUCUAAAAAUAGAAACGCGCUUGGUAAACUUGUAUAAUUUCUUUGUUUCUUUUAAUUUUUUAAUAUUUUUAAUAUUUUUUUUCUUUUUUUCUUUUUUCUUUUUCUCUUUGGUCGGUUGCUGGCUAUGGCGAUGUCCGUUGAGCCUUGUCCAGGCAACGCGAGGUUCGCCUCGUGCCGAUUGGGGAGGUCAAGGCCUCUUGGCUUUGUCUGGGCUAAGCGAGGUUGACCUUGCCCAGCCACCGGCGAGACUCGGCCUCGCUGGGCCACCGCUAGGCGACUCUGUCCUGGAGGUGGCUCGGCGAGGUCGAGCCUCAUGCGGCCAUGGCGAGGCUCGGCCUCUCUGGGGGCUAGCGACACUCCGGCGAGGUCGUCGGCUCUCGUCUAGCCAGUUGCCGGUGUCAACUAUGGCUAAGGCUGAUGACUGGCAAAAGGAAGAAGAAGAAGAAGAAGAAGAAGAAAAGAAAGAGAAAAUAGAAGAAGAAAAAUGAUAAGAAAAAAAAGUGUUUUUCGAAAGUGUUCUCGAGAAUAAGAAAUAAGUUUUUUUUUUUAAUUUCUUAUUUUUGUUCCAAAGUUGCUCUCACAAUAAAAAAAAAAGACCAGAAUAAAAGUAUAAACAAAUGAGUUUCUAUUCUUUUUUGGUUCUCUGGAACAAAAUAAUAAAAAUUUAUAUUCCAGGAAAAAAAAAUAAUUUUAAACGAACACACCCUAAGAUAUCUUUUGUAUUCCGGGGAAGUAGUUCAAUUGACGUGAGCCCGUGCGUCUUCCCUACAUGGGAAGGGUCGUCACUGGGUCUCAUCUGACCUAAGCAAGUGCGUCUUCACAGCUUUUACCGCUCCCCUCCUACACUUCGUAGCUACCGCCACUCCCCUCCUAUAAAUCUCGGCUCGCCCGACGCCUUCGCCAUCGUCUCGGUGCAGUGCAGGGAACGAGCGAGCUCGAGCUAGACGACGGCAAUGGCGGCUUCGACGACGACGGUGAGGAGGAUCAAGCUGGGGUCGCAGGGCCUCGAGGUGUCGGUGCAGGGGCUGGGCUGCAUGGGCAUGUCCGCCUUCUACGGCCCUCCCAAGUCCGACACCGACAUGAUCGCCCUGAUCCACCACGCCGUUGGCUCCGGCGUCACCUUCCUCGACACCUCCGACAUCUACGGCCCCCACACCAACGAAACCCUCCUCGGAAAGGUCGGUUCUCUCUCAGUCUCUGUUUUGCCUCCGCAUGAAUUAUAUGUGCUUAUAGUGUUACGGAAUUUAGCUUCAUCGAGCAGAGUGCUCUGAUCCUGCGCCUUGGUUUUCUGAUUUCGGGGUUGAUUUUGAGCAGGCACUGAAGGGAGGGGUGAGGCAGAAGGUGGAAUUGGCGACCAAGUUCGGAAUCAGCUUCGCGGACGGGAAGAGGGAGGUCCGGGGCGAUCCGGCGUACGUGAGGGCGGCUUGCGAGGCCAGCUUGAAGCGGCUUGACAUCGAUUGCAUCGACCUCUACUACCAACAUCGCAUCGACACUCGCGUCCCCAUCGAAGUCACUGUAUGGAUCCCCCAUCAAACUUUCACCUCGCUUGAGACUUUCUCCGAGCCAUAUGAUUAGUUGCUAAGUUAGAUUGGUGUUGAUGAUGCAUCGUCAUGUUGUUACAAGUUUGUUGAAAUUUGUUAAAUGACACUUAAGUUCGGCUGAUAGCAGAGUUCAAGAUGCGGCACGUUGUUGUUCAAGGGGUUGUGGAAUUUAGUAGUUUAGUGGCUUGAGUUUUCGUUUUGUGGGCAUCUUUUACAAGUUAAGGGUCAACAAGCAUGAAAAUUAUUCAAAAUCUUCCUUUGAGAUGAAAGUGCUCCAGGGUUCAUCCAGAAUUUAUAUACGGGAAUCACAUAUAAAGUUGUUCCUGGACUUUAUGUGGAGACAUUUGAUUCUUGACAUAUUGUGAAAUAUGACAAGUACUUGGAAUACUUCUUUUAUUUGCUCUCUUCUGUGAGAGAUUCAAGAAAUCAACCUCCGUUAACUCAAUACCUUGUGACUUUUUUGUCGCAUUGAGAUGCAUGAUAAUAGAGGGAUCUAGACGCAUAAAAAGCUAAUGACAUGCAUAAUUUUCUGGAUCUUAACAUGUAAGAUCUUGAUGUUGUUGUUCUGUCAUGUGAAUAUGCACAGAUCGGAGAGCUAAAGAAGCUCGUUGAAGAAGGUAAGAUAAAGUACAUCGGUUUAUCCGAGGCCUCUGCAUCAACAAUCAGAAGAGCACAUGCUGUUCAUCCCAUCACAGCAGUGCAAUUGGAGUGGUCGCUUUGGUCAAGAGAUGUGGAGGCAGAGAUCGUUCCAACGUGCAGGUAGGAUAUCACUCUGUUAAUUGUUUAUGCAGCAACAACAGCUUCCUUCUGACUCUGCUUUUCCUUUAAAAUGCUGACUAGGGAGCUUGGCAUUGGAAUUGUUGCCUACAGUCCUUUAGGACGAGGAUUCUUUUCUGUUGGCUCCAAGUUGGUGGAGAAUAUCUCUAAGGAUGACUUCAGACAGGUCUGUUCCUGCUUGUCAACAUAAUUAGAUGUUUACAUUGACUGUCAUUCUUAUUGAAGUGCUGGAAACCUGUUCUUGUGGUAUAAAGAAAAAGUAUCUGGAUGGGAUGAAUAAAACUUGGUGACACGAAUGCUUCGUGUUCUUAUAUGUCUUUAAUCCAGCACUUGCCAGACAUCCCACCUCUCUUGAUUCUAGAUAAAUGUAAAAUCACAAGUAACGGCUUUAAUGAGCCUGAAAGAGGCAGUUUCCUGGAUUCUCGUGCUUUUGGGAAUGAAUACAUAUAGGUUUAUAUGUAAGUUGCUCUGUUUCCCAGCCUUCCCAACAUUUGCUUAUCACUAUCCUUUCCCCACUUUCCACCCACCCUUUUUCUCUCAUCUUUCUUCACAAGAAUAGCGAUAUUUCCUCGAAAUAACUGACGCCAGUAUCGGGCUUUGGCCCUCCGUCCUUUUUCAUUCUCAUCUUUCUUCACAAGAUAAACUAUAUCUUGACACAACCAUUUCUUGAGCGCGGACUCCCGACACCCUUCUUAUGAGAGUUUUGGAUCAAGUUCCCAUCUGACAUAAAGCCAAUUGUGUAUUACUCCCCGCCAUUAGCGUUUGACUAGCGAUAGUGCUGGGCAAGUGAAGUAGCUAUUUUUCUUUGUAGCUAAAAGAGCUCUGCGUCUGAUAACAUUCUUCUACUCAUCAUCUACAUUUCUGAUUUUUUAUUUUAUGUGACUAAUGGUAUCAUCACACGUACAAAACUUAGAUUGUCGAGUUUGUUUCUGUUUUCACAUCCUACAUCAAGCCCAUCAGCCUUGUGUGGUAGUUGCUAGAUCACUUCGCUUGACGUUUCUAAUGCUUAUGAUUUGGGACAUGAUAUUUUAAUCAUUUCAAGAUAAUUUAUAACUGAUCAUGCUUUUUCAGAUACACAACGAUUGCACACUUCUAAAUGCUUAUUAUGUCAAGUAACAAGACAAUCCGAUGGCAUGCAAUGCAACCACUUUUGCACUUGUUGCUGUAGAAUUUAGCCUUAAGAGGAAAAUGAUAAUUUCUCAUAUGCUCUCUGCUGAGACAUUGCUCUAUGUUAUGCAGUAUCUACCAAGGUUCCGGCCAGAGAACUUGGCUCACAACACGAAGUUAUUUGACCGAGUGAAUGAAAUUGCGCAAAGAAAGGGAUGCACCACAUCGCAGUUAGCCCUGGCCUGGGUACACCACCAGGGUGACGACAUUUGCCCGAUUCCCGGCACAACCAAGAUCGAGAAUUUCAACCAGAACAUUGGAGCUCUGUCAGUGAAGCUUACACCGGAAGAGAUGGCCGAGCUUGAAUCGAUUGCUUCUGCGGACAAUGUCAAGGGUGGCAGGUACGAUGGAAGCAUGUCUACAUGGGAAAACUCCGACACUCCACCCCUUUCUUCUUGGAAACCUGCCUAGAAGCGUGUCUGCUUCUGUUGCUGCAUCUUUGAUGUGCAGAGGUUGAGCAUUUGCCGCUGAAGUAAUUUGAGUUUAUGUUGUGUGGCUGUUAUAAGUAUGUGUAAUAAGAGAGUGACUGUUUUCAUUUUGUACAUGUGACAUUCACUAUGAUAAGAUUAUGGAUGUGUACUAACCUUACUGGGGAAAGAUCACUCGAUAAACACGAGAGCGAGUUGAAUACGAACUGAGCCUGCCGUGUCGACUUUAUUGGGGUGACUUUUAGAAUCUGAGAAAUCGGGAUUUUGAAGAAUUCAAACUCAGUCGUACAUACUAGAGUGGUAUUCUCCACCAACCAUGAGUUCAAUCUCUUAAGACUGGAUGCUGCACAUAGAUGCAAAGCUUCGCUUUGUGUUUGGUUUGGUAGCGAAGUUAAGGAACAGUAAAAUGUUACCGGAUGUUCUCGCGAAAACGAAGUUGGGGAUAAAAUGCUGGCGCGGAUGAUAUGAGCGUCGGGGAAAUCGAGGGUUUCUUGUUCAAGUUUCACCACCUACGGUUCAUGAGCUUUUAUGUAGCUCGAUACCUUCGCUCAAUGCCUCUGCAUUAUUAUAAAACAGUCGGAGAUAUUGCGCAAGUUUCCUAAAAUUAAAAACGACACUUCUAUUGUUUUUUAUUUGGAGUUAGAGUGGUGCAAUGUUGUUUUGUUUUGGUUUAGGAAAAUAACGCAAAUAGUCACUACACUUUGGUCCAAUGUGUUAUGUUCUUACUGAAUUUUUAACUUGUUUAAUAUGGUUGUCGAGCUUUUUGUAUAUGUUUAAUUUAAAUCCUAGGCUAGAUAAAUCCAAUGAUGCCGUGUUUGGUCGGUUCGAAGAUCGUUGCUAUAUGGGAUAAUGAUAGGAUAAAAAUCCCAUCUAAUAUUUCUUGACGUCUGGAUAUAACAUGAUUCAAAUAAUUUUUUUUUUAAACGAGUGUUUGAUUUGUAUAAUUAAAAUUAAAAAUAAACCAUGGAAGUCGUGAAUACUAUUCAUCCUUUCACAAUCUUCAUCCAUAUCAAGCACCCCCGUUCCAUGUGACUUCAAGGACGCUCGCUCCUUCUGCAACACCCCUUUCGCUGCCCUUGAUCAACUUGAUGGAUUACGCUCGCUCUGCCUUUUGACUUCGCCACAUUGAGAGGCCCUUGGGUUUGAGUUCUCCGCUGGUCUAGCCAUCUUUAUUUUCAACGCCUUUUCCUGCGAUGAAUCCAUCCCCCUCGACGAGUGUGAAUGCCGCGUUGAUUCCCUGUUACCGUGCUCCGACUUGUUCAGUCGCUUCAACAGCUUCCCCCGAGACAGCGUGCGGAUCCGGUUUAUGAGUGGUAGCAGCAUCGGUACUACUCGCUCCGAGUGACGUGGUUGAGGAGCUCUAUCACCUUGGCUGCCGCCUCUUUCGGAUCAUCUUCUUCACAGAGGAGGUGUCCAGCUUUGAUCGGGAUCACAAAUUUCCCUACUAAAAUGAAGUUGAGUGACACAAGAAAGAGGCAGGGCUGACGAGCUCCGCGAUACUCAUGCUCAUGCUCUAAUUUUGUGGUGGUCAUUUUAGCGAGACAAAUUGGAACAAGAGAGAGAUGAUGGUGGCACUGGUCAAAAGCGAGGAUAAGCUAUAAAAAGCGCCCCGCCGCCCGGGGGGGGGGGGGGGGGGGGGGGGGGGGUCAGUUUUUCAAAUUUCACAUAUUUUAUCUGGAUUUAUAUCACUUUCUAGAUGUGAUUUUUUAUCCGUGCUAUAUCCUAAUUUCACAUUACUCUAGACACCAUAUAGGAUUAAACUUAUCAUAUUAGAGUUUUAUCCAGCCCUUCAAAUGCAGUCUUAUGAGAUAGAAUGCAAUGAUAUAAUCUGUGAACUAAAUUUAAACAUUUAUUAAAAGUUUACGAACGGAAUUUCACAUUUUGAUUGUUAAGAUGCAUGAGUGAGUUAUGUUAAAAUAAUCACACAAUAUAUUGAUAGCUUUAAAAAUGGGCUUUCUCUUGGUGAUGACGUUGAUCCAUAUAGAGAAAUUAAUGAGAGGGUUUAUUUGGCCUAACUAAAUGGGAGGCUAUAUCAAUGGGAGGUUUUUCAUUGUAACAUUCCCUUGUGCUUGGAAUUUGUUUUUUAGUAAAGGAUUUUAUUAGCGUAAUAAUAGUCUUUGGGUUAUUAUGUGAAUAACAAUUUAUUGUGAGUCACAAAUUUUUUAAAGUAAUGAACCCCAUAAUAAUUUCAAUUAUUUGUUACUUGAUUUUUUGUAGUUUAGAAUAAAAAUUAUCACCAAGUUAUUUCUUUUUAACAAAUAUAUUGCUCUAACUGUUGUUUUCAAUUAAGUUUGCAUCGGAGAAGAGAUUAUUUUGUUUUGCUACGCUUGUCGGAUAUUGCACAGGAUAUUGUCAUUUUCUUAGCACUAGCAACGUUGCGUUCAGACAAGGCGGCAUGGAAUUAUUUGCUCAGCUGCACAUCACACGACCAUACAUUCAUGGACUGUUCCUCAGGAAAGCAUAUAGACAUGUGGCAGAUGCAGAACAUUUCACGAGAUUAAAAAAAAGAAAAUAAUUUUUAAAAAACAAUACUUUCGACUUCAAAACGUGCCAAUCGAACGCCUGCUACUCCCGCCUAUAAAGCUCGGCUCACCCAACGGCUUCGUUGUCGUCUCGAACUGUCCAUUCUCCAUUCUCUGUUCUUGCAUCGACCUCGAGCUAGACGAUGGUGGCAAUGGCGUCGUCAGACGGUGAGGAGGAUCAAGUUGGGGUCGUAGGGUCUCAAGGUCUCGGCGCAGGGGCUGGGCUUGCAUGGGCAUGUUGGAAGAUAUGCGGAUUGCCUGAUUUGAUUUGAUCUUAAUUGAUCAUGAUUAAUCACGAUCUUCAUGUAUAUGUAAAUUAAAAAUUAGAUCUAGAUCUCGAUUGAUAAUCCAGAUCAUUUACUUCCUUAUUCAAGAUAGAGCUUGUAUUAUAUCUCUGCAAAAUUGUACAUUCAGAUUGUAAUAGUGAUAAUACAGAAAAAUCUCCCCACAUCGAUUCCCAUUUUCCUCUCCAAACUUCAUCCGUUCUUCCUUCACUCUUGCCUUCUUUCAUGGUAUCAGAGCAGCUUUGAUCUCUGACUCGCUUCCGUUCCAAACCACUGCUGAAGAAAAUUCUCAACCUGCAAAAGGGUUGAUCUUUCGGCAUUAGGCAUACUCUCGAAGGAAGAAAUUUAAAUUAUCUUACUAUGGCCUCUCCGCAGGACUCCAGUCUGGCUGCUGACGACAGGACCACCGAAGAAAGUAGUCCUCAAGCUCCACAGAUCCAGAAUCUCCCUGCAGUAAUACCAGUAUCCACCCAACCCCAGCAGUGGCGGCCCACGCAGGCUCAGUUUCAAUUGGGGCAACCCACGACGGGUCAACCAUACUAGUGGAUCCCCUAUCCACUCUAUUUUGGGCCAAGCCCAAAUUUCUCAUCGCCUUUUUUCGUGGGCCACCAGAAUCACAAUGGAGGCCCGCCAGCCACGAAUGGGGCAAGCCCAUCCAUCGCGAGAGAGCAGACGGGCGGUUCAAGCGAAUCGGGUACGGGGCAUAAUCCCUACCCGGGACAUGUCAAUGCGGGGUAUCUAGUUGGAUUGAGCGAAUCGGGUCAAGGGACGAAUCCCUACCCGAAUUUCGCACCGGGUUUUCUGUCCAUUCCAGCGGCGGCGUUCACUGGGCGACUAGAAAUAGGCGAUCCUCUGUUUGUCUCCACCGCUGACGGAUCGGAGCUUUGACUGAUAAACCAGCAACUAACCGGACUAGAGACCUAUUCGAAGUGGUCACAGGAGCUCCGGCGGGCAUUGGUGACAAAAGACAAAGACGGAUUUCUCGAUGGGACAAUUUCCAUCCCCUCCGAUGAACGCCUAGCCGGACACUGGCGGAAAUGCAAUCAACUCGUCCGAAUGUGGAUCAGAAAUUGCAUAUCCCCAGAAGUCAUGGCUGGGCUUCCACCCACAGAGGAUGCCAAAACCAUGUGGGAAAACAUUCGAGAAAUAUACGGUAAAAUGGAUCAAGCAAAAGUUUUUAAUCUUAUGCAGGAAAUUAGCGAACUCAAACAGGGAAAUUCGACGGUCACGGCCUGCUUCAACAGGCUAUCGUCCCUCCUGAAUCAACUCGAAGCAGUAGAAGAAAAGCUCGAAGGGCCAGAAUCUACCCUCAAGCAGUACAAACAAAUCAAAGAGAGAGAAAAAGCCACGCGAUUCUUGCUGAUUUUAAACGAAUCGUACCUCACGUUUCGGUCACAGAUCCUUGUCAUGGAUCCCAUGCCACCGAUCGGACGUAUUUACAAACUGGCGAUGCAGGAGGAGAGUCAGCGACUCACAAUCACGAACAACGGUGAGAGCAUCGCUCUGGCUGCCCGCGGAGAGGGGAGAACCCUAACCCUAGCUCGUGAAAAUGAAAAGAAAAGCCCUUUAGGGUUCGACGAGCUCGAUUCGCGCGGGCUUAAAAGGGAUGGGAUGAACGGCCAGGAUUACAUGCAAGGAUCGAGCGGCUUAGAUUACUCCCGAAAAUAUGACGGCCCAGAUUACGCAUGGAGAUCCGACGGUCGUCAAGGAAUCGAAAUUGCGCCUGGAUUGGACGGUGGACAGCAGAUCGCGAUCAAAGGAACGGACGGCCAGAUCUUCACCACGUCAUCAAAGAAUUUCGCAAAUUUUUUUAAAGGAAAGGGGUAAAUUUUUUUGCGAUUAUUGCAAACGUACUAAUCAUACCAUUGACAGUUGCUGGAAAUUACACGGGAAGCCGGGAGAAAAGGAGAAAAAAAUUUCCACAGCUUAUCAAGUCACUGGACCAGCUGGUCCAAAAAUUGACCAGCCAAUCUCAUAUGGUCAAUAUCAGCAACUCAUGCAAAAACUACAGAAGAUGGAAAUUUCCAACAAAGGGGGCAAUUUCUCAGGUAUUUCACAUUGCCUAAUUAAUUCCAUUUCCAGGAAGGCGUGGAUUAUAAUUCUGGGGCAAGUGACCAUAUUAUACGCGACAAGGGAUUUUUUUUUCAAAUAUAAAUGAAAGUUUGAAUUUUCCUGUCUCCGUACAAUUACCCAACGGAAAUGUUACUCAUGUCAAAGUGAUAGGAACAGUGAAUCUCAGUCCUCAGAUUAUUCUCUAGAAUGUGCUAUAUGUCCCAGAAUUCCAAUUCAACCUCAUAUCUGUGUCUCAAGUCUGCAAAGAGAACUCAUGCCGGGUAAUAUUCAAUGCUGACACAUGUUUAUUUCAGGCCCUUUCGACUGGAAGACAGAUGGACUUGGGUAAUCUUUCUGAAGGACUCUAUUUCUGGACGAGUUUUCCAAGUAAUUUCAAUUUUCCAUGCAAUUCCUUGAAUAAAAAAUCAUUGUGUAAUUCAACUGCCAAUGAUAGAAAUUUGACUAUGCAUAUGAGAUUGGGUCACAGUGCUUCAUUUUCAUAUCAUGAAUGUCUUAUAUGUCCCCUUGCAAAGCAAUCUCGCACACCAUUUUCUUCUAGUACUUCACGGACUAGUCAAAUAUUUGCAUUACUUCACGUGGACAUUUGGGGACCUUAUCAUACAGUCAAUCAUGAUGGCUCCCGUUAUUUUCUUACGAUAGUAGAUGACUAUUCUCGGGCAACAUGGAUCUUCCUAAUACAAUAAAAAAAUUAGGUCUAUUCUCACCUGAAAAAUUUCAUUAUGCUAUCUAAGAACCAAUUCAGGAAAUCCAUUCAGCGGAUUCGCACAGAUAACGGGAGAGAAUUCUUCAGUCAUGAAUGCUCCCAGUUAUUCAAUUCUCAUGGUAUUCGACACGAAAGUUCCUGCAUUUACUCACCACAACAAAAUGGAGUGGUUGAAAGAAAGCAUCGCCAUCUACUGGAAGUGGCUCGUGCCUUGAAAUUUCAAGCAUCAAUUCCAGAAAGAUAUUGGGGUGACUGUGUCACCAUAGCAGCUUAUCUUAUUAAUAGAAUGCCUACUCGGAUUCUUAAUGGACAGAUGCCAUUCGAGCUGUUAUUUGGGAAGAAACCGGACUUGAAUCAUCUCAAGAUCUUCGGAUGUCUCUGCUAUGCUGCAAUCAUGGGGCCUCGAGAUAAAAUGAGCCCAUGUGCGCGGCGAUGCGUCUUUAUGGGAUAUCCCAAUCUCCAGAAGGGGUAUCGGGUGCUUGAGAUUUCCACAGGAGAAUUCAUAGUAAGUCAUGAUGUCAUUUUCCAUGAAACUACUUUUCCAUUUUAUGAAGGGGAAUCUUCACAUGGAGAUCCAAAGAUAACUUCCAGCCAUCAUAAUUUUCUCAAUGAUGAAGCACCAUACCGGGAUCUUUCCUAUGUACCAAUAGUACAGCCGAGGGAUCCUAUUCUUCCUACAGUCCCAGUUCUACAAGAUUCUAAUGGAAAUUCGAAUUCUUCAGAACAUAUUCAGGGAGAUAUCUUGGAGGAACCCAUUGCUGAUGCAGAAGUUGAUGACACUACAACAACUUCAUUACCAGCAACAUCACAGCCCACCACCGAAGCUGGACAUCCUAGGAGGUCUGAACGAGCUACAAGACCACCAACCCGGACGAAAGAUUAUGUCUGUACUACUCACAACUCUCCAAGUAUUCAGUAUCCAGUCUCUUCAUAUGUUUCCUUUGAUAGAUUGUCUCAAGAACAUAGAUGUUGUAUUAGUCGAUUGUUUGAAGAGAAAGAACCGUCCAGUUAUAAAGAAGCCUCCAAUAACCCAAAAUGGCAAGAGACCAUGAAGGCAGAAUUGAAGGCCCUUACUGAUAAUCAUACAUGGGAUCUUGUUCCAUUACCAGCUCAUCGUAAACCAAUUGGAUGCAAAUGGGUUUACAAAAUCAAGUAUCGGGCUGAUGGCUCCAUUGAACGGUACAAGGCAAGAUUGGUAGCUAAGGGGUUCACCCAAAGAGAAGGUUUUGACUACCACGAGACGUUCUCACCAGUUGCCAAAGAUGUUACAGUCCGUUCAUUCUUAGCUGUUGCUGCCAUCAAUGACUGGCACCUACACCAGAUGGAUGUCCAUAAUGCUUUUCUCCAUGGCAAUCUAGAUGAAGAGAUCUACAUGAAUAUUCCUCAAGGCAUACAGAGACAGGGGGAUAAUAAGGUGUGUCGUCUCCGUAAAUCCCUUUAUGGAUUAAAACAGGCAUCCGGACAAUGGUAUGCUAAAUUUGCCAGUGCUCUUACAACAGCAGGCUUCAAGCAAUCCAAGCAUGAUUAUGCUCUGUUCUAAAAAACUAAAGGUAUGUCAUCUAUCUAUUUGAUGAUUUAUGUCGAUGACAUACUUGUUAUGGGAAAUGAUAGAGCCUCUAUAGAGAAUUUCAAGGAAUAUUUGCAUGCUACCUUCCAUAUUAAAGACUUAGGAGCACCAAAAUAUUUCCUUGGAAUCGAAGUUGCUCGAUCUGACAAGGGAAUUUCCCUUAGUCAGCGGAAGUUCAUUCUAGAAAUCAUAUCAGAAGUAGGUCUAUUAGGAUGCAAGCUAGCUGUAAUUCCUAUAGAGCAAAACACUAAGUUGACCAUCGCAGACUAUGAUAAGGGAAUAUUUCGAAAUGAUGAUUCCUUACUCAGUGAUCCGUCAGGCUAUCAAAGACUUGUUGGGAAACUUAUAUACCUGACAAUGACUAGACCUGAUAUCUUAUAUGCGGUUCAGACACUUAGCCAGUUUAUGCAUCAACCAAAGCGUUCUCAUUUGGAUGCAGCCUUAAAGGUCGUUAAAUAUCUCAAGAAAUGUCCGGGGCUAGGGAUACUUCUCUCUAAGGAAUGUGACAUGAGGAUGACAGCAUAUUGUGAUGCAGACUAUGCAACAUGUCCGAUUAGUCGAAGAUCUGUUACUGGAUAUUGCAUUAAAUUGGGAGGAUCUCUUCUAUCUUGGAAAACCAAGAAACAAGCUACUGUGUCUCUGUCCUCAGCCGAAGCAGAAUAUCGAGCUGUGGCCAAGGCCACUUGUCAAGUAGUUUGGAUGCGAGGAUUACUCAAGGAUCUUGGAGUAGAAGUGCAAGGACCCACAAGGUUAUAUUGUGAUAAUGAUACAGCUCUUAAACUUGCAACUAAUCCUAUAGUACAUGAAAGAACCAAGCAUAUAGAAGUGGAUUGUCACUUCACACGGGAAAAGAUCCAGGAAGGAGUAAUUGAGACGAGGAAUUUGGACAACGGAGCAACCAGUAGACUUGUUCACCAAGCCCCUAUGUCAGAGGCAACAUGCAUAUCUAUUAAAAAAGCUAGGCGUCUUGGACAUCUACAAGCCACCAGCUUGAGGGGGAGUGUUGGAAGAUAUGUGGAUUGCCUGAUUUGAUUUGAUCUUAAUUGAUCAUGAUUAAUCACGAUCUUCAUGUAUAUGUAAAUUAAAAAUUAGAUCUAGAUCUAGAUUGAUAGUCUAGAUCAUUUACUUCCUUAUUCAAGAUAGAGCUUGUAUUAUAUCUCUGCAGAAUUGUACAUUCAGAUUGUAAUAGUGAUAAUACAGAAAAAUCUCCCCACAUCGAUUCCCAUUUUCCUCUCUAAACUUCAUCCGUUCUUCCUUCACUCUUGCCUUCUUUCAGGGCAUAUCUACUUUGCCGGCCCUCCCAAGCCCAACCCCGACACGAUCGAGCUUGUCCACCACGCCGUUGAAUCUGGCGUUGCCUUCCUCGACACCUCCGACAUCUAUGGCCUUAACGCCAAGGAAGUCCUCCUUGGAAAGGUCGGUAUUUAUUUUGUAGAUAUAAUUGAAGAUCUUGAUCGUGACGCCAAUCCUAAUUGCGGACUAAUUGAUUUGGUCAAUUUGUGAUUGUUUAGUGAAUAUGGAAAUUUUUGUAAUUCUUUAUAUAUUAUUUCAUUUUUUCUCUUUCAUUCUUACACUAUAAAUAGACCAAUGAACUAAUAUACAGAUCAAUCAAUAUACAACAAAAUUUUCUUCAUUUUCUCUUUUGUUUUCUAUUAUGUUAUCAGUGUCAUUCUUCCUCGCCUAGCUUCCCAUAUCUUAGAGUUGCCUUUCUUUUUUUCUUUGUUUUUUUUUUUUUUUUGGUUAUUGCAAGUCCUCAUCCUGCAAUACAAAUCAGCAAAUCGAUUAGGAAUUCAAUUUUUUUUUUCAAUACCAAGGCAAAAAAUAAGAACACUGAGAGCUCCAUGAUAGAGGAGACACCUACCUCACCUCAAAAUCAAGCCCCAUCGCCGUCGGAUUCGAUUAUGAUUUGGGACAAUAUAUUUUAAUCAUUUCGAGAUAAUCUUUAACUGAUCAUGCUCUUCCAGAUACACAGCAAUUGCGCACUUCCAAAUGCUUAUUAUGUCAAGUAACAUGACAAUCUGAUGGCAUGCAACGCAACCAAUUUUGCACUCGUUGAUGUAGAAUUUGGCGUUAAAAGGAAAAUGAUGGUUGCUCGUAUGCUCUCUGCUUAGACAUUGCUUUAUGUUAUGAAGUACCUACCAAGGCUGCGGCCAGAGAACUUGGCUAAUGCAAAGUUAUUCGACCAAGUGAAUGAAAUUGCACAAAGAAAGGGAUGCACCCCAUUGCAGUUAACCCUCGCCUGGGUACACCACUGGAGUGAUGACGUUUGCCCGAUUACCGGCACGAUCAAGAUCGAGAAUUUCAACCAGAACAUUGGAGCUCUGUCAGUGAAGCUUUCGCCAGAAGAGAUGGCCAAGCUCAAAUCGAUUGCUUAUACGGACAAUGUCAGGCGUGAGAAUUAAAACCACAUUUGAUACUAAAUUAUGCCUAGGUAGGAAUUCAAAACUCCACCUCCCGCUUUUCAUGUGGGAAGGUUGGCCCCACCUCGCGCUUAUGGAAAGAGUAAUCACGAAGACAUCACAAUAGUUCAAUUGACGUGAGCAGGUACGUCUUCCCUACAUGGUAAGGGUCGUCACUGGGCGUGCAAUUGACGUAAGCACGUGCGUCUUCACAGCCACUACCGCUCCCCUCCUACUCAUCGUAGCUUCUGCCACUACCCUCCUAUAAAUCUCGGCUCGCCCGACGACUUCGCCAUCGUCUCGGUGCAGUGCAGGGAACGAUCGAGCUCGAGCUAGACUACGGCAAUGGCGGCAUCGACGACGACGGUGAGGAGGAUCAAGCUGGGGUCGCAGGGCCUGGAGGUGUCGGCGCAGGGGCUGGGCUGCAUGAGCAUGUCCGCCUUCUACGGCCCUCCCAAGUCCGAGCCCGACAUGAUCGCCCUCAUCCACCACGCCGUCGGCUCCGGCGUCACCUUCCUCGACACCUCCGACUUCUACGGUCCUCACACCAACGAAAUCCUCCUCGGAAAGGUCGUUCUCUCAGUCUCUCUUUUGCCUCUGCAUGAAUUAUAUAUGCUUAUGGUUUUACGGAACUUAGCUUCAUCGAGCAGGAUGCUCUGAUCCUGCGCCUUGGUUUUCUGAUUUCGGGGUUGAUUUUGAGCAGGCACUGAAGGGAGGGGUGAGGCAGAAGGUGGAAUUGGCGACCAAGUUCGGAAUCAGAUUGGCGGACGGGAAGAGGGAGAUCCAGGGCGAUCCGGCGUACGUGAGGGCUGCUUGCGAGGCCAGCUUGAAGCGGCUCGACAUCGAUUGCAUCGACCUCUACUACCAGCACCGUAUCGACACUCGCGUCCCCAUUGAAGUCACUGUAUGGAUCCCUUAUCAAACUUUCACCUCGCUUGAGACUUUCUCUGAGCCAUACGAUGCAUCGUCAUGUUGUUACAAGUUUGUUGAAUUUUGUUAAAUGACACUUAAGUUCAGCUGAUAGCAGAGUUCAAGAUGCGGCACGGUGUUGUUCAAGGGUUGUGGAAUUUAGUAGUUUAGUGGCUUGAGUUUUCGUUUUGUGGGAAUCUUUUACAAGUUAAGGGUCAACAAGCAUGGAAAUUAUUCGAAAUCUUCCUUUGAGAUGAAAGUGCUCCGGGGUUCAUCCUGAAUUUAUAUACGGGAAUCACAUAUAAAGUUGUUCCUGGACUUUAUACGGAGACAUUUGAUUCUUGACAUAUUGUGAAAUAUGACAAGUACUUGGAAUACUUCUUUUAUUUGCUCUCUUCUGUGAGAGAUUCAAGAAAUCUACCUCCGUUAACUCAAUUCCUUGUGGGUUUUUUGUCGCAUUGAGAUGCAUGAUAAUUGAGGGAUCUAGACACAAAAAGCUAAUGACAAAAAUAAUUUUCUGGAUCUUAACAUGUAAGAUCUUGAUGUUGUUGUUCUGUCAUGUGAAUAUGCACAGAUCGGAGAGCUAAAGAAGCUCGUUGAAGAGGGUAAGAUAAAGUACAUCGGUUUAUCCGAGGCCUCUGCAUCAACAAUCAGAAGAGCACAUGCUGUUCAUCCCAUCACAGCAGUGCAAUUGGAGUGGUCGCUUUGGUCCAGAGAUGUGGAGGCGGACAUCGUUCCAACGUGCAGGUAGGAUAUCACUCCGUUAAUUGUUUAUGCAGCAACAACAGCUUCCUUCUGACUCUGCUUUUCCUUUAAAAUGUUGACUAGGGAGCUUGGCAUUGGAAUUGUUGCCUACAGUCCUUUAGGACGAGGAUUCUUUUCUGUUGGCUCCAAGUUGGCGGAGAAUUUCUCAAAGGAUGACUUCAGACAGGUCUGUUUCUGCUGGUCGACAUAAUUAGAUGCUCACAGUGACUGUCAUUCUCAUUGAAGUGCUGGAAACCUGUUCUUGUGGUAUAAAGAAAAGUUUCUGGAUGGGAUGAAUAAAACUUGGUGACACAAAUGCAUCACGUUCUUAUAUGUCUUCAAUCCAGCACUCGCCAGACAUACUACCUCUCUCGAUUCUAGAUAAAUGUAAAAUCACAAGUAAUGGCUUUAGUGAGCCUGAAAGAGGUAGGUUCCCGGAUUCUCAUUCUUUUGGGAAUGAAUACAUAUAGGUUUAUAUGUAAGUUGCUCUGUUUCCCAGCCUUCCCAACAUUUGCUUAUCACUAUCCUUUCCCCACUUUCCACCCACCCUUUUUCUCUCAUCUUUCUUCACAAGAUUAGCGAUAUUUCCUCGAAAUAACUGACGCCAGUAUCGGGCUCUGGCCUUCCGUCCUUUUUCAUUCUCAUCUUUCUUCACAAGAUAAACUAUAUCUUGACACAACCAUUUCUUGAGUGAGGACUCACGACACCCUUCUUAUGAGAGUUUUGGAUCAAGUUCCCAUCUGACAUAAAGCCAAUUGUGUAUUACUCCCUGCCAUUAGCGUUUGACUAGCGAUAGCGCUGGGCAAGUGAAGUAGCUAUUUUUCUUUGUAGCUAAAAGAGCUCUGCGUCUGAUAACAUUCUUCUACACAUCAUCUACAUUUCUGAUUUUUUAUUUUAUGUGUGACUAAUGGUAUCAUCACACGUACAAAACUUAGAUUGUCGAGUUUGUUUCUGUUUUCACAUCCUACAUCAAGCCCAUCAGCCUUGUGUGGUAGUUGCUAGAUCACUUCGCUUGACGUUUCUAAUGCUUAUGAUUUGGGACAUGAUAUUUUAAUCAUUUCAAGAUUAUUUAUAACUGAUCAUGCUUAUCCAGAUAGACAACGAUUGCACACUUCUAAAUGCUUAUUAUGUCAAGUAACAAGACAAUCUGAUGGCAUGCAAUGCAACCACUUUUGCACUUGUUGCUGUAGAAUUUAGCCUUAAAAGGAAAAUGAUAAUUGCAAUUGCUUUCUGCUGAGACAUUGCUCUAUGUUAUGCAGUAUCAUCCAAGGUUCCAGCCAGAGAACUUGGCUCACAACACGAAGUUAUUUGACCGAGUGAAUGAAAUUGCGCAAAGAAAGGGAUGCACCCCAUCUCAGUUAGCCCUGGCCUGGGUACACCACCAUGGUGACGACAUUUGCCCGAUUCCCGGCACAACCAAGAUCGAGAAUUUCAACCAGAACAUUGGAGCUCUGUCAGUGAAGCUUACACAGGAAGAGAUGGCCGAGCUUGAAUUGAUUGCUUCUGCGGACAAUGUCAAGGGUGGCAGGUAUGAUGGAAGCAUAUCUACAUGGGAAAACUCCGACACUCCACCCCUUUCUUCUUGGAAACCUGCCUAGAAGCGUGUCUGCUUCUGUUGCUGCAUCUUUGAUGUGCAGAGUUUGAGCAUUUGCCGCUGAAGUAAUUUGAGUUGAUGUUGUGUGGCUGUUAUAAGUAUGUGUAAUAAGAGAGUGACUGUUUUCAUUUUGUACAUGUGACAUUCACUAUGAGAAGAUUAUGGAUGUGUACUAACCUUACUGGGGAAAGAUCACUCGAUAAACACGAGAGCGAGUUGAAUAUGAACUGAGCCUGCCUUGUCGACUUUAUGGGGUGACUUUUAGAAUCAAUUGGGAUUUUGAAGAAUUCAAACUCAGUCGUACAUACCGCUGGAAAUAUGGCUUCGAAAUUGGGUAGAACAAUGAAAUCGGAUCGAGUAAAAUAACUCGGACUUUGAGGCGCGAUAUCACUUUCUUUAAGGAUUUAUUUACCCCACAACGUUGCUAAUGGUCACCAGCAAAAAUCCUCCAGGAUACAACAAAGUCUCGGAUGAGAAUACUAGAUAGCAAUUCAAGUAUUUCUCCAGGGUCUCUCUAAGAAACAAUCGAAAAAUUGGAUGCUGUUUUUCAGAAAGGAAUACUCGAAAAUGACACUCUUUUUCUUUCCGAAAAUGAUAGAUAUAUAUAUGAAACAGUCUUGCNNNNNNNNNNNNNNNNNNNNNNNNNNNNNNNNNNNNNNNNNNNNNNNNNNNNNNNNNNNNNNNNNNNNNNNNNNNNNNNNNNNNNNNNNNNNNNNNNNNNUUUUUUUUUUUUAUUUCUUAUUUUUGUUCCAAAGUUGCUCUCACAAUAAAAAAAAAAAAGACCAGAAUAAAAGUAUAAACAAAUGAGUUUCUGUUCUUUUUUGGUUCUCUAGAACAAAAUAAUAAAAAUUUAUAUUUCGGGAAAAAAAAUAAUUUUAAAUGAACACACCCUAAGAUAUCUUUUGUAUUCCGGGGAAGUAGUUCAAUUGACGUGAGCCCGUGCGUCUUCCCUACAUGGGAAGGGUCGUCGCUGGGUCUCAUCUGACCUAAGCAAGCGCGUCUUCACAGCUAUUACCGCUCCCCUCCUACACUUCGUAGCUACCGCCACUCCCCUCCUAUAAAUCUCGGCUCGCCCGACGCCUUCGCCAUCGUCUCGGUGCAGUGCAGGGAACGAGCGAGCUCGAGCUAGACGACGGCAAUGGCGGCUUCGACGACGACGGUGAGGAGGAUCAAGCUGGGGUCGCAGGGCCUCGAGGUGUCGGCGCAGGGGCUGGGCUGCAUGAGCAUGUCCGCCUUCUACGGCCCUCCCAAGUCCGAGCCCGACAUGAUCGCCCUCAUCCACCACGCCGUCGGCUCCGGCGUCACCUUCCUCGACACCUCCGACGUCUACGGUCCUCACACCAACGAAAUCCUCCUCGGAAAGGUCGUUCUCUCAGUCUCUGUUUUGCGUCCGCAUGAAUUAUAUGUGCUUAUAGUGUUACGGAAUUUGGCUUCAUCGAGCAGAGUGCUCUGAUCCCGCGCCUUGGUUUUCUGAUUUCGGGGUUGAUUUUGAGCAGGCACUGAAGGGAGGGGUGAGGCAGAAGGUGGAAUUGGCGACCAAGUUCGGAAUCAGCUUCGCGGACGGGAAGAGGGAGGUCCGGGGCGAUCCGGCGUACGUGAGGGCGGCUUGCGAGGCCAGCUUGAAGCGGCUUGACAUCGAUUGCAUCGACCUCUACUACCAACAUCGCAUCGACACUCGCGUCCCCAUCGAAGUCACUGUAUGGAUCCCCCAUCAAACUUUCACCUCGCUUGAGACUUUCUCCGAGCCAUAUGAUUAGUUGCUAAGUUAGAUUGGUGUUGAUGAUGCAUCGUCAUGUUGUUACAAGUUUGUUGAAAUUUGUUAAAUGACACUUAAGUUCGGCUGAUAGCAGAGUUCAAGAUGCGGCACGUUGUUGUUCAAGGGGUUGUGGAAUUUAGUAGUUUAGUGGCUUGAGUUUUCGUUUUGUGGGCAUCUUUUACAAGUUAAGGGUCAACAAGCAUGAAAAUUAUUCAAAAUCUUCCUUUGAGAUGAAAGUGCUCCAGGGUUCAUCCAGAAUUUAUAUACGGGAAUCACAUAUAAAGUUGUUCCUGGACUUUAUGUGGAGACAUUUGAUUCUUAACAUAUUGUGAAAUAUGUCGAGUACUUGGAAUACUUAUUUUAUUUGCUCUCUUCUGUGAGAGAUUCAAGAAAUCUACCUCCGUUAACUCAAUACCUUGUGACUUUUUUGUCGCAUUGAGAUGCAUGAUAAUAGAGGGAUCUAGACGCAUAAAAAGCUAAUGACAUGCAUAAUUUUCUGGAUCUUAACAUGUAAGAUCUUGAUGUUGUUGUUCUGUCAUGUGAAUAUGCACAGAUCGGAGAGCUAAAGAAGCUCGUUGAAGAAGGUAAGAUAAAGUACAUCGGUUUAUCCGAGGCCUCUGCAUCAACAAUCAGAAGAGCACAUGCUGUUCAUCCCAUCACAGCAGUGCAAUUGGAGUGGUCGCUUUGGUCAAGAGAUGUGGAGGCAGAGAUCGUUCCAACGUGCAGGUAGGAUAUCACUCUGUUAAUUGUUUAUGCAGCAACAACAGCUUCCUUCUGACUCUGCUUUUCCUUUAAAAUGCUGACUAGGGAGCUUGGCAUUGGAAUUGUUGCCUACAGUCCUUUAGGACGAGGAUUCUUUUCUGUUGGCUCCAAGUUGGUGGAGAAUAUCUCUAAGGAUGACUUCAGACAGGUCUGUUCCUGCUUGUCAACAUAAUUAGAUGCUUACAUCAACUGUCAUUCUUAUUGAAGUGCUGGAAACCUGUUCUUGUGGUAUAAAGAAAAAGUAUCUGGAUGGGAUGAAUAAAACUUGGUGACACGAAUGCUUUGUGUUCUUAUAUGUCUUUAAUCCAGCACUUGCCAGACAUCCCACCUCUCUUGAUUCUAGAUAAAUGUAAAAUCACAAGUAAUGGCUUUAAUGAGCCUGAAAGAGGCAGUUUUCUGGAUUCUCGUGCUUUUGGGAAUGAAUACAUAUAGGUUUAUUUGUAAGUUGCUCUGUUUCCCAGCCUUCCCACCAUUUGCUAAUCACUAUCCUCUCCCCACUUUCCACCCACCCUUUUUCUCUCAUCUUUCUUCACAAGAUUAGCGAUAUUUCCUCAAAAUAGCUGACGCCAGUAGCGGGCUUUGGCCCUCCGUCCUUUUUCAUUCUCAUCUUUCUUCACAAGAUAAACUAUAUCUUGACACAACCAUUUCUUGAGUAAGGACUCCUAGCACCCUUCUUAUGAGAGUUUUGGAUCAAGUUCCCAUCUGACAUAAAGCCAAUUGAGUAUUACUCCCCGCCAUUAGCAUUUGACUAGCGAUAGUGCUGGGCAAGUGAAGUAGCUAUUUUUCUUUGUAGCUAAAAGAGCUCUGCGUCUGAUAACAUUCUUCUACACAUCAUCUACAUUUCUGAUAUUUAUUUUAUGUGUGACUAAUGGUAUCAUCACACAUACAAAACUUAGAUUGUCGAGUUUGUUUCUGUUUUCACAUCCUACAUCAAACCCAUCAGCCUUGUGUGGUAGUUUCUAGAUCACUUCGCUUGACGUUUCUAAUGCUUAUGAUUUGGGACAAGAUAUUUUAAUCAUGUCAAGAUAAUUUAUAACUGAUCAUGCUUUUCCAGAUACACAACGAUUGCGCACUUCUAAUGCUUAUUAUGUCAAGUAACAAGACAAUCCGAUGGCAUGCAAUGCAACCACUUUUGCACUCGUUGCUGUAGAAUCUAGCCUUAAAAGGAAAAUGAUAAUUGCUCAUAUGCUCUCUGCUGAGACAUUGCUCUAUGUUAUGCAGUAUCUACCAAGGUUCCGGCCAGAGAACUUGGCUCACAACACGAAGUUAUUUGACCGAGUGAAUGAAAUUGCGCAAAGAAAGGGAUGCACCACAUCGCAGUUAGCCCUGGCCUGGGUAUACCACCAGCGUGAUGAUGUUUGCCCAAUUCCCGGCACGACCAAGAUCGAGAAUUUCAACCAGAACACUGGAGCUAUGUCAGUGAAGCUUACACCGGAAGAGAUGGCCGAGCUUGAAUCGAUUGCUUCUGCGGACAAUGUCAAGGGUGGCAGGUACGAUGGAAGCAUGUCUACAUGGGAAAACUCCGACACUCCACCCCUUUCUUCUUGGAAACCUGCCUAGAAGCGUGUCUGCUUCUGUUGCUGCAUCUUUGAUGUGCAGAGUUUGAGCAUUUGCCGCUGAAGUAAUUUGAGUUUAUGUUAUGUGGCUGUUAUAAGUACGUGUAAUAAGAGAGUGACUGUUUUCAUUUUGUACAUGUGAUAUUCACUAUGAGAAGAUUAUGGAUGUGUACUAACCUUACUGGGGAAAGAGCACUCGAUAAACACGAGAGCGAGUUGAAUACGAACUGAGCCCGCCGUGCCGACUUUAUUGGGGUGACUUUUAGAAACUGAGAAAUCGGGAUUUUGAAGAAUUCAAACUCAGUCGUACAUACUAGAGUGACGCUUUAUUCUCCUCCAACCAUGAGUUCAAUACUAAAACCGUGUGCAACAUGCUCUUAAGACUGGAUGCCACACAUAGAUACAAAGCUUCGCUUUGUGUUUGGUUUGGUAGCGAAGUUAAGGAACAGUAAAAUGUUACCGGAUGUUCUCGCGAAAACGAAGUUGGGGUUAAAAUGCUGGCGGGGUUGAUAUGAGUGUCAGAGAAAUCGAAGGUUUCUUGUUCAAGUUUUACCACGUACGGUUCAUGAGCUUUUAUGUAGCUCGAUACCUUCGCUUAUGCGUCUGCAUUAUUAUAAAACGGUCGGAGAUAUUGUGCAAGUUUCCUAAAAUUAAAAAUGACACUUCUAUUGUUUUUUAUUUGGAGUUAGAGUGAAGCAAUAUUGUUUUGUUUUGGUUUAAGAAAAUAACGCAAAUAGUUAUUGAACUUUGGUCCAAUGUGUUAUGUUCUUACUGAACUUUUAACUUAUUUAAUAUGGUUGUCGAACUUUUUGUACAUGUUUAAUUUAAAUCCUAGGCUAGAUAAAUCCAAUGAUGCUGUGUUUGGUCGUUCAAACAUUGUUGCUGAUGCAGCCCGCAUUGAAGACCAGCUCUCUUGAUCAAGAAGAUCGGCCCACAUGCAAGCUCGAUGAAUCCUCUUAUCAAUGAAGUUGUCGAUUGUCGAUGAAGUUCGAUGAAGUUGUCGAUUCAACCGAGAAGCCAUAUUGAUAUCUUGAGUCCAUCCUGGAAGCUUGAAAGAAAACACCUUGUCGAUCUGUAUCGACAAAGAUAUGAUUGUUCUCCUAAGCUUGCAUAGUAAAUUUCUGUUCGUCUUAUUUCCUGUGUGCGAGUCACUCUCCCGAUCCUACCGUUUGAGAAAGCUUAACCUUGGCUUGCAUCAUUUUGGUAUUAGAGCUUUGGAGGAGAGGACAAUGCCUCCAAGACAAGCUAGAUGUCGUGGUGGCAGAACCAUUCCCCUCGAUGAAGUGCACACACUCGCUGAGAAUUUGCAACAAUGUAUGCAACAACAAAUUGACGAAUUGACGCUAGAAGUUUAGCGUUUGAGGGCUGAAGCAAAUAAUUCUCCACCUCGUUCCAGGACUGAAGAUUCCUAUGGUGACUCUUCCUCUUUGGAGAGUGUUCAAUCUAUUCACGGUUAGAGGAAUGUUUGACAUCAUUUACAACAUGUUCGUGAGCCAGAUUGGGAAAAGGAAGUCAUGUUCCAGAAUUUACAUGUACUAAGUCUCCUGAUGAAAUUGUUGAUUGGCUGACACUUGUGAAUGAGGUAUUUGAGCAUCGAAAUGUUCCGGAGAAUCGUCAAGUUGGGAUCAUUGCUAUGUGAUUCCAAGGCAAGGCAAUUGCUGGUGGAGACAUGAAAAACAAACUUGCCAAGCAGUUGGCAAAGCACUAAUCACUUUGUGGAGAAAGAUGGAGGGCAAGAUUCAAAAAUAUUUUCUUCCCAUAGGAUAUAAGAGAGAGCUCUACCAACGGUACCAAAAUCUAAAACAAGGUAAACAAACGGUGGAUCAAUACACCAAUGAAUUCAAUGUGUUGGUGAUUUGUAACAAUAUCUAGGACUCGGAGGAGGUGCUUGUGAACAAAUACUUGAACGGUCUUCAAUUUUACAUUCAAGAUGCCUUGGAAGUCCUCGACAUUUGGGACUUAGGACAUGCACACCAACGGGCACUCAAAAUGGAGCGCUCUCGUUCUUGGAGAUAGCAAUCAAUUACCAUGACAAGUCGGGCCACUAAGAGUACCACUAGCAUUGCUAAAGUUGUUGAGGGUACAAUGCAAUAUGCUAGUAAGCCUUCUACGCAACCCCAUGUUUCGAAGCAACCUGCUAUGUUCAAAAUAUGUUGCUAUUCUUGUGGGGAGUUGGGUCAUCAUGCUAGCAAUUGUCGAAUCAAUAAGAGUCAACCUAUCGGUAAAGCCUUCUUAGUGGAUAAUGAUUCUGAUGAGAAUAUUGAGGAUCCACUUGAAGAGGAGUUGAACAAUGAUGAAGAAGCUGUGCAUGAUGAACAAAUAGUGCAUGUUGACACUAGCGAACUUCUUACGGUGAGGAAAUUUUUUUUACUCCUUGAGAUGACACUGGAGAUAGAUGGCUGCGUACCAAUAUUUUUCAUUCUGCUUGCACAAUCAUGGGAAAGGUGUGUCAAUUAAUUAUUGACUAUGGUUGUUGUGAGUAUAUAAUUUUUGAAGUAGUGGCUAACAAGCUGGAGUUGGAAUUAAAGACGCACCCUACGCCUUAUAAAAUGUUGUGGUUGAAGAAAGGCGCUGAGGUAACUAUUUCAAAAUGAUGCCUUGUUAAUCUGUCCAUUGGUUUUGUUUAUAAUGACAAGAUAUGGUGUGAUGUUCUGCCGAUAGAUGCUAGUCACAGUAUUCUUGGUCGACUGUGGCAAUUCGAUAGGAGGACUAUGCAUGAUGGUUAUCGAAAUACAUAUUCUUUUGAAUUUGGAGGCAAGAAGAUUAUGUUGGCACCUAGUAGGGAACCUUGAGAAUUCCUUCUCCCCUACGUUGUUUACAAUGAAGGAUAUGAACGAUGCUUUGAAAGGAGUUUGUAUCUUGUAUAUUUUGCUUAAUAAAACUAGUGAGAAGAAUGAAGUUGCCUCUAUCAUGCCUCAUUGAGUUCAACCUCUUUUGGAAGAGUUCAAGGAUGUCCUCUCGAUGGACUUACCCGAUGGUCUCCCUCCUAUUAGAGAUAUUCAGCAUCAAACCGACUUGAUGCCUGGAGCCUCUUUGUCGACUCUCGCUCAUUACCGAAUGAGUUUGACCGAACAUGAGGAAUUGCAUCAACAAGUUAUGGAGCUAUUGAAUAAGGGUUUUAUAAGGGAGAGCCUCAGUUCGUGUGCUGUUCCAGCUCUUUUAGUGCCUAAGAAAAAUGGUACUUGGAGGAUGUGUGUCGACAAUAGAGCGAUCAACAAGAUCACCAUCAAGUAUUGAUUUUCUAUUCCUCGCCUUGAUGAUCUCUUAGAUCAACUUUCUGGUGCAAUUAUAUUCUCGAAGCUAGAUUUGAAGAGUGGAUACCAUCGAAUUAGAAUCAAACUCGAAGAUGAAUGGAAGACAGCAUUCAAAAAUAAAGUUGGGCUACAUGAGUGGCUAGUCAUGCCAUUUGGAUUGUCGAAUGCACCAUUGACAUUCAUGAGGUUCAUGACUCAGGUGUUGAAGCCUUUUCUGGGAAAGUUUAUUGUGGUUUAUUUUGAUGAUAUCUUGAUUUUUAGCAAGUCUACUGAUGAGCACUUGUAGCAUCUUCAAGAAGUAUUAUGUGUGUUGAGGCAGGAAUGAUUGUAUGAGGCUCUCAACAAGUGCUAUUUUAUGGUACCACAAAUCCUUUUCUUGGGGUUAUAUAUUUCAAAGAAUGGCAUUUCGGUGGAUGAUUCUAAGAUCAAGGUGAUUCGAGAAUGGCCAACUCCAACAAAUGUGCAUGAAGUGCAACGUUUUCUUGGUCUCGCUUCAUUUUAUCGACAGUUUAUUGCGCAUUUUAGCACCACUGCAGCCCCACUCACUUCUUGCAUGAAGAAGGGAGAGAAAGCCCAACCUUGGCUUGCAUCAGUUGCUCUAUGGGAUGAUGAUAGGAUAAAAAUCCCAUCUAUUAUUUCUUGACGUCUGGAUACAGCAUGAUUCAAAUAAAUAUUUUUUAAAUGAGUGUUUGAUUUGUAUAAUUAAAAUUAAAAUUAAACCAUGGAAGUCGUAAAUACUAUUCAUCCUUUCACAAUCUUCAUCCAUAUCAAACACCCCCGUUCCAUGUGACUUCAAGGACUCUCGCUCCUUCUGCAACACCCCUUUCGCUGCCCUUGAUCAACUUGAUGGAUUACGCUCGCUCUACCUUUGACUUCGCCACAUUGAGAGGCCCUUGGGUUUGAGUUCUCCGCUAGUCUAGCCAUCUUUACUUUCAACGCUUUUCCUGCGAUGAAUCCAUCCCCUUCGACGAGUGCGAAUACUGCGUCGAUUCCCUGUUACCGUGCCCCGACUUGUUCAGUCACUUCAACAGCUUCCCCCGAGACAGCGUGCGGAUCCGGUUUGUGAGUGGUAGCACGAUCGGUACUAGUUGCUCCGAGUGACGUGGUUGAGGAGCUCUAUCACCUUGGCUGCCGCCUCUUUCGGAUCAUCUUCUUCACAGAGGAGGUGUCCAGCUUUGAUCGGGAUCACAAAUUUCCCUACUAAAAUGAAGUUGAGUGACACAAGAAAGAGGUAGGGCUGACGAGCUCCGCGAUACUCAUGCUCAUGCUCUAAUUUUGUGGUGGUCAUUUUAGCGAGACAAAUUGGAACAAGAGAGAGAUGAUGGUGACACUGGUCAAAAGCGCCCCGGGGGGUGGUCAGUUUUUCAAAUUUCACAUAUUUUAUCUGGCUUUAUAUACUUUCUAGAUGUGAUUUUUUAUCCGGACUAUAUCCUAAUUUCACAUUACUCUAGACACCAUAUAGGAUUAAACUUAUCAUAUUAGAGUUCUAUCCAGCCCUUCAAAUGCAGUCUUAUGAGAUAGAAUGCAAUGAUAUAAUCUGUGAACUAAAUUUAAACAUUUAUUAAAAGUUUACGAACGAAAUUUCACAUUUUGAUUGUUAAGAUGCAUGAGUGAGUUAUGUUAAAAUAAUCACAUAAUAUAUUGAUAGCUUUAAAAAUGGGCCUUCUCUUGGUGAUGACGUUGAUCCAUAUGGAGAAAUUAAUGAGAGGGUUUAUUUGGCCUAACUAAAUGGGAGGCUAUGGGCUCGUUUGAUAACGUUUCUGUUCAAAAAUUGUUCCAGGGAAUAGAAAUAAAAAAAAAAGUGUUUCUGUUCCGGGGAACAAUUUUUGACCAAAAACACUCGUUUGGUAAACUUGUUCUGGGAACAAUUCUUUUUUUGUUUCUUUUAAUUUUUUAAUAUUUUUAUUUUAUUUUUAUUUUUUUCCUUUCUUUUUUCUUUUUUCUUUUUUUCUUCUUUUGGCGGGCGACCGGCUGACGGGGGCCGACAGCCUCGCCCAGCCACGGCGAGGCCAAGCCUUGCCGGUGCGGGCGAGGCUGAGCCUCGCCUUGGCUGGGUGAGCUUGGCCUCGCCCAGAUCUAGUGAGGCCGAGCCUUGUUGGCCACUGGGCAAGCUCGGCCUCAUCAGCCACUGGGCGAGCUCGCCCAGCCAAGGCGAGGCCGAGCCUCGCCCAACUACAGCCAGGCUCGGCCUCGCUGGGGGCCGGCGACGCUCCGGCGAGGUCGUCGGCCCUCGACGGCGUCGCUGACCCUCGACGGCCGGUCGCCGGCCAUGGCCGAGGCCAGCAAUCGGCCAAAGAAAAAAGAAAGAAAAAAGAAGAAGAAAAGAAAAAGAAAAAAGAGAAAAGUGUUAAAAAAAUUUGUUUCAGAAACAAGAAACAACUUUUUUUUUGUUUUUUGUUUCUGUUCCAGAUGUGUUUUUGGGAACAAAAAAAAUAGUUUUGGAACAAAAACGCACACAAACGCGUUUCUGUUCCCUUUUUGUUCUCAGGAAAAAAAAACAGAAAAAUUGUUCAAAAACAUAAAAAAGAAACAACAACAAAUGCAGCCUAUAUCAAUGGGAGGUUUUUCAUUGUAACAUUCCCUUGUGCUUGGAAUUUGUUUUUUAGUAAAGGAUUUUAUUAGCAUAAUAAUAGUCUUUGGAUUAUUAUGUGAAUAACAAUUUAUUGUGAGUCACAAUUUUUUUUUUAAAGUAAUGAACCCCAUAAUAAUUUCAAUUAUUUGUUACUUUAUUUUCGUAGUUGUUAGAAAAAUAGAAAGCUUGGAAUUUUGGGAGAAUUGUAUAUUGCUUUUCUAUAUUCCUUUCAAUAUGUAAUUACAAUCUAUUUAUAAUACAGAGAGUCUAAAAUAAUAAAGGAAUAAAAAUAUACACAAUAUCCCAAAGAUGUACAUAAAAUAUUCCCUAUCAAUUAAGAUCAAUCGACAUCAGCAACGGUAUCUUCAACACUCCCCCUCAAGCUCGGCGGUUUAUACACAUCGAAGACGCCUAGCUUGUUUAAUAGAUACAAAUGUUGCCUCUGACAUAAAGCCUUGGUAAAAAUGUCUGCAGGUUGCUCUGUUGUUCUUAUCUCUUUUGUUCUAAUCACCCCACUUUGGAUCUUGUCUCGAAUGAAGUGACAAUCAACCUCUAUAUGUUUUGUCCUUUCAUGAAAUACUGGGUUCAUUGCAAGCUUAAUUGCAGCAUCAUUAUCACAAAAUAGGACAAUGGGCUCUCUUAUCUGUACACCAAGGUCUUGAAGGAGGCCUCUUAUCUAGACUAUCUCACAGCUAGUCUUCGCCAUUGCUCGGUAUUCUGCCUCAGCGGAUGAUAAAGAUACGGUUGACUGUUUCUUUGUCUUCCAUGAAAUUAGAGAAUCCCCUAAUUUUAUACAGAAUCCUAUGACUGAUCUUCUACUCAUGGGACAAGUAGCGUAAUUUGUGUCACAAUAUGCUGUCAUCUCCAAAUUGUUGUCUCGAGACAACAAUAUUCCCAAUCCAGGACACCCUUUUAAGUAUUUUAUGACUUUCAGUGCCGCAUUCAUGUGAGACUGUUUCGGAGCAUGCAUAAACUGGCUAAGAAUCUGAACUGCAUAAGAAAUGUCUGGCCUGGUCAUGGUCAAAUAAAUAAGCUUUCCAACAAGUCUUUGAUAAGCAGAAGGAUCUUUAAGCAAAGGAUCCUUGUUUACAGGUGACAACCCUUUGUCAUAUUCAGCUGUCGUUAAUCUGAUAUUCUGAUCAAUUGGAAUAACAGCCGGUCUAGAUCCUAACAAACCGGCUUCUGACACAAUUUCUAAGACAAAUUUCCGUUGGCUAAGACAAAUGCCCUUAUUUGACCGUGCAAUUUCUAUCCCAAGAAAGUAUUUGGGAGAACCCAAAUCCUUAAUAUGAAAUGUAGAAUGCAAAUACUCAUUGAAUUUCUCAAUGGCAGGCGCAUCGUUUCCCAUAAUGAGUAUAUCGUCAACAUAUAUAAGUAAAUAGAUUGACGACAUACCUUGUUUCCAUGUGAAUAAAGCAUAGUCAUGCUUAGAUUGCUGGAAUUUUGCAGUUGUAAGUGCACCGGUGAACUUGGCGUACCAUUGACGAGAAGCUUGCUUGAGUCCAUAUAGGGAUUUCUGAAGACGGCACACACUCCCCUCCCCCUGUCUGCGAAAUCCCGGUGGAAUAUCCAUAUAAAUCUCUUCUUCAAGAUCUCCAUGUAAAAAAGCAUUGUGAACGUCCAUUUGAUGAAGGGGCCAGUCACGGAUGGCAGCAAUGGAAAGAAAAGACCGUAUGGUGACUUCUUUGGCAACUGGAGAGAAAGUUUCCGUAUAGUCAAAGCCUUCCUUCUAUGUGAAUCCCUUCGCAACCAAUCUGGCCUUGUAAUGUUCAAUGGAUCCAUCUGCUUUAUAUUUGAUAUUGUAUACCCAUUUGCAUCCUAUGGAUCGACGAUGGGGAGGUAGACGAACAAUAUCCCAAGUCUCAUUUUCGAUGAGAGCUUGUAACUCAUCUUUCAUAGCCUGUUGCCAACGAGGAUCCUUGGCAGCCUCAUCAUAAGAGGAAGGUUCCUGCUGUGCAAAAAUUCUACUAACAUAGCAUAUAUGUUCAAGAGAGAGAUUAGCAAAACUGACAUAAGAGGAGAUGGGGUAUUGUGUACCACGCCUUUUUGACGAUGAACAAACGUAAUCCGCUGUCCAUGUUGGUGGUCGGACUGUGCGUCUUGAUCGCCGAAGAUUAGUUGGUUCAGAUGGAACAUCAGUUUGUGAGGCUGCAGAGACAUCAUCCGCCGGAAUAUUUGCUUGCAAAAAAUCAGGUCCUUCAAGUAUACUUGAUGAAGGAAGACUGGAAAUUGCAUUGUCCCCAUCUGAGCUGAUAGGUGCAUUGAUACUUGAGGAUGCUAUAGGAGAUAUCAUUUGUGGAAGCAUCAUCAUUGAUCCUUGUGGAGGAUCGUCUUCAUGCAGAAAGGGACGAGAAGAUGUCAGGGGAUCAUCAUGCUGAUAUGAUGGUAGCCUAUCCUUGAAAGGGAAGACAUCUUCAUGAAAUGUGACAUCUCUGCUGACAAAGAAUCUGCCAGUAGAUGGAUCAAGAACCAAGUAUCCUUUUUGAAGGGUAGAAUAUCCCAUAAAUACCGCAAGAAAGGCACGNNNNNNNNNNNNNNNNNNNNNNNNNNNNNNNNNNNNNNNNNNNNNNNNNNNNNNNNNNNNNNNNNNNNNNNNNNNNNNNNNNNNNNNNNNNNNNNNNNNNGGACGUUUUCCAAACAAUGACUCGAAUGGAGUCUUUCCACUCAAAAUUCGAGAUGGCAUUCUAUUGAUCAGGCAUGCUGCUGUGACCACACAGUCUCCCCAAAAAAUUUUAGGAAUUGAAGCUUGAUACUUAAGAGCUCGAGCGACUUCUAACAAAUGACGGUGUUUCCUUUCUACAAUCCCAUUUUGUUGGGGAGUAUAAACACAAGAGCUUUCAUGAAGAAUGCCAUUGGAAAUGAACAAUGAAGAACAUUCAUGAUUAAAGAAUUCUCGUGCAUUGUCAGUACGAACCCGUUGUACGGAUUUGUUAAAUUGAUUUUUGAUCAGGACAAUGAAAUUUUUGAGAUGUGAAAGAACUUGGGCUUUGGAUUGCAUAAGAAAAACCCAAGUUGCUUGAGUAUGAUCAUCUACAAUAGUAAGAAAGAAGCGUGACCCAUCACGAUGAGAGGUGUGAUAUGGGCCCCAAAUGUCUAUGUGCAAUAGAGAGAAGGCUCUAGUAGCACGCGAUGCACUUUGUGGAAAAGACAUUAUAGACUGUUUAGCUAAUGGGCAUAUAGGACACUUAGGAUGAGGAAAAAUGGCGCUGUGGCCUAGACGCUGAUGAGAUAAAAAAGGUAUCUUUAUUAUGAUUGGCAUUACAUAAGAUGCUCUUAUUGAAUGAAAAAUUCUUUGGAAAUGCCGUCCAGAAAUAAAGUCCCUCGAAAUUCCUACCUGAGCCCAUCAGUGUCCUAGUCAAAGGGGCCUGGAAGAGACAAGUGUCAAAAUCGAAAAUGACCUGACAGAAAUUGUCUUGACAAAUCUUGGAUACAUAAAUGAGAUUGAACUGAAAAUUCAGAAUGAAGAGGACAUUUUUUGGUGUGAUGGAAGAGCUCAGUUUAACAUCCCCAAUUUUAUCUACUGAAAUAUCACUACCAUUUGGGAGGCGAACGGAAGUGUGAUUUGAGGAUUUUUCUAAUUUAGAGAAGAACCGUUCAUCACAGACUAUAUGGUCACUAGCACCUGAAUCAAUAAUCCAUGCGUUGCUCGAAAUAUUGCAGUUCAAACAAUGAGAAAUACCUGCAUAGCUAGGCAUCUUUUCUUGAAUGCCCAUCUGACUUAAGGUCCUCAUGAUUUGUUGGAGUUGGUCAUUGCUGAUGGGUUGAUUUACCUUAGCAUUUGUUGCUAUAGAAUUUCCAAUAGAAAAUUCUCAUUCCUUCUUCUCCCCUGGUCUUCCAUGCAAUUUCCAACAAUUUUCUUUGGUAUGAUAAGGUUUUUUGCAAUAAUCACAAAAUUUACCUUUCCAUUUGUUUGAAUUAUUUCUGGUCGAAGACGUGGCAAAAUUUGGGCCGUUGGAUCGCUUUAAAACGGACGCUGAUGGUCCGUUCGAUCGCGGUGCUGCAAGGGCGAAAUUUGAGCCGUCCGAUCGCGCAAAAGAACCUCCACUGUCCGAUCGCGCAAAAGAACCUCCACCGUCGGAUCCGAAGAUUGGAUCUCGGCCAUUCAAUCCGCGCGAGCUGCCCGAGCCGUCCGAUCUCCCGAAAUGAUCCUGGCCGCCCAUUUGAGACAUAUAAAAAACCUCAUCUUCUUCCUUCCGAAACCCUAGUGUUCCUGCCCUUUUCGAAAAACCUCCAUGGUCGGACCUUGAAGACCCGAGCCGCUGCUCCGACGAAGCCUUGGCCGCGAGAACGACGCGCUCGCCACUCUUCACAUACUCGGACGACGCCAGCUUCUGGGAUUCUUCUUGAACCGCAAGCUGGUAUAGGACNNNNNNNNNNNNNNNNNNNNNNNNNNNNNNNNNNNNNNNNNNNNNNNNNNNNNNNNNNNNNNNNNNNNNNNNNNNNNNNNNNNNNNNNNNNNNNNNNNNNNNNNNNNNNNNNNNNNNNNNNNNNNNNNNNNNNNNNNNNNNNNNNNNNNNNNNNNNNNNNNNNNNNNNNNNNNNNNNNNNNNNNNNNNNNNNNNNNNNNNNNNNNNNNNNNNNNNNNNNNNNNNNNNNNNNNNNNNNNNNNNNNNNNNNNNNNCACUCUGACCCGGGAAGGACCAGUUCGCCCCAUAUCCGGACCCGCUCCAGGUAUGUGAGAUGAGCUUUCCUUUAGCCCACCAAUCCUUCCGGGGUUGAUUUGAGGUGAAUUCUGUGUCGAAUCUCCUUGAUUUGGUUGGAUUGAUACAGGUACCCACUGAACGUAUGGUCUUGUGAGGGGAUUUCCAGGAUUAAAUCCUAUGUUGAGCUGUGCAGGCUGCACGAGGCUUGUUUGACUUUCUGAUGGAUUCAUCUGUCGUUUUGUAGGGAUGACUUGUGGAUUUCCCUCAAUCCCCACAGAAACGCCGGAAGUUGAAUCCUCAGUCUUUGACAUGAUUUCUCCCUAAGAAGGCGUUGCGGAAGCUAGGCCAAGGCGGGAGGCUCUGAUACCAUGUCAGAAAAAUAGAAAGCUUGGAAUUUUGGGAGAAUUGUAUAUUGCUUUUCUAUAUUCCUUUCAAUAUGUAAUUACGAUCUAUUUAUAAUACAGAGAGUCUAAAAUAAUAAAGGAAUAAAAAUAUACACAAUAUCCCAAAAGAUGUACAUAAAAUAUUCCCUAUCAAUUAAGAUCAAUCGACAUCAGCAACGGUAUCUUCAACAGUAGUAACUGUUGUUUUCAAUUAAGUUUGCAUCGGAGAAGAGAUUAUUUUGUUUUGCUACGCUUGUCGGAUAUUGCGCAGGAUAUUGUCAUUUUCUUAGCACUAGCAACGUUGCGUUCAGACAAGGCGGCAUGGAAUUAUUUGCUUAGCUGCACAUCGCACGACCAUACAUUCAUGGACUGUUCCUCAGGAAAGCAUAUAGACAUGUGGCAGAUGCAGAACAUUUCACGAGAUUAAAAAAAAAAGAAAAUAAUUUUUAAAAAACAAUACUUUCGACUUCAAAACGUGCCAAUCGAACGCCUGCUAGUCCCGCCUAUAAAGCUCGGCUCACCCAACGGCUUCGUUGUCGUCUCGAACUGUCCAUUCUCCAUUCUCUGUUCUUGCAUCGACCUCGAGCUAGAGGAUGGCCCGCAAUGGCGUCGUCAGACGGUGAGGAGGAUCAAGUUGGGGUCGUAGGGUCUCAAGGUCUCGGCGCAGGGGCUGGGCUGCAUGGGCAUGUCUACUUCGCCGGCCCUCCCAAGCCCAACCCCGACACGAUCGAGCUUGUCCACCACGCCGUUGAAUCUGGCGUUGCCUUCCUCGACACCUCCGACAUCUAUGGCCUUAACGCCAAGGAAGUCCUCCUUGGAAAGGUCGGUAUUUAUUUUGUAGAUAUAAUUGAAGAUCUUGAUCGUGACGCCAAUCCUAAUUGCGGACUAAUUGANNNNNNNNNNNNNNNNNNNNNNNNNNNNNNNNNNNNNNNNNNNNNNNNNNNNNNNNNNNNNNNNNNNNNNNNNNNNNNNNNNNNNNNNNNNNNNNNNNNNNNNNNNNNNNNNNNNNNNNNNNNNNNNNNNNNNNNNNNNNNNNNNNNNNNNNNNNNNNNNNNNNNNNNNNNNNNNNNNNNNNNNNNNNNNNNNNNNNNNNNNNNNNNNNNNNNNNNNNNNNNNNNNNNNNNNNNNNNNNNNNNNNNNNNNNNNNNNNNNNNNNNNNNNNNNNNNNNNNNNNNNNNNNNNNNNNNNNNNNNNNNNNNNNNNNNNNNNNNNNNNNNNNNNNNNNNNNNNNNNNNNNNNNNNNNNNNNNNNNNNNNNNNNNNNNNNNNNNNNNNNNNNNNNNNNNNNNNNNNNNNNNNNNNNNNNNNNNNNNNNNNNNNNNNNNNNNNNNNNNNNNNNNNNNNNNNNNNNNNNNNNNNNNNNNNNNNNNNNNNNNNNNNNNNNNNNNNNNNNNNNNNNNNNNNNNNNNNNNNNNNNNNNNNNNNNNNNNNNNNNNNNNNNNNNNNNNNNNNNNNNNNNNNNNNNNNNNNNNNNNNNNNNNNNNNNNNNNNNNNNNNNNNNNNNUUAGACAUUGCUUUAUGUUAUGAAGUACCUACCAAGGCUGCGGCCAGAGAACUUGGCUAACGCAAAGUUAUUCGACCAAGUGAAUGAAAUUGCACAAAGAAAGGGAUGCACCCCAUUGCAGUUAACCCUCGCGUGGGUACACCACUGGAGUGAUGACGUUUGCCCGAUGCCCGGCACGAUCAAGAUCGAGAAUUUCAACCAGAACAUUGGAGCUCUGUCAGUGAAGCUUUUGCCAGAAGAGAUGGCCAAGCUCAAAUCAAUUGCUGAUAUGGACAAUGUCAGGCGUGAGAAUUAAAACCACAUUUGAUACUAAAUUAUGCCUAGGUAGAAAUUCAAAACUCCACCUCCCGCUUUUCAUGUGGGAAGUUUGGCCCCACCUCGCGCUUAUGGAAAGAGUAAUCACGAAGACAUCACAAUAGUUCAAUUGACGUGAGCAGGUACGUCUUCCCUACAUGGUAAGGGUCGUCACUGGGCGUGCAAUUGACGUAAGCACGUGCGUCUUCACAGCCACUACCGCUCCCCUCCUACUCAUCGUAGCUUCUGCCACUCCCCUCCUAUAAAUCUCGGCUCGCCCGACGCCUUCGCCAUCGUCUCGGUGCAUUGCAGGGAACGAUCGAGCUCGAGCUAGACUACGGCAAUGGCGGCAUCGACGACGACGACGGUGAGGAGGAUCAAGCUGGGGUCGCAGGGCCUCGAGGUGUCGGCGCAGGGGCUGGGCUGCAUGAGCAUGUCCGCCUUCUACGGCCCUCCCAAGUCCGAGCCCGACAUGAUCGCCCUCAUCCACCAUGCCGUCGGCUCCGGCGUCACCUUCCUCGACACCUCCGACGUCUACGGUCCUCACACCAACGAAAUCCUCCUCGGAAAGGUCGUUCUCUCAGUCUCUCUUUUGCCUCUGCAUGAAUUAUAUAUGCUUAUGGUUUUACGGAAAUUUGCUUCAUCGAGCAGGAUGCUCUGAUCCUGCGCCUUGGUUUUCUGAUUUCGGGGUUGAUUUUGAGCAGGCACUGAAGGGAGGGGUGAGGCAGAAGGUGGAAUUGGCGACCAAGUUCGGAAUCAGAUUCGCGGACGGGAAGAGGGAGAUCCAGGGCGAUCCGGCGUACGUGAGGGCUGCUUGCGAGGCCAGCUUGAAGCGGCUCGACAUCGAUUGCAUCGACCUCUACUACCAGCACCGUAUCGACACUCGCGUCCCCAUCGAAGUCACUGUAUGGAUCCCUUAUCAAACUUUCACCUCGCUUGAGACUUUCUCUGAGCCAUAUGAUGCAUCGUCAUGUUGUUACAAGUUUGUUGAAUUUUGUUAAAUGACACUUAAGUCAGCUGNNNNNNNNNNNNNNNNNNNNNNNNNNNNNNNNNNNNNNNNNNNNNNNNNNNNNNNNNNNNNNNNNNNNNNNNNNNNNNNNNNNNNNNNNNNNNNNNNNNNUUUUAUAUAUUUUAUUUCCGAAAUUCUCAAAAUAAAAGACAACAUUUGAAUUUACUAACAAUUAAUAAAAAUUGUUGGAGAAAUCUUCCUGGAGUAUUUUGAAGCUGACAAAACGUUUCCAUCAGUCUAAUCUGAAGAUUUGCAGACUCUACUAUUUAAAGUCUGAAGACCUCCGGACUGCCAGAUUCAAGAUUCAAAGUCUAUUCUCAUUGACAGUUUCUAGAUCGUCGAAGAAGGGUUAUCCAGAACUUGAUGUUUCAUUAAGGAUUUGACCUUAUCGACUGGAGAAGAUCUCUUGGCUGGAUAUGUCAUAACAGAAUCCUUUAUUUGAUCAUGAUUGAUUCAGAGAUUAAGGAUCUGAUGAUUGGCGAAGUAUACUUGGUUCUACUUAUGGAAACCGAGAUCCUAAUUGUAUGGGCGAGCAAAAUUGAUGGGCUAUCGACAUGUUCCUUUAAUAGCUCGAAUGAUCUUCCUAAUUGAUUUCGUCCAACGGGUAGAUUGGAGGAAUUCUUUUGGUAAGUGCCAACGGAUAUGAUGGCAUAAAGGAGUAUAAAAGGAAGACGUUCCAGUUGUUCGAGUGUGUACACGAUAGAAAAAUUCCAAAGUCUGAAGCUCUUUGUUCUUAGUCAAUUCAUUUACUGAGCAAAAUCUUGUACACAAAAGAGAGUAUAUACUUUGAGAGACCUUAAAGAAGUGUGGUAGAGGUUCUACACUGUGGAAUCAAGGAAGAGACUUGAUGUAACAUCUCUUUUGUUCAUAGUGAAAUCUAGCCGGUGGGCUGUUAGUGUGGAAGAGUGGAUGUAGGCUUGAAAUAAGCCGAACCACUGUAAACCUCGUGUUCAAUUUUCUCUUUCCUACUCUCUGCUUUACUUUGAUCAUAAUUCAUCCUGUUAACCAAAGAAGAACUUCCUUCUAUUGUCUGCUUAGUAUUGUUCUUAUAUCACGAAGAAUUAUUUUUACACACCUACUCACCCCCCUCCAUGUGCUUAUACUAGCUAUCUCAAUUGGUAUCAGAGCUUGUGUACUCACUUUGUUUGAAGUGUUUUACUUCAGAGUUAAAGAUCCAUAACUAGUAUGUUAACUCCAAGGCUGGUAGAAGGCCAAAGCAAUACCAGACCGCUUUACUUUGAUGGAAAGCAUUACAAUAUAUGGAAAAACAAGAUGAAGGCGUUCCUAAGAUCAAAGGAUCCUCUGGAAUGGGACGUUGUUGAAAAAUGAAUCAUUCCUAAAGCUGCGCCUAUCUCAGAGAGAGAAAAAUAUACUGUUGAGUCUAGUAAAAUGACUCAGGAAGAGAUAAUCAAGAGACAAGCUCUUGAUACAAAAGCAAUUUAUUUUUUAUAUUGUGCAUUGUCACCUACUUAAUAUAACAAAAUAUUUUCUUGUUUUACAGCUAAAGAAGUCUGGGAUAGAUUACACAUCACUUAUGAAGGAACUGAUCGAAUGAAAGAAACCAGAAUCAACAUUCUGCUCGGUCAAUAUGAAGCAUUCAAAAUGAAAUCUAGAGAAUCUAUCACUGACAUAUUUAGUCGUUUUACAGAGAUUGUGAAUGGCCUUGAAAAUCAAGAGCAACCAAUUUCUGAUCCCAUAAAAGUAAACAAGCUUCUUUGUGGACUCUAUAAGGAUUGGAAUAACAUAAAGACCUUAAUAAGAGAGACACAAAAAAUUAUGCCACUUUCGGUCGAUGAAUUGGUUGGGACUCUUCAGUCUUAUGAAGUAGAGCGAAUCAACGAAGAUGAAGAUCCUUAAGGUAAGAAAUCCAUUCCAUUAAAAUCUAAUGAUAAUUCUGAUGUCACAGAUUCUGAAGACGAUAUGGAUGGCGAAGAGCUUGCUCUCAUGAUAAGAAAAUUCAGAAAACUGAACAGAAAAUGAAGAAGAUUCAAUCCAAAGAAACAGAGUUUUCAAAAGCAACAGACUAAGUCUGUUGAGGAUGAUGAAUCAAACAAAGAUGUAGUCUGCUUUGAAUGCAAGAAAAAUAGACACAUCAGACCCAACUAUCCUCUUUUGAGGAAGAAGAAAGGAAAAUCUGAAAAAUAUUGAAAGGCUCUUAAAGUAGAAACCUGGAGUGAUAUAGAGUGUGAAGAAAGUGAUGAUGAUUAUGCCAAUAUAUGUUUGAUGGCACAAUCGGAUUCAGAUUCAAACUCCGAGACAAACUUAGAUUCAGACAGUGAAUUUAAGGUGAGUAACUUUAAAAUCCCUAUUAAAGUUUCUAAAUACAUUGAUGAAUUGUGUUUCAGUCUUAAGACUUCUCUUAAAAGGAUUUCCAAACUUAAAAAGGAAAAUUCUGCACUAAAACAACAAGAAAAUGUUUUGAAAGAAAAUGUCAAAGUUUUAGACAAAAAUGUUUCUACCUUGAAAGAAAAUGAAGGCAAUCUUUCAAAAGAAAAUGCAUUCUUGAAAAAUGAUAUCUCAAAUAUUUCUAAAUGAUUUUCUAUAGGAUCUGAGAAACUAGAAAAAAAUUCUUUCUGUUCAAAGACCUUAUUUCAAUAAAUCUGAUUUGGGAAUGUCUGCAUAAACCAUUCAUUUAAUUGAUUUUCCUAAAGUAAAGGAAAUAAUUAAGCAAAGACCCACAAGAGAUGCUUACAAAAAUCAUUUUAAAAAGAUCUUUGUAAAACUAGUAGGUCACAAUGCUCUCAGAUGUUCAAAGUGCAAUAGUGCAAAUCAUUUUGAAAAAGAAUGCCCUAUGGUUUGGAAACUUGUUAAGAAAGUAUGGGCAAAAACCGCAUGUCAUACUAACACCAAUGGACCCAAGAAAAUAUGGGUACCAAAGAAAGUUUGAGUUUCUUUUUUAAAUGCAGGUCACUAUCAAGAAAAAGGUAAAAUGGUAUCUGGAUAGUGAUGCUCAAGACAUAUGACAGGAGAUUCAAAUUUUUUGUAAAGCUCGUUCAAGUAAAUUGUGGAAAAGUCUCAUUUGGAGGGAACGGCAAAGGAAGAAUUGUGGGAUUUGGAACUGUAAAAAUUGGAAACCUCACAAUAAGUAAUGUUUCCUUAGGGGAAGGACUCAACUACAAUCUGCUCAAUAUCAGUCAGCUGUGUGAUACCGGUUUCAAAAUCAAUUUUCAAGAGGGAAUAUAUUCAGGAACCAGUAAAGAUUCUACUCAGUCAUUCAUGGGUCGAAGACAUGGAAAUAUCUACCUCUUGGAUGUGAAACCAGAUGCAUCACAAUGUCUAAUCUCAAUUCAAGACAAAGCGAACUUAUGGCACAGAAAACUUGGGCACAUCAAUAUAAAGCAGAUAGCCAAAAUUUCAGCAAAAAGGCUUGUUCGUGGUUUACCCAAUCUAUCAUACCAAAAGUCUGAUCUAUGUACACCAUGCAUAUUGGGAAAGCAGGUAAGAAAUUCCUUUAAACCAAUAAAUCAAGUUUCCACUAAUCGUGUAUUGCAGCUUCUGCAUAUGGAUCUCUUUGAACCAACUAGAACUUAAAGCAUUGAAGGUAAGAAAUAUUGCCUAGUAACUGUGGAUGACUACUCACGAUUUACUUGGGUAUAUUUCCUGGUAAGUAAGUCUGAAACCUUCUCUUACUUUAAAAAGUUUGCUAAAAAUGUUCAAAAUGAAAAAAAGGGUAUAUUAUUUCAAGCAUAAGAACAUACCAUGGAGGUGAAUUUGAAAAUCAAGAUUUUACAAAGUUUUGUGAUGAAUCUGGUUUUCAGCAUGUGUUCUCCUCUCCAUAUACUCCAGAGCAAAACGGAGUUGUGGAAAGAAAGAACAGGUCGCUUCAAGAAAUGGCUAGAACACUUUUAAUUGAAAGUAACAUCUCUUCACGUUUUUGGGCUGAAGCCGUUUCUACAGCAUGUUAUAUUAUUAAUAGAGUUUUUCUAAGACCAAUUCUAGAAAAAAAAAACCCCCUAUGAGUUAUUCAAAGAAAAGAAGCCUAUUGCUUCAUAUUUUCAUGUGUUUGGAUGUAAAUGCUUUAUAUUGAAAAAUGCAAAUGAUCGAGUUGGCAAGUUUGAAGAAAAAUCAGAUGAAGGCAUCUUCCUUGGAUAUUCAACCACAAGCAAAGCAUAUAGAGUCUACAACAAGAAGACUCAAUCUGUGGAGGAAUCAAUGAAUGUCAAAUUCCAAGAUUCUAUGCAAAAUGAAUCUAUUCAGACUCAUCUUGAAGAAUCUGAAUCUGCUCUAGACUCUACAAAGUCUAAAUCUCAGCAAGCAGCUCAGACUUCGAAAGACCAUCAUCAAAUGAUUGAUGAAGAUUCAAAUGAAGAAAGUGAUCAUCAAUCUGAUAAAUCGACCAGUAACUGGAAGCAUAAGUCCAGUCAUCCCAAAGAUCUCAUUAUUGACGACAUUAAUGAAGGAAUUCGCACAAGAUCCAAAAGGCGCAAAUAGUCUAGUGCUGUGACUCUUAUUUCUGAAAUAGAAUCCAAAAGCAUAUAAGAAGCUUUAUCUGAUGAAAGCUGGAUUGAAGCUAUGCAAGAAGAACUCAGGCAAUUCAGCAUUAAUGAUGUCUGGGAGUUGACUCCUAAACCGAAAGGUAAAUCUAUUAUUGGAACUAAAUGGGUUUUCAGGAACACGAUGAACGAGAAAGGAAAUGUCGUAAGAAACAAAGCAAGACUCGUGGCCAAGGGAUAUACGGAAGAAGAAGGGAUAGACUAUGACAAGACUUACGCACUAGUAGCAAGGUUAGAAGCAAUUCGAUUAUUACUUGCUUUUGCUUGUUAUAAGAAUUUCAGGUUAUUCUAAAUGGACAUCAAAAGUGCUUUCCUGAAUGGAUUUAUCCAUGAGGAAGUCUAUGUGGAACAACCAUCUGGGUUUGAAGACCCAAGGAAACCAGACUCAGUAUUCAGAUUGAAAAAUGCCUUAUAUGGUUUAAAGCAAACACCUCGAGCUUGGUACGACAGGCUGAGUAAGUUUUUAAUUCAAAACGGCUUUGUCAAAGGUAAAGUAGACACUACUCUGUUCAUCAAAAGAGAAAACAAAAGUUUUAUGCUUGUUCAAAUAUAUGUUGAUGAUAUUAUUUUUGGAUCCUCUAAUGAAAGUCUGUGCAAGAAAUUCUUUAAGUCUAUGCAAGAUGAAUUUGAAAUGAGCAUGAUGGGUGAACUAACCUUCUUUCUUGGACUUCAAGUGAAACAAUUGAAGAAAGAAACUUUUAUUCAUCAAGAAAAAUAUGCUAAUGAUCUUGUAAAAAAAUUUGAACUUGAAAAUUGCAAAAAGACUGAUAUACCAAUGUCAAGCUCUUUGAAGAUAGGCAAAGAUGAAUGAGGAAAGAAAGUUGACCAGAAGCUAUAAAUGAGUAUCAUUGGUUCACUUCUUUAUCUUACUGCUUUUAGACUUGACAUUUUGUUUAGUGUUUGCAUUUGUGCUAGAUUUCAAGCAGACCCAAAAGAAUCUCAUCUAAGUGCUGCCAAGCGUAUUAUCAAAUACAUUGCAUCAACUCCGAGCAUUGGUCUCUGAUAUCCUAAAAAUGGAGACUUUACUCUUCUCGGAUAUUCAGACGCAGACCUAGCUGGAUGCAGAGUUGAUAGAAAGAGCACCUCGGGUACCUAUCAACUACUUGGAAGCAGGACAGUAUCUUGGUUUUUAAGGAAGCAAAAUACAGUAGCUCUUUCUACAGCAGAAGCAGAGUAUGUAGCUCUUGGAAGUUGUUGUUCACAAAUUCUGUGGAUAAAACAAUAGCUAAGAGACUUUGGAAUUGAAGAUUAAUGCACGGAGAUUAACUGUGACAAUACCAGCGCAAUCAAUCUCACUAAGAAUCCAAUUCUUCACUCAAGAGCAAAGCAUAUAGAGAUUCGACAUCACUUCAUUAGAGAUCAUGUUCAAAAUGAAGAAGUUUCGAUUCAGUUUGUUGGCUCAAAGAACUAACUGGCAGAUAUAUUUACAAAGCCUUUGGAGAAAAAUCAAUUUGAAAUCAUUCGUUCCAGACUCAACAUCUUGAAGUUUGAAGAAGUUAAAGUCUAGAGACUCCUAGACUCAAACGAUCAGGAUUUUCUUUCCUUGGAAUCUCUCAAAGACUGUUAAAAAUGUCUUCCCAAAGAAAGUCUUCGAGGAUCGCAAGUAGGGGACCACAGCAAAUGCGUGAGGGGCCUACGCACUUCGAUCUCAACGAAGAAGAAGAGUUUCCUAGUCAGUAGUAAAGCCUACAACAUUCUUAGCAGUGUCCAUCUUCUCCAUCUAGACAACAGGAGGUUGCUCGACAAGAAAAGGAAGAGAUAAUUGAAGAUGCAAAACCUGUAAGAGUCUAUAAGCCUUCUUUUACCUACACGUUUUAUCGUGCUUUAAAAAGGGGUGGAACUCCUUUGAGCUACAUUGACGAAUUUCUGAAAGACAAAGGGUACAAAAAUGAAACCUUCUUUUUACACAUAAUGGAGUGUUUGGGAAUUGCCCCUGCUGGAUCAGCGGAAGAGGCAUUCGCAAAUAUCCCAAUCGAUCAUCGUGUUGGAGGGCUGAAUCAGAUAGAUGGGAAUGAUGAUGACAAGUUGUACAGUCAGUUUCAACCGAGAAUGGGUGUUGCGGCAAAAAUUCGGGGAAAAAUGACAGACUUGUUUCGAUCGGAGGAACAAAAGCAUCUAUACUCUAAGUUGUUGAAGUGUGGGGUAAUAAACCCUAGAAGUGUAGACUUUGAUUUCCUUGAUGCUGUGAAUGUUAAAUUGAGGGAAAAAUUUAGUCUUCUUCAACUUGAACAGUUCUGUUCUAACUCUACAGAAGCCUAUGCUGAACUCACUACUUAUUUCUAUUCAAAUCUUAGUUUCCUAGAUGCGAAUAGAUUCUUUUUUAGUGUCCGAGAUCAGGACUAUGUGGUGGAUGUAGAUAUGUUGGUUGAUGUGAUUGGGGUUGAGAGAGGGAGAUAUCAACCUAUCAAUGUCUCUAUUACUCGUACUACGUUGGAACUUAUUAAGGAUAAAAGAACCGAGGGAAAGGUUUCCUACUCAAGGAUGAGUGCAUUCAACAUUCUGCUUCACAAGAUUGUGAUUAAUUGCCUCAGACCAAAAUCUACUUCAAAGACUGAUGUUUCAAACUUAGAGGCAAAGCUGAUGUAUGCCAUUAAUGCAGGGAAAAAAGUUAUCUCUUCCACAUACUAUUAUGUUCCACAUGUAUAGGGCAUUGGUGAAGGACAAGGGUCAACUUCCUUAUUCAGCUCUUGUGACAAAGUUAUUCAGACAUUUGAAUGUUCAGCCUCCAUGAAUUCUUUGUGUUCGAUCGUGCGAUCAAAUGGUGGUGGGACUGAAAAUGGUCUCUAAAAUGCGUCUGAAGGAACUCAACAAGGCAUUGGAAAAAUUCAAGGAGAAAACCCCUGUUAAGUCUCAUCAAGUCUCUUCAGCUACAAAGAGAAAAGGAAAGGAGCCCAUGGUAGCUCCAUUCAAGAAAAGAAGAGCUCCCAUUGUUGAGGAUGAAGAUGAUGAGGAAGACAUCACCAUUUCUGCUAUGGCAUUGAAGAACUUGAGUCGUUCUGUUCCAGAAUCAAUGGAGAGACAAGAAAAGGACACAGAUGAGACAGAAUAGAGGACUGGAGAAAGAGAAAAUUUGGAAGCAGAGGAGAAAGAAGCAGAGGAAAGACAAACAGAGGAGAGAGAAGUAGAAGAAGUAGAUGAAGAGGAGGAAAGAAUUAAAGAAGAAGAAGAGAGAGGAGAUCAAGCGGAAACAGAGCAUGAGGAUCACUCUUCUCCACCUGAAGGCAUGGAAACAGGGGGAGAUCAUGAGAAAAGAAGAAUGUCCUCAUAUCAUGCUAUCAGUGAGGGAGUCAAUCACUCUCCAGCAAAUCCAUAGGACAUCUAUGCCUCUCAAUUUCCUGAAGAGGGACAUGAUGUUUCAUCGCCCAAUCUGCGUGACCAUGCUGAUUUGUCAUCGUCUGCCUUUACUCCAUCUGAUCGAGCAGAAGCCAAUACGCAGACUGAAAAUCAGCAUACUUUCGUAGAAUUCUUGAUGUUCUCUUGGAAAUGCGGGGUCACAUUUAUGCUCUGGGAUACGAAGUUCAGAAUUUGUAGAAUGCGGGUCAAGCUUCUUCAGUAUCCUUGAAUAAUCAGAUCCAAGCCAUUUCUCUUCAGAUUCAGGCAAAUGCUAAGGGUGAAGAUGUGGCACAACUGAAUGAGGACUUGAAAAAGCUAAAAGGCAUUGUCCAGUCAAUGGGAGAUUUCCAGCUUGUUCGUGUUCCCAAGCAUUCUUGAAUCCAUUCUUUUUCCAUCUCAACCUUUUUUAUGAUGACAAAAAAGGGGAGAGAUGCGAGAUUUGAAACUUUGAACUUAAUCUUGUUGAACUUUGGUUUUUGAACUUUGGUUUGUCUUGAUGUUUGACUUGACUUGACUUGUGUGUCUGGAUGUGGACUGAAUUUGGGAUUUGGAUUUGACUGCUUAUUGACUACUUAUAUUAAGUACUAUUGAUAUCUUAUGAAUGGCUUCACUCACAUGAAAGACUAACCUAUUUUCUGUGGUUGCAAAUUCUAGUGUUAUCAUUAAGCUAUUUAUCUUUAUAAGAUAUCCAUAUUUGCUUGAGUAAUAUUUUGCAGGUCAAAGUUAUUCAAAUCUGCAGGAAAGUUUUGUCACCAUCAAAAAGGGGGAGAUUGUUGGAGAAAUCUUCCUGGAGUAUUUUGAAGCUGACAAAACGUUUUCAUCAGUAUAGUCUGAAGAUUUGUAGACUCUACUAUUCCAAGUCUGAAGACCUCCGGACUGCCAGACUCAAGUUUCAAAGUCUAUUCUCAUUGACAGUUUCUAGACCGUUGAAGAAGGGUUAUCCAGAACUGGGUGUUUCAUUAAGGAUUUGACCUUAUCGACUGGAGAAGAUCUCUUGGAUGGAUAUGUCAUAACGGAAUCCUUUAUUUGAUCAUGAUUGAUUCAGAGAUUAAGGAUAUGAUGAUUGACGAAGUAUACUUGGAAAGUUCUACUUAUGGAAACCGAGAUCCUGAUUGUAUGGGCAAGCAUAAUUGAUGGGCUAUCGACAUGUUCCUUUAAUAGCUCGAAUGAUCUUCCUAAUUGAUUUCGUCCAAUUGGUAGAUUAGAGGAAUUCAUUUGGUAAGUGCCAACAGAUAUGAUGGUAUAAAGGAGUAUAAAAUGAAGACGUUCCAGUUGUUCGAGUGUGUGCGCGAUAGAAAAAUUCUAAAGUCUGAAGCUCUUUGUUCUUAGUCAAUUCAUUUACUGAGUGAAAUAUUGUACACAAAAGAGAGUAUAUAUUUUGAGAGACCUCGAGGAAAUGUGGUAGAGGUUCUACACUGUGGAAUCAAGGAAGAGAUUUGCUAUAACAUCUCUUUUGUUUAUAGUGAAAUCCAGCCGGUGGGCUGUCAGUGUGGAAGAGUGGACGUAGACUUGAAAUAAGCCGAACCACUAUAAACCUCGUGUUCAAUUUUCUCUUCCCUACUCUCUGCUUUACUUUGAUCAUAAUUCGUCCUGUUAACCAAAGAAGAACUUCCUUCUAUUGUCUGCUUAGUAUUGUUCUUAUAUCAUGAAAAAUUAUUUUUACACAUAUUUACCCCCCUCUAGGUGCUUAUACUAGCUAUCUCAAAAAUAAAAUAAAAAAUAAUAACAAAGGAAUUAGUGUUAAUUAAACCGUGGCGGGCAUGUGUGUUAAGUGUGCCAAAACCGCACAAUUAUUCGCGCACCCGCACGCUGGUAUGGUGGGGUCUAGCCCCACCCAAUCAUUCCUUGAUGUACACAAGGAAACCAUUCACUUAUAAAUCAGCCCACUUCUUCCCACUUUUCCUAUUUGAGACUAGAAAAACACACUCAGCUUGUUUCGACAAACAAACCUCCAACAAUCCCCCACUUUGUUUGUAAAACAAAGAUUUUAGAAUUAAAAUUUAAAAAAACAUACAGCCAAAAUUUUAGUAAGAUUAAUAUACAUACAUAAAGGUCUCUUUCGAGUUAAACCUUUAUUUAGUGCAAGUAUAUCAAAGCUCUAUCAAAGUGACAAGUAGCUCGGCUUUAAACUUGUACUUUAAUGUAAUAGAACCGGACAUACCGCAUAUACACUAACCUCUUGUUUAAGUGAGAAGUUCUAUAUUACUCCGCACUAUUUGUGGCAUCCCAAAAUUCAAGUCAUCCUCUAGAGAAAUUAAAGCCUAUAAUUAGGUAAUGAAAUUACCUAUGGUCUAUGUGUUAGCCAUUAGUUUUCUUAAGGCUAGGUGUUAUUGUGCUUGUGUUUAUGAAUUUUGAAUUUAGGACUAUAGGAUAAAUUAAUAAUCUAUGCUUGGCCAUGCACUUUAUAAAUUAAAUUUCAAUAAAUGAAAUGUCAAAAGACUUUGGCCAUGUGGAAAAUUUAAAGUUUAAAAUAUUUAUAAAAGAAAUUUUAAAAAAAAAAGAGAGGAAAAUGUCAAUUUUUAGGAUGGGCGUUAGGCCCAUUGGCCUAAGCUUUUAAUGGGCCAAGAUGGCCGGCCCAAUAGAGGCCCAAAAGGAGUGGUCGACCAGCCCAUUUGAUGGCCCAAGGUUGGCCCAAGAAGAAGGCCCAUUAACCUUGCAUGUCAUCCAACACUUGUCCUCUCCUUGUUGCCACUUGUUCUCCUCAUGAGAACACUUGUCCCCCCAUGCAAAGAGGGGAUACAUGCAAUAUAAAAGGGAAGGAAAGGAGAGAGAAUGGCUGGUUAGCCAUUCGGCCAAGAGAGAAAGGGAGAGAGAGAGAGAACCGUGCGAGAGAGAGAGGAAGAGGGUGCGGCCGAGAGAGAGAGGAAGGAGGUGGAGCCGAGGGGUUGCCGCCGUCCGUCCGCCGUGUUCGCCGCCGUACACCAUCGUUUCCUUCGGUUUAGAGGCAAGUGGAGUCCUAUAACUUCUCUUGCAUGUGUGUAUAUGGUUUGCAUUUUCGAUUUUGGGUGAUAUUUGUGAGAAAAACCGAGGUAAGGGUUGGUUGUUUUCAAGCCGUGUGACUGUUCUUGUUCGGGUUGUGUGAGUCCGAAACUUGUUUGACCUUGCAUGUGUGUUUAAAGACAGAUUUUUGCUUUGAUGUCUUCAUGGAAGUUGUAGCUAACAUCUUGUACUAUAACAUACUGAAAUUUCGUGAAAAAUGAUGGAGAUUUGAGGGGUUAAAGCCUUGUUAUACGGAGACCUCAGAUCUGUGAUGUUUUCACUGACUUCUUGUUGGAUUCUUGGUUGCAUGUUGGUUUGUGAUGAAAAUAUGACUUCGGUGUCUUCAUGAAAGUUGUAGGUAACACCUUAAAAUACAACAUACUCAAAUGUUAAGAGAAAUGAACAAGUAUAGCCUAGUAAAUCGGCUAGAUCUUGGAGACGAUGAUUCUGGUGAUGUGUUCCGAGACACCCGAGACUUAAUGGACUUAAAUGGUGAUCAUACCUUGGUUAUUUGACCUAGAUCUCUUCAUGAAACUUGUAAAGGACACCUUGAUACAUAACUAUCCGAAUUUCAGAAGAAACUAAAGAGAAUAGAUGGGUGAAAUCUUAAUAUUUCGGAGAUGUGUAUUCUGGACGAUGCGGUAAGGGUUCCAGAAGCUUCAUGAGGUUGAAUAAAAUAAUCUAUAAGAAAUUUGACUUGUAGUUCUUCAUGAAAGAUGCACGAAAAUUUCUUGGAUAUCACCCUGUAAAAUUUCGUAAUUUUUGGAGGCCGAAUGGAUAUUUUAAUUGAAUUUAUUCGGAAACUGUGCAUUUGGUUUAAAUCCGAGAAUCAUAGGAUGUUUUGGAAAAUUGUGGAAUUUGGUAAAAAUUUCAUAUUGGCCAUGAAUUUUGCAAGUAAAUAUCAUCCUAUGGGUUUGUUUAAUAAUUUCUUGGAUUUUUGUAAUCUUGGGAAAUUAUUGAUAUUAAAAUAAAAUAAUAAAAUAAUAAUAAAAUAAUAAUAAAAUAAAAUGGAUUUAUAUUUGGCCAUGGAUUCAAUUCUAUUUGUGUGGCAUAUGUGUGAUGAGGUCUUUGCACAUGUAUUGGAUUGAGAUGUAUAUGUGAUAAAGUUUUGGUAUGCGUAUGACAUGGUCCUUGUACAUGUAUUGAAUUGAGAUGUGUAUGGGAUAAAGUUUUGGCAUGUGUAUGACAUUCGAAUUGAGAUGCAAGUGUGAAUUCCAUGUCAAAUGUGAUUUGUUUGAUACCAUGCCAAUUGCCAUGUUAAAUUGAGAUAAGGAAAUGGUAUAUGUGGGUGAUGAUGCUCGGUGGCCUAGUGGCGUAAUUCCGGAGAUUCCCCGGGAGUGUCGGGAUGCCCGGUGGUAUACGGUACGUAAUUCCAGGGGAGGCCUGGUGGUAUGUCGGUACAUAAUUCCGGAAGCCCUGUCGGAGGUCUUUGCCCGAAGGGAAUGCCUCGCGAUGCCAGAUUUGGGUGCGAGAUGCCUGGCUAGAAAGGUAAAGGCCAGAUGUCCGGUUGUAUCUGGAUACAUGCCCGGAGGUUUUUCUCGCAUGGGAUGCGAGUGUAAAUAUGGGAUGAAUUGAUGAUCGAGGAAGGGUGAUGUGGUGAUCAAAUUUAAAGAUAAAGAUGAAAAUUAACUCAUGGCAUGAUAUGGUAUGAUAUGCAUGAUGAUAUGCAUGAUGAUGGUGAUGAUAUGUGAUGUGAUAUGAUGAUCACCCAUGGUAUGAUAUGCAUGAUGAUAUGCAUGAUGAAAUGAUGAUAUGUGAUGUGAUAUGAUGAUCACCCAUGGUAUGAUAUGCAUGAUGAUAUGUGAUGUGAUAUGAUGAUCACUCAUGGUAUGAUAUGCAUGAUGAUAUGCAUGAUGAUGAUGAUAAUAUGUGAUGUGAUGAUAUCAUGAUAAGGAUGACAUGUAUGAUAUAGUGAUGCCAUGAUGAUGAUUAUUAUGAUGACAUAUGAUGAUAUGAUAUGCAUGAUGAUAAGGCAUGAUGAUGCAUGAUAGUAUUACGCAUGGCUGCAAGGUAAGUUACGCCUGCAAUGCAUGUAUGAUUUGCAUGAUGCAUUGAGUUGUUAUUGGAUUCCUUUAUCUGCUGAGUGGUUGUACUCACCCCUUUUGGGGACCAACAUUUCAGAUUAGUAGAUGGUUUGAACGGUUGGAUGUGACCGUGAGGAGGAGGAUAACAAGGGAAGGAGCUUUUGGACGCUGACACGGAUCGAUGGACUUAAAGUGUAUGACUGUUUGAGGAAAUGUCGGUCAUCUUUUGGAGUGUAGCCGAAUAUAAAAGACUACGGCAUUUUGAUGUACCGAUGAAUGAUGUCCAUCUGAUUUAAGUAAAUAAAAGUGUACGGCUUUUACUUAUAAAUAUUUAGUAGGUGUGCAUCGUUUUCUGAAUAUAGGGAAGUGAGUUGUUGGACGUGCUUCCAUAUAUGAAUUGCGCAAGGGACCUUUAGUUGAAAAGAAAAAAAAAAGUGUAAACCCCCAUGGUUGUAUGGACCCGCUGCAAUUGAAAUGGUAUCAGAGUAACAUGUUAAUAGGGAAAUUGAAAGGUAGAGCGAACUGUGGCGACCCUAACGGAUCGGGGGCCGUCGAGGGGUGUCACACUAUUAUGGCCUUGUGCUUGAUCAUGUUUCAUGAGCUCUCUAGAAAGCAACCCUAACUUUCGUAAGAAGUGGCACCACUUCUAAGCUCAUAUAGGUGAAGUAUCUACCAUGUGUUUCUGUUACUAUCAACACACUACAAACUUGUAUCAUACUUUAUUAAGAAUUCAAUUCAGCCUACAAAACGUAACAGACGAUACUGACUUCUCAUAUCAGGGCUAUGUCAGUAUCAAACAAUCACAUUCAAUAACUUGUUCUUACCCAUUAAACCUUGUAACUAGUGAUGUUCUAGAAAAAUGUCGGGUUACCAUUUUUGGUGAUUUCAAUUAAAGGGUUUCAGCCCAAUUUCUUGUGAGGUCGUUAUUACCAUAUGGGCUUGGUNNNNNNNNNNNNNNNNNNNNNNNNNNNNNNNNNNNNNNNNNNNNNNNNNNNNNNNNNNNNNNNNNNNNNNNNNNNNNNNNNNNNNNNNNNNNNNNNNNNNNNNNNNNNNNNNNNNNNNNNNNNNNNNNNNNNNNNNNNNNNNNNNNNNNNNNNNNNNNNNNNNNNNNNNNNNNNNNNNNNNNNNNNNNNNNNNNNNNNNNNNNGAAUGCCGUCGAUGUGUUGACGAAGUGCGCUCUAAGGAGGGGAGGCGAUGCCUAGCUAGAUAUCAGUAGAUAGCCGGAUUGUGAGUAGGCUAUGCCCUGGUGUGACAGUGGAUAAUGAUGAUUUGGAAAUGCUUACUGUGAUUGCGAAAUUGAGUGAAAUUGAUUGAGUUCCGAUAAAUUGCCUUCUUGUCAUUACUUGUGCUUAAGUGAUAUGAAUUGUACUAACCUGCAGGGAGGCAAGAAGGUGAGGUAAGUCUUCUUGAUGUCGUGGCUAAGCUACUCUGGGGCGUAUUUACUUUCUAAUAGGGGUUUAGGAGGGGUGAACUUGCUGAGACAAAGUCUCAUCCCGGUUUGGGGAAAAAUAUUACAGGACCGUAGAUGGCGAGACCCCCGGAGAUGAGUGGCCUGCCGACGGAGAUUGACCAGACGACGGAGAGUGCUCCUGACCCUGGGAGUCCUUGGGUCUAUCAGUUGGUUAGGACCCUCAUCUGGGUCGAAGUGAGCGUGCACGGCAGGGUACCGUACAUGUUUAGGGCAUGGUUUCGUACCGGAGCAGAUGGUGUUAGGGUCGGCCCCCUAGAUAGCAUGGAUAUUCCGCUGGCAGUCUUGAAUGCCAUCCUGGGUGAAGGUGUGGCGGACCUUCCUACCGGUGGAGUGAUCAACGCCUCGCCCCCGCAAUCUUGGGUGUCAGAUCCGGAGGACGUGGGAUCGUCCAAUGGGGCUGACCUGUAGUUCUAGAGUGGUUGAUUGUUUUCUUUUUGGCGGACUAAUCCUUGCUAUGUAGGCUGACCCCCUUUUGAUGCACAUAAACUCUAACCCAUUUUUGGUGCAUAUAGCCUCCGGAUCCUGUUGAUGUAUGUAAGACUUGGAUUGUUGAUGAUGUAUGGAAUUAUGCUCGUUUGAUUUUUGAAUUAAUUCUUCCUGCUGUCCUAUCCCGCGAGUUUUUGUCAGGGGUUUUAUAAUACAUUCCGCUUGCGCAUUAAUAAAUGAAUGGGUCGGCGACUUAUCCUGGGACGUCGCAUUUGAAUGACCAUGGUGGGAUGUUGACGCGUUCGAGGUUCGGGGCGUGACAGAGUGUCUAUCACUUCCGCUUCAUCCUACAUCAUUCUUGGAGGAUCGGGGAAUGUCUCGUGAAUGCUCAGGGGUAGUGGGUUUUGCCUCCCUUGCCCUUGGUCAAGUGGCAAGCUCCGCCUUUCUUGUCUUUGUCGUUCAGAACUUCCCCCAUCUCUUCCAUGGUAUCCUAAACCAGUAGGACAGGACCUCUGAGGGGCUUCAAUGGGGCUUUGAAUGCCCUGACUAUUUCUCCCAAGACCAUUACUAGGGACGAAGCCAUUCCCAACCAUUACUCUUCCCACCAUGAGGGCAGCAUCUGAUACUUUAGGGGUAGGCGGUGAUGAACCCCGAGAAGCAUGUAUGGUGGACACCAAUUUAAAUGAGUGGUAACUUGAUUCAAAUUGGGAAUCCAGCUUUACAUAGGGGAUAUCCGUCUCAUGAUAGAUCCGGUGGUCUUCCUCACUAUACAUAGUGACCAACUUCUUUUCAAUCACAAAUUUCACAGCUUGAUGUAGACUUGAAAGCACUGCUCCAACAGUAUGUAUCCAGGGACGACCUAGCAGAAAAUUGAAUGCAGUAGGGAUGUCCAGCACUUGGAAGGGAAUGUUGAAAACGACCGGUCCUAUUUGUACAUCGAGGUGGAUUUCCCCGAUCACCUCCUUUUUUGUUCCAUCGAAAGCUCGCACCGAAGUUUUCGCGACAUGUAUCCUCGACGGGUCUACCUUGAGGCGGUGAAGAGUGGCCAAUGGAUAAAUGUUCAGAGCAGAUCCAUUAUCGAUGAGCACUCGGGACACAUGGGAAGACUUGUGCUUAACGGAUAUGUAGAGUGCUUUGUUAUGUCCCCUGCCUUUGAGAGGGAAUUCCUCAUCAGAGACGCAAUCAAAUCCUUAAGAUGACCGAUCCCAGAAUUCUUCCAGCUUGUCUGCUUUUAUAAUCNNNNNNNNNNNNNNNNNNNNNNNNNNNNNNNNNNNNNNNNNNNNNNNNNNNNNNNNNNNNNNNNNNNNNNNNNNNNNNNNNNNNNNNNNNNNNNNNNNNNGAUGCACGGGGGACGUCAUCAAGAGCUCGAGUAAGGAGAUCUGAGCGGGCAUCUUUGCGGUUGGUCAAACCACGUUAUACUCGCUUGCUUUGAUUACGGCCAAAAACUCCUUAGCUUCUUCAUCGGUGACCGGCUUUUCAGGUUGAGCACUUGCUUGACCAUCGGUCUAACCAGACCUUGUUACAAGGUCCACAUCCAGGUCAUAGGACCAAGGCACUGCCUUAUCAUUGACAUACUCAUACGGCUGAGGCACCUCUAUCACUAUCUUUCGUCGGAUGCAUCUUUUAAUGGGGGCAUGUCCACAGGCGAAGGAUCAACCUCUUUCUUGUUAGCAUCAAGUGCAGCCUGCUCCUCCUCCCAAUCGAUGAUGAGGUGGGAAAUAGUAGAAACUAUACAAUUACGAUCAGCAUACACAAUGAUACCGUCAUCCACCAUUUUGGCAACUCUUUCUCUCAUCAUUGAUAAAGAGACAUCUUCUUGACCUCGGUAAUACCCAGCUCUCACUAGCCCGUUGUGGGCAUCUGCCACGUGCACCUUUGAGUUCCUGAUCCUUCCGACUUCAGGUUCCAGGAUAGUAUUCACCGUACCCUCAUGCUUUGGUAACAUAUUUUUCUAGACGUUUGGCUAAGCAAUUUGGAAUGGAAAGGCCUUUGUGUCCAGGAGAUUUUGGAUCUUGUGCAUGAGGGUGAAACAUUCAUCAGUUGAAUGUCCCAGUUUACCGUUAUGGUAGUCACAUUUCUUUGUCGGGUCGUAACCGCAAAUGCCUUUGCGGUUAGGGCGCUUUGGUUUACUAGUAAGCAAACCCUUCUUUCGGAGGACUGUCAGCACUUGGGAUGGAGAUCCGGGGAGAGGGGAGAACUGCCUUCUAUUAUUUGCUUAGGCGAAUGAUCGACGGCCAGCGGGUUGUUGCUGUCUUGGGUUCACUCGUAUAGUCGGGGCACGUUUGGCACUUUCUUGGCUAUAAGCCAUGUUCACAUCCACGGCUGCUUCCUUCUCCUUCUUAGCAGAGAACCUUUUAGUAGAUGACUCAGAAAACCAUCAUUCCCUUAUCCCCAUCUCGAUCUGUUCUCCAACAGGAAUAAGCUGAUUGAAGCUCUCGACAUGCGUACUAGCCAUUGGGUUACGAAACUCAAAUGGAAGGGUCUUCAUGAAUAACUUCAUCAACUCCUUGUUGGUGGGCUCAGGAGUAAUUUGGGUCGCCAGGUUUCUCCAUCUCACAUCAUACUCUUUAAAUGACUCGCUCCUUUUCUUUUCCAUCCGCUCCAAGUCUUCUCGGGAAGGCGCGAUGUCCAUGUUGAACUUGUGCUGUUUGAGGAACGCGUCUGCUACUUCGUUCCAGGUUUUGAGGAGGUUUACGUUCUUCAUCACGUAUUAGUUUAGUGCGGGCCCAAUCAAACUCGCAUGAAACGAUUGGAUCAUAAGGGACUCAUUUUUGACGUGCUGGGCUAUGCGCACGUGGUACAUCUGCAAAUGAGAUUUCGAACAAGAUGUCAUGCCAUACUUCUCGAACUCUGGCAUUUUGAAGUUGCUUGGCAUUUUGACCUACUAAUAGACCGAGAGGUCGGAUGGGAGUGAGCUUUGAGACUCCUGUAGCUGUCUCACUUUCUCUUCUAGCUUUACAACGCACUCAUCCUGAUCUGCCUUGGGAACAUUGUCAAGCUUGGCCUUUUCAACAAGGACCAUGUCAUCUUCCAACUCAAGCAUUUCGUCGUCACUCAUUUAGGCCCUAUUUGCCGGCCUUGGAGCUCCAAUUUCAGGGAGAGCGGGUGCAGGAUUUGGAUUCACCCGGAAGGAUUGAAAUUGAGCUGUUAUAAGCUGCAUAGAGACAGCUAGCUGUUGGAGUUGCUCUUCCAUGGAGGACAUAUGAUCAUGCAUCUCGUUUUGGUUAGCCAUUUUAGCCUUUGAUCACGUAAUAAUGAGAGGGUGCGGAGGAUCCGUUAUUACCUAAUUUGAAUAAAUGAAUACACAUAAACACUUCAUAUAAAACAAUGCCGGUCCAUGACGAAAGUCUAACCGCUUUUAUUCAUUACUGAAAUUGUUUGACAUUAAUAAUGUAAAGAACUUGUAAAAUCUUAAACUAAUCAAGUAAACAACUCAACUUCCUAAACAUUAAGCUAAAGUAAAAAGACCGAAUAGAUUCAAGCCACUUUAUUUGGCCCGAUCUAUAAACACAUGGGAAGCCAACGCUCGAUGUAAUUGCCUCUUCUCCUUAGCGUCCUUCUUGGCUUGCUCUUCAAGUUCUUCAAUCUUCCUCUUGUGACGGUUAAGCUCCGCUUGCCGAGUGGGCUUCUCGGUCACAUUUGGCACAUUUGGGAGAUACUCGGCUGGAAUCUUGUGCUGACGAAUGUAUCGAGCUGUGGCAUAGUAAGUUUUUUCAUUCCUCUCAAGCUCAUCUUCAGGUAAGAUCAACUUUUGUUCACGACAUGCGAGCCAAGCUUGUUCGAUACAGUGAAGUUCUUUCUUGUGAUUGCCAUCCAUAACAGUGAAUUGGACUUGGAACAAACCCAGCUUGAGAGGGAGCAGUAGAUCUUGCACAACUCGAUACUGACGAGCCACUUGGAGUGGGUAGUAGGAAAUGGCACCGAUGAUCCCCAAUAGCGGGAUCGGCUCAUCAUCGCCACGAGAGAGAUGUGCUUUGNNNNNNNNNNNNNNNNNNNNNNNNNNNNNNNNNNNNNNNNNNNNNNNNNNNNNNNNNNNNNNNNNNNNNNNNNNNNNNNNNNNNNNNNNNNNNNNNNNNNAGCCUUCGUCAAUUUCUAGGUGUAAGUAAUGUACUUGACCUCACAUAGGACAAUUGUUAUGGUACCAUCUUUAAUCAAUUGUCUCACAUAUUCAUGUCUUAGACUAAUGUGUCUAGACUUACCAUUAUAGGUGCUACUAUAGGCUCUUGCCAAAGUGGCCUGACUAUCAUAAUGGAUAGAAAUAGGAGGCAUAAGACUAGGCCAUAAUUUGAUAUCUAACAACAAAUUUCUAAUCCAUUCAGCCUCUUUCCCAGCUACCGCCAAAGUAAUAAAUUCAUAUUCCAUUGUUGAGUGAGUUAUACAUGUCUGUUUCUUGCUUGCCCAAGAUACAGCACCUCUAGCUAAUGUGAAAAUCCAUCCAGAAGUGGAACGCUCAUCUCCCACACUUGUAAUCCAACUAGCAUCAGUGUAUCAUUCUAAUACAGCCGGAUAAUUAUUGUAGAACAAUCCUAAAUUUUUAGUUCUCUUAAGAUAACCAAAAAUUCUAGUAAUAGCUCUCCAAAAUUCUGUACUUGGAUUACUAAUAUACCUACUCAACUUGCAUACAAAAUAAGCAAUAUCGGGUCUAGUACAUUGCAUCGCAUACAUUAAAGACCCUAUAGCACUUGCAUAUUUUAGUUGUGCCACCGCUCUACCAGUAUUAUAAUUUAAUUUAAUAUUAGAAUCAAAUGGAGUACUUAUUUCUUUAAAACCAAGAUGUUGAAAUUUAUUUAAUAAUUUUUCAACAUAACUACAUUGGCUUAAAGAAUAACCCACACUAUUUUUCUUAACAUUAAUACCUAAGAUAAUAUCUACUUCACCCAAAUCCUUCAUUUUAAGCAUGGAAGUUAGAUACUUCUUAAUCUCAUUAAUUCCAGUAAUAUUUUUCCAAAGAUAAGCAUAUCAUCAAUAUACAAGCACACUAAGACAUCAUAGUCUUUAGUGAAUUUAGAGUAUAUACACCUAUCGGCACUACUAUUGAUGAAACCAUUUGACAAUAUGACCGAAUUAAACUUUUCAUGCCACUGCUUAGGAGCUUGCUUAAGUCCAUAAAGAAACUUAAUCAAUUUACAUACUUUUCUUUCAUUUCCAAGAAGAACAAAACCCUCCAAUUGUUCCAUGUAAAUCUCCUCAUUUAAGUCUCCAUUUAAGAAAGCAGUCUUAACAUCCAUUUGAUUAACACAAAGAUCAUAAAUGGAAGCUAGAGCAAAAAGAACUCGAAUAGAAGUUAUACGUGCAACAGGAGCAUAUGUAUCAAAAUAAUCUAUUACUUCUUUUUGUCUAUAUCCCUUAGCUACAAGCCUAGCUUUAAAAUCUUGAAUAGAACCAGCAGAAUGAUAUUUUCUUCUAAAAACCCAUUUGCACCCAAUAGGUUUUGAUCCUUUCGGUAAAUCUACUAAUACCCAAGUAUUAUUGUACAUAAUUGAGUACAUUUCAUCAUUCACAGCUUCUUUCCAAAAAGAAGCAUCUCUAGAAGAUAUAGCAUCAUUAAAGCUUCUAGGAUCAUCUUCUAAAUUUAAUACUAAAUGAUAUUUAUUUAUCACGUUAUUAUAUCCAUCUCCUUCAACAAGAAAAACAUGAGUUAUAAAAACAGGACCUAAGUCUUUUAUUUUCCUAGCUCUAGUACUUCUCCUUGGUUCAAUCAUGUCUUUAGAAUCAUUCGUUUCUUUCUCUUGACAAUCACUUUGAGUUUCCAUAGAUCUUGAAUUAUUUUCAGUAAUUUCAGAACUUGUAAAACAUAUAUUCUCAAAGAAUUCAACGUCUCUCGAUUUUACUAUGACAUUAGACUCUAAAUCAAGAAGUCUAUAAGCUUUACUAUUUUCAGCAUACCCAAUGAAAACACUUUUGAUAGCUCUAGGACCGAGCUUUGUUCUCUUAAGAUCUGGAGCUCGGUAGUAUGCCAAACACCCCCACACUUUAAGAUAUGAUAAAUUUGGCUUUCUACCUUUCCAUAUUUCAUAGGGGGUUAUGUCAUUUUUCUUGGAAGGUAUUCUGUUAUGAAUAUAGCAUGCAGUAAGUAAUGCUUCUCCCCAAAGAUUAAUUGGUAGAUUUGAAUUUGAAAGCAUACAAUUAACCAUUUCUCUAAGAGAUCGAUUUUUCCUUUUAGCUAAACCAUUUUGUUGUGGAGUAUGUGGUGCUGAAUCUUGAUGAAUAAUAUCAUAUUCUUCACAAAACGAAGAGAAUUCAUUUAAGAAAUAUUCUACACCUCUAUCUGAUUGUAGAACUUUAAUUUUCUUUUCUAAUUGAUUCUUUAUUCAGCCUUAUAUUUCAUAAACAUGGUAAAUGCUUAAUCCUUUGAUCUCAUGAGAUAAACAUAUAAGAACCUACUGCAAUCAUCCACAAAGGUAAUAAAAUACAUUUUACCUCCACGUGUUAGCAUACCAUUAAAUUCACAUAUAUCACUAUGAACCAAAUCCAAUAAAUUCGAAUUUCUUUUAACACUAGGAAAUGGCUUCUUAGUAAAUUUUGACUUAGCACAUAUUUCACAUUUAUCAAAUUCGCCAUUAAAAUUUAUCAAGUCUAAUUUUCUCAUAUUCUUCAAAUAACGAAUAUUUAUAUGUGUCAACCUACUAUGCCAUAAAAUUGAAGACUCGACAAUAUAAGAAGAACUAUAAAUAUUAUUAUUGAUACUCAGUUGAUACAUGUCAUCAUUGGCAUAACCCUUCCCAACAAACAGCCCAUUUUUCGACAGGAUAACCUUGUCGAAUCUAAACAGAAUCCGAAACCCCCUUUUACAAAGUAAAUCAAUAGAAACUAGGUUCUUCAUAAUUUCAGGUAUAAAUAACACAUUAAGAAGAGUUAUCUUCUUUCCAGAAGUGAAGUCUAUCUCCACCGUACCUUUUCCAGCAACCUUUACAAGAGCAUUAUUCACCAUCAGGACCUCUUAAACAUUUGAGUCAACAAUCUCUUCAAAUUGCUUGAACAUGUACUUGUCCUUGCACACAUGGACUGUUGCUCUAGAAUCUAUCCACCAACCGGAUUGGACAGUGGUAGAUUUAAUUUCAGAAACCAUAGCCAUCGCAUCAUUGAUUUCAGAAAUUUCCAUGUUUGAAAACAUGUUUGAAAUCAUGGCUACAUAAUUUUCUUCAACCAGAUUUGCAUCUGCUUUCACCACCGGAAUGUUCUUGUCCUUUGAAAUGCUCUUGCGGUGAAUACAAUCCUUGGCGAAGUGUCCCUGUUUGCCACAAACAAAACAGCAACCCUUUUGCUUCUUUUGUGUUCUCUUGAAUUUAUGCCCCCCGCUUUUUACUUUGAAGUUCUGGCCGAGUUUCCGUUUUUUGUCCACAGCAUUCACCUUGGAAUUGUACAAAACAGAAUUAUCAUGUAAACGUGACUCUUCCUCAAUGCGAAGAUGUUUCUGUAUUUGCUCCAAAGUAAAGUCUCCCGACUUGUGAAUCAGCCUUUUUACAUAGUCUUUCUAACUUGGAGGCAAUUUCGCAAUAAUUGCUCCAACUUGAAAAGCUUCUGGAAUAUCAAUUUUGAGGGCAUGAAUCUUAUUCACAAUCACUUGCAAUUCAUGGACUUGUUCUAGCAAGGGUUCAGUAUUAAUAAACUUGAAAUCAAAAUACUUUGUGAUUAGAUAUUUGUUGGUACAUUGCUCCUCCGCUUUGUACUUGAAUUCCAGUGCAUUUCAAAUUUCUCUGGCCAACUUUAUUUCAGUGAAUAAGUCAUACAGACGAUUGGAUAGUGUGUUCAGAAUGUUUCCUCGACAAAGUAAUUCAUCCUCCGCACGUUUCUUCUUUUCCUUAUUAACCCUCUCAAUGACUUCCGCACUUAGCUAUCCUCCCUCGACAGUAGGCUUAGGAUCUUCUAUAGCCGCCAAGAGUUAGGAUCUAGUAGGUAGGAAAUCUUCAAAGCAGUGAGUAAGAACGUCAUCUUGUCUCUCUAGCGAGCAAAAUCGUUCCCAUCGAACCGGUCCAAUUUGACCAUAUCUUGAUUCAUAACUUUGAUUGUCUCCAACUCCAUUGUAGCAAACUAAAUCCUUAAAUUUUUUGUAAAAUUAUGGCUUUGAAAUUGGGUAGAACAAUGAAAUUGGAUCGAGUAAAAAAACUCGGACUUUGAGGCCCGAUAUUACUUUCUUUAAGGAUUUAUUUGCCCCACAACGUUGCUAAUGGUCACCAGCAAAAAUCCUCCAGGAUACAACAAAGUCUCGAAUGAGAAUACUAGAUAGCAAUUCAAGUAUUUCUCCAGGGUCUCUCUAAGAAACAAUCGAAAAAUUGGCUGCUGUUUUUCAGAAAGAAGACUCGAAAAUGACCACUCUUUUUCUUUUCGAAAAAUGACAAGUAUAUAUAUGAAACAGUCUUGCAACUCUUCGUGAAAAUUGCGAACAAACACGUCUUUUUUAAUAAAUUGUUCUGAUAAACAAAUGCGACUCUUCGGAAGAAAUCGAAAACGAACAAUUGCAACCCUUCGGGAAAAGUUGAAAACCGGAUAAGUAAUUUUCCAAAUGUUGUACUGAAAGAACACAAAUAAAAUUCGGAAUAAUUUUUUUAAUAGAAUUUCGAAUUUUCAUUUUAUAUAUUUUAUUUCCGAAUUUCUCAAAAAUAAAAGAACCUUUGAAUUUACUAAAAAUUAAUAAAAAUUAAUAAAAAAAUAACAAAGGGAUUAGUGUUAAUUAAACCGCGGGUGCGUAUGCGUGUUAAGUGUGCCAAAUCCGCGCAAUUAUUCACGCACCCACACGCGGGUAUGGUGGGGUUUAGCCCCACCCGAUUAUUCCUUGAUGUACACAAGGAAACCCUUCACUUAUAAAUUAGCCCACUUCUUCCCACUUUUCCUAUGUGGGACUACUAGAAAAACACACUCAGCUUGUUUUGAUAAACAAACCUCCAACACAUACUAGAGUGACGCUUUAUUCUCCCCCAACCAAGCAUUCAAUACUAACACCGUGUGCAACACACUCUUAAGACUAAAUGCUACACAUAGAUACAAAGCUUCGGUUUGUGUUUGGUUUGGUAGCGAAGUUAAGGAACAGUAAAAUGUUACCGAAUGUUCUCACGAAAGCGAAGUUGGGGAUAAAAUGCUGGCGCGGUUGAUAUGAGUGUCGGGGAAAUCGAAGGUUUCUUGUUCAAGUUUCACCACCUACGGUUCACGAGCUUUUAUGUAGCUCGAUACCUUCACUCAUGCCUUUGCAUUAUUAUAAAACAGUUGGAGAUAUUGCGUGGGUUUCCUAAAAUUAAAAACCACACUUCUAUUGUUUUUUAUUUGGAGUUAGAGUGGAGCAAUGUUGUUUUGUUUUGGUCUAGGAAAAUAACGCAAAUAGUCAUUAAACUUCGGUCCAAUGUGUUAUGUUCUUACUGAACUUUUAAUUUAUUUAGUAUGGUUGUCGAACUUUUUGUACAUGUUUAAUUUAGAUCCUAGGCUAGAUAAAUCCAAUGAUGCUGUGUUUGAUCGUUCGAACAUCUUUGCUAUAUGGGAUAAUGAUAGGAUAAAAAUCCCAUCUAAUAUUUCUUGACGUUCGGAUAUAACAUGAUUCAAAUAAAACAAAUUAAAAUGAGUGUUUGAUUUGUAUAAUUGAAAUUAAAAAUAAACCAUGGAAGUCGUAAAUACUAUUCAUCAUUUCCCAAUCUUCAUCCAUAUCAAGCACCCCCAUUCCAUGUGACUUCAAGGACGCUCGCUCCUUCUGUAACACCCCUUUCGCUGCCCUUGAUCAACUUGAUGGAAGUCGUAAAUACUAUUCAUCAUUUCCCAAUCUUCAUCCAUAUCAAGCACCCCCAUUCCAUGUGACUUCAAGGACGCUCGCUCCUUCUGUAACACCCCUUUCGCUGCCCUUGAUCAACUUGAUGGAUUACGCUCGCUCUACCUUUUUGUUGGAGAAAUCAUCUUGAAGUGUUUUGAAGUUGACAAAACGUUUCCAUCAGUCUAGUCUGAAGACUUGCAGACUUUGCUAUUUAAAGUCUGAAGACCUCUGGACAGCCAGACUCAAGACUCAAAGUCUAUCCUCAUUGACAGGUUCUAAUCCGUUGAAGAAAGGCUAUCCAAAACUAGAUGUUUCAUUAAGGAUGUGGCCUUAUCGACUGGAGAAGAUCUAUUGGCUGGAUAUGACAUAACGGAAUCAUUUAUUUGAUCAUAAUUAAUUCGAAGAUUAAGGAUCCGAUGAUUGGGAAAGUAUACUUGGAAGGUUCUAUUUAUGGAAACCGAGAUCCUGAUUGUAUGGGCGAACAAGAUUGAUGGGCUAUCGACAUGUUCCUUUAAUAGCUCGAAUAAUCUUCCUAAUUGAUUCCGUCCAACGGGUAGAUUGGAGAAAUUCCUUUGGUAAGUGCCAACGGGUAUGAUGGCAUGAAGGAGUAUAUAAGGAAGACGUUCCAGUUGUUCGAGAGUGUGCACGAUAGAAGAAUUCCAAAGUCUGAAGCUCCUUGUUCUUAGUCAAUUCAUUUGUUGAGCAAAAUCAUGUAAACAAAAGAGAAUCUAUAUUCGUGAGAAACUUUGAGGAAGUGUGGUAGACCAUCUACAUUGUGGAAUCAAGGAAAAACUGUGAUGUAACUUCUCUUUUGUUCAUAGUGAAAUCCAGCCGAUGGGCUGUCAGUGCGGAAGAGUGGACGUAGGCUUGGAAUAAGCCGAACCACUAUAAAUCUUGUGUUCAAUUUUCUCUUCCCUAACCUUUACUUUACUUUGAUCGUAUUUUCUUUUCUAUCAUUUGCCUAGAAUCGCUUCCAUAUCUCGAGAAAUUGUUUGUGCACCUAUUCACCCCCCUCUAGGUGCUUAUACUAGUUAUCUCAAUUAGUAUCAGAGCCUGUGUACUCACUUUGUUUGAAGUGUUUUAUUUCAGAGUUAAAGAUCCAUAACUAGUAUGUUGGCUCCAGGGCUGGUAGAAGGGCAAAGCAAUACCAGACCACCUUACUUUGAUGGAAAGGAUUACAACAUAUGGAAAAACAAGAUGAAAGCGUUCCUAAGAUCAAAGGAUCCUCCGGAAUGGGACGUUGUAGAAAAAUGAAUCAUUCCUAAAGCUGCAUCUGUCUUAGAAAGAGGAAAAGAUGUUGUUGAGUCUAGCAAAAUGACUCAGGAAGAGAUAAUCAAGAGACAAGCUCUUGAUGCAAAAGUAAUUUAUUCCUUAUAUUGUGCUUUAUCCCCUAUUGAAUAUAACAGAAUAUCUUCUUGUGUUACAACUAAAGAAGUCUGGGAUAGAUUACAUAUUACCUAUGAAGGAACUGAUCGAGUGAAAGUGACUAGAAUCAACAUUCUCCUCGGUCAAUAUGAAGCCUUCAAAAUGAAACCAGGAGAAUCUAUAAUUGAUAUGUUUAGUCGUUUUACAGAAAUCGUGAAUGGUCUUGAAAAUCAAGGUCAACCAAUUUCUGAUCCCAUGAAAGUAAACAAGCUACUGCGUGGACUCUCCAAGGAUUGGAAUCACAUAAAGACCUCAAUCAGAGAGACCCAAAGAAUCAUGCCACUAUCUGUUGAUGAGUUGGUUAGGACUCUUCAGUCUUAUGAAGUGGAACGAAUCAAUGAAGACAAAGACCCUAAAGGUAAGAAAUCCAUUGCAUUAAAAUCUAAUGAUAAUUCUAAUGUUACAGAUUCUGAAGACGAUAUGGAUGAUGAGGAACUUGCUCUCAUGAUAAGAAGAUUCAGAAAGUUGAACAGAAAAGGAAGAAGAUUCAAUCCAAAGAAACAAAGUUUUCAAAAGCAAUAGACAAAGUUUGUUGAGGAUGAUGAAUCAAACAAAGAUGUAGUCUACUUUGAAUGUAAGAAAAAGGGACACAUCAGACCCAAUUGUCCUCUUCUGAGGAAGAAGAAAGGAAAAAUUGAAAAGUAUCGAAAAGCUCUUAAAGCUGAAACCUGGAGUGAUACAGAAUGUGAAGAAAGUGAUGAUGAUUAUGCCAAUAUAUGUCUGAUGGCACAAUCGGAUUCAGAUUCAAAUUCCGAGACAGAUUCAGAUUCAGAAAGCGAAUUUGAGGUAAGUAACUUCAAAAUCCCUAUUAAAGUUUCAAAAUACAUUGAUGAACUGUGUUUUAGUUUUAAGACUUCUCUUAAAAGAAUUUCCGAACUCAAGAAGGAAAAUUCUGCUCUAAAACAACAGGAAAAUAUUUUGAAAGAAAACGUGAAAUGUUUAGACAAGAAUGUUUCUUCUCUUAAGGAAAGUGAAGAUAAUCUUUUAAAAGAAAAUGCAUUCUUGCAAAGUGAUAUAUCAAAUAUUUCCAAAAGAUUUUCUAUAGGAUCUAAGAAACUGGAAAAAAUUCUCUCUGUUCAAAGACCUUAUUUCAAUAAAUCUGAUUUGGGAAUGACUGCUGAAACCAUUCCUUUAAUUGAUUUUCCUAAAGUAAAGGAAAGAAUCAAACAAAGACCCACAAGAGAUGCUUACAAAAAUCAUUUUAAAAAGAUCUUUAUAAAACCAGUAGGUCGCAAUGCUCUCAGAUGCUCAAAGUGCAAUAGUGCAGAUCAUUUUGAAAAAGAAUGUCCUAUGAUUUGGAAACCUGUUAAAAAGGUAUGGGCAAAAACCACAUAUCAUACUAACACCAAUGGACUCAAGAAAAUAUGGGUACCAAAGAAGGUUUGAGUUUCUUUUUUAAAUGCAGGUCACUAUCAAGAAAAAGGUAAAAUGGUAUCUGGAUAGUGGAUGCUCAAGACACAUGACAGGAGACUCAAAUUACUUCAUAAAGUUUGUUCGAGUAAAUGGUGGAAAAGUUUCUUUUGGAGGAAACAGCAAAGGAAAAAUUGUGGGAUUUGGAACUGUAAAGAUUGGAAAUCUCUCAAUCAGCAAUUUUUCAUUAGUGGAAGGACUUAAUUACAAUUUGCUCAGUAUUAGUUAGCUAUGUGAUACUGAUUUCAAAAUCAACUUUCAAGAGGGAAUAUGUUCAGGAAUUAAUAAAGAUUCUACUCAGUCAUUCAUGGGUUGAAGACAUGGAAAUAUCUACCUUUUGGAUGUGAAACCAGAUGAAUCGCAAUGUCUAAUCUCAAUCCAAGACGAAGCAAACUUAUGUCACAGAAAGCUUGGGCACGUCAAUAUGAAGCAAAUAGCCAAAAUCUCAGCAAAGAAGCUUGUUCGUAGUCUACCCAAUUUAUCAUAUCAAAAGUCUGAUCUAUGUACACCAUGUAUAUUGGGAAAAGAGGUAAGAAAUUCAUUUAAACCAAUAAAUCAAGUUUCCACUAACCAUGUAUUGCAGCUUCUGCAUAUGGAUCUUUUUGGACCAACCAGAACUCAAAGCAUUGGAGGUAAGAAAUACUGCCUAGUAAUUGUGGAUGACUACUCACGAUUUACUUGGGUAUAUUUCUUGGCAAGUAAGUCUGAAACUUUCUCUUACUUUGAAAAGUUUGCUAAAAAUGUUCAAAAUGAAAAAUGAUAUGUUAUCUCAAAUAUAAGAACAUAUCAUGAAGGUGAAUUUGAAAAUCAUGAUUUUACAAAAUUCUGUGAUGAAUCUGGUUUUCAGCAUGUAUUCUCCUCUCCAUAUACUCCAGAGCAAAAUGGAGUUGUGAAAAGAAAGAAUAGAUCAUUUCAAGAAAUGGCUAGAACUCUUUUAAUUGAAAGUAACAUCUCUUCACGUUUUUGGGCUGAAGCAGUUUCUACAGCAUGUUACAUUAUAAGUAGAGUUUUUCUAAGGCCUAUUCUGGAAAAAAAAACCCCUAUGAACUAUUUAAAGAAAAGAAGCCUAUUGUUUCAUAUUUUUAUGUAUUUGGAUGCAAAUGUUUUAUACUGAAAAAUGAAAAUGAUCGAGUUGGUAAGUUUGAAGAAAAAUCAGAUGAAGGCAUCUUCCUUGGAUAUUCAACCACAAGCAAAGCGUACAGAGUUUACAACAAGAAGACUCAAACAGUGGAAGAAUCAAUGAAUGUUAAAUUCCAAGAUUCUAUGCAAAAUGAAUCCAUUCAAACUCAUCUUGAAGAAUCUGAACCUGCUUCAGACUCUACAAAGUCUAAAAUAGCUCAGACUUUGAAGGACCAGCAACAAGUGACUAUUGAAGAUUCAAGUGAAGGAAGUGACCAUCAGUCUGACAAAUUAACCAGCAACUGGAAACAUAAGUCCAGUCAUCCCAAAGAUCGUAUUAUUGGUGACAUCAAUAAAAGAAUUCGCACAAGAUCCAAAUGGCGCGGAGAGUCUAGUCAUGUGGCUCUUAUUUCUGAAAUAGAACUCAAAAGCAUAGAAGAAGCUUUAUCUGAUGAAAGUUGGAUUAAAGCUAUGCAAGAAGAGCUCAGGCAAUUCAGUAUUAAUGAUGUAUGGGAAUUGACUCCUAAACCAAAAGGUAAGUCUGUUAUUGGAGCUAAAUGGGUUUUCAGGAACAAGAUGAACGAGAAAGGAAAAGUCAUAAGAAACAAGGCAAGACUCGUGGCCAAGGGAUACACACAAGAAGAAUGGAUAGACUAUGACGAGACUUACGCACCAGUAGCAAGGUUAGAAGCAAUUCGAUUAUUACUUGCUUUUGCUUGUUAUAAGAAUUUCAAGUUAUUCCAAAUGGAUGUCAAAAGUACCUUCCUAAAUGGAUUCAUCCAUGAGGAUGUCUAUGUGGAACAACCACCUGGGUUUGAAGACCCAAGGAAACCAGACUCAGUAUUCAUACUCAAAAAGGCUUUAUAUGGCUUAAAACAAGCACCUCGAGCUUGGUAUGACAGACUGAGUAAGUUUUUAAUUGAAAAUGGAUUUGUUAAAGGUAAAGUAGACACUACUCUUUUCAUUAAAAGAGAAAGCAAGAGUUUUCUACUUGUUCAAAUAUAUGUCGAUGAUAUUAUUUUUGGAUCCACUAAUGAAAGUCUGUGCAAGAAAUUCUCUAAGACUAUGCAGGAUGAAUUUGAAAUGAGCAUGAUGGGUGAGUUAACCUUCUUUCUUAGACUUCAAGUGAAACAACUGAAUGAAUGAACUUUUAUUCAUCAAGAAAAAUAUGCUAAUGAUAUUGUGAAGAAGUUUGGACUGGACAAUUGCAAAAAGGCCGAUAUACCAAUGUCAAGUUCCUUGAAGAUAGAUAAAGAUAAAAGAGGAAAGAAAGUCGACCAAAAGUUAUACAAGAGUAUCAUCGGUUCACUUAUUUAUCUUAUUGCUUCUAGACCUGACAUUUUGUUUAGUGUUUGCAUUUGUGCCAGAUUUCAAGCAGACCCUAAAGAAUCACGUUUAAAUGCUGCAAAGCGUAUUAUCAAAUAUAUUGCAUCAACUUCAAGCUUUGGUCUUUGGUAUCCUAAAGGGGGAGACUUUACUCUUCUUGGGUACUCAGACGCAAACUUAGCCGGAUGCAGAGUUGAUAGAAAGAGCACCUCAGGUACCUGUCAACUACUUGGAGGCAAGACAGUGUCUUGGUUUUCAAGAAAGCAAAGUACAAUAGCUCUCUCUAUAGCAGAAGCAGAAUAUGUAGCUCUUGGAAGUUGUCGUUCACAAAUUCUGUGGAUAAAGCAACAGCUAAAAGACUUUGGAAUUGAAGAUUCAUGCACGGAGAUUAAAUGUGACAACACCAGCGCAAUUAAUCUCACCAAAAAUCCAAUUCUUCACUCAAGAGCAAAGCAUAUAGAAAUUCGACAUCACUUCAUUAGAGAUCAUGUUCAAAAUGGAGAAAUUACGAUUCAGUUUGUUGACUCAAAGAACCAACUGGCGGAUAUAUUUACAAAGCCUUUGGAGAAAAAUCAAUUUGAAAUUAUCCGUUCCAAACUCAACAUUUUGAGGUUUGAAGAAAUGAAAGUCUAGAGACCCUCAGACUUAGACAAAUAAGACUUUGACUAUAAGUUAUUCUCUCUCUCUAAUCUCAUCUUGAAAAGGCACGUUCAUCAAUCGUGUUUGAUUAUUGUUAUCUCAACCGCUAUCUUUAAUUAAUGAGAUUAUUGCAUCGUUUCCUUUAGAAAAAGGAGUUAUUUUGAAAUGACCAUUUUUCGAAAAAGGCAGUUAUUUUUUUAAAAAGGCAUCUUUUCACUUUCCAUUACGACGAUUGGUAUCCCCUCCUUUCGACUGUCUUAUAUACAGUCGGUUUCUCUUUGCUUAACUCCAAAACCCUAAAAAGCAUCAAUCUUCCAUUCCUGUUUUCUUCUCUUGUUUAAUCUUUGAAAAAGUUGUCAUCUUUCUUGGGAAAGUCAAGCAAAGAAUCUUUCAAAGACUAAGAAAGAUUUCGUAUUCAAGAAAGUCUUCAAGGAUCGCACGCAGGGGACCACAGCGAAUGAGUGAGGGGCCUACGCACUUCGAUCUCACUGAAGAAGAAGUGUCUCCAAAUCAGCAGCAGAGCCCACAACAUUCUCAACAGCGUCAUUCUCCUCCAUCUAGUCCUCAAGGUGUUGUUCAUCAACAAGAGGAAGAAAUCAUUGAAGAUGCAGAUCCUGUAAAAGUUCAAACGCCCUCUUUUAUUUAUAAGCUGUAUCGGGCUUUCAAAGGGACUGGUACUUCAUUGAACUAUGUCGAUGAUUUUCUUAAGGACAAAGGAUAUGGAAAUGAAUAUAUCUUUUUGCGAAAAAUUGAAAGUUUGGGAAUUGCUCGUAAAGGGGUGGCAGAAGAAAGCCUUGCGAAUAUCCCAAGUGAUCCUCGGGAUUGGGGAUUUAAUCCGGUAGAUGGAAAUGAUGAUGACAAAUUAUACAGCCAAUUUCAACCAAGAAUGGGAGUCGCGGCGGAAAAUCGAGAAAAAAAGGGAGAGUUGUUUAGAUCGAAGGAACAGAAGGAUCUAUACUCAAAACUGUUGAAGCGUGGGGUGAUAAACCCUAGGAGUGUGGAUUUUGAUUUUCUGGAUGCUGUGAAUGUGAACUUGAGGGAAAAUUUCGGUCAUCUUCAACUUGAAAAAUUUUGCUCUGACACCACAGAGGCCUAUCCUCAACUAACUGCAUAUUUCUAUUCAAAUCUUAGUUUUUUGGAUGCGAAUAGAUUCUCCUUCAGCGUCAAAGAUCAAGACUUUGUAGUAGAUAUGGAUAUGCUAGCAGAUGUGUUAGGAGUGGAGAGAGGAAGAUAUCAACGGAUCAAAGUUUCUAUUGCUCGUACUACACUGAAACUUGUUAAGGACAGGAGAACAGAGGAAAAGAUUUCCUAUUCAAGGAUGAAUUCAUUCAACAUCUUGCUGCACAAAAUUGUAAUAAAUUGCCUCAGACCAAAAUCAACUUCCAAGACUGAUGUCUCAAGUUCAGAGGCAAAGCUAAUGUAUGCCAUCAUCACUGGGAAAAGGUUUUCACUUCCUCACACUGUUAUGUUCUACAUGUAUAGAGCUGUGAUGAAGGACAGAGCUCAACUUCCUUAUCCAAGUCUUGUGACGAAGUUAUCCAGACAUUUGAACAUUCAGCCUCCGCAAAUUCUUUGUGCUCGAUCGUGCGAUCAUAUGGUGGUAGGAUUGAAAAUGGUGACCAAGAUGUGUCUGAAGGAACUAAGCAAGGCAUUGGAGAAAUUUAAGGAGAAGACUCCAGUCAAAUCUCAUCAAUUCUCUUCUAUAGGAAAAAGGAAAGGGAAUGAGCCCAUGGAUGCUCCAUCCAAGAGAAGAAGAGCUCUCCUCGUUGAGGAUGAAGAUGAUGAGGAUAACAUCACCAUUUCUGCAAUGGCUUUGAAGAAUCUCAGUCGAUCUGUUCCAGAGAAAGAGUCAGAACAGCAGAUAGAAGAAAGAGCAGAGAAAGAAGCAGAGGAAAAAGAAACGGAGGAAAGAGAAGAAGAAGAAGAAGAAAGAGAUGCUGAGAAAGAGAGAGUUGAAAAAGAAGAAGAAGAGAAAAGAGAUCAAGAAGAAGGAGAAAAUGAGGAGCACUCUCCACCUGAAGGCAUGAACACAGGGGGAGACCAAGAGAAAAGAGGAAUGUCCUCAAAUCCUGUAACCAGUGAGGGAGUCAGUCAAUCCCCAGCAGAUCCAGAGGAUAUUUAUGCCUCUCAGUUUCCUGAGGAAAGUCAUGAUGUUUCUUCGCCAAAUCUGUGUGAUUAUGCUAAUAUACCAUCGUCUGCAUUUACUCCAUCAGAUCGUGCCAAUGCUAGUAUGCAAACCGACAAUUCAGUAGACUUUCGCAGAGUAAUGGAUAUUCUCUUGGAGAUGCAAGGUCAGAUAUAUGCAUUGGGAUGCGAAGUUCAGAACUUGCAGAAUGCAGGACAAGCUUCUUCGGGUUCAUUGAAUGAUCAAAUCCAAGCCAUUUCUCUUCAGAUUCAGGCUAAUGCUAAGGGUGAGGAUGUUGCACGACUGAAAGAAGACUUGAAAAGGCUAGAAGGCAUCGUUCAGUUGAUGGGAGAUUUCCAGCUUGUUUGUGUUCCCAAGCAUUCUUAACUCCAUUUUCAUCUCAAUCUUUUUUAUGCUGACAAAAAUGGGGAGAGUUGCGAGGACUUGAAAAACUUUGAACUUAAAUUUGUCGAACUUUUGGCUUGUUUGGUUUGUGGUUUAUUUUGACUUGACUUGUGUGUCUGGAUGUGGACUAAAUUUGGGAUUUGGAUUUGACUACUUAUUAUUGAUUUCUUAUGGAUGGCUUUAUUGCAUACUGGACUAACCUAUUUUCUGUGAUUGCAAGUUCUAGUGUUAUUCAUUUAGCCAUUUAUCUCUAUAAGAUAUGCAUAUGUGUUUGAGAAAUGUUUUGCAGGUCAAAGUUUUCCAAAUCUGCAGGAAAGUUUUGUCACCAUCAAAAAGGGGGAGAUUGUUGGAGAAAUCCUCUUGAAGUGUUUUGAAGUUGACAAAACGUUUCCAUCAGUCUAGUCUGAAGGCUUGUAGACUCUGCUAUUUAAAGUAUGAAGACCUCCGAACAGCCAGACUCAAAAUUCAAAGUCUAUCCUCAUUGACAGGUUCUAAUCCGUUGAAGAAAGGCUAUCCAGAAUUGGAUGUUUCAUUAAGGAUGUGGCCUUAUCGACUGGAGAAGAUCUCUUGCCUGGAUAUGACAUAACGGAAUCCUUNNNNNNNNNNNNNNNNNNNNNNNNNNNNNNNNNNNNNNNNNNNNNNNNNNNNNNNNNNNNNNNNNNNNNNNNNNNNNNNNNNNNNNNNNNNNNNNNNNNNNNNNNNNNNNNNNNNNNNNNNNNNNNNNNNNNNNNNNNNNNNNNNNNNNNNNNNNNNNNNNNNNNNNNNNNNNNNNNNNNNNNNNNNNNNNNNNNNNNNNNNNNNNNNNNNNNNNNNNNNNNNNNNNNNNNNNNNNNNNNNNNNCCAGUUGUUCGAGAGUGUGCCACGAUAGAGAAUUCCAAAGUUUGAAGCUCAUUGUUUUAGUCAAUCAUUUGUUAAGCAAAAUCGUGUAAACAAAGAGAGUCUAUAUUCGUGAGAAACCUUGAGGAAGUGUGGUAAACCAUCUACACUGUGGAAUCAAGGAAAAGCUGUGCUGUAACUUCUCUUUUGUUCAUAGUGAAAUCCAGCCGGUGGGCUGUCAGUGUGGAAGAGUGGACGUAUGCUUGGAAUAAGCCGAACCACUAUAAAUCUUGUGUUCAAUUUUCUCUUCCCUAACCUUUACUUUACUUUGAUCGUAUUUUCUUUUCUAUCGUUUGCCUAGAAUCGCUUCCGUAUCUCGAGAAAUAGUUUGUGCACCUAUUCACCCCCCUCUAGGUGCUUAUACUAGCUAUCUCACUUUUGACUUCGCCACAUUGAGAGGCCCUUGGGUUUGAGUUCUCCGCUGGUCUAGCCAUCUUUACUUUCAACGCCUUUUCUUGCCUUUUCCUACGAUGAAUCCAUCCCCUUCGACGAGUGUCAAUACUGCAUUGAUUCCCAGUUACCGUGCCCCGACUUGUUCAGUCGCUUCAACAGCUUCCCCCGAGACAGCGUGCGGAUCCGGUUUGUGAGUGGUAGCACCAUCGGUACCACUCGCUCCGAGUGACGUGGUUGAGGAGCUCUAUCGCCUUGGCUGCCCCCUCUUUCAGAUCAUCUUCUUCACAGAGAAGAUGUCCAGCUUUGAUUGGGAUCACAAAGUUCCCUACUAAAAUGGAGUUAAGUGACAUAAGAAAGAGGCAGGGCUGACGAGCUCCGAUGCCACUUUUCCAAGGCAGCCAAAGGUGGUAAGCAGCUUGUCACUGGUUGUGACAGUCUGAUUUUUCGCUUCUGUUUUCAAUUAAUUCGGGCUUUUCGUCGACGUGCCUAUAGCGCUAUUCUCUGAGCUGAUCACUCAUGAGAUAACUUGACUAAUCGGGAAAGUUAUUAAAGAAUUUUGGUGCAACAGACUUGAAAAUUCGACCAGGAAUCGACUGCUCGACCGUGUUAGUCUACAAGGAUCAGUUCGGCACAGUCGAAAAUCUAUCAGAAAUCGGAAAUAGGUCGAUUCGAUAGAAAUAAAAUUAGGCUUGGGUGAUUCCAACUAAUUUACAAAUUUCUCGUCGAUCGGCACUAAACCGAUUUUUCUGUUGUUUUGGUACCCUGUGCUCGUAAUUGAAAUCUCGAGAUUUUUCACGACAAUCGAGAGUUGCUAAUGCGUCGAAAAUAUAUAUCGUGGCUCGGGAAUAAUCGACCACGGGUCAGUGCACCAAAAGUUCCCAAAAACUAACCGAUAGUUUAAGUUGUGCUAGAAAUCACAUUUUGACUGAAAUUAACCGAGGAAAUGAUGUCGAUUACAGAAAUUAAGAAUUGUCACAUGUCACAAUUCAUCCCAAGGACAUUGUUGCGUCUUCUCAAAAUUUACGGAUGAUGGGAAUUGCUCACGAAAUAUGCAAGAUCAGCAAAUUAGAAGAGCAAGGGAAUUGCCACAUUUUAAGUAGGAUUUUAAGACCUCUAAUGUGAAACAAUUUAAGAGGCAUUAUAAUUGGUUACUAAAGGACUUGACCCUAUUGAAUGGGAUAUUAGAUUGGUAAUUAAAUAAAAAGAGAGGUCUCCUCAAAAAGGAAAUUCGUAGGACUCCCUCUCUCCUACAACCUCACCUCAAUUUCCCUUGGUAUUUAAUGAAAAUUGACUUGAAAAGAUAGGGGGACCACUUGAUAAGGAAGAAACUCAUUCUCCAUGGAAAAGACUAUGAGAGUCACUUCAAAUUCGNNNNNNNNNNNNNNNNNNNNNNNNNNNNNNNNNNNNNNNNNNNNNNNNNNNNNNNNNNNNNNNNNNNNNNNNNNNNNNNNNNNNNNNNNNNNNNNNNNNNAAAUGUUUCAGCUAGAAUAGUAUUGACAAAACUUAUCCUAGCACACACUUGUUUGACCACCCAUGCGACAAAAGGAUUAAUGGCGCCCUUACGAAGAGGGAAAAUAACAAAUCUGAAAGAAGCUAGGAGGAAAAUCCUACUUUUUAAGAGAGUGUUAGCACUAGUAAAACUCUGAUCUAGAAAAGAAAAAUGACAUGCAAGACAAUUAUCUUUCAGCACUCUUUUUAUCAAAUUCUUAUCCAUCUUAAGAAAAUUUGACAAAAUUGAUUUUGGUUCUAAUCCGAUGGGUGGAUUUAUUAAUUCCAAUUCCAAGGGUUUUCCUAUGGCAAUAUUGUAUUCUUCCAGAGUUGGAGUCAGCUUAUGCUUACCAAAUAUAAACGUUGAUGUUCGGGGGCUCCAGAAAUGAGCAAGUGCUUGCAUGACGCCACUCUAGACAUCAAUGUCAAGGAGGGGAACAAUGCGACCAAGUCUGCUCUCUACAUAGCUUUGGUUCUCGUGGCCUAAACAAUCCCACCAUGAUUUGAGUUCAACCUUUGGUGCAGGCACGAAUCGAAUGUCGGAUCUUCCCAUUGUUUAUAGACCAGGACUCGACCAACCUAAUGUCAUGGACCGACCAAAUACAUAAAUAAGUAAAUUGCAAGAGUAAAGGAUAGAGAGCUUACUUUACCAUACGAUUAAAGCCAUCACAUAGACAGUGCAUGAAAGUGUAAGGCUCAAUUUCUAUAUAGAUGGGCUUAGCAAAGUGGAGUUAAAAGGGUGGGAUGACUUAGUUGCAGUCUCGCAUACUAAGUCAAGUCUUCCUAACUCCGGGCUUAGUCGAGAAUGAUACCCCAAUGCGACGGAGCCUCGCGGGAAAAGGUAAACAUUCUUAACACCAAGAAAAACUUUCGGAAUGGAGUUGGGCAACUUCUACUACGCGGCCUCGCGGUUGAAGUUGUAUCCAACUCAAUACCAUCCUAAGUGUCCUAGUGCGGCCCAGGUCUGGCGGCAGGUUGUGUGUGCAAAAGUAUAGUAUAAAUGCAAGACAUACACAACAGUUUAAAUCAAGCAACAGUUCAAUAACUUGAAUUUAAAACAUUCAUCCCUAACUUCAACCUGCAAGACAGGGGUUAGCAAAGACUACUCCCCUUAUAUCUCCCCAUCUGCAAAAAUAUUUAACACCUUAAAUAUUAGGGACGUACCUGGAAUCCUCGUUGCCAAACAAAAACAUUUUUCAUAAAGAAGAAAAUUGGCCUAAGUCCACUAAGUGUUUUAACACAAGUCCCCAACGGAGUCGCCAAGUUGUCGCGACCAAUUUUUCGGGGUGUGAACUACCUAAAAAUUGGCUAAUGGAUUGUUAAGGCUAAACUUAACUUAGGCUCUCCCAAGCUCAUACCAAUUCACGACUUAGGUUUAAGUUCUUAUCAUGCAAUUGAUUUUUUAACCAGGAAUCGCCACUAAUCUAUUUUUUGGUGGGUCGAUUAGAAACCCAAGUAAAGUAAUGGGAGUUUCACUUUACUCCUACAAACCAAAUAUUAUGGGCACGGGGACUUGGUUACACUAGAUUUCUUUAAUGCCCAUUCGGUACCACUUCUUUUUAAUUUUCAAAAAUGUUUUUUGCAGGCAAUUUAAACUGAUGUUAAAUCUAAUUCCAUAACAUGUGAAAUGAUCAUGCGGAUACCCAAUUCACCAAUUUAACACCUGGAUAAACAAUAAAUAAAUUGCAAAAACUUACCUCAAAGCAACAAAAUCAUCUGCAAUGUUAAAUUAAAAUCCACAUCAACAACCCUAGAUAUGGUUUCUAAUUAACACGUAAUUUCUUUUUGUUUUCACUUAAUUAAUGAAAAUCAUGCAAUAUGCAAUGCAACAUUAACUAAAUGACCUAAUUCUAAUGACAUGUAAUUUCUAAUUAAAUGGGCCAAGCAAAAAUACUAAAUGACAUUCAUCUUAAUGAAUCUAAACCUAAUGACGUGCAUAUGACAUUUUUUCUUUUUCCUAAAAGAAUGCAUUUUAUCCUAAAUAAUAAAACUAAUUUAACCUAUGACAUUUUUUGUAUUUUUUAUGAAAUUCGAAAUUAGAAAAUUGUGAAAAUUAUCUAAUUAGAUGAAGAUUCUAUUCAAUUUGUAUUAGGAAUUAGGUUGAACUAAAUCCUAAUUUAAACUAAAAUAUUAUCUUAACCCAAAUAAUCCUAAAAUGCAAUCUAUUCAAGAAAAUACCUAAACUUAUAAUAAAUUAAGAAAAGUAUUAUCUAAAACUAAACUAAGUGCAGUUUUACCCUAAUAUGCAAUGAUAUACAAAACAUGCCAUAAUUCUACAUGACAAAUGCAGGAUGAUUUUUUUGUUGUUUUUCCUUUUUUCUUUGUUUUUUAUUUUGAAAUUAAUAAUUGCCAAAUAAUUAAACAUGCAUUCCAAGUUUAAAGAAAAAAAAAUAGCAACCUAAAUAAAUUGAUUUGACUUCUUUUUUAUUAUUUUUAUUAUUUCUUUGAUUUUUAUUUUUUAUUUUUUAAAAAUUUCGAAAUAAUAAAACUCCUAUCCUAAACAUGCAAGAUAACCCUAAACCAUGCAAUAUUCUAAUUCAAACAUAUUUCAAAAUAAACAAAGCAAUCGAGACAAGCCAAACCAUAGAUAUCAUACAUUGUUCAAAUCAAGGGAUAGUAUUUCGCUAGUAAAAUCGAUAGAUUAAUCUUAAGCCUUAAAGAUCAAAAUAUCAAUUUCAUUCUCGCUUAAUUAAUUAUUUCAUCUAAAGCCUUAUAGAUAAAAUAAAAAAAUUCAAAUGCGGUUGUGAAUCAGGUGGCACAUCAUAAUUUCUAAAUAUGCAUUGGGAAACAUUUCGACUAAAGAAAAGCAAGAAAUAAAUAAAAUAUAGAUAAAAUGAAUUUGCAUAAUAAAAUAAAGUAAAUCUACCUAAUUUGAUUUUUUUUUCUUCCAAAACAGAGUUUGGCAACUGGUUCGGAGCUUUGGGGCUGGAAGUCAGGUGUUGGUGCAGACACGAGUAAGGCAAGCAGCGGUAGCGUGGGCACGAAGCUAGCUGUCGGGCACCGAGGAGAGGUGAGCAGCGACGGUGCGAGCUCUAGCGGCAUCGGGUUGCGGCAGGGACAGCGGCACGGCAGCGGCUGAGCGUCAGGUGGAGAUGAGCAGGGGCGCCAAGACUCCUGGUGCUGCAGAUUGGCGACGGCAGAGGCGGAUCAAAGGUGUUCGGGUCGCAACUGUUGUGCUCGGGCUGCUGCAAGUGACGGGGUUGUACUAGUGUUACGCGGUUGCAGAGGCGCGGGUCGUCACAGGCAAAGGUCACCGGCAAGGGGUCACUGCAGUUGUUGCGAGCGAGCGGCAGCAGGAGGGAAGCAGCAAUAGUGGCGUCGGGCUCUAGUGGUGCCGGUCGCGGCUAAAGCAGGGAACAUCAAGAGCUGGGUUGCAAGUAAAUCUCGGGCACGGGUGUCGGGGAGCUCCGCAGGUGUCGGCGGGGGCAGAGAUGCGGACGGAGCGGCGAGACCGGUGGCGCAGCGUGGCGGAGGUGAGCGGACCAGCAAGGUGGCGAGGCGCGGUGGUAUCCGGUGUGGCACGGAUUGGCGCAAUCGAGGGGGUCUUCUCUGUUCUAAACCAAAACCCCCACUUUUCUGACUUUGACCUAAAACAAAGAAAUCCAGAAAAAAAAAAAAAGACAACUUUUCCUCAAAUUCUUUUUCUCUCAAUUCUCUUGAAAAUUCCCCCAUUUUUCUUUUCAUUUUUUCGUUUUAUUUGUUCCGAUGCAAUUUUUAUUUUAUUUAUUUUCCUAAAUUUGCUAAAAUUAGGUGUAAACAGAAGGUUUAUUUAGCCUAACUAAAUGGGAGGCUAUAUCAAUGGGAGGUUUUUCAUUGUAACAUUCCCUUGUGCUUGGAAUUUGUAUUUUAGUAAAGGAUUUUAUUAGCAUAAUAGUCUUUGAAUUAUUAUGAGAAUAACAAUUUAUUAUGAGUCACAAAUUUUUAAAGUAAUGAACCCCAUAAUAAUUUCAAUUAUUUGUUAUUUGAUUUUUUGUAGUUUGGAAUAAAAAUUAUCACCAAAUUAUUUCUUUUUAACAAAUAUAUUGCUUAACUGUUGUUUUCAAUUAAGUUUGCAUCGGAGAAGAGAUUACUUUGUUUUGCUACGCUUGUCGGAUAUUGCACAGGAUAUUGUCAUUUUCUUAGCACUAGCAACGUUGCGUUCAGACAAGGCGGCAUGGAAUUAUUUGCUUAGCUGCACAUCGCACGACCAUACAUUCAUGGACUGUUCCUCAGGAAAACAUAUAGACAUGUGGCAGAUGCAGAACAUUUCACGAGAUUAAAAAAAAAAAGAAAAUAAUUUUUAAAAAACAAUACUUUCGACUUCAAAACGUGUUAAUCGAACGCCUGCUACUCCCGCCAAUAAAGCUCAGCUCCCCCAACGGCUUCGUUGUCGUCUCGAACUGUCCAUUCUCCAUUCUCUGUUCUUGCAUCGACCUCGGGCUAGACGAUGGUGGCAAUGGCGUCGUCAGACGGUGAGGAGGAUCGAGUUGGGGUCGUAGGGUCUCAAGGUCUCGGCACAGGGGCUGGGCUGCAUGGGCAUGUCUACUUCGCCAGCCCUCCCGAGCCCAACCCCGACACGAUCGAGCUUGUCCACCACACCGUUGAAUCUGGCGUUGCCUUCCUCGACACCUCCGACAUCUAUGGCCUUAACGCCAACGAAGUCCUCCUUGGAAAGGUCGGUAUUUUAUUUUGUAGAUAUAAUUGAAGAUCUUCAUCAUGAUGCCAAUCCUAUUUGCGGACUAAUUGAUUUGGUCAAUUUGUAAUUGUUUAGUGAAUUUGAAAUUUAUAAUUCUUUAUAUAUUAUUUAAUUUUUUCUCUUUCAUUCCUACACUAUAAAUAGACCAAUGAACUAAUAUACAGAUUAAUCAAUAUAUAAUGAAAUUUUCUUCAUUUUCUCUAUUAUUUUCUAUCAUGCUGUCAGUGUCGUUCUUCCUCACCUAGCUUCCCAUAUCUUAGAGUUGCCUUUCUUUUUCUCUUGGGUUUUUUUUUUUUUUAAUUGCAAGUCCUCAUCCUGCAAUACAAAUCAGCAAAUCGAUUAGGAAUUCAAUUUAUUUAUUUUUUUCGAUAUCAAGGCAAAAAUUAAGAACACUGAGAGCUCCACUACCUCACCUCAAAAUCAAGCCCCAUCACCAUCGGAUUCGAUUAUGAUUUGGGACAAGAUAUUUUAAUCAUUUUGAGAUAAUCUUUAACUGAUCAUGCUCUUCUAGAUACACAGCGAUUGCGCACUUCCAAAUGCUUAUUAUGUCAAGUAACAUGACAAUCUGAUGGCAUGCAAUGCAACCAAUUUUGCCCUCGUUGAUGUAGAAUUUGGCGUUAAAAGGAAAAUGAUAGUUGCUCGUAUGCUCUCUGCUUAGACAUUGCUUUAUGUUAUGAACUACCUACCAAGGUUGCGGCCAGAGAACUAAGCUCACAACGCGAAGCUAUUCGACCAAGUGAAUGGAAUUGCACAAAGAAAGGGAUGCACCCCAUUGCAGUUACCCCUCGCCUGGGUACACCACCAGAGUGAUGACAUUUGCCCGAUUCCUGGCACGAUCAAGAUCGAGAAUUUCAACCAGAAUAUUGGAGCUCUGUCAGUGAAGCUUUCACCAGAAGAGAUGGCCAAGCUCAAAUCGAUUGCUUAUGCGGACAAUGUUAGAGAAUUGAAACCACAUUUGAUACUAAAUUAUGCCUAGGUAGGAAUUCAAAACUCCACCUCCCGCUUUUCAUGUGGGAAGGUUGGCCCCACCUCGCGCUUAUGGAAAGAGUAAUCACGAAGACACCACAAUAGUUCAAUUGACGUGAGCAGGUACGUCUUCCCUACAUGGUAAGGGUCGUCACUGGGCGUGCAAUUGACGUAAGCACGUGCGUCUUCACAGCCACUAUCGCUCCCCUCCCACUCUUCGUAGCUUCUGCCACUCCCCUCCUAUAAAUCUCGGCUCGCCCGACGCCUUCGCCAUCGUCUCGGUGCAGUGCAGGGAACCAUCGAGCUCGAGCUAGACUACGGCAAUGGCGGCAUCGACGACAACGGUGAGGAGGAUCAAGCUGGGGUCGCAGGGCCUGGAGGUGUCGGCGCAGGGGCUGGGCUGCAUGAGCAUGUCCGCCUUCUAUGGCCCUCCCAAGUCCGAGCCCGACAUGAUCGCCCUCAUCCACCAUGCCGUCGGCUCCGGCGUCACCUUCCUCGACACCUCCGACGUCUACGGUCCUCACACCAACGAAAUCCUCCUCGGAAAGGUCGUUCUCUCAGUCUCUCUUUUGCCUCUGCAUGAAUUAUUAUAUAUGCUUAUGGUUUUACGGAACUUAGCUUCAUCGAGCAGGAUGCUCUGAUCCUGCGCCUUGGUUUUCUGAUUUCGGGGUUGAUUUUGAGCAGGCACUGAAGGGAGGGGUGAGGCAGAAGGUGGAAUUGGCGACCAAGUUCGGAGUCAGAUUCGCGGACGGGAAGAGGGAGAUCCAGGGCGAUCCGGCGUACGUGAGGGCUGCUUGCGAGGCCAGCUUGAAGCGGCUCGACAUCGAUUGCAUCGACCUCUACUACCAGCACCGUAUCGACACUCGCGUCCCCAUUGAAGUCACUGUAUGGAUCCCUUAUCAAACUUUCACCUCGCUUGAGACUUUCUCUGAGCCAUAUGAUGCAUCGUCAUGUUGUUAUAAGUCUGUUGAAUUUUGUUAAAUGACACUUAAGUUCAGCUGAUAGCAGAGUUCAAGAUGCGGCACGGUGUUGUUCAAGGGUUGUGAAAUUUAGUAGUUUAGUGGCUUGAGUUUUCGUUUUGUGGGAAUCUUUUACAAGUUAAGGGUCAACAAGCGUGGAAAUUAUUCGAAAUCUUCCUUUAAGAUGAAAGUGCUCCGGGGUUCAUCCUGAAUUUAUAUACGGGAAUCACAUAUAAAGUUGUUCCUGGACUUUAUACGGAGACAUUUGAUUCUUGACAUAUUGUGAAAUAUGACAAGUACUUGGAAUACUUCUUUUAUUUGCUCUCUUCUGUGAGAGAUUCAAGAAAUCUACCUCCGUUAACUCAAUACCUUAUGGGUUUUUUGUCGCAUUGAGAUGCAUGAUAAUUGAGGGAUCUAGACACAUAAAAAGCUAAUGACAAAAAUAAUUUUCUGGAUCUUAACAUGUAAGAUCUUGAUGUUGUUGUUCUGUCAUGUGAAUAUGCACAGAUCGGAGAGCUAAAGAAGCUCGUUGAAGAGGGUAAGAUAAAGUACAUCGGUUUAUCCGAGGCCUCUGCAUCAACAAUCAGAAGAGCACAUGCCGUUCAUCCCAUCACAGCAGUGCAAUUGGAGUGGUCGCUUUGGUCAAGAGAUGUGGAGGCGGACAUCGUUCCAACGUGCAGGUAGGAUAUCACUCUGUUAAUUGUUUAUGCAGCAACAACAGCUUCCUUCUGACUCUGCUUUUCCUUUAAAAUGUUGACUAGGGAGCUUGGCAUUGGAAUUGUUGCCUACAGUCCUUUAGGACGAGGAUUCUUUUCUGUUGGCUCCAAGUUGGCGGAGAAUUUCUCAAAGGAUGACUUCAGACAGGUCUGUUCCUGCUUGUCAACAUAAUUAGAUGCUUACAGUGGCUGUCAUUCUUAUUGAAGUGCUGGAAACCUGUUCUUGUGGUAUCAAGAAAAAGUAUCUGGAUGGGAUGAAUAAAACUUGGUGACACGAAUGCUUCGUGUUUUUAUAUGUCUUUAAUCCAGCACUUGCCAGACAUCCCACCUCUCUCGAUUCUAGAUAAAUGUAAAAUCACAAGUAAUGGCUUUAGUGAGCCUGAAAGAGGCAGUUUCCUGGAUUCUCGUGCUUUUGGGAAUGAAUACAUAUAGGUUUAUAUGUAAGUUGCUCUGUUUCCCAGCCUUCCCAACAUUUGCUUAUCACUAUCCUUUCCCCACUUUCCACCCACCCUUUUUCUCUCAUCUUUCUUCACAAGAUUAGCGAUAUUUCCUCGAAAUAACUGACGCCAGUAUCGGGCUCUGGCCCUCCGUCCUUUUUCAUUCUCAUCUUUCUUCACAAGAUAAACUAUAUCUUGACACAACCAUUUCUUGAGUGAGGACUCCCGACACCCUUCUUAUGAGAGUUUUGGAUCAAGUUCCCAUCUGACAUAAAGCCAAUUGUGUAUUACUCCCCGCCAUUAGCGUUUGACUAGCGAUAGUGCUGGGCAAGUGAGGUAGCUAUUUUUCUUUGUAGCUAAAAGAGCUCUGCGUCUGAUAACACUCUUCUACACAUCAUCUACAUUUCUGAUUUCUUAUUUUAUGUGUGACUAAUGGUAUCAUCACACGUACAAAACUUAGAUUGUCGAGUUUGUUUCUGUUUUCACAUCCUACAUCAAGCCCAUCAGCCUUGUGUGGUAGUUGCUAGAUCACUUCGCUUGACGUUUCUAAUGCUUAUGAUUUGGGACAUGAUAUUUUAAUCAUUUCAAGAUUAUUUAUAACUGAUCAUGCUUAUCCAGAUAGACAACGAUUGCACACUUCUAAAUGCUUAUUAUGUCAAGUAACAAGACAAUCUGAUGGCAUGCAAUGCAACCACUUUUGCACUUGUUGCUGUAGAAUUUAGCCUUAAAAGGAAAAUGAUAAUUGCUCAUAUGCUCUCUGCUGAGACAUUGCUCCAUGUUAUGCAGUAUCAUCCAAGGUUCCGGCCAGAGAACUUGGCUCACAACACGAAGUUAUUUGACCGAGUGAAUGAAAUUGCGCAAAGAAAGGGAUGCACCACAUCGCAGUUAGCCCUGGCCUGGGUACACCACCAUGGUGACGACAUUUGCCCGAUUCCUGGCACAACCAAGAUCGAGAAUUUCAACCAGAACAUUGGAGCUCUUUUAGUGAAGCUUACACAGGAAGACAUGGCCGAGCUUGAAUUGAUUGCUUCUGCGGACAAUGUCAAGGGUGGCAGGUAUGAUGGAAGCAUAUCUACAUGGGAAAACUCCGACACUCCACCCCUUUCUUCUUGGAAACCUGCCUAGAAGCGUGUCUGCUUCUGUUGCUGCAUCUUUGAUGUGCAGAGUUUGAGCAUUUGCUGCUGAAGUAAUUUGAGUUUAUGUUGUGUGGCUGUUAUAAGUAUGUGUAAUAAGAGAGUGACUGUUUUCAUUUUGUACAUGUGACAUUCACUAUGAGAAGAUUAUGGAUGUGUACUAACCUUACUGGGGAAAGAUCACUUGAUAAACACGGGAGCGAGUUGAAUACGAACUGAGCCUUCCGUGUCGACUUUAUGGGGUGACUUUUAGAAUAUGAGAAAUUGGGAUUUUGAAGAAUUCAAACUCAGUCGUACAUACUGUUGGAAAUAUGGCUUCGAAAUUGGGUAGAAUAAUGAAAUCGAAUUGAGUAAAACAACUUGGACUUUGAGGCGCGAUAUCGGAUUUAUUUGCCCCACAAAGUUGCUAAUGGUCACCGGCAAAAAUCCUCCAGGAUACAACAAAGUCUCGGAUGAGAAUACUAGAUAGCAAUUCAAGUAUUUCUCCAGGGUCUUUCUAAGAAACAAUCAAAAAAUUGGCUGCUGUUUUUCAGAAAGAAGACUCGAAAAUGACCACUCUUUUUCUUUCUGAAAAAUGACAAGUAUAUAUAUGAAACAGUCUUGCAACUCUUCGUGAAAAUUGUGAACAAACACGUCUUUAGAAAAUUGUUUGGAUAAACAAAUGCGACUCUUCGGAACAAAUCGAAAACGAACAAUUGCAACCUUUCGGGAAAAGUUAAAACCGAAUAAGUAAUUUUCCAAAAGUUGUAUUGAAAGAACACAAAUAAAAUUCAGAAUAAUUUUUUUAAUAGAAUUUCCAAUUUUCAUUUUAUAUAUUUUAUUUCCGAAAUUCUCAAAAUAAAAGACAACCUUUGAAUUUACUAAAAAUUAAUAAAAAUAAAAUAAAAAAUAAUAACAAAUGGACUAGUGUUAAUUAAACCGCGGCGGGCAUGCGUGCUAAGUACGCCAAAAUCGCGCAAUUAUUCGCGCACCCGCACGCGGGUAUGAUGGGGUCUAGCCCCACCCAAUCAUUCUUUGAUGUACACAAGGAAACCAUUCACUUAUAAAUCAAGCCACUUCUUCCCACUUUUCCUAUGACAAACAAACCUCCAACAAUCCCCCACUUUGUUUGUAAAACAAAGAUUUCAGAAUUAAAAUUUUAAAAAACAUACAGCCAAAAUUUCAGUAAGAUUAAUAUACAUACAUAAAGGUCUCUUUCGAGUUAAACAUUUAUUUAGUGCAAGUAUAUUAAAGCUCUAUCAAAGUGACAAGUAGCUCGGCUUUAAACUUGUACUUUAAUAUAAUAGAACUGGACAUACCGCACAUACACUAACCUCUUGUUUCAGUGAGAAGUUCUAUAUUACUCCGCACUAUUAUGGCCUUGUGCUUGAUCAUAUUUCAUGAGCUCUCUAGAAAACAACCCUAACUUUCGUAAGAAGCGGCACCACUUCUAAGCUCAUAUAAGUGAAAUAUCUACCAUGUGUUUCUAUUACUAUCAACACACUACAAACUUGUAUCAUACUUUAUUAAGAAUUCAAUUCAUCCUACAAAACGUAACAGACAAUACUGACUUCUCAUAUCAGGGCUAUGUCAGUAUCAAACAAUCACAUUCAAUAACUUGUUCUUACCCAUUAAACCUUGUAAAAGGUCAGGUUACCAUUAUCGGUGAUUUCAAUUAAAGGGUUUCAGCCCCAUUUCUUGUGAGGUCGUUAUUACCAUAUGUCUUGGUAAAGCCUUCGUCAAUGGAUCGGCAAGAUUUUUACUUGACCUCACAUAGACAAUUGUUAUGAUACCAUCUUUAAUCAAUUGUCUUACAUAUUCAUGUCUUAGACUAAUGUGUCUAGACUUACCAUUAUAGUUGCUACUAUAGGCUCUUGCCAAAGUGGCCUAACUAUCAUAGUGGAUAGAAAUAAGAGGCAUAGGACUAGGCCAUAAUUUGAUAUCCAACAACAAAUUUCUAAUCCAUUCAGCCUAUUUCCCAGCUACCGCCAAAGCAAUAAAUUCAGAUUCCAUUGUUGAGUGAGUUAUACAUGUCUGUUUCUUGCUCGCCCAAUAUACAGCACCUCCAGCUAGUGUGAAAAUCCAUCCAGAAGUGAAAUGCUCAUCUCCCACACUUGUAAUCCAACUAAAAUCAGUGUAUCCUUCUACAUCGGAUAAUUAUUGUAGAACAAUCCUAAAUUUUUAAUUCUCUUAAGAUAACAAAAAAUUCUAGUAAUAGCUCUCCAAUGUUCUGUACUUGGAUUACUAGUAUACCUACUCAACUUGCUUACAUAAUAAGCAAUAUCGAGUAUAGUACAAUGCAUCGCAUACAUUAAAGACCUAUAGCACUUGCAUAUUUAGUUGUGCCAUCGCUCUACCAAUAUUAUAAUUUAAUUUAAUACUGGAAUCAAAUGGAGUACUUAUUUCUUUAAAAUCAAGAUGUUGAAAUUUAUUUAAUAAUUUUUCAACAUAACUACAUUGGCUUAAAGAAUAACCCCUACUAUUUUUCUUAACUUUAAUAUCUAAGAUAGUAUUUACUUCACCCAAAUCCUUCAUUUUAAGCAUGGAAGUUAGAUACUUCUUAGUCUCAUUAAUUCUAGUAAUAUUUGUUCCAAAGAUAAGCAUAUCAUCAACAUACGAGCACGCUAAGACACCAUAGUCUUUAGUAAAUUUAGAGUAUAUACACAUGUCGGCACUACUAUUGAUGAAACCAUUUGACAAUAUGACCGAAUUAAACUUUUCAUGCCACUGCUUAAGAGCUUGCUUAAGUCCAUAAAGAAACUUAAUCAAUUUACAUACUUUUCUUUCAUUUCCAGGAAGAACAAAAUCCUCCGGUUGUUCCAUGUAAAUCUCCUCAUUUAAGUCUCCAUCUAAGAAAGCAGUCUUAACAUCCAUUUGAUAAACACAAAGAUCAUAAAUGGAAGCUAGAGCAAAAAGAACUCGAAUAGAAGUUAUAUGUGCAACAGAAGCAUAUGUAUCAAAAUAAUCUAUUCAUUCUUUUUGUCUAUAUCCCUUAGCUACAAGCCUAGCUUUAAAAGCUUGAAUAGAACUAUCAUAAUGAUAUUUUCUUUUAAAAACCCAUUUGCACCCAAUAGAUUUUGAUCCUUUCGGUAAAUCUACUAAUACCCAACUAUUAUUGGACAUAAUUGAGUACAUUUCAUCAUUCACAGCUUCUUUCCAAAAAGAAGCAUCUCUAAAAGAUAUAGCAUCAUUAAAGCUUCUAGGAUCAUCUUCUAAAUUUAAUACUAAAGAGUACUUAUUUAUCACGUUAUUAUCUCCAUUUCCUUCAACAAGAAAAAGAGUUAUAAAAUCAGGACCGAAGUCUUUUAUUUUCCUAGCUCUAAUACUUCUCCUUGGUUCAAUCAUGUCUUUAGAAUCAUUCAUUUCUUUCUCUUGAGAAUCACUUUGAGUUUCCAUAGAUCUUGAAUUAUUUUCAAUAAUUUCAGAACUUGUAAAACAUUUAUUCUCAAAGAAUUCAACGUCCCUCAAUUCUACUAUGACAUUAGACUUUAAAUCAAGAAGUCUAUAAGCUUUACUAUUUUCAGCAUACCUAAUGAAAACACUUUUGAUAGCUCUAGGACCGAGCUUUGUUCUCUUAGGAUCUGGAGCUCGGUAGUAUGCCAAACACCCCCACAUUUUAAGAUAUGACAAAUUUGGCUUUCUACCUUUCCAUAUUUCAUAGGGGGUUAUGUCAUUUUUCUUGGAAGGUAUUCUGUUAUGAAUAUAGCAUGCAGUAAGUAAUGCUUCUCCCCAAAGAUUAAUUGGUAGAUUUGAAUUUGAAAGCAUACAAUUAACCAUUUCUCUAAGAGAUCGAUUUUUCCUUUUAGCUAAACCAUUUUGUUGUGGAGUAUGUGGUGCUGAAUCUUGAUGAAUAAUAUCAUAUUCUUCACAAAACGAAGAGAAUUCAUUUAAGAAAUAUUCUACACCUCUAUCUGAUUGUAGAACUUUAAUUUUCUUUUCUAAUUGAUUCUUUAUUCAGCCUUAUAUUUCAUAAACAUGGUAAAUGCUUAAUCCUUUGAUCUCAUGAGAUAAACAUAUAAGAACCUACUGCAAUCAUCCACAAAGGUAAUAAAAUACAUUUUACCUCCACGUGUUAGCAUACCAUUAAAUUCACAUAUAUCACUAUGAACCAAAUCCAAUAAAUUUGAAUUUCUUUUAACACUAGGAAAUGGCUUCUUAGUAAAUUUUGACUUAGCACAUAUUUCACAUUUAUCAAAUUCGCCAUUAAAAUUUAUCAAGUCUAAUUUUCUCAUAUUCUUCAAAUAACGAAUAUUUAUACGUGCCAACCUACUAUAUCAUAAAAUUGAAGACUCGACAAUAUAAGCAGAACUAUAAAUAUUAUUAUUGAUACUCAGUUGAUACAUGCCAUCAUUGACAUAACCCAUCCCAACAAACAACCCAUUUUUCGACAGGAUAACCUUAUCGGAUUCAAACAAAAUCCGAAACCCCCUCUUACAAAGUAAAUCAAUAGAAACUAGGUUCUUCCUAAUUUCGGGUAUAAAUAACACAUUAAGAAGAGUUAUCUUCUUUCCAGAAGUGAAGUCUAUCUCCACCGUGCAUUUUCCAGCAACCUUUGCAAUAGCAUUAUUCGCCAUCAGGACUUCUUGAACAUUUGAGUCAACAAUCUUUUCAAAUUGCUUGAACAUGUACUUGUCCCUGCACACAUGGAUUGUUGCUCCAGAAUCUAUCCAUCAACUGGAUUGGACAGUGGUAGAAUUAAUUUGAGAAACCAUAGCCAUCGUAUCAUUGAUUUCAGAAAUUUCCAUGUUUGAAAACAUGUUUAAAAUCAUGGCUACAUAAUUUUCUUCAACCAGAUUUGCAUUUGCUUUCACCACUGGAAUGUUCUUGUCCUUUGAAAUGCUCUUGCGGUGAAUGCAAUCCUUGGUGUAGUGUCCCCGUUUGCCACAAACAAAACAACAACCCUUUUGCUUCUUUUGUGUUCUCUUGAAUUUAUGCCCCCCGCUUUUUACUUUGAAGUUCUGGCCGAGUUUCCGUUUUUUGUCCACAACAUUCAUCUUGGAAUUGUACAAAAUAGAAUUAUCACGUAAACGUGACUCUUCCUCAAUGCAAAGACGUUUCUAUAUUGCUCCAAAGUAAAGUCUCCCAACUUGUGAAUCAGCCUUUUUACAUAGUCUUUCUAACUUGGAGGCAAUUUCGCAAUAAUUGCUCCAACUUGAAAAGCUUCUGGAAUAUCAAUUUUGAGGGCAUGAAUCUUAUUCACAAUCACUUGCAAUUCAUGGACUUGUUCUAGCAAGGGUUCAGUAUCAAUAAACUUGAAAUCAAAAUACUUUGCGAUUAGAUAUUUGUUGGUACCUUGCUCCUCCGCUUUGUACUUGAAUUCCAGUGCAUUUCAAAUUUCUCUGGCCGACUUUAUUUCUGUGAAUAAGUCAUACAGACGAUUGGAGAGUGUGUUUAGAAUGUGUCCUCGACAAAGUAAUUCAUCCUCCGCACGUUUCUUCUUUUCCUUAUUUACCCUCUCAAUGACUUCCACGCUUAGCUAUCCUCCCUCGGUAGUAGGCUUAGGAUCUUCUAUAGGUGCCAAGUUAGGAUCCAGUAUGUAGGAAAUCUUCAGAGCAGUGAGUAAGAACGUCAUCUUGUCCCUCUAGCGAGCAAAAUCAUUCCCAUCGAACCGGUCCAAUUUGACCAUAUCUUGAUUCAUAACUUUGAUUGUCUCCAACUCCAUUGUAGCAAACUAAAUCCUUAAAAUUGUUGUAAAAUUAUGGCUUCGAAAUUGGGUAGAAUAAUGAAAUCGAAUCGAGUAAAACAACUUGGACUUUGAGGCGCGAUAUCACUUUCUUUAAGGAUUUAUUUGCCCCCACAAAGUUGCUAAUGGUCACGGGCAAAAAUCCUCCAGGAUACAACAAAGUCUCGGAUGAAAAUACUAGAUAGCAAUUCAAGUAUUUCUCCAGGGUCUUUCUAAGAAACAAUCGAAAAAUUGGCUGCUGUUUUUCAGAAAGAAGACUCGAAAAUGACCACUCUUUUUCUUUCUGAAAAAUGACAAGUAUAUAUAUGAAACAGUCUUGCAACUCUUCGUGAAAAUUGUGAACAAACACGUCUUUAGAAAAUUGUUCGGAUAAACAAAUGCGACUCUUCGGAAGAAAUCGAAAACAAACAAUUGCAACCCUUUGGGAAAAGUUAAAACCGAAUAAGUAAUUUUCCAAAAGUUGUAUUGAAAGAAUACAAAUAAAAUUCGGAAUAAUUUUUUUAAUAGAAUUUCGAAUUUUCAUUUUAUAUAUUUUAUUUCCGAAAUUCUCAAAAUAAAAGAACCUUUGAAUUUACUAAAAACUAAUAAAAAAAUAACAAAUGGAUUAGUGUUAAUUAAAUCGCAGGCGUGUAUGCAUGUUAAGUGCGCCAAAUCUACACAAUUAUUCGCGCACCCACACGCGGGUAUGGUGGGAUCUAGCCCCACCCGAUUAUUCCUUGAUGUACACAAGGAAACCAUUCACUUAUAAAUCAGCCCACUUCUUCCCACUUUUCCUAUGUGGGACUACUAGAAAAACACACUCAGCUUGUUUUGACAAACAAACCUCCAACACAUACUAGAGUGACGCUUUAUUCUCCCCCAACCAAGCGUUCAAUACUAACACCGUGUGCAACACGCUCUUAAGACUGAAUGCUACACAUAGAUACAAAGCUUCGGUUUGUGUUUGGUUUGGUAGCGAAGUUAAGGAACAGUAAAAUGUUACCUGAUGUUCUCACGAAAGCGAAGUUGAGGAUAAAAUGCUGGCACGGUUGAUAUGAGUGUCGGGGAAAUCGAAGGUUUCUUGUUCAAGUUUCACCACCUACGGUUCAUGAGCUUUUAUGUAGCUCAAUACCUUAACUCAUGCCUUUGCAUUAUUAUAAAACAGUUGGAGAUAUCGCGUGAGUUUCCUAAAAUUAAAAACGACACUUCUAUUGUUUUUUUUAUUUGGAGUUAGAGUGGAGCAAUGUUGUUUUGUUUUGGUUUAGGAAAAUAACGCAAAUAGUCAUUAAACUUUGGUCCAAUGUGUUGUGUUCUUACUGAACUUUUAAUUUAUUUAGUAUGAUUGUCGAACUUUUUGUACAUGUUUAAUUUAGAUCCUAGGUUAGAUAAAUCCAAUGAUGCUGUGUUUGGUUGUUCGAAUAUCUUUGCUCUAUGGGAUAAUGAUAGGAUAAAAAUUCCAUCUAAUAUUUCUUGACGUCCGGAUAUAACAUGAUUCAAAUAAAACAAAUUUAAAUGAGUGUUUUAUUUGUAUAAUUAAAAUUAAAAAUAAACCAUGGAAGUCGUAAAUACUAUUCAUCCUUUCCCAAUCUUCAUCCAUAUCAAGCACCCCCGUUCCAUGUGACUUCAAGGACGCUCGCUCCUUCUGCAACACCCCUUUCGCUGCCCUUGAUCAACUUGAUGGAUUACGCUCGCUCUACCUUUGACUUCGCCACAUUGAGAGCCCCUUGGGUUUGAGUUCUCCGCUGGUCUAGCCAUCUUUACUUUCAACGCCUUUUCCUGCCUUUUCCUGCGAUGAAUCCAUCCCCUUCGACGAGUGUCAAUACUGCGUUGAUUCCCAGUUACCGUGCCCCGACUUGUUCAGUCGCUUCAACAGCUUCCCCCGAGACAGCGUGCGGAUCCGGUUUGUGAGUGGUAGCACCAUCGGUACCACUCGCUCCGAGUGACGUGGUUGAGGAGCUCUAUCGCCUUGGCUGCCGCCUCUUUCGGAUCAUCUUCUUCACAGAGAAGAUGUCCAGCUUUGAUCGGGAUCACAAAGUUCCAUACUAAAAUGGAGUUAAGUGACAUAAGAAAGAGGCAGGGCUGACGAGCUCCGACGCCACUUUUCCGAGGAAGCCAAAGGUGGUAAGCAGCUUGUCACUGGUAGGAGGAACGGUGGCCCUUAGAGUUUGCUCAGGUCGUUGUGGCAAGGGCUUCUCUAGGUAUCUUCGCGAUACUCAUGCUCUAACUAAGUUUGUGGUGGUCAUUUUAGUGAGAGAAAUUGGAACAAGAGAGAGAUGAUGGUGGCACUGGUCAAAAGUGAGGAUAAGCCAUCAACAAGCGCAGGAGUGGGGGAAAAAGUUGUGUCCCUUAUCUUUUCAGUUCUCUAAAUUUCACAUACCAUAUUUGAAUUUAUAUCACUUUCUAGAAGGGAUUUUUAUCCGGACUAUAUCUGAAUUUCACAUUACUCUAAACAACGUAUAGGAUCAAACUUAUCAUAUUAGAGUUUUAUCCAACCCAUCAAAGAUAGUCUUAUGAGAUAGAAUGCAAUGAUAUAAUUUGUGAGUUAUAUUAAACAUUUAUUAAAAGUUUAAGAACAAUAGUUCACAUUUUGAUUAUUAUGAUGCACCAAUAAGUUAUGUUAAAACAAUCCCACAAUAUAUUGAUAGCUUUGAAAUAUGGCUUUCUCUUGGUGAUGAUGUCGAUUAAUAUGGAGAAAUUAAUGGGAGGGUUUAUUUGGCCUAAUUAAAUGGGAGGCUAUAUCAAUGGGAGGUUUUUCAUUGUAACAUUCCCUUGUGCUUGGCAUUUGUAUUUUAGUAAAGGAUUUUGUUAGCAUAGUAAUUUUUGGAUUAUUAUGAGAAUAAUAGCUUGUUAUAAGUCAUAAAUUUUUAAAGUCGUGAACCCCAUAAUAAUUUCAAUUAUUUGUUAUUUGAUUUUUUGUAGUCUAGAAUAAAAAUUAUCAUCAAAUUAUUUAUUUUUAAUAAAUAUAUUGCUCUAACUGUUGUUUCAAUUAAGUUUGCAUCGGAGAAUAGAUUAUUUUGUUUUGGUGCGCUAGUCGAUUAUUGCACAGUACAUUGUCAUUUUCUGAGCACUAGCAACGUUGCGUUCAGACAAGGCGGCAUGGAAUUACUUGCCCAGCUGCACAUCGCACGACCAUACAUUCAUGGACUGUUCCUCAGGAAAGCAUAUAGACAUGUGGCUGAUGCAGAACAUUUCACGAGAUUAAAAUAAUAAUAAUAAUAAUUUUUAAAAAACUAUAGUUUCAACUUCAAAACAUGUCGAACGCCUACUUCCACAUCAAGAAUUUGGGACUUCCCAAAUAUUUUCUUGGUAUUAAGAUUGCUCAAUCUGGUAAAGAUAAUAGUCUUAGUAAGAGGAAGUUCAUCCCAGAAAUCAUUUCUGAAGCAGGAUUAUCUAGAUACUAAUCGGCCAUCAUACUAAUUGAACAAAAUACUAAGCUGCCAACUCAUGGACUUAGAGUCUUCAUCUUUUGAGGAUUCAUUGCUCAAGGAUCCAUUGGCAUAUCGGCAACUUGUUGCAAAAUUAAUAUACCUCACCAUCACAGGGCCUGAUAUAUGUUAUGUAGUGCAAGUACUCUUAAUUCAUGCAUAGUCCAAAAUAAUCUCAUAUGAAUGUAGCCCUAAAAGUUGUGAAAUAUUUGAAGUGAUGUCUCAGACUUAGAAUAUUUUUAUCUUCUGACUGCAACAUGAAGAUGAGAGCUUUUCGUAAUAUAAAUUAUGCCAAGAGAUCUAUUUUUGUUUAUGCAUUAAAUUGGGAAAGACAAUAAUCUCGUGGGAAAGGAAGAAGUAGUCAAUUAUAUCAUUGUCCUCAGCUGAAUCGAAGUAUUAAGCCAUGGGGAAAACUACCUGCGAAGUAGUUUGGAUAGGAGGAUUACUCUCAGAUCUUGGAUUACAGGUUAGUGGAGCAACUAAAUUGUUUUGUGAUAAUGAUGCUCCACUCAAAUUAACAACAAAUUUGGCAACAACAAAAAAAACAACAAAUCUAGUUUUUCAUGAAAGAAUAAGACAUGUAGAAGUUAAUUGCCAUUUUACUCGAGAUAAAAUCAUAGAAGGAGUUGUUGUAACUAAAGGAGUUGGAAUUAUGGACCAACCUGUAGACAUCUUCGCUAAGCCACUAUGUUAGAGACAACAUAUGUACCUAGUAUGUAGAAGGUUGUUAGCCUUCUUUUUGUCAAUCAUAUGACAAAAUCCCCAAUUUUAGUUCUAGUUCCAACCCAUCUAAACUUUUUUUGUCUCAUAAAAACCCUUAAAUUUAGAUGCAGUACCAAAUUUAUCUUAAAUGUUGUUUUGUCUCAUAAAAGAAACCCAGCUGUAGGUCCAAUUUUAUUUUCAUUGUAAUUUAUUUAUCUCAUAAAAGAUUAUCAACUGUUACUUGAGUCCUAAAUCUACUCUGCAUUAACCCUUUGUUAAAAUUGCCCCUAGGGAUUUUGCGCUUGGUUUUCGAUCUUUCGUGCUUGGAAAUGUUCUAUCUCUCUUGAACAACUCGUGUUUGGGAGCUUUCCUUCUCUUGAUGUCAAUAGAAUAUUUUGGAUGAAGGGUUAAUGGGAGCAAAUUUGCGACUCAAGUAAAAAUUUAUGAAUUUUUAUGAGAUUGUAAAAAUUUUAGGGUAUUAUAAAAAAAAAAGGUCUAAGGUAGAAUUAGUAUGUGAGUUAAAGUUGAGGAUUUUUUAUGGGACAAAAGAAGGUAAUGGUAGAAUUGUGAAUGGAUCUAAAAUUAUUGUUCUUUUUUUAGACGAAAGGUACAAUUAGGAGAAAAGCUAAAGUAGGGGGUUUUUUUAUAAGGGUGUUAGGGUCCAUUUUGUCAAUCAUAUGACGUCAGCAUUUCUUAUUUUCUCCUCCCUUUUCGUCAGCACGUGCGUCUACGGUAGCAUAUCCGGCCCCUCGCACCUACUGCUACUCCCCCUCAUAAAUAUCUGGGCUCGCCCGACACCUUCUUCAUCGGCGACUUCGGUAGCACGUGCAGGGAUCGAGCGAGCUCGAGCUAGACGACGGCAAUGGCGGCGGCGUCGACGACGACGGUGACGAGGAUCAAACUGGGGUCGCAGGGGCUGGAGGUGUCGGCGCAGGGGCUGGGCUGCAUGGGCAUGUCCGCCUUCUAAGGCCCUCCCAAGCCCGAGCCCGACAUGAUCGCCCUCAUCCACCACGCCGUCGGCUCCGGCGUCACCUUCCUCGACACCUCCGACAUCUACGGCCCCCACACCAACGAAAUCCUCCUCGGAAAGGUCGGUUCUCUCAGUCUCUGUUUUGCCUCCGCAUGAAUUAUAUGUGCUUAUAGUGUUACGGAAUUUAGCUUCAUCGAGCAGGAUGCUCUGAUCCUGCGUCAUGGUUUUCUAAUUUCGGGGUUGAUUUUGAGCAGGCGCUGAAGGGAGGGGUGAGGCAGAAGGUGGAAUUGGCGACCAAGUUCGGAGCCGUCAUUGGGGACGGGAAGAGGGAGGUCCGGGGCGAUCCGGCAUACGUGAGGGCGGCUUGCGAGGCCAGCUUGAAGCGGCUCGAGGUCGAUUGUAUCGACCUCUACUACCAACACCGUGUCGACACUCGAGUCCCCAUCGAAGUCACUGUAUGGAUCCUCCUUAAACCUUUACCUCUCUCUCGAGACUUUCUCGGAGCCAUAUGAUCAGUUGCUAAACUAGAUUGGUGUUAAUUAUGCAUCGUCAUGUUGUUACAAGUUUGUUGGAUUUUGUGGCAGUUGCUUGUAAAUAUUGUUAAAUGAGAUUUAAGAUCGGCUGAUAGCGGAGUUCAAGAUGCGGCACGAUGCUGUUAAAGGGGUUGUGGAAUUUAGUGGUUUAGUGGCUUGAGUUUUUGCUUUAUGGGCAUCUUUUACAAGUUAAGGGUCAACAAUCAAGAAAAUCAUUUGAAAUCUUCCUUUGAGAUGAAAGUGCUCCGGGGUUCAUCCUCAUUUAUAUACAAGAAUCACAUUUGAAGUUGUUCCUGGACUUUCUAUGGAAUGGAGACAUUUGGUUCUUGACAUAUCAUCGUGAAAUGUGACAAGUACUUCGAACACUUCUUUAAUAUGCUCUCUUCUGUGAUCGAUUAGAGAAAUCCACCUCCGUUAACUCAAUACCUAGUGACUUUUUUGUCACAUUGAGAUGCCUAAUAAUUGACUAAACUAUUCAGGGAUCGGGAAACAUAAAAAGCUAAUGAUGUGCAUAAUUUUCUGGAUCUUAACACGUAAGAUCUUGACGGUUGUUGUUUUGUUUUGUCUUGUGAAUAUGCACAGAUCGGAGAGCUAAAGAAGCUCGUUGAAGAGGGUAAGAUCAAGUACAUCGGUAUGUCUGAGGCCUCUGCGUCAACAAUCAGAAGAGCACAUGCUGUUCAUCCCAUCACAGCGGUGCAAUUGGAGUGGUCGCUGUGGUCAAGAGAUGUGGAGGCAGAGAUCAUUCCCACGUGCAGGUAUGAUAUCACUCUGUUAAUUUAUUUAUGCAGUAACAUCAUCUUUCUUCUGACUCUGCUCUUCCUUCAAAAUGUUGACUAGGGAGCUUGGCAUUGGAAUCGUUGCCUACAGUCCUUUAGGACGAGGAUUCUUUUCUGUUGGCUCCAAGUUGGCGGAGAAUUUCUCAAAGGAUGACUUCAGACAGGUCUGUUUCUGCUGGUCGACAUAAUUAGAUGCUCACAGUGACUGUCAUUCUCAUUGAAGUGCUGGAAACCUGUUCUUGUGGUAUAAAGAAAAGUUUCUGGAUGGGAUGAAUAAAACUUGGUGACACAAAUGCAUCACGUUCUUAUAUGUCUUCAAUCCAGCACUCGCCAGACAUACUACCUCUUUUGAUUCUAGAUAGAUGUAAAAGCACAAGUAAUGGCUUUAAUGAGCCUGAAAGAGGUAGGUUCCCGGAUUCUCAUUCUUUUGGGAAUGAAUAAAAAUAGGUUUAUUUGUAAGUUGCUCUGUUUCCAAGUCUUCCCACCAUUUGCUAAUCACUAUCCUUUCUCCACUUUUCGCCCACCCUUUUUCUCUCAUCUUCCUUCACAAGAUUAGCAAUAUUUCCUCAAAAGAACCGACACCAGUAUUGGGCCUCAGCCCUCCAUCCUUUUUUAUUCUCAUCUUUCUUCACAAGAUAAAUUGUAUCUUGACACAACCAUUUCUUGAGUGAAAACUCCCAAACACCUUUCUUAUGGAAGUUUUGGGAUCAAGUUGUGUAUUACUUCCUGCCAUUAGUUUUGGGCGAGUGAAGUAGCUAUUUUUCUUCGUAGCUAAAAGAGCUUUGCAUCUGAUAAUAUUCAUCUACACAUCAUCUACAUUUGUGAUUUCUUUCUCUAUGUGACUAAUGGUACCAUCACAUGAACAAUACUUAGAUUGCGGAUUUGGUUUCUGUUUUCACAUCUUACAUCAAACCCAUUAGCCUUGUGUGGUAGUUGCUGGAUCACUUAAUGAUUUGGGAAAAGAUAUUUUAAUCAUUUCAAGAUAAUCUUUAACUGAUGAUGCUUUUCCAGAUACACAGCGAUUGUGCACUUCCAAAUGCUUAUUAUGUCAAGUAAAAGACAAUCUGAUGGCAUGCAAUGCAACCACUUUUGCUCUUGUUGCGGUAGAAUUUGGCGUUAAAAGGAAAAUGAUAGUUGCUUAUAUGCUUUCUGCUGAGACAUUGCUCUAUGUUAUGCAGUACCUACCAAGGUUACAGCCAGAGAACUUGGCUCACAACGCCAAGUUAUUUGACCGAGUGAAUGAAAUUGCACAAAGAAAGGGAUGCACCCCAUCGCAGUUAGCCCUCGCCUGGGUACACCACCAGGGUGAUGAUGUUUGCCCGAUUCCCGGCACAACCAAGAUCGAGAAUUUCAACCAGAACAUUGGGGCUCUGUCAGUGAAGUUUACACCAGAAGAGAUGGCUGAGCUCGAAUCGAUUGCUUCUGCGGACAAUGUCAAGGGUGACAGGUACGAUAGCAGCGUUCCUACAUGGGAAAACUCCGACACUCCACCUCUUUCUUCAUGGAAACCUGCCUAGAAACAUGUCUGCUUCUGGUGCUGCAUCUUUGAUAUGCAGAGUUUGAGCAUUUGCUGCUGAGGUAAUUUGAGGCUAUGUUGUGUGGCUGUUAUAAGUACGUGUAAUAAAAGAGUUCGUUAUCUUGUAAUAAAAUCUGAACUCCAGAGAGUGACUGUUUUCGUUUUGUACAUGUGACAUUCAAUAUGAGAAGAUUAUAGAUGUGUACUAAGCUUAUUGAGGAAAGAUCACUCGAGAAACACGAGAGUUAGUUGAAUACUGUGAGAUAUUUGUAGGACUACUGUCAAUUACUCUAAAAACUUAAGCUGUAUGAAUGUGUGAAUAUUCUAAUAUUCUCUCAGAUGCUUAGUUUGGUCUUUUAUCUAAUACUAAGCAUGCAAAUUUAAUUGAGGAGACAAAUGGAGUAUGGAAAGAUUUAAACUUGGGACCUUCAACUCUGAUAUCAUGUAAAAUUUAAUCGUAUGAGAUUUUAUGAUAUUGCUAUCAACUAUUUUAAAAUCUUAAGUACAUAUUUCUGGUCCUCUCAUCCCCUAGCUUUGUGUUUAUAGACAAGACUGACAGCCAGGAAUUAGUUGCCAGUCAUCACAUUGUGUACCUCCACAUUAAUGGACUAUUCCUCCAGAAAAUAUAGAGUAUACAUUGAUGGACAUGUGCAGGUGCCCGUAAAACUUAAGGAAGAAGAAUUAGGAAGAAGAAUCCUCAAGGGGUGGAACUCCUUAAUGUCACAUCCUAUAUUCCCACCUAGGAAGAAAAAGAUAUGAAGGGAAUUAGGAGACCUUUAGUGGGAAAGGUAAAUAUUAUGUCAAGAUUUUGGUUCUGACUAUCUUAGAAUAGACAUAUAUAGUAGUCUCGUGCACUUAGAAUAAGAAAGUGGAGUGUCCAACCUCCUGCUAGGUUGCCUAAGGAUACACAUGGCAAUGAGUCCCUGAACAUAAGCCUAAUGUAUAGCGUCGUUCAAUUUUUAAUUUAUUCAAUAUAGUCUAUAAACGUUAGUCCAAUAUGCAAUGUAGACUCUGUAUUUUUUAUUUGUUCAAUCUAAUCCCUAAACUUUCGGUAUAUGUUUAAUUUGGUCCUUAAAUUAUGAUAAAAUGUUCAAUGUUUCCCUGAUUUUGAAUUCAUGGAGAGAUUACAUUUAACAUUUUCAUAGAUUUAAAUGAUUACAUUGAACAAAUUGAACAAAUUAAAAAUUAAAGGACUAUAUUGCAUAUUGAGUGAAAAUUUAUGGACCAUUUUUGUCAUUAUUCCCAUCACAAAAAUAGAACAUUUAACAAGGAAAAAAAAUCUAUACAUAGAUAAUAGAGAUACAUAGCAAUAAAUAUGUCAUGAAAAUAAUUAAAUCUACAAAAUAUUUAAUACCUUCAUUAUACGAAAAACGAGGUGGCUGAGGAUUGCGGCCUCCAGUCCAUCCCCCAAUUUUUCCAUUCACAUAACUUCAAAGUCGUGCAAAACUAUUAUUGAUGAUUACUCAAUCCGGACUUGCCUUUUGAGUCGCACAUUGUUAAUUUUGUUAGCAAAAAUUUUAUCAUGCACAUAUCACAAUUUUUCAACAUUGUGCAAUCAAUUCCUGAAAGUUCUGAAAUUGCAGAGUUAUGUAAUAUGAUAUAAACCUUUAUUCUUUCACGACUCCUAGUUAUGAUUAUUUUUAGGACCGUGCGAUUUUCAUUCCAAAUUUUGUUUUUCACAAGUCCUUUUACAUCGUUUUUCUUCUGAUCAUAUUACAUCCGCUAUCCCUCCUUUCGUUCGAUUGCUUGCUUUUCUUUUCUUGCAAGUCUCAUGUUGUUCUUUCUUUGCUAUUAUUGUAAUGACAUAAAGUAGUUUUUAAAUUUUGACUCAAUAUAUAAUUUGAAUGUGAUUUCUGGACUUUAUCCUAGAGUUGAUUUUCCUUGCUUUGUUGUCUCCCCUUUCGGCUCAUGCUGACCAGCCAUUUGUACCCCAUUCCUCUUCUUCUUACUCUGUUUUCGAGCUUUCGUCCACCCUUUCCUUUCCUUGCUGACCAUCUGAGGGAAGACGAAGAGCUGGGCUCUCUCUUCUCUAAAGAAGAGUCGCAGGACGUGCAUUCGAACCUGCAAUAAUGUCUCUCCUCAUUGAUUUUUGCCCCGAAAAUGUCUGUCUUCCAGCUGUUCGAUAAAAUGCCUCUGAGAAAAGUGUCAUUGGGUUGGCUUGUUCGGUUGCUCUAUUUGCUUUCGUUAUAUUUGUCUUUCAGGACGGGGACAGUAACUUCGUCUUCGAGGGAAAACCAUACGGAGGAUGCCUUUGUCCGGCGGCGCGAGAACGACGGGGAAGAAGGUUCGGGCACGGGUUCUUCCGUCGGGUAACCGCCGAACGACGGCACGGCGGACUCCGGAAUCUCGCCGGCAAGCUUGUUGUGGGAUUCAGUCGAGAGUAGGUGACGAGAGCCUGACGUCAGCACGCGCGCCUUUUUGUAGACCCGUUGACUUUUCACCGCCGGCAGCUUCGUUGUCGCGUCGGUUCAGUGGAGGAAGUGAGCGAGCGAGCAAGCUCUCGGACCGUUUCUUCUCCGCGCUCUCUUCUCGCAUCGACCUCGAGAUAGGCGGCGGCGGCGAUGGCGAUGGCGUCGGCGGCGGUGAGGAGGAUCAAGCUGGGGUCGCAGGGCCUGGAGGUCUCGGCGCAGGGGAUGGGCUGCGCGCGCAUGUCCCCCUUCUCUGGCCCCCCCAAGCCCGACCCCGACAUGAUCGCGCUCAUCCGCCACGCCGUUGGCUCCGGCGUCACCUUCCUCGACACGGCCGACGUCUACGGCUUUAGUGCCAACGAAGUCCUCAUCGGAAAGGUUGGUUUUUUGAGAUAUUGAGUCGCGUCUCCAUUCUAAAGGUUUCGUCUUGUUAGAUCAACUAGCUGACAGUCGUCGCAGAUAAUUCUGUAAUCUGAUCGAUUUCGGUGCUCGUGUGUGUUAUAAAGCUUAGUCUCAGCUUCUGCAUGAUGUAGAUAUGCUACAGUCAUGCCGAAUUCUAAGAUCCUGCAUCUCGAUUUCCGAAUUUCGGGGUCUUGUUGUGGUGAUUUGGUGUGGAUUUUGAGCAGGCACUGAAGGGAGGGGUGAGAGAGAAGGUGGAAUUGGCGACCAAGUUCGGGCUCUGCUAUGCAGAUGGAAAGUGGGAUGUCCGGGGCGAUCAAGUGUACGUGAGGGCGGCCUGCGAGGACAGCUUGAAGCGUCUCGACGUCGAUUGCAUCAACCUCUACUACCAACACCGUAUCGACACUCGCGUCCCCAUCGAAGUCACUGUAUGGAUCCCUCAUUAAACCUUUCCCCCUUUUGAGACUUUCUCUGAGCCAUGUGAUGAGUUGUUAAACUAGAUUCGUGUUGAUGAUGCAUCCUCGCGUCGUUAAUAGUUUGGGGGAUCUUGUGACAGAUUUAACUAUUUCCUUGCCUUUGACUGGUAAGGUUUUGUUAAAUGAGAUUUUGAUAUUCGAGAUCGGGAUGCAGCACGGUGUUGUUAAAGAGGUUGUGGAGCCUAGUCUUUUCAGUGGCUGAGCUUUUUGCCUUAUGGGCAUCUUUUACAAGUUAAGGGUCAACAAGCAUGAAAAUUAUUCUGGAUAUUCCUUCAAAAUGAAAGGGCCAUGGGCGUUCAUCCUAAUUUAUGUAAGUGAAUAUCGCAUUGAAAGUUGUUUAUGGACUUCCUGUAAAGACCUUUGAUGGUUGACAGAUUAUUGUGAAAUGAGACUGAUAGUUGAAAUGCUAUUUUUGUUUGCCCUCUUCUGUGAUAGAUUAGAGAAAUCUUACUCCGUUAACUUAAUUCUUCUGUUAUUUGCCCUCUUUUGUGAUAGAUAUAUGUCCGUUAACUUAAUGUCCAGUGACUUUUUUGUUGCAUUGAGAUGCAUGGGGAUCUACUCAUCCUUGCUAAGAACUGCCUAGUCAAGACGUAAUGUUUGAAUAGUGAUGUGAUAAAUGUGCAUAAACUUCUGGGCCUUAAUAUGUACGGUCUUGACUGUUGUUGUUGUUGUUGUUGUUGUUGUUGUUGUUGUUGUUUUGUCAUGUGAAUAUUUGAAGAUCGGGGAGCUAAAGAAACUCGUUGAAGAGGGCAAAAUCAAGUACAUCGGCUUAUCCGAGGCCUCUGCAUCAACAAUCAGAAGAGCACAUGCUGUUCAUCCCAUCACAGUGGUGCAAUUGGAGUGGUCACUGUGGUCAAGAGAUGUGGAGGCAGAGAUCAUUCCCACAUGCAGGUAAAGGAAUCACCUCAUUAGUUUGUUUAUGCAGAGCAACAGCUUUUUUCUGAUGCUGCUCUCCUUAAAAUGGUGACCAGGGAGCUUGGCAUUGGAAUUGUUGCGUACAGUCCUUUAGGACGAGGAUUCUUUUCUGUCGGUUCCAAGUUAUUGGAGAAUUUCUCUGAGGAUGACUUUAGACAGGUUUGUUUCUGCUGAUCAAACAUAACUAGAUGCUCACAGUGACUGUCAUUCCUAUUGAAGUUCUGGGAACUACGAGUUCUUGUGGUAUACAGAAAAUGCAUCUGGGUGGGAUGUUUAACAAUUGGUGACACAGAUUCUUUAUAUUCCUAUAUUUCUUCUCCGGCACUAGCCCCACACCCACCUCUCUGAUUCCACAUUAGUGUAAAAUCAUAACUAAUGGCUUAAUGAGCCUGAAGAGGCAGUUUCACGACUCUCAUGCUUUUGGGAAUAAGCAGAUAUAGGUUCAUUUGUAUGCUCCUCUGUUUCUCAGCCUUCACCAUUUGCUAUUCACUAUCCUUUCCCCACUUUCUACCUGUCCUUUUUCUCUCAUCUUUCUUCCCACGAGGACAAUUCUCCUCCAUUUGGCCGACACUGGUGUUGAGUCUUAGGCCUCCGUUCUUCUUUUUCUCAGCUUUCUUUAUGGGAUAAAUUAUAUCUCGACACACCAGUUCUGGAGUGGGGACUACCUAACACCCUUCUCAUGGAAGUUUUGGGAUCAAAUUCCUAUCUGACAUAAAGCCAAUUGUGGAUUACUUCCCGCAAUUUGCAUUUGACUAGUCAUUGCGCUGGGAAAGUGAGUAGCUAUUGCUUUUUAGCUAAAAAGGGCUUUACUUCUGAUAAUGUUUCUCUACACAUCAUCUAGAUUUGUGAUUUGUUUCUUUUAAGUGCGAUAAAUGGAUACCAUCCAUGGAGAAAACUUAGAUCGAUUUUGUUUCUGUUGUCAUGUCUUACAGCAAAACCAUCAGCCUUGUGCAGUAGUUUCUAGAGCACUUUGCUCCACAUUUUGAAUGCUUAUGAUAUUGAACAACAUUUUCUAAUCCUUUCAAGAUGAUCUUUUACUAAUCAUGCUUCUCAUAUCAAGACAAUCUGAUGACCACUUCUAGUAUUGUUUGCCCUUGUUGCAGUAGAGUUUUGUGUUAUAAAGAACAUGAUAAUAGCUCAUAUUCUCUCCACUGAGACAGUGCUCCAUAUUAUGCAGAAACUACCGAGGUUCCAGCCAGAGAACUUGGCUCACAACGCGAAGUUAUUUGACCGAGUGAAUGAAAUUGCGCAAAGAAAGGGAUGCACCCCAUUGCAGUUAGCCCUUGCCUGGGUACACCACCAGGGCGAUGACGUCUGCCCAAUUCCCGGCACAACCAAGAUCGAGAAUUUCAAUCAGAACAUCAGAGCUCUAUCGGUGAAGCUUUCUUCAGAAGACAUGGCUGAGCUUGAAUCGAUUGCUUCCGCGGACAAUGUCAAGGGCAGCAGGUAUGAUAGCAGCAUCUCUACAUGGGAAAACUCCGAUACUCCACCCCUUUCUUCAUGGAGCGCUGCUUAGAAAGCACGUCUCCUUCUGUCUGUCUCCGCAUCUUUGAUGUGCAGAGUUUGAGCAUUUGCUGCUGAAGUAAUUUGAGGCUAUGCGGUGCGGCUGUAUAAGCAUGUGUACGAAGAGAGUACUUAUUAUCCUGUUAGUAAAGUAAAAUCUGAACUGCAAAGCGUAAACGUUAACAUUUUGUAUAAGCAACGUUCACUAUGAGAAGAUCAUAAUAAGCUUACUGGGAAAUGAUCACUCAAGAAAGAUGGACCGAUGGCUCUCCAUAAGGCUUUGUCUUCGGGUCGGGAUCGGAGUUAUAGAAAAGUAGAAUGUGAAGCAAUGCUGAUGGACCCCGACCACCUAGAUCGCCGGCACGUGUCACUCCAUGUUGCUUCUCUUGAAAGUUGUCGAAGCCUCCUAAGGCACAAUUGGGUGAGCCUCGAUUGAUCAUUAUACUAUGCGGGAAGGGGAAUGCGUGUGCGGACUUCGUUGCCAAUUGCUAUGCACAUGGAGUUUCAUCUCCUAUUUUUCAAUUUCUCUCUCUCUCUCUCUCUCUCUCUCUCUCUCUCUCUCUCUCUCUCUCUCUCUCUAAUAGUAAAGAAAGAAAGGCCGCCUCACACUCAAAUUCCGUUUAUUCUGCCAAAAAUAAAUAAUUUAGAAAAUAUUUUCUUAAAUAUGGUCACCAUAUUAUUUAUAAAAUGGUUAAUAUUAUGAAAAAUUCUAAACUGGAUAAAUUUAUGCCAAAUUAAUUUUUGAGUCCACAAAAAUCAUAAUUUAUGCAAAUGUGACAAAUUACCUUAAAUUAAUUUUUGGACCAUCAAAAAACCUAAAUUAAUAUAUUUGUGAUAACUUUUUCCUAAAUUGAUAUGGAUUUCCGUUUGAACUUGUUAUAUCAAUUGAAUUAUUGUCAAUAUUCAUCAAACUCAGUAAUUUCAUAGUAAAAUUUAACAGAAAUUACUAGAUGAUAAAUAUGUUAUGGAUAUACUAGUUUAGGGUUUUUAAUGACCCAAAAAUUAGUUUAUGAUAAGUUUAUCACAUGUGUAUCAGUUUGGGGUUUUUUGUGAUAAAAAACCUAAUUUUGAGUAAAUUUGUCACAAGGGUAUUAGUUUGGAGAUUUUCGUGAUAUUAUCCCUAAGUCACUAGGAAAAUAUUUUCAUUGUCCAUAAAAAUAUUUGGAUAUAAAUUGUUGUUGAUAAUGUAAAAAAGUUUUCUUUCACUAAUUAUUUCAAAUGAUACAAUUGAUUUAUUUUCAAAAAAAUGUUUUCAAAAUCGUUCAAUUUCUAUGAAAAAAACAUAACGUUUGAAAAAACAAAAUUCUUCCCGACAAAAAGUGUGGAUCUGUGCAUUUGGUCCUUUUUUUUUUUCUUUUUAGCUUGGACUUUUAUCACUCCGCCGGGAAAAUUCCCAAAAUCUUGGAUUCAUUCAACCAACAUUUCUUGAAAUUUCAAACGUUAGUUUCUAGUUCGUGCAUACCAAUUGGGCCUUGUCUAGUCAAAAGCAUCAAGCGUAUAGUCCUCAUCAAAUGGGGAAAAUGAGUUUUGCCAUGAAAUGUGAAAAUCAAAGAAAGAGUACAUGUAACAAAAAUUAAGGAAAAUUAUUUGGUCCAUUAGAAAAAUUACCCAAAAAAUCCUCAGUAUAAUGCACUUUUAUUAAUUCAAUUCUAAAUCUUUCAAUUUUAUCAAUUGAAUUUUAAACAUUUUCAUUUUUUGCCAAGUGAAUCCAUCAUGUCAAUUUUGGUCAGAAAUUGCUAAGGUAGACACCAAUCAUUCAACAUGAAUAGUUUUUAAUAAUAUUUUAACUUUUUGUCGAAUUAUUUUUUUCUUUCUUUUUUUCCAAACCCUAGGUUGGCAAGGGCCAGUGACCCUUGUUUGGCAUGGGUGAAGGCAUUGCUGCUCUCGCUUGCAAGGGCAUUGAGGGGAGGGCGUUACAACCCUUGCUAGCCAAUUGGCGAGGGUUGUAGCCCUCGCUUGGUUCCAGAUGAGGGCCUCACACCCUCGCUAGUCCAAGGUUAGACGUAAAAGAAAAAGAAAAAGAAUAAAACAUUAUUCAAAAUUGUCCUUAUUAGCAUUGGUUGUACCACAUAGGAUGAUAAAUGUCUAUGUUAGCGAUUUCCAACCAAAAUUAAUUGAAUGGACUUAAUUAAAAAAAUGUGAAAAUAUUUAGAAUUUAAUUAGCAAACUUGAAAUGUUUAUAAUAGAAUUGACAAAAGUACAAUAAAUUUAGGACUUUUUGAAUAAUUUUCCCAUGUGAUAAUAACCUUUGCAGAGUCGGCGCAAUCAGUUGAAUAGUUUGGGGAUUUCCAGGUUAGAAGCUUGAGGUUAUCGGUUGAAUUCUCACAACUCACAUGUUAGGGGUGAGUGGUUGCACGUUUCGUUGAGAUUCUAUAUGAAGCUUGAAACUUACUUGUUGGAACACAUUUCCUAAUUUUUGGAACCUUGAAUUUACCUUACAUACUUAGGAACCUAGAAUCUACCUUGUCAUAGGUAUUAGGUUCUACCUAUACUCUGUACUCUUAAUGACUAGCAUUUACUACAAUCCACUAAUAACAAUUCAUAUAUAAUACACGAAAAUUAUGAAAUAUAAACAAAUAAAAUUUUUAAUUAUAGAUAUUAUUGAAAAUGGAAGCUCGAAUUAGCAGUUUUAGAUUGCAUACUUAUUAUUAGAGGCUAUGAAAUGUCACAAGAUCACAUGAAGACAUUAAAUAAGAAAAACAUAAAGAAUUAUUUCAGAUUCCAAGUUUCAGAUUUCUCACAUGUUGAAACAAAUUCUUCAAUUUUUAGAAGUUAAAACCUACUAUGUAUGUUCUAAAAUUGGAACAAGACUGGUUCUCAUUAAUUCGAUUCUCAGUACCUACCACGCAUAAUCUAUUAUGAGCAACAAACAUAGACUACAUUCAUGAGAUUACGACAUUUUUCCGGAGCCGUCGACGUCGGUGGCUCCGGAUUAUAAUAAAAUAAAAAUCGGAUAUAACGGGCAAGUUCACUAAAAUUGAAAGUGGACACAUAACAUAAUCGUCUUUGUAACUUUCUAAGUAGUGCCGUACUGUUGGGUGAUUUCGCCAAAAAGCCGCGUACCUGUCAUUUCCGACCAAUGAAUGAGGAAUCGAGGGCAGCUCCACCGAUCUUGCAGGUAAGUGCUGUUUUCAGAGCGCUCGUGGACAAGACAGCAUGGAAUCUCCCGCCUCCCUACUAUAAAGCUCGGCUCGCCCCAUCACUUUCAUUAUCGUCUUAGUGCCGAAAUUUUCUUCAUUUUCUCUAUUAUUUUCUAUCAUGUUAUCAAUGUCGUUCUUCCUCGCCUAGCUUCCAUAUUUUAGAGUUGCCUUUCGUUUUAUCUUGGUUUUUUUUUUUUUUUGGUUAUUACAAGUCCUCAUCCUGCAAUACAAAUCAGCAAAUCGAUUAGGAAUUCAAUUUUAAUUUUUUUCGAUACCAAGGCAAAAAUUAAGAACACUGAAAGCUCCAUGAUAGAGGAGACACCUACCUCACCUCAAAAUCAAGCCCCAUCGCCGUCGGAUUCGAUUAUAAUUUGGGACAAGAUAUUUUAAUCAUUUCGAGAUAAUCUUUAACUGAUCAUGCUCUUCUAGAUACACAGCGAUUGCGCACUUCCAAAUGCUUAUUAUGUCAAGUAACAUGACAAUCUAAUGGCAUGCAGUUCAACCAAUUUUGCACUCGUUGAUGUAGAAUUUGGCGUUAAAAGGAAAAUGAUAGUUGCUCGUAUGCUCUCUGCUUAGACAUUGCUUUAUGUUAUGAACUACCUACCAAGGUUGCGGCCAGAGAACUAAGCUCACAAUGCGAAGUAAUUCGACCAAGUGAAUGAAAUUGCACAAAGAAAGGGAUGCACCCCAUUGCAGUUAACCCUCGCCUGGUACACCACUGGAGUGAUGACGUUUGCCCGAUUACCGGCACGAUCAAGAUCGAGAAUUUCAACCAGAACAUUGGAGCUCUGUCAGUGAAGCUUUCGCCAGAAGAGAUGGGCCAAGCUCAGAUCGAUUGCUUAUAUGGAUAAUGUCNNNNNNNNNNNNNNNNNNNNNNNNNNNNNNNNNNNNNNNNNNNNNNNNNNNNNNNNNNNNNNNNNNNNNNNNNNNNNNNNNNNNNNNNNNNNNNNNNNNNCCUCGCGCUUAUGGAAGAGUAAUCACGAAGACAUCACAAUAGUUCAAUUGACGUUAGCAGGUACGUCUUCCCUACAUGGUAAGGGUCGUCACUGGGCGUGCAAUUGACGUAAGCACGUGCGUCUUCACAGCCACUACCGCUCCCCUCCUACUCAUCGUAGCUUCUGCCACUCCCCUCCUAUAAAUCUCGGCUCGCCCGACGCCUUCGCCAUCGUCUCGGUGCAGUGCAGGGAACGAUCGAGCUCGAGCUAGACUACGGCAAUGGCGGCAUCGACGACGACGACGGUGAGGAGGAUCAAGCUGGGGUCGCAGGGCCUGGAGGUGUCGGCGCAGGGGCUGGGCUGCAUGAGCAUGUCCGCCUUCUACGGCCCUCCCAAGUCCGAGCCCGACAUGAUCGCCCUCAUCCACCACGCAGUCGGCUCCGGCGUCACCUUCCUCGACACCUCCGACGUCUACGGUCCUCACACCAACGAAAUCCUCCUCGGAAAGGUCGUUCUCUCAGUCUCUCUUUUGCCUCUGCAUGAAUUAUAUAUGCUUAUGGUUUUACGGAACUUAGCUUCAUCGAGCAGGAUGCUCUGAUCCUGCGCCUUGGUUUUCUGAUUUCGGGGUUGAUUUUGAGCAGGCACUGAAGGGAGGGGUGAGGCAGAAGGUGGAAUUGGCGACCAAGUUCGGAGUCAGAUACGCGGACGGGAAGAGGGAGAUCCAGGGCGAUCCGGCGUACGUGAGGGCUGCUUGCGAGGCCAGCUUGAAACAUCUCGACAUCGAUUGCAUCGACCUCUACUACCAGCACCGUAUCGACACUCGCGUCCCCAUUGAAGUCACUGUAUGGAUCCCUUAUCAAACUUUCACCUCGCUUGAGACUUUCUCUGAGCCAUAUGAUGCAUCGUCAUGUUGUUACAAGUUUGUUGAAUUUUGUUAAAUGACACUUAAGUUCAGCUGAUAGCAGAGUUCAAGAUGCGGCACGGUGUUGUUCAAGGGUUGUGGAAUUUAGUAGUUUAGUGGCUUGAGUUUUCGUUUUGUGGGAAUCUUUUACAAGUUAAGGGUCAACAAGCAUGGAAAUUAUUCGAAAUCUUCCUUUGAGAUGAAAGUGCUCCGGGGUUCAUCCUGAAUUUAUAUACGGGAAUCACAUAUAAAGUUGUUCCUGGACUUUAUACGGAGACAUUUGAUUCUUGACAUAUUGUGAAAUAUGACAAGUACUUGGAAUACUUCUUUUAUUUGCUCUCUUCUGUGAGAGAUUCAAGAAAUCUACCUCCGUUAACUCAAUACCUUGUGGGUUUUUUGUCGCAUUGAGAUGCAUGAUAAUUGAGGGAUCUAGACAAAUAAAAAGCUAAUGACAAAAAUAAUUUUCUGGAUCUUAACAUGUAAGAUCUUGAUGUUGUUGUUCUGUCAUGUGAAUAUGCACAGAUCGGAGAGCUAAAGAAGCUCGUUGAAGAGGGUAAGAUAAAGUACAUCGGUUUAUCCGAGGCCUCUGCAUCAACAAUCAGAAGAGCACAUGCUGUUCAUCCCAUCACAGCAGUGCAAUUGGAGUGGUCGCUUUGGUCAAGAGAUGUGGAGGCGGACAUCGUUCCAACGUGCAGGUAGGAUAUCACUCUGUUAAUUGUUUAUGCAGCAACAACAGCUUCCUUCUGACUCUGCUUUUCCUUUAAAAUGUUGACUAGGGAGCUUGGCAUUGGAAUUGUUGCCUACAGUCCUUUAGGACGAGGAUUCUUUUCUGUUGGCUCCAAGUUGGUGGAGAAUAUCUCUAAGGAUGACGUCAGACAGGUCUGUUCCUGCUUGUCAACAUAAUUAGAUGCUUACAGUGGCUGUCAUUCUUAUUGAAGUGCUGGAAACCUGUUCUUGUGGUAUAAAGAAAAAGUAUCUGGAUGGGAUGAAUAAAACUUGGUGACACGAAUGCUUCGUGUUUUUAUAUGUCUUUAAUCCAGCACUUGCCAGACAUCCCACCUCUCUCGAUUCUAGAUAAAUGUAAAAUCACAAGUAAUGGCUUUAGUGAGCCUGAAAGAGGCAGUUUCCUGGAUUCUCGUCCUUUUGGGAAUGAAUGCAUAUAGGUUUAUAUGUAAGUUGCUCUGUUUCCCAGCCUUCCCAACAUUUGCUUAUCACUAUCCUUUCCCCACUUUCCACCCACCCUUUUUCUCUCAUCUUUCUUCACAAGAUUAGCGAUAUUUCCUCGAAAUAACUGACGCCAGUAUCGGGCUCUGGCCCUCCGUCCUUUUUCUUUCUCAUCUUUCUUCACAAGAUAAACUAUAUCUUGACACAACCAUUUCUUGAGCGAGGACUCCCGACACCCUUCUUAUGAGAGUUUUGGAUGAAGUUCCCAUCUGACAUAAAGCCAAUUGUGUAUUACUCCCCGCCAUUAGCGUUUGACUAGCGAUAGUGCUGGGCAAGUGAAGUAGCUAUUUUUCUUUGUAGCUAAAACAGCUCUGCGUCUGAUAACAUUCUUCUACACAUCAUCUACAUUUCUGAUUUUUUGUUUUAUGUGUGACUAAUGGUAUCAUCACAAGUACAAAACUUAGAUUGUCGAGUUUGUUUCUGUUUUCACAUCCUACAUCAAACCCAUCAGCCUUGUGUGGUAGUUGCUAGAUCACUUCGCUUGACGUUUCUAAUGCUUAUGAUUUGGGACAAGAUAUUUUAAUCAUUUCAAGAUAAUUUAUAACUGAUCAUGCUUUUCCAGAUACACAACGAUUGCACACUUCUAAAUGCUUAUUAUGUCAAGUAACAAGACAAUCCGAUGGCAUGCAAUGCAACCACUUUUGCACUUGUUGCUAUAGAAUUUAGCCCUAAAAGGAAAAUGAUAAUUGCUCAUAUGCUCUCGGCUGAGACAUUACUCUAUGUUAUGCAGAAGCAACCAAGGUUCCAGCCAGAGAACUUGGCUCACAACACGAAGUUAUUCGACCGAGUGAAUGAAGUUGCGCGAAGAAAGGGAUGCACCCCAUCUCAGUUAGCCCUCGCCUGGGUACACCACCAGGGUGACGACAUUUGCCCGAUUCCCGGCACAACCAAGAUCGCGAAUUUCAACCAGAACAUUGGAGCUCUGUCAGUGAAGCUUACACCGGAAGAGAUGGCCGAGCUUGAAUUGAUUGCUUCUGCGGACAAUGUCAAGGGUGGCAGGUACGAUAGCAGCGUUCCUACAUGGGAAAACUCCGACACUCCACCUCUUUCUUCAUGGAAACCUGCCUAGAAGCAUGUCUGCUUCUGGUGCUGCAUCUUUGAUGUGCAGAGUUUGAGCAUUUGCUGCUGAAGUAAUUUGAGUUUAUGUUGUGUGGCUGUUAUAAGUACGUGUAAUAAGAGAGUGACUGUUUUCAUUUUGUACAUGUGACAUUCACUAUGAGAAGAUUAUGGAUGUGUACUAACCUUACUGGGGAAAGAUCACUCGACAAACACGAGAGCGAGUUGAAUACAAACUGAGCCUGCCGUGUCGACUUUAUUGGGGUGACUUUUAGAAUCUGAGAAAUCGGGAUUUUGAAGAAUUCAAACUCAGUCGUACAUACUAGAGUGACGCUUUAUUCUCCUCCAACCAUGAGUUUAAUACUAACACCGUGUGCAACAUGCUCUUAAGACUGGAUGCUACACAUAGAUACAAAGCUUCGCUUUGUGUUUGGUUUGGUAGCGAAGUUAAGGAAAAGUAAAAUGUUACCUGAUGUUCUCGCGAAAACGAAGUUGGGGUUAAAAUGCUGGCGCGGUUGAUAUGAGCGUCAGGGAAAUCGAAGGUUUCUUGUUCAAGUUUCACCACCUACGGCUCAUGAGCUUUUAUGUAGCUCGAUACCUUCGCUCAUGCCUCUGCAUUAUUAUAAAACAGUCGGAGAUAUUGCGCAAGUUUCCUAAAAUUAAAAACGACAAUUCUAUUGUUUUUUAUUUGGAGUUAGAGUGGAGCAAUGUUGUUUUGUUUUGGUUUAGGAAAAUAACGCAAAUAGUCACUGCACUUUGGUUUAACGUAUUAUGUUCUUACUGAACUUUUAAUUUAUUUAGUAUGGUUGUCGAACUUUUUAUACAUGUUUAAUUUAGAUCCGAGGCUAGAUAAAUCCAAUGAUGCUGUGUUUGGUCGUUCGAACAUCUUUGCUAUAUGGGAUAAUGAUAGGAUAAAAAUCCCAUCUAAUAUUUCUCCACGUCUGGACAUAACAUGAUUCAAAUAAAACAAAUUUAAAUGAGUGUUUGAUUUGUAUAAUUAAAAUUAAAAAUAAACCAUGGAAGUCGUAAAUACUAUUCAUCCUUUCCCAAUCUUCAUCCAUAUCAAGCACCCCCGUUCCAUGUGACUUCAAGGACGCUCGCUCCUUCUGCAACACCCCUUUCGCUGCCCUUGAUCAACUCGAUGGAUUACGCUCGCUCUACCUUUGACUUCGCCACAUUGAGAGGCCCUUGGGUUUGAGUUCUCCGCUGGUCUAGCCAUCUUUACUUUCAACGCCUUUUUCCUGCGAUAAAUCCAUCCCCUUCGACGAGUGUGAAUACCGCGUUGAUUCCCUGUUACCGUGCUCCGACUUGUUCAGUCGCUUCAACAGCUUCCCCCGAGACAGCGCGCGGAUCCGGUUUAUGAGUGGACAUGGUUGAGGAGCUCUAUCACCUUGGCUGCCGCCUCUUUCGGAUCAUCUUCUUCACAGCGGAGGUGUCCAGCUUUGAUCGGGAUCACAAAGUUCCCUCCUAAAAUGGAGUUAAGUGACAUAAGAAAAGAGGCAGGGCUGACGAGCUCCGCGAUACUCAUGCUCUAAUUUUGUGGUGGUCAUUUUAGUGAGACAAAUUAAGAGAGAUGAUGGUGGCACUGGUCAAAAGUGAGGACAAGCCAUCGACAAGCGCAGGAGUGGGGGAAAAAGUUGUACCCCUUAUCUUUUCAGUUUUCUAAAUUUCACAUAUCAUAUUUGAAUUUAUAUCACUUUCUAGAAGGGAUUUUUAUCCGGACUAUAUCUGAAUUUCACGUUACUCUAAACAAUGGAUAGGAUCAAACUUGCCAUAUCAGAGUUUAUCCAACCCAUUAAAGACAGUCUUAUGAGAUAGAAUGCAAUGAUAUAAUUUGUGAACUAGAUUAAACAUUUAUUAAAAAUUUAAGAACAAUAGUUUACAUUUUGAUUAUUAGGAUGCAUGAAUAAGUUAUGUUAAAACAAUCGCACAAUAUAUUGAUAGCUUUGAAAUAUGGCUUUCUCUUGGCGAUGAUGUCGAUUAAUAUGGAGAAAUUAAUGGGAGGGUUUAUUUGGCCUAAUUAAAUGGGAGGCUAUAUCAAUGGGAGGUUUUUCAUUGUAACAUUCCCUUGUGCUUGGUAUUUGUAUUUUAGUAAAGGAUUUUGUUAGCAUAAUAGUCUUUGGAUUAUUAUGAGAAUAACAGUUUGUUAUAAGUCAUAAACUUUUAAAGUCGUGAACCCCAUGAUAAUUUCAAUUAUUUGUUAUUUGAUUUUUUGUAGUCUAGAAUAAAAAUUAUCAUCAAAUUAUUUAUUUUUAACAAAUAUAUUGCUCUAACUGUUGUUUCAAUUAAGUUUGCAUCGGAGAAUAGAUUAUUUUGUUUUGGUGCGCUAGUCGAGGGCAGAAGAACACCACAAGUGCCAUAACUUGGCACGCCGGGACACUUAAGUGCCAUAACUUCCAAACGGUACACUUAAGUGCCACUUUUUUUUUCAAGUGGGACACUUAAGUGCCACCUCCGGCGACCCUUGCCGGAAAUCAUACGUGGCACUAUUUUAUUACUAUUUUUGCCAACGUGGCUCGCCGGAGAGCUGAGUCGGCGCUCAGUCACCAGAAACGACGUCGUCUCCAUAAUAAAAGCCCCAAAUCUUCCAAAAACGACGUUGUCUCCCCAAAUGCCCCAAAUCUAAAACCCUAAAUCGGCCAAAAUCCCUAUUGAAGUGCUCGAAUUGAAGUCUCGAACCCUAAUUUUCAUUUGCCCAAAAUUCCUUCGUCGAAUCUUGGAAAUGGAGAGCAGGACUCGCAGCAGCGCCUCAAUUUCCUCUCAUCGAAGCGAAGGAGAAGGCCAGCGUUUCUGUUUUUGUGGGUUACCGAGUCCAAGAAGAACAUCGUGGACUCAAAUCAAUCCUGGGAGAAGAUUUUAUGGAUGCGCCCGAUAUAAAGAAGCGUCGAAGUGCAAAUACUUCAAAUGGAUUGAUGAGAAGUUCUCUGACCGAGCCACAGAGGUGAUAUUGGAUCUACUUCAUAAAAGACAGCAAUCUUCAUCUGUGUUCGUGGACGACUUGGACGAUGUUGACUCAAUGCAAGCUCAAGUGUCUUCAGUGAAACUUUCGAAGAAUGAAGUGUCAAUGCACGCUCAAGCAUCUUCAACUAAACCUUUCAAGAAUGAAGUCCCAAUGAUGAAGAUUGAACGAAAGUGUUACCAAGCGUGUAUUAUGGUGUUGUUUUGUUGUCUAUUGUACUUUAUGAUGAAAUGUAAAGUACUUGAGAAUGAGAAAAAGUUUCUGCGACUGCCAUAGUUAAAAAUGGUGUUGUUCUGGAUUAAACGUUGGGUUUUUUCUUUUUGAAAGAUGCGAAGAAGUUUGUGUUGUGGAACAAGAUCAUUGUUGCUUUGUUGUCGUUUGUGCUGUGGUAUGGACUUGCCAUAAGUUUACCAUCAUCUUCUCUGUUUUGAUGCAGAAUCAUCUUCUCUGUUUUGCAAUGCAGAAUCAUGUUCUCUGUUUUGAUGCAGACCGACAUAUACACAAGACAAACAUGAGUCAUUACCCGAGUGCCAUAAGUUGUAUUCAGUAAUCACGUAAGUGCUAGUCGCGAUGAAAAAAGGAUCACUUUAGUGUAAAGUUAUUGUUAAAGUGAUCGGUUAAGUGUCACUUGUAGUUAAAAGUGAACAGUUAAGUGCCAAGUUUUUUUAGAAUAGGAUCAGUUAAGUGCCAAUUUUUUUGUCGGUUUUCUGUAAAAAUUGCGCCAGCCACCAGCACCGGCGACACCACCAACCAUCACCACUAUCCACACUACACACUAGGCGCUCCAGCCACCACCAUGCUGGUGGUGUUGCUGCACAAGAUACUAGUGCAAGGCUCAGCUUGCACUAGUUUGCACCAGUACACAUGGUGUAAGAUGUGCAAACUGCACACUUGUACCAGGUGUAGGUGCAGCUGCUUAAGCCUAUAACCCCCACCACAAACCAAUAAUCACCAGGCAUCACCAUCAGCCACACCAGCACCCCAGCCACGACAUUAGCACCCCACCAACAAACUGACUACCACCUACCACCAAACAUCACCAUCCACCAUCACUAGAUACACCAGCACUCCAGCUAUCACCACAGAACACCAACAGCAGCAGCAACAAGUAAAAGCCAGAAUCCAUGAUAAACAACAACAUAAAUUGACAAGCAGCGCAAGAUCAUUUCAUUGAUAUUAAUAUCAUCAAGUCUGAGUCUGACAACAUUCAUUUCAUUGAUAUUUCAUCAAGUGUGAGUCUGAGUCUGACAACAUCAAUGAAUGACAAACUAAAGAAAAAAAACAAAAGAUAACCAUCGAUGCAUAGACUUUCUAUAUGCACGACAACAUCAUCGUUUACAUAACUGUUUUUACUCCUAAGCUCCACAAAUCCUAUCACAUCUCAUCUCAUCAAUCAAUAUGCACGACACCCCCUGUUCGUCCUCCUUUCGAUGGGCCUUUCACUUGAUUCAUAAUUCUGGCACUCUUUCUAACUGGACGUGCAACUUCUUCUUCAACCUUCUCAGUAUCCACUGACUCAGAUGGAGCUGCAAAUGUCAUAGGCCGAAUUGAAUCAAAAGGAGCUGGAGCUGGAGCUGGAGAUGGAGCUGGAGCUGGAGCUCGAGCUCGAGCUGGGUUCUUUCUCUUAUUUUUUUUUGGCACAGUUGAUGUUGAUGUUUUCUUCUUUUUUGUUGGUGCAGCCGUCGAUUCUUGAGUUGGGCCUGAGAUAAGAACUUCUGAACUUCUCCCAGGCUACAAAAAAACAAUAAAUUGUUAGCAAAAAUCUACAGCAUAAAUUAAAUUAAAUGCAGCCAAUAAAACUUACAUUGAGAAUGACUGUUCCAGUAGGCUCAUCUGUAUACAGGCCAUAGCCAUAUUGUCUGAACCUCUUCCCAAGUGCCCCUCUUGUUUGAAUAGGGGCGUCACUUUCAGGAACUUGUGAUUUGUUGCCCCUUUGUCCUGCUUUCUUGGGCCCUUUAACUACAGCCGAGGCUUGUUCGACCCAUUGUGUUGGGCGUCUUCUAGAUGGCCUUUGUGUACCUGCCCCUUCACCUGGCCUUGUUCUAGUUGUCCUUCUGUGUAGCCCUUCAACUUCAGUGACACCUCCUUCUGUUUGGCCUUCUGGUGGUACUGGUGGUGGUACUUGUGGUGCCCCUUGCAGCUCCUGUGAUGAUCCUUGAGAGCAUGAUCCUUGAGGUGGCUCCUGUGAUGAUCCUUGAGGUGGCUCCUGUGAUGGCCCUUCAGUUGGCAGUUGAGUUCGAACUUGCUUUCUUCGAACCUGAGAAAGAGGCGAAAAUCGAACCUGAGAAAGAGGCGAAAAGAUACCAUAAAUAUAAUAUCGAGACAUAUAAUAAUAAAAACUGAAUACAAAUUGAUUGAAUUUAGCACUGGGUAUUUCUUUCGCUGCUGAAGAACAGUCGACUGCACUGGCCGUGAUGCUGCUUGGGUCAAUCCUUCAGCUGGCCGUGAUGCUGCCACUUGGGCCAAUCCUUUACCUGGCUGUGUUCUACCUUGCCUUCUUCGAACAGGCUGUUCAGUUUCAUGACUUACUGAGGUUCUUCUUGUGACCUAACAAACACAUUACAUACAAGGCCAAAUAGGAUAUCAUUAUGUACAUUUUUAUGAUAAACGACAAGAAAGCAACAUAAACAUAAAAUAAAUUUCAUGACUUACCGGGGUUCUACUUGUUGACUGAAGAACAGUCGACUCACUUGGCCCUGCUGUGUGCAUUUCUCCAACUGUCUCUUCACUAGGCCCUUCACCUUGCCUCAACCGUUGUUGCUUCCUCAAUUGACAACCUUUAAUAUUGUGGCCUGUUAGGCGACAAUAAGAGCACGUGAUCUUUGCACCCUCCCUGCUCAUUCUUUGCUGACCCGAGACCUCUCCCUCCGCCAUUCUUCGUCUUCGUUUUGUCCUUCCAAUUGUCUUCUUCAGUGGCAAAGGUAGAGGUGCUUCACGAUCCGUGGGCUCCCAAAACUUGCUACUUCUAAUUGGCUGCAUCAUGAACUGAUAGGAAGCAAGAUACUUUGAUUUAUGGUACCAAUCAUCGAUGUAAUCAUCUAUAUUGUCGCCCUUCAACUGGAUGGCACAUAUGGCAUGUGCACAUGGAAUUCCACUUACUUGCCAUGAUCUACAUGAACACUUCCUACUUCCUAGAUUGACAACAUACUUAUCUGCACCCUUCAUUAUCUCAUAUCCGUCAUCUCCAUUCCAAAUGGGAUGACAAUGCGUACUUGCAGCCAAGUUGUCAUCCAAUUUCUUCACAAUCCUAGGACCAUAUUGUCUUGUCCACUUUGCAGCCUCAUCUCUUUGUUUCUGCAGCCGAGUCAUAACCGCAACUCGUAUAUCUUCAAGCAUUGAGAUGACUGGUUUGCAUCUGGCAUCUAUUAUCUUCGAAUUAAAUACUUCACAAAUGUUGUUGUCGACGUUAUCGCACUUGAACUCCUCACUGAAGAAUGCCCUGCACCAAUGCUUCGGUUCUAGUUGAAAUAGGGUAGCACAACCUUCCUUUGUCAACUGAAGCAGUCCUUCUUUGGCUAUUCUAAAGUCAGCCAUGUUUGCACUCUUUGCUAAUUGCCAAAAUUGCAAUUGCAGCUUAUCCCCUUUAUAGUUCUUUGCCCAAUUUCCGUAUAUGUGCCGCGCACACAUUCGAUGUUCAGCAUGGGGCAACAACUCGGCUACUGCCGGAACCAAUCCCUGCAAUAAUUCAAAGUAAGAAAUAUUAUAGCAAAUUACAUGUUCAUAUUACAAAGCAAAGCAAAGCAAACUAUUGACUAAACUUUUCAAAAAGCAAGCAUUACCUUCUGUUGGUCACUCGUGAAUGCCCACCCUUCCCCGUUUGUUAUCUCCAAGUCAGCCAUCAGAUUUUUCAAGAACCAAGACCAAUUGUCCUUGUUCUCAAUCUUUACAAUAGCCCAAGCUAGUGGGAACAUUUGGUUAUUCGCAUCUCUUCCAAUCGCUGCCAACAAUUCUCCCUUGCACAAGCCCUUCAAGAAACAGCCGUCCAAUCCUAUAAUCCGUCUACAACCAGCUAAAAAACCUCGUCUGCAUGCAUCAAAGCACACAUAGAACUUAUCGAACUUGGUCCCAUGAUCAGGAAGUGGUCUCUCAAUCACCUCUACAUACACUCUACUUGUAGGGUUUUGCAGCCUACACUCCCAAGCAUACUCCCACACCUGCCCAUAUUCCUUAGCAUACUGACCAAUAAGUACCUUUAUCACCUUUUGCUUUGCUCUUUUGCACUGAUUCCUAGAUACAUUGAUGCCUACACGCUCCUUCACCAGCAUCCUAAAGUUAGCAAGUUUCAAGUUGGGCAUCACCUUGAUCAGAUCGAAGAAGUGCUUCGACAACCAUGAACUUGUUACCCUUUUGUUUUGAAAAUUAAUGGAACAAGUGUGUUCCUCUUGGUAGGCUCUAAUCUGAAAAGACCCACUCUUCUUAACAAACGCACCGUAAAUCUUCCAUGGACAGUUUUGCUGCGAACACCUAGCUCUUACAAAUUUCUUGGUAUUUCUAAUGAAAUCAAUAUUUCUUUGUGCAGCAAUGGAAGAACUCAGUAUAGCUUCCCUAAAUUGUAUCGCAUCAUGGAAUUUCAUACCUACUGACAAAGUAGGAGAUGCAACAGAUGGAUCAUAGGAAGGAAACUUACUUUUCCUUCUACGCACAGCUCGUUGAUCUUCUUCAACUUCGUCCUGGGAAGUUGCGGUGUCGAUGCUUUCUUCAUAAUCUGUCUCCAGGACCUGGCCAGCAACACCAACAUCUGCAGGGCCUUCGUCUCUGUUUGGAUGAACAGCUACAUGCAAAGUUGCAAAUCUAUCUAACAAAAAGUCCCUUUGUUUUUUCCUUGACUGUGUAAGCUCCUCAUCGUCGACGUCACUUAAGAUUAACAAAUUUUCAGCUUCAGCAGCCAACCCUUCAUCGUCAUCGUCACCCUCACUGGAUUCAGCUACUUCCCAAUCUAAUUCAGUGAUGGUGACAUCACCCAUGUCACAAUCGCUCUGGUGAACAGCAUCUGCGCCCCUCUCCUCCCCAUCCUGUCCAUCAUGACCUACUUCAUCUCCUCCUUCUCCUACUUCGGUGGUAUCUGUGUCAUCAUGUUCGUCCUCACUAUUGUUUUCAACAAACACUUUCGCCUCUUCGCCAUGAAGAAAAUGAUAUAAGACAUCCCUAAAACCAUUAUCAUCUUCCAAAACUCUCAAACCAUCUCUCAAGCCUUUCCCAGGAACACAGUACAGUAACUUUUGUACUCUACAAGGCAAAAAUGUCACUAUAUCCCUAACAAAUCCAAUAUAAGAUGCCUUCUUUAUAUCUACAAAGAUAGUACCCUCAUUCCCCCCCUCAUACUCCCACUCAUCCUCCCCAAUCACAAAAUCUCCACCGUAGUAAACGAUGACAGCAACAUAGUCUUUAUGCGCCAUUUCUGCAACAAAAGAGGACAAAUAUACAAUUAACUAUUUUGGGACCACAUUCACAAAGAACAGACAAUUGCAAGUGGAGGUCCCCACACUCUUUAUUAAAGAAAAGAAAAGAAAAGAAGAAGAGAGAGGGAAGAUGCGGUCGUCGACAGCUGCAGCUUGAAAACAACAGGCCUCAGGACAAGGACAAAUAAAAAUUAAGAUGGGACCCGACAACUGCUUUGAUUAUGCCGUCGCAUUUCUUUAAAAUAUGGAGAGAUUCCUCAGCAUGGGUCCUCAACAAUGCAAUUUAUUAAACAAAUAUCCAGAAGUCCCCAUCCCCACAACCUUCGAUUCUCACAUGUGCAAAGUCCAAUACUCUGAACCCUAACAAUCACCAAUCAUCGCACAUUUCACAUCCGACCACUACAAAUUACUUUCGCACAUCACAAUUCAACACCCUGAAUGAAUCACACAUCACAGUGGAUGAGGCGACGUCGAGCCCUACACUGAGCCCUAAUUUCCCCCCCCUCGAGCCCUACACCGAGCCUAUAUUUCAAUGCCGCUCCUAAACUGUCAAUUUGAACCCCCCAAUAGGAUUGUAGCACUACAUCUCAGCCAUUAAAUCUCACAUCAAGCCUGACCUUUCCCAGCCGACCCCCAAAUUUGAAGUCCGAGCCCUAAUAAACGAGUCGGAGCCCUAAUUUCACCACAGGGGAGAGGAAGAAGAGAAAAAACCUGAGCAAAUCGACGACGGCGAGCGAUGACGGCGCUCGACGACGGCGACCGACGACGGCGACCGACGACGGCGACCGACAAAGGCGAGCGACGACGGCGAGCGAUCACCUGCGAACGGCGAGCUGUGAACGGCGAUGGAUGGAUGGAGAGGACGUCAGACCUACUGUGAACCGACAAAAUGUUAAAUUCCAAAUAAACGAACGACGUCGUUUUGUUUGGCCAAGUGCACAGUGGAUGGGGCGACGUCGUUUUCCUCCUCCACGUCUGCUUUUUUUAAAAAAAAAAAUUGCCACAUCAGUUAAGCUUGUCGCCGGAAAAUGCCACGUCUGCAUUUUGGCCGGUUUUUCGCCGGAUUGGCACUUAAGUGUCCCAUUUUACUCCGAUGAUGGCACUUAAGUGUACCAUUUUAAAGUUAUGGCACUUAAGUGUCCCGGCGUGCCAAGUUAUGGCACUCCAGGUGUCCCGACCUCCUAGUCGAGUAUUGCACAGUACAUUGUCAUUUUCUGAGCACUAGCAACGUUGCAUUCAGACAAGGCGGCAUGGAAUUAUUUGCCCAGCUGCACAUCGCUCGACCAUACAUUCAUGGACUGUUCCUCAGGAAAGCAUAUAGACAUGUGGCAGAUGCAGAACAUUUCACGAGAUUAAAAAAAAGAAAAUAAUUUUAAAAAAACUAUAGUUUCAACUUCAAAACAUGUCGAACGCCUGUUUCCACAUCAAGAAUUUGGGACCUCCCAAAUAUUUUCUUGGUAUUAAGAUUGCUCGAUCUAGUAAAGGUAUUAGUCUUAGUAAGGUAUUAAGAUUGCUCGAUCUAGUAAAGGUAUUAGUCUUAGUAAGAGGAAGUUCAUCCUAUAAAUCAUUUUUGAAGCGGGAUUAUCCAAAUACAAGUCCGCCAUCAUACUAAUCGAACAAAAUACUAAGCUGCCAACUCAUGGACUUAGAUUCUUCAUCUUUUGAGGAUUCAUUGCUCAAGGAUCCAUCAGCAUAUCGGCAACUUGUUGCAAAAUCAAUAUACCUCAUCAUCACAUGGCCCGAUAUAUGUUAUGCAGUGCAAGUACUCUUUAUUCAUGCAUAGUCCAAAACAAUUCCAUAUGAAUGCAGCCCUAGAAGUUGUGAAAUAUUUGAAGUGAUGUCUAAGACUUGGAAUAUUUUUAUCUUGUGACUGCAACAUGAAGAUGAGAGCUUUUUGUAAUAUAAAUUAUGCUACUUGCCUGAUGAACAAGAGAUCUAUUUUUGUUUAUGCAUUAAAUUGGGAAAGUCAUUAAUCUCGUGGAAAAGGAAGAAGUAGUCAAUUAUAUCAUUGUCAUCAGCUGAAUCAAAGUAUCAAGCCAUGGGGAAAACUACCUGCGAAGUAGUUUGGAUAGGAGGAUUACUCUCGGAUCUUGGAUUACAGGUUAGUGGAGCAACUAAAUUGUUUUGUGAUAAUGAUGCUACAUUUAAAUUAACAACAAAUCUAGUUUUUCAUGAAAGAACAAGACAUAUAGAAGUUGAUUGUCAUUUUACUCAAAUAAGAUUAGAGAAAGAGUUGUUGUAACUAAAGGAAUUGGAAUUAUGUCAAUAGGAUAUUUUGGACAAAGGGUUAAUGGGAGCAGAUUUGUGACUCAAGUAAAAAUUUAUGAAUUUUUAUGAGAUUGUAAAAAUUUUAGGGUAUUAUACAAAAAAAAAAGGUCUAAGGUAGAAUUAGUAUGUGAGUUAACAUUGAGGAUUUUUUAUGGGACAAAAAAAAGGUAAUGGUAGAAUUGUGAAUGGAUCUAAAUUAUUGUUCUUUUUUGAGACAAAAGGUACAAUUUGGAGAAAAGCUAAAGCAGGAGGUUUUUUUUCAUAAGGGUGUUAAGGUUCAUUUUGUCAUUCAUAUGACGUCAGCAUUUCUUAUUUUCUCCUACCUUUUCGUCAGCACGUGCGUCUUCGGUAGCACGUGCAGGGAUCGAGCGAGCUCGAGCUAGACGACGGCAAUGGCGGCGGCGUCGACGACAACGGUGAGGAGGAUCAAACUGGGGUCGCAGGGGCUGGAGGUGUCGGCGCAGGGGCUGGGCUGCAUGGGCAUGUCCGCCUUCUACGGCCCUCCCAAGCCCGAGCCCGACAUGAUCGCCCUCAUCCACCACGCCGUCGGCUCCGGCGUCACCUUCCUCGACACCUCCGACAUAUACGGCCCCCACACCAACGAAAUCCUCCUCGGAAAGGUCGGUUCUCUCAGUCUCUCUUUUGCCUCCUCAUGAAUUGUAUGUGCUUAUAGUGUUACGGAAUUUAGCUUCAUCGAGCAGGAUGGGAUGCUCUGAUCCUGCGUCAUGGUUUUCUAAUUUCGGGGUUGAUUUUGAGCAGGCGCUGAAGGGAGGGGUGAGGCAGAAGGUGGAAUUGGCGACCAAGUUCGGAGCCGUCAUCGGGGACGGGAAGAGGGAGGUCCGGGGCGAUCCGGCAUACGUGAGGGCGGCUUGCGAGGCCAGCUUGAAGCGGCUCGAGGUCGAUUGUAUCGACCUCUACUACCAACACCGUGUCGACACUCGAGUCCCCAUCGAAGUCACUGUAUGGAUCCUCCUUAAACCUUUACCUCUCUCUCGAGACUUUCUCGGAGCCAUAUGAUCAGUUGCUAAACUAGAUUGGUGUUAAUUAUGCAUCGUCAUGUUGUUACAAGUUUGUUGGAUUUUGUGGCAGUUGCUUGUAAAUAUUGUUAAAUGAGAUUUAAGAUCGGGUGAUAGCAGAGUUCAAGAUGCGGCACGAUGCUGUUAAAGGGGUUGUGGAAUUUAGUGGUUUAGUGGCUUGAGUUUUUGUUUUAUGGGCAUCUUUUACAAGUUGAGGGUCAACAAUCAAGAAAAUCAUUCGAAAUCUUCCUUUGAGAUGAAAGUGCUCCGGGGUUCAUCCUCAUUUAUAUACAAGAAUCACAUUUGAAGUUGUUCCUUGACUUUCUAUGGAAUGGAGACAUUUGGUUCUUGACAUAUCAUCGUGAAAUGUGACAAGUACUUGGAACACUUCUUUAAUUUGCUCUCUUCUGUGAUCGAUUAGAGAAAUCCACCUCCGUUAACGCAAUACCUAGCGACUUUUUUGUCACAUUGACAUGCAUAAUAAUUGACUAAACUAUUGAGGGAUCGGGAAACAUAAAAAGCUAACGAUGUGCAUAAUUUUCUGGAUCUUAACACGUAGGAUCUUGACGGUUGUUGUUUUGUCUUGUGAAUAUGCACAGAUUGGAGAGCUAAAGAAGCUCGUUGAAGAGGGUAAGAUCAAGUACAUCGGUAUGUCUGAGGCCUCUGCGUCAACAAUCAGAAGAGCACAUGCUGUUCAUCCCAUCACAGCGGUGCAAUUGGAGUGGUCGCUGUGGUCAAGAGAUGUGGAGGCAGAGAUCAUUCCCACGUGCAGGUAGGAUAUCACUCUGUUAGUUUAUUUAUGCAGUAAAAUCAUCUUUCUUCUGACUCUGCUCUUCCUUCAAAAUGUUGACUAGGGAGCUUGGCAUUGGAAUCGUUGCCUACAGUCCUUUAGGACGAGGAUUCUUUUCUGUUGGCUCCAAGUUGGUGGAGAAUUUCUCCAAGGAUGACUUCAGACAGGUCUGUUUCUGCUGGUCGACAUAAUUAGAUGCUCACAGUGACUGUCAUUCUGAUUGAAGUGCUGGAAACCUGUUCUUGUGGCAUAAAGAAAAGUAUCUGGAUGGGAUGAAUAAAACUUGGUGACACAAAUGCUUCACGUUCUUAUUUGUCUUCAAUCCAGCACUCGCCAGACAUCCCACCUCUUUUGAUUCUAGAUAGAUGUAAAAUCACAAGUAAUGGCUUUAAUGAGCCUGAAAGAGGUACGUUCCCGGAUUCUCAUUCUUUUGGGAAUGAAUAAAAAUAGGUUUAUUUGUAAGUUGCUCUGUUUCCAAGCCUUCCCACCAUUUGCUAAUCACUAUCCUUUCUCCACUUUUCACCCACCCUUUUUCUCUCAUCUUCCUUCAGAAGAUUAGCGAUAUUUCCUCAAAAGAACCGACACCAGUAUUGGGCCUCAGCCCUCCAUCCUUUUUUAUUCUCAUCUUUCUUCACAAGAUAAAUUGUAUCUUGACACAAACAUUUCUUGAGUGAGGACUCCCAAGCACCUUUCUUAUGGAAGUUUUGGGAUCAAGUUGUGUAUUACUUCCUGCCAUUAAUUUUGGGCGAGUGAAGUAGCUAUUUUUCUUCAUAGCUAAAAGAGCUUUGCGUCUGAUAAUAUUCUUCUACACAUCAUCUACAUUUGUGAUUUCUUUCUCUUAUGUGUGACUAAUGGUACCAUCACAUGAACAAUACUUAGAUUUUGAAUUUCGUUUCUGUUUCCACAUCUUACAUCAAACCCAUUAGCCUUGUGUGGUAGUUGCUGGAUCACUUCACUCUACAUUUCUGAUGCUUUUGAUUUGGGACAAGAUAUUUUAAUCAUUUCAAGAUAAUCUUUAACUGAUCAUGCUUUUCCAGAUACACAGCAAUUGUGCACUUUCGAAUGCUUAUUAUGUCAAGUAAAAGACAAUCUGAUGGCAUGCAAUGCAACCACUUUUGCUCUUGUUGCGGUAGAAUUUGGCAUUAAAAGGAAAAUGAUAGUUGCUCAUAUGCUUUCUGCUGAGACAUUGCUCUAUGUUAUGCAGUACCUACCAAGGUUACAGCCAGAGAACUUGGCUCACAACGCCAAGUUAUUCGACCGAGUGAAUGAAAUUGCACAAAGAAAGGGAUGCACCCCAUCGCAGUUAGCCCUCGCCUGGGUACACCACCAGGGUGAUGACGUUUGCCCAAUUCCCGGCACAACCAAGAUCGAGAAUUUCAACCAGAACAUUGGGGCUCUGUCAGUGAAGUUUACACCAGAAGAGAUGGCUGAGCUUGAAUCGAUUGCUUCUGCGGACAAUGUCAAGGGUGACAGGUACGAUAGCAGCGUUCCUACAUGGGAAAACUCCGACACUCCACCUCUUUCUUCAUGGAAACCUGCCUAGAAACAUGUCUGCUUCUGGUGCUGCAUCUUUGAUAUGCGGAGUUUGAGCAUUUGCUGCUGAGGUAAUUUGAGGCUAUGUUGUGUGGCUGUUAUAAGUACGUGUAAUAAAAGAGUUCGUUAUCUUGUAAUAAAAUCUGAACUCCAGAGAGUGACUGUUUUCGUCUAGUCUGAAUGCUUGCAGACUCUGCUAUUUAAAGUCUGAAGACCUUGAGACAGCCAGACUCAAGACUCAAAGUCUAUCCUCAUUGAUAGUCACUAAUCCGUUGAAGAAAGGUUAUCCAGAACUUGAUGUUUCGUUGAGGAUUUAACCUUAUCAACUGGAGAAGAUCUCAUGGCUGGAGAAGACAUAAACGGAGUCCUUUGAUUGAUCGAAGAUUGAUUCUAUAAUUGAAGAUCCGGUGAUUGCCUAAAUAUUAUUGGAAGGUUCUGCUUAUGGAAACCGAGAUCCUGAUUGUAUGGGCGAACAUGAUUGAUGGGCUAUCAACACGUUCCUUUAAUAGCUUGAACAAUCUUCCUAAUUGAUUCCGUCCAACGGGUAGAUUGGAGGAAUUCCUUUGGUAAGUGCCAACGGGUAUGAUGGCAUAAAGGAGUAUAUAAGGAAGACUGUCUUAGUUGUUCAAGGUGUGCGCGAUAGAAGAAUUCCAAAGUCUGAAGCUCCUUUUCGUUUAGACAAAUCCUUUGAGCGAAUACUUGUAUACAAAAGAGAGAGUCUAUAUUUGUGAGAAAUCUUGAGGAGGUGUGGUAGAAUAUCUACACUGUGGAAUCAAGGCAAAGCUGUGCUGUAACCUCUCUCUUGUUCAUAGUGGAAUCCAGCCAAUAGGCUGUCAGUGAAGAAGAGUGGACGUAGGCUUGAUAUAAGCCGAACCACUAUAAACCGCGUGUUAAAUUUUCUCUUCUCUCAAGUCUUACUUUGAUUAUCGUUUCCUUCAACUGUCUAGUAUUGUGCAAUUGCUUGAGAAAAAUUCUUUAUAUACCUAUUCACCCCCCUCUAGGUACUCAUACUAGCAAUAUCAAUUGGUAUCAGAGCCUGUGUACUUACUUUAUUUGAAGUGUUUUACUUCGUAGUAAAAGAUCCAUGGCUAGUAUGCUAGCACCAGGGCUGAUGGAAGGGCAAAGCAAUACCAGACCACCCUACUUUGAUGGAAAGGAUUACAACAUCUGGAAGAACAAGAUGAAAGCUUUCCUUCGAUCAAAGGAUCCUCUGGAAUGGGACGUUGUAGAAAAAUGAAUUACUCCUACCACUGCAUCAGUCUCUGAAAGAGGAAAAGAAACUGAUGAAACCAGCGGAAUGUCUCAAGAAGAAAUAAUCAAGAGAGAAGCACUCGAUGCAAAAGCAAUUUACUCCUUAUAUUGUGCUUUAUCACCAACUGAAUAUAAUAGAAUAUCUUCUUGUGGUACAUCAAAAGAAGUUUGGGACAGAUUGCAUAUCACUUAUGAAGGAACAGAUCGAGUGAAGGAAACUAGAAUCAACAUUCUUCUCGGUCAAUACGAAGCCUUCAGAAUGAAACCAAGAGAAUCUAUAUCUGACAUGUUUAGUCGUUUUACAGAUAUUGUGAAUGGUCUUGAAAAUCAAGGUCAACCAACUUCUGAUCCCAUGAAGGUAAACAAGCUACUGCGUGGACUCUCCAGGGAUUGGAAUCACAUAAAGACUUCGAUAAGAGAGACUCAAAGAAUUAUGCCACUAUCUGUCGACGAGCUAAUUGGAACUCUUCAGUCUUAUGAAGUGGAACGGAUCAAUGAAGAUGAAGAUCCAAAAGGUAAGAAAUCCAUUGCAUUAAAAUCAAAUGAUGAUUCUGAUGAUACAGAUUCUGAAGAAGAUUUGGAUGAUGAGGAGCUUGCUCUCAUGAUAAGAAGAUUCAGAAAACUGAAUAGAAAAGGAAGAAGGUUCAACUCAAAGAAACAAAGCUUUCAAAGACAGCAUACCAAGUAUGUUGAUGAUGAGGAACCAAAUAAAGACAUAGUCUGCUUUGAAUGUAAGAAAAAGGGACACAUCAGACCCAACUGUCCUCUUCUGAAGAAGAAGAAAGGAAAAGCUGAAAGAUUUCGAAAAGCUCUCAAAGCCGAAACCUGGAGUGACACAGAGUGUGAAGAAAGUGAUAAUGAAUAUGCCAAUCUAUGUCUGAUGGCACAAUCAGACUCAGACUCUGGAUUAGACUCAGACAAUGAAUUUGAGGCAAGUAAUAUUAAAAUUCCUGUCAAAGUUUCUAAAUAUAUUGAUGAAUUAUGUUUUAGUCUUAAGACUUCUCUCAAAAGAAUUUCCGAACUGAAAAAGGAAAACUCAGCUCCAAAACAAAAGGAAAAUGUUUUACUAGAAAGAGUUAAAAGUCUAGACUUGACUGUUUUCACUCUUAAAGAAAAUGAAGAUAAUCUUUUAAAAGAAAAUGCUUUUUUAAAAACAGACUUAUCAAAUAUCUCAAAGAAAUUUUCAAUAGGGUUCGAAAAACUUGAGAAAAUUCUUUCAGCUCAAAGACCUUACUUCAAUAAGUCCGGUCUAGGUAUGACAGAAGAAACAAUUCCCCUGAUUGAUUUUCCUAAAGUAAAAGAAAGAAUUAAGAAAAGACUCUCGAGAGAGAUUUACAAAAGUCACUUCAAGAAAGUUUUUGUAAAAUCUGUAGGUAGAAAUGCUCUAAAAUGUUCAAAAUGCAACAGUCCGGAUCACUUUGAAAAAGAGUGUCUUAUGGUUUGGAAACCUGUUAAGAGAAUAUGGGCUAAUACUGCUUAUGUUACUAACACCAAAGGACCCAAGAAAGUUUGGGAACCAAAGAAAGCUUGAGACUCUUUUUUAAAUGCAGGUCACCGUCAAGAAAAAAGGUAAAGUGGUAUCUUGACAGUGGAUGCUCAAGACACAUGACAGGAGACUCAAAUUGUUUUAUAAAGAUUGCUCAAGUGAAUGGUGGAAAAGUUUCAUUUGGAGGAAACAACAAAGGGAGUAUUGUGGGAUUUGGAACUGUGAAAAUUGGAAAUCUCACAAUAAGUAAUGUUUCCUUAGUGGAAGGUCUCAAUUACAAUCUUCUCAGCAUUAGUCAAUUGUGUGAUACCGGUUUCAAGAUCUUUUUUUCAAGAAGGAAUAUGUUCUGGAAUCAGUAAAGACUCUACUCAGUCUUUCAUGGGUCGUAGACAUGGAAACAUUUAUAUUCUGGAUGUGAAACCAAAUGAAUCGCAAUGUUUUAUCUCAAUUCAAGACGAAGCAAGCUUAUGGCACAGAAAGCUUGGUCAUGUCAACAUGAAGCAAUUAGCCAAAAUCUCAUCAAAGCAGCUUGUUCGAGGACUACCCAAAUUACCUUAUCAAAAGACUGAUCCAUGCACUCCAUAUAUUCUGGGAAAGCAGGUAAGAAAUUCAUUUAAGCCAAUAAAUCAUGUCUCUACUAAUCAUGUACUACAGUUGCUGCAUAUGGAUCUCUUCGGACCAACCAGAACACAGAGUAUUGGAGGUAAGAAAUAUUGCCUAAUAAUUGUGGACGAUUACUCCCGUUUUACUUGGGUAUAUUUCCUUGCAAGUAAGUCUGAAACCUUCUCGUAUUUUGAAAAGUUUGCUAAAAAGGUUCAAAAUGAAAAAUGAUGUGUUAUCUCAAGUAUAAGAACAGAUCAUGGAGGUGAAUUUGAAAAUCAAGAUUUUACAAAAUUUUGUGAUGAAUCUGGCUUUAAUCAUGUGUUCUCCUCUCCAUAUACUCCUCAGCAAAAUGGAGUUGUGGAAAGAAAGAACAGAUCUCUUCAGGAAAUGGCUAGAACUCUUUUAAUUGAAAGCAAGAUUUCUUCACGAUUUUGGGCUGAAGCUGUUUCAACAGCAUGUUAUAUCAUCAAUAGAGUCUUCUUAAGACCUAUUCUAGAGAAAACCCCUUACGAAUUGUUCAAAGAUAAGAAGCCUAUUGUUUCAUACUUUCAUGUAUUUGGUUGCAAAUGUUUUAUAUUGAAAAAUGCAAAAGAUCGAGUUGGUAAGUUUGAAGAAAGAUCAGAUGAAGGUAUCUUCCUUGGAUAUUCUACAUCACGCAAAGCCUUCAGAGUCUAUAACAAGAAGAGUCAGUCUGUGGAGGAGUCAAUGAAUGUCAAAUUUCAAGACUCAACACAAGAUGAAUCAAGUCAGACUCAUCAAGAAGAGUCUGAACCUGCUCCAGAUCUUCCAAAGCUUACAACUCAAGAAGCAUCUCAGACUCUAGAAAACCAGCUUCAAGAUGUUCGUGAAGAUCCAAACAAAGAAAGAGAUCAUCAACCAGACAGAUCAACGAGUAACUUGAAGCAUAAGUCCAGUCAUCCCAAAGAUCUUAUAAUCGGCGAAAUGAAUGAAGGAAUUCGCACCAGAUCCAAAAUGCGAGAAGAGUCUAGUGCUCUGGCUCUCGUUUCUGAAAUUGAACCAAAAAGCAUAGAAGAAGCUUUAUCUGAUGAAAGUUGGAUUAAAGCUAUGCAAGAAGAGCUCAGACAGUUUAGCAUUAAUGAUGUCUGGAAGUUGACAUCCAAACCAAAAUGUAAAACUGUUAUUGGAGCUAAAUGGGUGUUCAGAAACAAGAUGAAUAAGAAAGGAAAAGUCGUACGAAACAAAGCAAGACUCGUGGCCAAGGGAUAUACGCAAGAAGAAGGAAUAGACUAUGAUGAGACUUACACUCCAGUAGCAAGGUUAGAAGCUAUUUGACUAUUACGUGCGUUUGCUUGUUAUAAGAAUUUCAGGUUAUUCCAAAUGGACGUCAAAAGCGCCUUCCUAAAUGGAGUCAUCCAAGAGGAAGUUUAUGUGGAACAACCACCAGGGUUUGAAGACCCAAAGAAGCCAGACUCAGUCUUCAGACUGAAGAAGGCUCUGUAUGGUUUAAAGCAAGCACCUCGAGCUUGGUACGACAGAUUAAGUAAGUUUUUAAUACAAAAUGGUUUUGUCAAAGGUAAAGUGGAUACUACUUUAUUUAUCAAAAAGGAGAACAAAAGUUUCUUACUUGUUCAAAUAUAUGUGGACGACAUUAUUUUCGGAUCUUCUAAUGAAAAUAUGUGCAAGAAAUUUUCUAAGUCUAUGCAGGAUGAAUUUGAAAUGAGUAUGAUGGGAGAGUUAACAUUCUUUCUUGGUCUUCAAGUAAAACAAUUGAAGGAAGGAACCUUUAUUUAUCAAGAAAAAUAUGUUAAUGAUCUUGUCAAAAGAUUUGGACUGGAAAAGUGCAAAAAGACCGACAUACCGAUGUCAAGUUCUUUGAAGAUAGACAAAGAUGAAGAAGGGAAGAAAGUUGAUCAAAAGCUGUACAGGAGCAUCAUUGGUUCACUCAUUUAUCUUACUGCUUCUAGACCUGACAUCUUGUUGAGUGUUUGCAUCUGUGCUAGGUUUCAAUCAGAUCCUAGAGAAUCCCAUCUCAGUGCUGCGAAACGCAUCAUUAAAUACGUUGCUUCAUCAUCAAGCAUCGGUCUUUGGUAUCCUAAGAAGGGAGACUUUAAUCUUCAGGGAUAUUCAGACGCAGAUCUGGCCGGUUGCAGAGUUGAUAGAAAGAGCACUUCGGGAACUUGCCAGUUGCUUGGAAGCAGGACAGUGUCUUGGUUUUCAAGGAAACAAAGCACUGUGUCUCUUUCAACAACAGAAGCAGAGUAUGUAGCCCUGGGAAGCUGCUGUUCGCAAAUUUUAUGGAUAAAACAACAGCUAAGAGACUUUGAAAUUGAAGACUCAUGCACGGAGAUUAAUUGCGACAACACCAGCGCUAUCAACCUCACCAAAAAUCCAAUUCUCCACUCAAGAGCAAAGCACAUAGAGAUUCGACAUCACUUUAUAAGAGACCAUGUUCAAAAUGGAGAUGUUUCAAUUCAAUUUAUUGACUCAAAGAAUCAACUGGCGGAUAUAUUCACAAAGCCUUUGGAGAAAAAUCAAUUUGAGUCUAUACGCUCCAGACUCAACAUUUUGAGGUAUGAGGAUAUCAAAGUCUAAAGACUUUCAGACUCAGACUUACAAGACUUUAUCUGAAAGACAGUCUUGGUACGUCUGUCAGACUGUAAGUCUUUCUCUCUUGAAUCUCAACUUGAAAAUGUACGAUUGUCAGACUGUGUUUAAAUUGUUGCUAUAUUUAAUUGACGUAAAUAUUGCAUCGUUUCAUUUUCAAAAGGGAAGUUAUUUUUGAAAUGGCUAUUUUUGCGGAAAAAGACAGUUAUUUUGAAAAGACAUAUUUUUAUUUCCUUUAUGACGGUUCGUUUAUCCCUCUUUUUAACCGAUCGUGAACUGUCGAUUCCUCUUCACUUUUCUCUCAAAAACCCUAGAAAGCAUCGAUCCUCCAUUCCCGUUUGUCUUCUUCGUUUAAUCCUCAAAAAGUUGUCAUCUUUCCUGGGAAAGUCAAGCAAGAAAUCUUCCAAAAACUGAGAAAGAUGUCAUCUUCAAGAAAGUCUUCGAGAAUUGCAAGCAGGGGACCACGGCGGAUGAGUGAGGGGCCUACGCACUUCGAUCUUACUAAAGAUGAAGUGACUCCAGAACAACAAGCGAGCCCACAACAUUCUCAACAGCGUCAUUCUCCUCCAUCUAGUCCUCAAGGCGUUGAUCAUCAACAACAGGAAGAAAUCAUCGAGGAUGCAAACCUUGUAAGAGUUCAAAAGCCCGCUUAUAUUUACCAGUUAUAUCGUGCCCUAAAAGGAAUUCGUACUCCUUUGAACUACAUUGAUGAUUUUCUUAAAGACAAAGGACAUGGGAACGAAUAUAUCUUUCUGAAAAAAAUGGAAAGUUUAAGAAUUGCUCGAAAAGGGGUGGCUGAGGAAACCCUUGCAAAUAUCCCAAGUGAUCCUCGUGAUUGGGGGCCGAAUCCUGUAGAUGGGAAUGAUGAUGAUAAAUUAUACAGUCAAUUCCAACCGAAAAUGGGUGUUGCGGUUGAUAAUCAAGGAAAAAUGGGAGAUUUGUUCAGAUCAAAGGAGCAAAAGGAUCUGUACUCAAAAUUGCUGAAGCGUGGGGUAAUAAACCCUAGGAGUGUAGAUUUUGAUUUUCUGGAUGCUGUGAAUAUGAACUUGAGGGAAAAGUUCAGUUAUCUUCAACUUGAAAAGUUCUGCUCUGACUCUAUAGAGGCCUAUGCUGAAUUAACUGCAUAUUUCUAUUCAAAUCUAAGCUUUUUGGAUGCGAAUAGAUUCUCGUUCAGCGUUAAAGACCAAUAUUAUGUUGUGGAUAUAAAUAUGCUGGCAGAUGUGUUAGAAGUUGAAAGAGGAAGAUAUCAGCCAAUCAAAGUUUCCAUUGCUCAGGCCACUCUUGAACUGGUGAAGGACAGGAGAACAGAUGAAAAGAUCACCUACUUAAGGAUGGGUGCAUUCAACAUCUUGCUUCACAAGAUUGUGAUUAAUUGCCUCCGACCGAAAUCAACUUCCAAGACUGAUGUUUCAAGUUCAGAGGCCAAGCUGAUGUAUGCUAUUCUCUUUGGAAAAAGGUUUUCUCUCCCUCACACUGUGAUGUUUCACAUGUAUAGAGCAAUGAUGAAGGACAGAGGUCAACUCCCUUACCCAAGCCUUGUUACGAAGUUAUUCAGACAUCUGAAUAUUCAGCCUCCACAAAUCUUUUGUGUUCGACCAUGCGAUCAUAUGGUGGUAGGUUUGAAAAUGGUGACCAAAAUGCGUCUGAAGGAACUGAGCAAGGAGUUGGAGAAAUUCAAGGAGAAGACUCCUGCAAAAUCUCAUCAAAUACUUCUGCAGCUAAAAGAAAAGGGAAGGAGCCCAUGGUUGCUCCAUCCAAGAGAAGAAGAGCUCUCCUUGUUGAGGAUGAAGAUGAUGAGGAAGACAUCACCAUCUCUGCAUUGGCUUUGAAGAAUUUAAGUCGUCAUGUUCCACAGAAAGAAUCGGAGCAAAUGACGAAAGAAGCAGAGGAGAAGGAAGAAGAAGAAAUAGAAGCUGAAAAAGAAACAGAGGAGGAAAGACCUGAAGAAGAAAGAAGAGAAGAAGGAGAACCUGAAGAACACUCUUCUCCACCUGUAGGCAUGGAAACAAGGGGAGAUCAGGAGAAAGGAGUGAAGUCUUCAUGUCCUGAUGCAAGUGAAGGAGUCAGACGCUCACCAGCAGACCUAGAGGAUGUUUAUGCAUCUCAAUUUCCAGAAGAAGGUCAUGAAGUUUCAUCGCCAAACCUGCAAGAUUAUGCUGAUCUACCAUCAUCUGCAUUUACUCCAUCAUAUCGAGCCGAAGCAAGUACUCAAACUGAUAAUGGAGCAGAUUUUCGCAGAAUCAUGGAUAUUCUUUUGGAGAUGCGAGGUCAGAUUUAUGCCUUGGGAUGCGAAGUUCAAAGCUUGAAGAAUGAAGGUCAAGCUUCUUCCUGUUUAUUGAAUGAUAAAAUGCAAGCCCUCUCUGUUCAGAAUCAGGCCAAUGCCAAAAGUGAGGAGAUUGCACAGCUAAAGGAAGACUUUAAAAGGCUGGAAGGCAUCGUUCAGUCUAUGGAAGAUUUCCAGCUUGUCCGCGUUCCCAAGCAAUCUUAACUUCAUCUCAUCAUUUUUAAUGAUGACAAAAAGGGGGAGAGAUGCAAGAUUUGAUCAAAAACCUUUCAUUCAACUUUUAAUUGUUUGUUAGAUUGUUUUGUGGUUUGAAUCUGUUUGACUUUGGUUUGUGUCUGCAUGAGAACUGAACUAGACUUGGACUUGACUGCUUCUAUUAACUAAUAUUGAUAUCUUAUGGAUGGCUUCAUCAUAUACUGGACUAACCUAUUUUCUGUGGUUGCAGAUUAUAGUGUUAUUCUAUUAAGACAUUUAUCUCUAUAAGAUAUGCAUAUGUGUUUGAGAAAUGUUUUGCAGGUCAAAGAUAUCCAAAUCUGCAGGAAAGUUUUGUCGCCAUCAAAAAGGGGGAGAUUGUUGGAGAAAUCUUCUUGAAGUGUUUUGAAGUUGACAAAUCGUUUCUAUCAGUCUAGUCUGAAGGCUUGUAGACUCUACUAUUUAAAGUCUGAAGAUCUUGAGACAGCCAGACUCAAGACUCAAAGUCUAUCCUCAUUGACAGUCACUAAUCCGUUGAAGAAAGGUUAUCCAGAACUUGAUGUUUCGUUGAGGAUUUAACCUUAUCAACUGGAGAAGAUCUCAUGGCUGGAGAAGACAUAAACGGAGUCCUUUGAUUGAUCGAAGAUUGAUUCUAUAAUUGAAGAUCCGGUGAUUGCCUAAAUAUUAUUGGAAGGUUCUGCUUAUGGAAACCAAGAUCCUGAUUGUAUGGGCGAACAUGAUUGAUAGGCUAUCAACACGUUCCUUUAAUAGCUUGAACAAUCUUCCUAAUUGAUUCCGUCCAACGGGUAGAUUGAAGGAAUUCCUUUGGUAAGUGCCAACGGGUAUGAUGGCAUAAAGGAGUAUAUAAGGAAGACUGUCUUAGUUGUUCAAGGUGUGCGCGAUAGAAGAAUUCCAAAGUCUGAAGCUCAUUUUUGUUUAGACAAAUCCUUUGAGCGAAUACUUGUAUACGAAAGAGAGAGUCUAUAUUUGUGAGAAAUCUUGAGGAGGUGUGGUAGAACAUCUACACUGUGGAAUCAAGGCAAAGCUGUGCUGUAACCUCUCUCUUGUUCAUAGUGGAAUCCAGCCAAUAGGCUGUCAGUGAAGAAGAGUGGACGUAGGCUUGAUAUAAGCCGAACCACUAUAAACCGCGUGUUAAAUUUUCUCUUCUCUCAAGUCUUACUUUGAUUAUCGUUUCCUUCAACUGUCUAGUAUUGUGCAAUUGCUUGAAAAAAAUUCUUUAUAUACCUAUUCACCCCCUCUAGGUACUCAUACUAGCAAUAUCAAUAUGUUCCAUCAUCAUCACUUUCAUUUAAACCACUUUGAGUAAAAAGUAAGGAUUUAAUAUGUCCAUGAGCUCGCGGGAUGUUUUAUGAGAAUUAAAAUAAUUCACUUUUACGCCCAUGCCCUCUAGAUAUUAGUAAAGUAUUCGGAUAUAUUGUGCAAGUAAACUAAAAUUGUAAAUGGCACCUUUUAUUAUUAUCUUCUCUUUUUCUUCUUUUUCUUUUUUCCUUUUUUUCGGGGCGAGGGGGGGGGGGGGGUUAACGUUGUGCAAUGUUCUAUUUUUGUCACCCUCUUAAGUUGCGCCAUAGUUAUAGGUCCUGAUGCCAAGAGGUGUGUCAUGUAAUGUUCUGGUCCUCUCAUCCACUAACUUUGUGUUCAUAGACAAAAUUGACAGCCAGGAAUUAGUUGCCAAUCAUCACAUUGUGUACCUCCACAUUAAUGGACUAUUCCUCUAGAAAAUAUAGAGUAUAUAUGACCACCGCUUGCGGUGGCCCAAUUGGAUAAAUGCUCCUAUGAUCCUUUACGAGAGGAGAGGAGUUCGAAUCUCACUGGUCGCACGGGAUCUUAAGUGCGACGUCCGAAUGGUGGAUCCUCCGCUAGCGUUGCCCUAGGGUUUACCCCUGUUACCUCAGGCCUAUCGGGCUAUAUAUAUAUAUAUAUAUAUAUAUAUAUAUAUAUAUAUAUAUAUAUAUAUAUAUAGAGUAUACAUGGAUGGACCAUGUGCAGGUCCUUGUAAAACUUAAGGAAGAAGAAUUAGGAAGAAGAAUCCUCAAAGGGGUGGAACUCCUUAAUGUCACCUCCUAUAUUCCCACCUAUCCAAGAAGAAAAAGAUAUGAAGGGGAUUAGGAGGCCUUUAGUGGGGAAGGUAAAUAUUAUGUCAGGACUUUGGUUCUGACUAUUUUGGAAUACACAUAUAUAGUAGUCUCAUGCACCUAGAAUAAGAAAGUGGAGCGUCCAACUUCCUGCUAGGUUGCCUAAGGAUACACAUGGCAAUGAGUUUCUGGACAUUGGCCUAAUGUAUAUCGUCGUUCAAUUUUUAAUUUGUUCAAUAUAGUCUAUAAACAUUAGUUCAAUAUGCAAUGUAGACUCUGCAGUUUUUAUUUGUUCAAUCUAAUCCCUAAACUUUCGGUAUAUGUUUAAUUUGGUCCUUUAAUUAUAAUAAAAUGUUCAAUGUUAUCUCUGAUUUUGAAUUAAUGGAAAAAUUACAUUAAACAUUUUCAUAGAUUUAAAUGAUUACAUUGAACAAAUUGAACAAAUUAAAAAUUAAAUGACUAUAUUGCAUAUUGAGUGAAAAUUUAUGGACCAUUUUUGUGAUUAUUCCCAUUGCAAAAAUAGAAUAUUUUGACCACCCACCUGGGUAGUGUUGCUGGCGGCGAGCUUCUCCCCCUAACGCAAUGGGAGGAGUUCGAUUUCCGGGCGUCGCAGGGUGACUUAUCCGGUGGUAUGUGUGUGAUGGCUAGCACGUGUCCUCCAGGGUUUACUCCCGUUACCCCUGGCCUUUCGGGCUAUCCGUGUUAGUACGGUGCGCAGGUUCCCUAGGUCACCAAAAAAAAAUAGAACAUUUAACAAGGAAAAAAAAUCUAUACAUAGAUAAUAGAGAUACACAUCAAUAAAUAUGUCAUGAUAAUAAUUAAAUCUACAAAAUAUUUAAUACCUUCAUUAUAAGAAAAACGAGGUGGCUGAGGAUUGCGGCCUCCACUCCCUCCCUCAAUUUUUCCAUUUACAUAACUUUAAAGUCGUGCAAAACUAUUGUUGAUGAUUACUCAAUCUGGACUUGCCUUUUGAGUUACACAUGGUUAAUUUUGUUAGCAAAAUUUGUAUCAUGCACAUAUCACAAUUUUUCAACAUUGUGCAAUCAAUUCUUGAAAGUUCUGAAAUUUCGGAGUUACGCAAUAUGAUAUAAACCUUUAUUCUUUCACGAGUCCUAGUUAUGAUUAUUUUUAGGACCGUGCGAUUUUCAUUCCAAAUUUUGCUUUUCACGCUUCCUUUUACAGCGUUUUCCUUUUUGAUCAUAUUACAUCCGCUAUCCCUCCUUUCGUUCGAUUGCUUGCUUUUCUUUUCUUGCAAGUCUCACGUUGUUCUUUCUUUGCUAUUAAUAUAAUGACAUAAAGUAGUUUUUAAAUUUUGACUCAAUAUAUAAUUUGAAUGUGAUUUCUGGACUUUAUCCUAGAGUUGAUUUUCCUUGCUUUGUUGUCUCCCCUUUCAGCUCAUGCUGACCAGCCAUUUGUACCCCAUUCCUCUUCUUCUUACUCUGUUUUCGAGCUUUCGUCCACCCUUUCCUUUCCUUGCUGACCAUCUGAGGGGAGACGAAGAGCUGGGCUCUCUCUUCUCUAAAAAAGAGUCGCAGGACGUGCAUUCGAACCUGCAAUAAUGUCUCUCCUCAUUGAUUUUUGCCCCGAAAAUGUCUGUCUUCCAGCUGUUCGAUAAAAUGCCUCUGAGAAAAGUGUUACUGGGUUGGCUUGUUCGGUUUCUCUAUUUGCUUUCGUUAUUAUUUUUUUUUUCUUUCAGGACGAGGACAGUAACUUCGUCUUCGAGGGAAAACCAUACGGAGGAUGCCUUUGUCCGGCGGCGCGAGAACGGCGGGGAAGAAGGUUCGGGCGCGGGUUCCUUCGUCCAGGUUCCCGCCGAACGACGGCACGGCGGACUCCGGAAUCUCGCCGGCGAGCUUGUUGUGGGAUUCAGUCGAGAGUAGGUGACGAGAGCCUGACGUCAGCACGCGCGCCUUUUUGUAGACCCGUUGACUUUUCACCGCCGGCAGCUUCGUUGUCGCGUCGGUUCAGUGGAGGAAGCGAGCGAGCGAGCGAGCGAGCUCUCGGACCGUUUCUUGUCUCAGAUAAUUCUGUAAUCUGAUCGAUUUCGGUGCUCGAGUGUGUUAUAAAGCUUAGUCUCAGCUUCUGCAUGACGUAGAUAUGCUACAGUCAUGCCGAAUUCUAAGAUCCUGCAUCUUGAUUUCCGAAUUUCGGGGUCUUCUUGUGGUGAUUUGGUGUGGAUUUUGAGCAGGCACUGAAGGGAGGGGUGAGAGAGAAGGUGGAAUUGGCGACCAAGUUCGGGCUCUGCUAUGUGGAUGGAAAGUGGGACGUCCGGGGCGAUCCGGUGUACGUGAGGGCGGCCUGCGAGGCCAGCUUGAAGCGUCUCGACGUCGAUUGCAUUGACCUCUACUACCAACACUGUAUCGACACUCGCGUCCCCAUAGAAGUCACUGUAUGGAUCCCUCAUUAAACCUUUCCCCCUGUUGAGACUUUCUCUGAGCCAUGUGAUGAGUUGUUAAACUAGAUUCGUGUUGAUGACGCAUCAUUGCGUCGUUAAUAGUUUGGGGGAUCUUGUGGCAGAUUUAACUAUUUCCUUGCCUUUGACCGGUUAGGUUUUGUUAAAUGAGAUUUUGAUAUUUGAGAUCAAGAUGCGGCACGGUGUUGUUAAAGAGGUUGUGGAGUGUAGUCUUUUCAGUGGCUGAGCUUUUUAUCUUAUGGGCAUCUUUUACAAGUUAAGGGUCAACAAGCAUGAAAAUUAUUCUGGAUAUUCCUUCGAAAUGAAAGGGCCAUGGGCGUUCAUCCUAAUUUAUGUAAGUGAAUAUCGCAUCGAAAGUUGUUUAUGGACUUCCUGUAAAGACCUUUGAUGGUUGACAGAUUAUUGUGAAAUGAGACAGAUAGUUGGAAUGCUAUUUUUGUUUGCCCUCUUCUGUGAUAGAUUAGAGAAAUCUUACUCCGUUAACUUAAUUCUUCUGUGAUUUUCCCUCUUUUGUGAUAGAUAUAUGUCCGUUAACUUAAUGUCCAGUGACUUUUUUGUUGCAUUGAGAUGCAUGGGGAUCUACUCAUCCUUGCUAAGAACUGCCUGGUCAAGACGUAAUGUUUGAAUAGUCAGGAAAAGCUACUAUUCAGGGAUCAGGGAUGUGAUAAAUGUGCAUAAACUUCUGGGCCUUAAUAUGUACGGUCUUGACUGUUGUUGUUGUUGUUGUUGUUGUUGUUGUUGUUGUUGUUUUGUCAUGUGAAUAUUUGAAGAUCGGGGAGCUAAAGAAACUCGUUGAAGAGGGCAAAAUCAAGUACAUCGGCUUAUCCGAGGCCUCUGCAUCAACAAUCAGAAGAGCACAUGCUGUUCAUCCCAUCACAGUGGUGCAAUUGGAGUGGUCACUGUGGUCAAGAGAUGUGGAGGCAGAGAUCAUUCCCACAUGCAGGUAAAGGAAUCGCCUCAUUAGUUUGUUUAUGCAGAGCAACAGCUUUUUUCUGAUGCUGCUCUCCUUAAAAUGGUGACCAGGGAGCUUGGCAUUGGAAUUGUUGCGUACAGUCCUUUAGGACGAGGAUUCUUUUCUGUCGGUUCCAAGUUAUUGGAGAAUUUCUCUGAGGAUGACUUUAGACAGGUUUGUUUCUGCUGAUCAAAAACAUAACUAGAUGCUCACAGUGACUGUCAUUCCUAUUGAAGUUCUGGAAACUACGAGUUCUUGUGGUAUACAGAAAAUGCAUCUGGGUGGGAUGUUUAACAAUUGGUGACACAGAUGCUUUAUAUUCCUAUAUGUCUUCUCCGGCACUAGCCCCGCACCCACCUCUCUGAUUCCACAUUAGUGUAAAAUCAUAACUAAUGGCUUAAUGAGCCUGAAGAGGCAGUUUCAUGACUCUCAUGCUUUUGGGAAUAAGCAGAUAUAGGUUCAUUUGUAUGCUCCUCUGUUUCUCAGCCUUCACCAUUUGCUAUUCACUAUCCUUUCCCCACUUUCCACCUGUCCUUUUUCUCUCAUCUUUCUUCCCGUGAGGACAAUAUCUCCUCCAUUCGGCCGACACUGGUAUCGAGUCUUAGGCCCCUGUUCUUCUUUUUGUCAGCUUUCUUUAUGGGAUAAAGUAUAUCUCGACACACCAGUUCUUGAGUGGGGACUCCCUAACACCCUUCUCAUGGAAGUUUUGGGAUCAAAUUCCUAUCUGACAUAAAGCCAACUGUGGAUUACUUCCCGCAAUUUGCAUUUGACUAGUCAUUGCGCUGGGAAAGUGCGUAGCUAUUGCUUUUUAGCUAAAAAGGGCUUUACUUCUGAUAAUGUUUCUCUACACAUCAUCUAGAUUUGUGAUUUGUUUCUUUUAAGUGCGAUAAAUGGAUACCAUCCAUGGAGAAAACUUAGAUCGAUUUUGUUUCUGUUGUCAUGUCUUACAGCAAAACCAUCAGCCUUGUGCAGUAGUUUCUAGAGCACUUUGCUCCACAUUUUGAAUUCUCAUGAUAUUGAACAACAUUUUCUAAUCCUUUCAAGAUGAUCUUUUACUAAUCUUGCUUCUCAUAUCAAGUAUCAAGACAACCUGAUGACCACUUCUAGUAUUGUUUGCACUUGUUGCAGUAGAGUUUUGUGUUAUAAAGAACAUGAUUAUAGCUCAUAUUCUCUCCACUGAGACAGUGCUCCAUAUUAUGCAGAAACUACCGAGGUUCCAGCCAGAGAACUUGGCUCACAACGCGAAGUUAUUUGACCGAGUGAAUGAAAUUGCGCAAAGAAAGGGAUGCACCCCAUCGCAGUUAGCCCUUGCCUGGGUACACCACCAGGGCAAUGACGUCUGCCCAAUUCCCGGCACAACCAAGAUCGAGAAUUUCAAUCAGAACAUCAGAGCUCUAUCGGUGAAGCUUUCUUCAGAAGACAUGGCUGAGCUUGAAUCGAUUGCUUCCGCAGACAAUGUCAAGGGCAGCAGGUAUGAUAGCAGCAUCUCUACAUGGGAAAACUCCGAUACUCCGCCCCUUUCUUCAUGGAGCGCUGCUUAGAAAGCACGUCUCCUUCUGUCUCCGCAUCUUUGAUAUGCAGAGUUUGAGCAUUCGCUGCUGAAGUAAUUUGAGGCUAUGUGGUGCGGCUGUCAUAAGCAUGUGUACGAAGAGAGUACUUAUUAUCCUGUUAGUAAAAUCUGAACUGCAGAGCGUAAACGUUAUCAUUUUGUAUAAGCAACGUUCACUGGGAGAAGAUCAUAAUAAGCUUGCUGGGAAGUGAUCACUCAAGAAAGAUGGACCGAUGGCUCUCCAUAAGGCUUUGUCUUCGGGUCGGGAUCGGAGUUAUAGAAAAGUAGAAUGUGAGGCAUCGCCAAUCGGAGUUAUAUAUAUAUUUGUGACAAAUUUUUCCUAGAUUGAUAUGUUCCAUUUGAACUUGAUUGAGUUGUUGUCAAUAUUCAUCCAACUCAGUAAUUCCACAGUAAAAUUUGACGGAAACUACUAUAUAAUAAAUAUGUUAUGGGUAUACUAGUUUAGGGUUUUUAGUAACCCAAAAAUUAGUUUAUGAUAAGUUUAUUAUAGGUGUAUCGGUUUGGGGUUUUCGGUGACCCAAUACCUAAUUUUGAGUAAAUUUGUCACAAAAGUAUUGGUAUUGAGUUUUUUGUGAUAUUAACUUUAAGUCACUAGAAAAAUAUUUUCAUUGUCUAUAAAAAUAUUUGGAUAUAAUUAUUGUCAAUAAUGUAAAACAGUUUUCUUUCACUAAUUAUUUCAAAUGAUACAAUUGAUUUUUUUUUUUCAAAAAAAUGUUUUCAAAAUCGUUUAAUAUCUAUGAAAUAAAUAUAGCGUUUGAAAAAACAAAAUUAGCUUCCCGACAAAAAGUGUGGAUCUAGUGCAUUUGGUCCUUUUUUUUUUUUUUUAAGCUUGGACUUUUAUCAGUCCGCCGGGAAAAUUCCCAAAAUCUUGGAUUCAUUCAACCGACAUUUCUUGAAAUUUCAAACAUUAGUUCUAGUUCGUGCAUACCAAUUGGGCCUUGUCUAGUCAAAAGCAUCGAGCUCAUAGUCCUCAUCAUAUGGGGAAAAUGAGUUUUGCCAUGAAAUGUGAAAAUCAAAGAAAAAGUACAUGUAAAAAAAAUUAAGGAAAAUUAUAUGGUCCAUUGGAAAAAUUACCCAAAAAAUCCUCGGUAUAUUGCAUUUUUAUUAAUUCCAUUCUAAAUUUUUAAAUUUUGUCAAUUGAAUUUUAAAUAUUUUCACAAUUUGUCAAGUGAAUCCAUCAUGUCAAUUUUGGUCAAAAAUUGCUAAGGUAGACACCGAUCAUUCAACAUGAAUAGUUUUUAAUAAUAUUUCAACUUUUUAUCGAAUUAUUUUUUUCUCUCUUUUUUUCCAAACCCUAGGUUGGCAAGGGCUAGUGACCCUUGUUUGGCCUAGGUGAAGGCAUUGCUGCUCUCGCUUGGAUUAGGCGAGGGUGUUGAGGGGAGGGCAUUACAGCCCUUGCUAGCUAAUUGGCGAGGGUUGCAACCCUCGCUUGAUUCCAAGGGAGGGCCUCUCACCCUUGCCAGUCCAUGGUUAGAGGAAAAAGAAAAAAUAAUAAAAUAUUAUAAAAAAAUUGUCCUUAUUAAUGCUAGUCAUGCCACAUAAGACAACAAGUGUUCAUGUUAGUGAUUUUCAACCAAAAUUAUUUGAAUGGACUUAAUUGGAAAAAUGUGAAAAUAUUAAUAAUUUAAUUGGUAAAAUUAAAAUAUUUAUAAUUAAAUUGACAAAAGUAUAAUUAAUUUAGAAGUUUUUGGAUAAUUUUCCCAUGUGAUAAUAACCUUAGUAGACUCAGCAUAAUCGGUUGAAUAGUUUAGGGAUUUCCAAGUUAGAAGCUUGAGGUUACCGGUUGAAUUGUCACAAUCACAACUCACAUGUUAGGGGUGAGUGGUUGCAAAUUUUGUUUAGAUUCUAUCUGGAGCUUGAAACUUACUUGUUGGAACAUAUUUCAUAAUUUUUGGAAUCGUAAACUUACUUUACAUACUUAGGAACCUAGAAUCUACAUUGUCAUAGGUUCUAGGUUCCACUUGUACUCUCGUACUCUUAAUGACCAUCAUUCGUUAUAAUCCAUUGAUCACAAUUCAUAUUUAGACAUACGAAAAUUAAAUAUAAAAAAUGGAAGCUCAAACAAGCGGUUGUAAAUUGUAUACUCAUUGUUGUUGGCAAUGAAAUAUCAGAAGAUCAUGUGAAGACAUUAAUUAAGAAAAACAUAAAGAAUUAUUUCAGAUUUCAGGUUUCUGCCCGUUAAAAUAGGUUGUUCAAUUUUUGGAAGUUAAACCUCCUAUGGAUAUUCUAAAAUUUGGAACAAGACUGGCUCUUACUCAUACGAUUCUCUGUACCUACCACGUAUAAUCGGUUCCGAGAAACAAACAUAGACUACAUUCAUGAGAUUCCGACAUUUUUCCCGAGCCGUCAACGUUGGUGGCUCUGGAUUAUAAUAAAAUAAAAUCGGAUAUAACGGGCAAGUUCACUAAAAUUGAAAAUGGACAUAUAACAUCAUCGUCUUUGUCACUUUUUCAGUAGUGCCGUACCGUUGGGUGGGAGCCGCGUACAUGUCAUUCCCGACCAAUGACUGAGGAAUCGAGGGCAGCUCCACUCCACCGAUGUUGCAGGUAAGUUGUUGUUUUCACAGCGCUCGUGGACAAGACAGCAUGGAAUCUCUCGCCUCACUACUAUAAAGCUCGGCUCGCCCCCAUCAUUUUCGUUAUCGUCUCAGUGCAGAAAGUGGUCGAGAGAGCGGACGGGCGAGCGAGCUCUCGAACUGUCUCUUCGCCGGUCUCUCUUCUCUGCAUCGACCUCGAGCUAGGUGACGACAGCGGCGAUGGCGGCGUCGGCGGUGAGGAGGAUCAAGCUGGGGUCGCAGGGUCUCGAGGUCUCGGCGCAGGGGCUGGGCUGCAUGGGCAUGUCCCCCUUCUCUGGCCCUCCCAAGUCGGAGCCCGACAUGAUCGCACUCAUCCACCAUGCCGUCGACUCCGGCGUCACCUUCCUCGACACCUCCGACAUUUACGGCCCCCACACCAACGAGAUCCUCCUCGGAAAGGUCUGCUCUUUUAGAUAUCCCAUCUUAAAAUUUCGCGUCUUCUUUAGAUCAACCAGCCUACAGUCCUCGCGCGUAUAUCUGUAUGUUGAUCAGUCUUUUUAUUGCCUUCCUAAUCUGAUCUGGGUGCAUUGAGCUCAGUCUCNNNNNNNNNNNNNNNNNNNNNNNNNNNNNNNNNNNNNNNNNNNNNNNNNNNNNNNNNNNNNNNNNNNNNNNNNNNNNNNNNNNNNNNNNNNNNNNNNNNNCUUGGUUUGUCAUUGUUUGGGGGAAAUUUGGUGCUUUUCUUGUGUUGAUUUGGUGUCGAUUUUGAGCAGGCACUGAAGGGAGGAGUGAGACAGAAGGUGGAAUUGGCGACCAAGUUUGGAAUCAGCUUCACGGGCGGGAAGGCGGAAGUCCGGGGUGAUCCGGCAUACGUGAGGGCGGCUUGCGAGGCCAGCUUGAAGCGGCUCGAUGUCGAUUGCAUCGACCUCUACUACCAACACCGUGUUGACACUCGGGUCCCCAUUGAAGUCACUGUAUGGAUCCUCAUUAAACCUUUCCCUCUCUUGAGACUUUCUCUGCGCCAUGUGAUCAGUUGUAAACUAGAUUAGUAUUGAUGAUGCAUCGUCAUGGUGUUAGAAGUUUGUUUGAUUUUGUGGAAGAGAUUGACUACUUUCUUUUGCCUUUGACUUGUAAGAUAAUUGUCAACUGAGACUUAAAGAGGUUGUGGAAUUCAGAAAUUUUUGUGGCUGAGUUUUUGUCUUCAUGGCAUCUCUUGCAAGUUAAAGGUCAACGGGCACGAAAAUUAUUUGAAAUGUUCCCUUGAGAUGAAAGUGCUAUGGGGUUCAUCCUAAUCUACAUGCGAGAAUUACAUUGAAAGUUGUUCCUGGGCUUUGUGUGGAGACAUUUGAUUCCUGACGUACCAUUGUGAAAUGUGAAAAAUACAUGGAAUACUUCUUUUGUUUGCCCCCUUUAGUGAUAUCUUAGAGAAAUCUACCUCCGUUAACUCAAUGCCUAGCAACUUUUUUUGUGCUUUGAGAUGCAUAAAGAUUGACUAAUCUUUGUUCUGUUAUCAUGUGAAUAUUCAAAGAUUGGAGAGCUAAAGAAACUCAUUGAAGAGGGUAAAAUCAAGUACAUCGGGUUAUCUGAGGCCUCAGCGUCCACAAUCAGAAGAGCACAUGCUGUUCAUCCCAUCACAGCAGUGCAAUUGGAGUGGUCGCUGUGGACAAGAGAUGUGGAGGCAGAGAUCGUUCCCACAUGCAGGUAGGAAAUCACUCUUUUAAUUUGUUCAUGCAGUAACAGCAGCUUUCUUCUGACUCUGCUCUUCCUUUAAUUUGUUACUAGGGAGCUUGGCAUUGGAAUUGUUGCCUAUAGUCCUUUAGGACGAGGAUUCUUUUCAGUUGGUUCCAAGUUAGCGGAGAGUUUCUCUGAGGAUGACUUCAGACGGGUUUGUUUCUGCUGAUCAAAACUAUAAGCUCACAGUGACUGUUACUCUUGUUGAGUGCUGGAAACUACGAGUUCUUUAAGUAUACAGAAGAAGUAGCCGGUGGGUUGGAUAAUAAUUGGUGACACAAAUGCUUUAUACUCCUUUAUGUUUUCAAUCCAGCAGUAGCCCCAGACCCACCUUUCUGAUUCUACAUUAGUGUAUAAUCAUACUUACUGGCAUAAUGAGCCUGAAAGAUGCAGUUUCCCAAUCUCAUGCUUUUGGGAAUAAACAAAUAUAGACUUGUAAGUUCCUGUUUCCCAGCCUUCCCACCAUUUGCUAUUCACUAUCCUUUCAUCCCUUUCCACCUAUCCUUUUUCUCUCAUCCUUCUUCAUAAGAUAUAGCAAUAUUUCCUCAACAUAAGUGACACUGGAAUCCGGCCUCAGCCUUCUCUCCUCUUUUGUUCUCAUCUUUCUUCACAAAAUGUCUUUACAGAACCAGUUUUUGACUGAGGACUCCCUAACACCCUUUUUUGGGAAGUUUUGGGAUCAAGUUUUUUAUCUGACAUAAAGCCAAUUGUGGUUAUUGCUAGAGCACUUCUCUCCUCAUUUCGAAUGCUUAUGAUUUCGAACAAGAUGGUUUAAUGUUUUCAAUCAUGAUUUAUAAAUACACAGUGAUUGUGAACUUCCAAAUGCUUAUCAUAUCAAGUAACAAGACAAUCUGAUGGCAUGCGAUGCAACCACUUCUAGUAUCGUUUGCACAUGUUGCUGUAGAAUUUGGUGCUAUAAAAGAAAAUGAAAGUUGCUCAUAUGCUCUCCACUUGACAGUGCUCUAUGUUAUGCAGUCCAUACCAAGGUUCCAGCCAGAGAACUUGGCUCACAAUGCGAAGUUAUUUGAUCAAGUGAAUGAAAUUGCACAAAGAAAGGGAUGCACCCCGUCACAGUUAGCCCUUGCCUGGGUACACCACCAGGGUGAUGACGUCUGCCCGAUUCCUGGCACGACCAAAACCGAGAAUUUCAACCAGAACAUUGGAGCUCUAUCCGUAAAGCUUACACCAGAAGAAAUGGCCGAGCUGGAAUCAAUUGCUUCUGCGGACAAUGUCAAGGGUGGCAGGUACGCAAGCAGCAUGCCUACGUGGGAAAACUCUGAUACUCCACCCCUUUCUUCAUGGAAAGCUGCUUAGAAACAUGUCUGCUUUUGUUGCCACAUCUCUCAUAUACAGAGUUUGAGCAUUUGCUGCUAAAGUAUUUUGAGGCUGCGUUGUGUGUGUUAUAUAAGUACGUGUAUGAGGAGAGUACUUAUUACGCUGUAAUAAAAUCUGGACUUGGGAGAGUGACUGUUAUCAUAUUGUGUAAGUGACAUUCGCUACGAGAAGAUUAUAGAUGUGUAGUAAGCUAAUCAGGGGAUAAUCACUCAAGAAAUGCAAAGCGAGUUGAACACUAACCAAGCCGACCAUGCCAAUCCAUCAGGGUGACUUUCAGAAUCACAAAACCUGGAUUCGAGGAGUUCAACUCGUCCAUACAUACUAAAGCGAAACUGUAUUCACCUCAAUCGUGACUUCACUACUUAAACCUUGUGCAACGUUCUCUCAGGAUCGGAUACAAUACAUAGAAGCAAUGCUAAGAGGAACCUUUUCUGCAACGGCACCAUUGCUUCUCUUGAAAAACCGUCGAGCCCUCCUAUGGCACUGGCGGGAGAGCCUCGAUCGAUCAUCAUACUUAUCAAGAAGGCGCCAAUGCGUGUUCUUACAAAAAAAAAGAAGAGCGCUAGGAAAUUUUAAGCUUCACACUUAACAACAAGAAUUUCCUCGCAAAAACUGUGGAUAUUGUGAACUUGGAAAUAUUUUUAUCUAUCAAUAUUAAAUAGACAAAUUCCGUUGGACAAGUACCAAAGAAGCCUGUCAGUCAUAUUAUCAUACUGUGUGUAACAAGAGUCUAAUUUUUGGCCAAAAUUCUUUUAGUAUUUUCCUUCGGUCUGAAAAAGCAUAUGGCAAGAUGCAUCUGCGUUCCUUUGGAUCUAGCGGUCCUACCUACAGUUUGUAUUGUUGUACUAAAAACAUGUGCUUGCACUAUAGGUCUAUCGCCCUUGGGUAAUUUCUCGACCAAGUGAAGAAGAUCAGAGUUUGAAAAANNNNNNNNNNNNNNNNNNNNNNNNNNNNNNNNNNNNNNNNNNNNNNNNNNNNNNNNNNNNNNNNNNNNNNNNNNNNNNNNNNNNNNNNNNNNNNNNNNNNAUGUGCUUGCACUAUUGGUCUAUUGCCUUUCUAAACCCUUUCUUUUCUUCCUCAAAGUCUGGUGUCAUUAAAAAUUUAGAGAUAUAUUGUUAAUUCAAUACAAUGAGUUGUUUUCAUAAGAAUGUUUUUCGCUUAUCACUCUGUGGAUCCUGUAAAUUAGAAAAGUUAGCCUUAUAAUAUAAAUUAAUGAUUCCUAGAGAUUAAACUGCAAUCCAUUUGAAAAGUUAAAUAAUGACCGUAUGGUGUGAGAUGACACAAUUAUGUCAGAUAAUCGUUAGUGUAUACCAUAAGCUCCUCAUGGUCAAAGCAUGAUUUCUAGAGACUAUAAUACAGCCUCUUUGAAAAGUCAAAGAAGGACCGUAUGGUCAGGGAUGACAUAAUUGGGUUAGAUAAUCAUUAAUGUAUACCAUAAACUCCUCGUGGUCAAAGCAUCAAGCACAUAGUUUUGAGUUUGUGAUACAAUGGGAAAUUCCCAAAAUAAUAAUAAUAAUAAUAAUACUUGUAAAAAAAAUAACGAAAAUGGUUUGGUUUGUUAAUAGUACGUUAUAAUAACCUUAGUGGAGUUGGAGUAGCUCUUGGAGCAUCAAAAGAUUUCUAGCUAUAAAACUAGAUGUCAUCUGUUCCAUUAUCACCACUUAUGUGUAAAUCACCAUGGGUAAAAGGUACGGAUUUAACCUGUUUGUGAGGUCGUAGGGUAUUCCAUAAGCCUUUUAAUAAUCCACUUUUACGCUUGUGCCCUCUAGAUAUUAGUAAAGUAUUUGGAUUUUUUGUUUUUUUUGUUUUUUUUGGGUAAAGAGUAAGAAUAUAUAGCUUGAACCAACAAUUAUAAAAGAUCUGGUACCACAAAACUUGCACUCAACAAGACAAUAAGAUGGUCAGAGUGAGUGGAAGGGAGCCGAAUGCAAAAGAAAACUGCAAGAGCGGGCCUGAGGAAGCAGAAACAACCAAAACAAUGGCAAAAGGAAAAGGAAAGCAACGGGAGGCCACAGAAAGGCGAGAUGAAGCACAAUCUACGCCUGCAUCUACCAACGACAAAAGUGAAGAGCCAUCAAGGAAGCACCCAUGCAAAUGAAGAGUAUCCAAAUAGCAAACACCAAGCUAGGGCUCUACCGAAGUAGAAGACUCCCCAGCCGAAAAAAUGAUAGGAUCACUACCCCAAUUACGCUACAAUUUCCGGUUUCUAUAAGUAUCAUCCACACUCCUGAGGGUGGUGGCCUUGUCUCUGACAACCUCGAUGAGUUGAUUCUUCACCGCUGGAAUGGAUAAGUGCUGCUUUCUAAAGAGGAUGCCAUUCCUAUGCUUCCAAAUGAAAUAACAAAGAGCAUCAAAAGAGAAGUGAAUAAUGCACUUGUAAAAGUCUUUGCCCGCAAGGAAGGAGAUGGCCCAGUUGAGGUUCUCAACCCACGAACUAUUCCGCCACGGCAGAUUGCAUCUAGAGGCCCAAAAGAAGGCGACGCUAGUAGAGAUGCAGCAACGACUUUUUAUUUUAAUGUAUUCGGAUUUAAUGUGCAAGUUUACUAAAAUUGUAAAUGACACUUUUAUUUUAUUUUAUUUUUGUGGGUACAGUUGUGAAAUGUUGUUGGGUAUACAUUUUCGUCAGCCUCUUAAGUUGCGCCAUUUUUUUAGGCCUUUUCUCCAAGAGUAGUGUCAUGUUAUGCUCCGGACCUCUAAUUUACUAGUUUGGACUCUAUUUUUUUUUUCACGGUACAUUAAUAAUUUGAAAAAUAUCAUUUUUAAAAUGGAUUAUUUGUAUCGCUUCAAAUAAUUAAUCAAUAAAAAUAUUAUUAUUACUGAUAACGAUUUAUAUCCAAACAGAUAUCUCCUCCUUAUAACCGACACUGGUGUUGGGCCUCCGGCCUUUGUCCUUUUUAAUACUCAUCUUUCUUCACAAGAUAAAUAAUAUCUCAACACAACCCGUUCUUGAGUGAGGACUUCCUAACAACCUUCUUAUGGAAUGUUUGGGAUUAUGUUAUUGACAUAAACCCCAUUGUGGGUUACUACCCACAAUUAGUGGCUGACUAGUGAUUGCGCCAGGUGAAGUAGCUAUUGUUGUUUAGCUUAAAAGAGCUUUACUUCAGAUAAUAUUCUGCUAUAAAUCACCUAGAUUUGUGAUUUCUUUCUUUUUAAGGUGAUAGAUGGAGUGCUAGAUUACUAGGUCCACAUUUCGAAUGCUUAUGAUUUUGAACUACAUAUUCCAAUCCUUUCGAGAUAUAUGCUCCCCGCACAGUGCUCGCGAACUUCCAAAUGCUUAUCAUAUCAAGUAACAAGACAUUUGAUGGCAUGCAAUGCAACCACUUCUAGUAUCGUUGGCACUUGUUGCGGCAGGAUUUGGUACUAAAAGGAAAAUGUCCGCUGAGACAGUUCUCUAUGUUAUGCAGAAGCAACCAAGGUUUCAGCCAGAGAACUUGGCUCACAACCGGAAGUUAUUUGACCGAGAGAAUGAAAUUGCACAAAGAAAGGGAUGCACCCCAUCACAGUUAGCCCUUGCCUGGGUACACCACCAGGGUGAUGAUGUCUGCCCGAUUCUCGACACAACCAAGAUCGAGAAUUUCAAGUAGAGCAUUGGAGCUCUGUCAGUGAAGCUUACACUGGAAGAGAUGACCGAGCUCGAAUCAAUUGCUUCUACAGACAAUGUCAAGGGUGGCAGGUACCAUAGCAGCAUCUCUACAUGGGAAAACUCGGACACUCCACCCCUUUCCUCAUGGGAAGCUGCUUAGAAACGGGUCUGCUUCUGUCACUGCAUCUUUGAUAUUUAGAGUUCGAGCAUUUGCUGCAGCAAUAAUUUUCAGCUUAUGUGGUGUGGUUAUUAUAAGCAUGUGCACGAAGAGAGUGCUUGUGAUCCUGUAAUAAACUUUGAACUUCAGAGAGUAACUGUUGUCAUUUUGUUUGAAUGGCAAUCACUGUAAGAAGAUCAUAUGUGUGUGAUAAGCUUAUCGGGAAGAUUACUCAAGAAACACAGGGUGAGUUGAAUUCUAACUGAGCCGACCAUGCAAAUUCAUCAGGGUGACUUUCAGAAUCCCAAAACUAGGAUUUUGAGCAAUUUGACUCGGCCAUACAUACUAAAGUGACACUCUAUUCACCUCAACCGUGAUUUCAUACUUUCAAGUUUCAAUCUUUACAACUUUCUCUCAGGAUUGGUUACUUACUGAAGCAAAUGCCAAGAGGCAUGUUUUCUAUAACAGCACGAUUGCUGAACUGGAUGUCAUCAGUGUUACAGAAAAGUAAACUCACGACUUGAUGCUCUCGUGAAGGUGCCCAUGUGUGGACUUUCUUGCUAGUUGCUAUGCAUAUGGAGUUUUGACUCCUUUUUGUCAAUUUUUCUUACAGAAAAAGAAGCUAAGUAAAAGAAAGGAGCUAUAGGACACUUUGAGCUUCACACUUAAAAUUUCCCCUCGAGAAGUGUGGUUAUUGUGAACUUGGACCUUUUUAUUUGUCAAUAUAAAAUGGAUAAAUUCCGUUGGACAUAUACCAAAGAAGCCGUACUGUGUGUAACAGGGGUCCUACGUUUGUCCAAGAUCCUUUUAGUAUUGUCUUUCCAUCUUAAAAAGCGUCUUACAAGAUGCAAGUAUGGUUCUUUGUAUCUAGUGAUCCUAAUUAUUGUAUUAUUGUCCUAAAAACAUGGGCCUGCGCUACUAGUAUAUCACCCUUGGGUUAUUUCUCGACGAAGUUGAAGAAGAUUAGAGUUUGAAAAGAUCCAUUCAAACACACCCCACUUUUCUAAACACUUUCCUCUCUUCGUUCAAAGUCUGAUGUCAUUAAGAGCUUAGAGUAACACGGUCAAUUCAAUAUGAUGAGUUGUUUUCACAAGUAUUGUUUUCAGAAGUAUGUUCUUCACUUGCCAUUAUGUGUUCAUUUGUAUCUAGUGGUCUGUCGUAUCAAAUGUUUGUAUUAUUGUUCUCAAAACAGGUGCUUGCACUAUUGGUGCAUCACACUUUGGUAAUUUCUCGAUGAAGUUGAAGAAGUUGAGUUUGACAAAAUCCAUUCAUAUACACCCUAUUUCUUUAAGCACUUUCUUCCCUUCCUCGAAGUCCAAUGUCAUUAAACGCUUAGAGUAAUGCUGUUAAUUCAAUUUGAUGAGUUACUUCCGUAAGUAUGCUCUUCACUUGUUAUUCUAUGCAUCAUGUAAAUCAAAAAGCUUUUGAGGCUUGAGAGCCUUGAUUUCUACGUACUAAAAGGCAGUCUCUUUAACAAGUCAAAGAAGGACCAUAUGGUGUGGGAUAGCAUAAUUGUCUCAGAUAUCAUUAGUCUAUAUCAUGAACUUCUCAUAAUCAAAUUAUCAAGCUCAUAGUUAUGAGUUUGCUAUAAAAUGAACAUCCAAAAAAAAUUACUUGUAAAAAAAAAAUAACGAAUAUGAUUUGGUUUGUCAAUAGUAUAAAUAACCUUAGCUGAGUUGGCGCAAUAGGUUGAAGUAUUAGGAGAUUUCCAGCUUGGAAGCUGGACAUCAUCUAUUAUGUUAUCACCAUUUACUUGUAAAUCAUUUUGAGUAAAAAGUAUAGAUUUAACCUAUUCAUGAGCUCGAAGAUGUUCCAUGAGCCAUCAAAUAAUCCAUUUUUAUACUCCUAGAUAUUAGUAAAGUAUCCGGAUAUAAUGUGCGAGUUUACCAAAAUAGUAUAGGACUUUUUUUUUGGAGGGGGGAGGUUUAAAGUUGUGCAAUGUUGUUCUGUAUAUAUUUUUGUCGCUCCUUAAGUUUCGCCAUACUUUUAGGUCUUUACGCGAAGAGUUGUGUCAUGUUGUGUUCUUGAACUCUAAUCUACUUAGUGCCUGUAGACAAGAUAGCGUGGAAUCAGUUGCCAAUCAUCAUAUUGUGCCCCUAUACAUUAAUAGACUAUUCCUCUAGAAACUAUCAGAGUACACAUGGAAAAAGUAGAACGAGAAAAACAUAUCCACAAACGAUAAAGGCUUAUAAUAUGAAAAAUUCCAAGCUAAUGCAAUUUUAAUAAAUUUACUUUAAAUUAAUUUUUUGACCAUAAAAAACCAUAGAGUGAGAUAUCCAUGACAAAUUUAGAUCAAACUAAUUUUUUAACCAUCAAAAACUCUAAAUUAGUACAUUUGUAACAAAUUUAUUUUUCAUUAGUUCCCUUCAAAUUGGAUUAAUAUAAUGGAAAAUCAUAAACCGUACACAUGUGACAAACAAAAGAUAAAACUCCAAAUUGAUAUACUUAUCAACUAUUAUGUAUUAUAUAAUAGGGGUGUGCAUGGUCUGGGCGGACGGUUCCCGACCUAGAACCGGGAAUCGCCCGCCAAGAACUGGUUCCGAAAAAUGGAAUCGGGGACCGCCCGCUAGUUGUAUGGAUCCACCCAGGAACCGGACCGCUAGUCCAAUCUGGUUCCCGGGUGGAUCCAUAGAACCGGUCCAACCUCCACGCCUUCCCCUUUUCGCCUUCAACCAGUUGCAACCCUCGCUCCGAUUUCGUCUCGGCCACCGCCACCAUCUUGGCCACCGCCUCCGUCGUCUCCCACUCCUCUCUCGAGACCGACAAUGAGGAGGACAACGGGGAUGAUGAGCCAUUCUUAGACCUAGAGUUCACCUGUCCCCGAAGAUGAGGAUGAUGGGGAGAAGCCUAAGGAGGGGGAGGAGGAAGAGAGGAGGUAGAAGCGGGAUGAGCCCAACAACGAAGAUGACGAUAGUGACAGUGAAUGCAGAGGUGACGACGACGUGGAGAGAGAGUUCAAGUUCGAGGGAGGAAAAUAGAAUUAACUCACUGUUUUGCCGAGUUCGGACUAGGACUCAAAGGGAGAUGAGUAGAUCCGGAGGUGAAUCGGAGAGGAAGAGGGAGCUCAGGGAGAUUUUGAACUGAGAGAGACGAGAUGGAGUAGGAGAGUAGUGAAUUGAGACAAGAUGGUGAUUGGAGCACUAAAUUUUUAAUUUGCUAAUUUUGAAUUUUUUUAAUAUUAAAAAUAAAUAUAUUAUUAUAAUAUAACGGGUCCAGUUCGGGUGGACGAGUGGGCGGAUCCGCCCGUGGAACCCGGAAUCGGACCAGUACCCACUGGUUCCCAUAAUUGGAACUGGAACUAGACCGGUUUCCUUAAGAACCACCGGUUCUGGACGGUUCCGGUUCAGUUCUAGGUGGUUCGGGCGGGUCCCAAUUCUUUUGCACACCCUUAUUAUAUAACCAAAUAAUUUGACGGUAAAAUUUAACGGAAACUUAUGAGGGAUAAAUUUAUUACACGUAUAUCGGUUUAGAGUGAUGUACCGGUUUAGAUUUUUUUAUAUUAAUAUUUAUAAUAAAUAUGUCAUGAUAAUAAUUUAAAUCUACGAAAUACUUAAUAUCUUUGUAGUGUUUUUUAUAAUGGAAAACCAUAAACUGUACACAUGUGACAAACAAAUGAUAAAACUCUAAAUUGGUAUACUCAUAAACUGUUAUGUAUUAUAUAACCCAAUAAUUUAACGGUAAAAUUUAAGGGAAAUUUAUAGAGGAUAAAUUUAUUACACGUAUACCAGUUUAGAGUGAUGUACCAGUUUGGAUUUUUUUUAUAUUAAUAUUUAUAAUAAAUAUGUCCUGAUAAUAAUUUAAUCUACAAAAUAAUUAAUACCUUCGUAGCGUGAAAAGUGAGAAUCUGACGAUUAAGGAUGGCAGCCAGUGAUUGAGGAUUGUAGCCUUCGCCUAUGCCUCAAUCUUUCUCUUUACAUAACUUCAACGUCAGCGGAUAAGUACCAACGAUCGACACUCAAGCCAAACGUGUCUUUUAAGUCAUAUGAUUAAUUUUGUUGGUGGAAAAGGAGCUGUACACCGGUCACAAGUAUACCUUUUUUGAAUAACUAUGGUGAUGGGUACUUCAAUUCAGACAUGCUUUUUAAGUUACGUGAUUAAUUUUGUUAUUGGAAAUAAUAUUUUACAUUGAUUACAAGCAUGCCUUUUUUGAAUAUGAUAAAAUUAAUUGUUGAAAGUUUGAAAUUGUGGACUAGAUGCAAUAUGAUAUAAACCUUUAUUCUAUUUACAUUGCUGACAAAUAUUCAAAAGUCCCAACUAUACUUACUAUGACACAAAUAUCCCAACUUUCUUUUUGUGACCAAAAACCUUGAACUAAUCUGUUGUGACACAAAUAUCUUCAACUUUAUUUCAAUUUUAUUCAAAAUUAAAUUCAAGAACUUUUAUGACAAGUCAAGAUUUUUCCAUAGAGGGUCAUGGUAUUUUUGAACAAAAUCUGAAUGUGAGAAGAAGGUAAUAAAAUAUGAUAUAAAAAAGUUUGAAUCCCAUCUCACAAGCCAUCUUUUUCUCACGGAAAUGGACAUGUCUAGGAUUUUUCUGGGUGUUUACGUCACACAUGAAUAGAGCUUUUUGGCGGUGCUCAACCUUUUGUCAAACAUAGUACAUACGAGGUCAGCAUUUCAUUUUUAAAAUUGGCCGUCGGAGAAGUGGGCGGCGAGAAUUUACGUCAGCACGUGCAUCAUUUGCUGUCUUUUUGACUCAUCACGCCGAACCACGAGCUUCGUUGUCUGGUAACCGUGAGCGCGCGAGCGAGCUCUCGAACUGUCUCUUCUCCGUCCUCUCUUCUCUGCAUUGACUUCGAGCUAGACGGCAGCGGCGGCGGCGGUGAUGGCAGCGUCGACGGCGGUGAGGAGGAUCAAGCUGGGGUCGCAGGGCCACGAGGUGUCGGCGCAGGGGCUGGGCUGCAUGGGCAUGUCCUCCGCCUACGGCCCACCCAAGCCCGACCCCGACAUGAUCAAGCUCAUCCACCACGCCGUCGGCUCCGGCGUCACCUUCCUCGACACCUCCGACAUCUACGGUCCUCACACCAACGAAAUCCUCCUCGGAAAGGUCGGUUCUCUCAGUCUCUCUUUUGCCUCUGCAUGAAUUAUAUGUGCUUAUGGUGUUACGAAAUUUAGCUUCAUCGAGCAGAGUGCUCUGAUCCUGAGUGUUCGUUUUCUAAUUUCGGGGUUGACGUUGAGCAGGCACUGAAGGGAGGGGUGAGGCAGAAGGUGGAAUUGGCUACCAAGUUCGGAGUCAGCUUAGCGGACGGGAAGAACGAGAUCCGAGGCGAUCCGGCAUACCUGAGGGCGGCUUGCGAGGCUAGCUUGAAGCGGCUCGAUGUCGAUUGCAUCGACCUCUACUACCAGCACCGUAUCGACACUCGCGUCCCCGUGGAAGUCACUGUACGGAUCCUUGUUAAACCUUUGCCUCUCUUUAGACUUUCCUUGAGCCAUAUGAUCCGGUUGCUAAACUAGAUUGGUGUCGAUGAUGCAUCGUCGCGUUGCCAAUAGUUUGUCGGACCCCAUGGCAGAAAUUGACUAUUGCCUUGCCUUUUGAGUCGUAAGAUAUUGUUAGCUGUGAGUUAAGUUCGGUUGAUAGUUGAGGUAGAGAAGCCGAGAGGUCAUGGAAUUUAGUAUUUCGGUGGCUGUGUUUUGUCUUAUGGGAUCUUUCAUAAGUGCUAUUCGAAAUCUUCCUUUGAGAUGAAAGUGCCAUUGGGUGCAUCUUAAAUUAUAUCGGAGGAUAACUUUGAAAGUUGGAUCAGUCUGUAGAGACAUUUGAUUCUUGACAUAUCAUUGUCAAAUAUGACAAUUACUUGGAAUACUUCUGUUAUUUAACCUCUCCGUCAGAGAUUAGAGAAAUCUACCUCCAUCAAUUUAAUAAUUCUGUUAUUUGCCCUAUUCUGUCAUAGAUUAGAGAAAUCUACGUCUGUUAACUUCUUAAUGCCUAGCAAAUUCUUUGUUGCAUAGAGAUGCAUAAAGAUCUACUGAUCUUUGCUAAGAACUGCCAGGUCAAAAUGUAAUGGUGGAAUAGUCAGGGAACACAUACCAUUGAGGGGUCCGGGACACAAUUAAAGCUAAUAAUGUGCAUGAAUUUCUGGAUCUUGACAUGUAAGGUCUUGACUGUUGUUGUUAUGGCAUGUGAAUAUUUGAAGAUUGGAGAGCUAAAGAAACUCGUUGAAGAGGGUAAAAUCAAGUACAUUGGUUUAUCGGAGGCCUCUGCAUCAACCAUCAGAAGAGCACAUGCUGUUCAUCCCAUCACAGCUGUGCAAUUGGAGUGGUCUCUGUGGUCAAGAGAUGUGGAGGCAGAGAUCGUUCCCACAUGCAGGUAGGAUAUCGCUCCAUCAAUUUGUUUAUGCAGUGACAACAGUUUUUUUCUGACUCUACUCUUCCGGAACAUUGUGACUAGGGAGCUUGGCAUUGGAAUUGUUGCCUACAGUCCUUUAGGACGAGGAUUCUUUUCUGUUGGUUCCAAGUUGUUGGAGAAUCUCCCCAAGGAUGACUUCAGACAGGUCUGUUUCUGCUGAUCAACAUACUUAGGUGCUCACUGUGACUGUCGUUCUUUUUGCUGGAUUAUUACCAGUUCUUGUGAUAUACAGAAAAAGUAUUGGGUGGUGUAAAUAAGAAUUGGUGACAUAAAGGCUUUAUAUUCUCGUACGUCUUCAAUUCAGCACUCGCCAUACAUCCCACCUCUCGUGAUUAUAGAUUAGUGUAAAAUAAUAAUCAAUAGCUUGAUGAGCCUAAAAGAGGCAGUUCCCUGUAUUCUCAUGCUUUUGUGAUGAACUAAUAUAGAUUUAUUUGUAGGAGAUUUGUAAGUUCCUCUGUUUCCCAGGCAUCCCACCAUUUGCUAUUCACCAUCCUUUCUCCAUUUUCCACCCAUCCUUUUUCUCUCCUCUUUCUUCACAAGAUUACGAUAUCUCCUCCAUAUAACCGACAUCAGUAUCCGGUCUCAGGCCUCUGUCCUUUUUUAUACUCAUCUUUCUUCACAUGAUAAAUAAUAUCUUGACACAACCCGUUCUUGAGUGACGACUCCCUAACACCCUUCUUAUGGAAGUUUUAGGAUUACGUUACUGACAUGAACCCAAAUGUGGUAUACUGCUCGUAAUUAAUGGUUGACUUGUGAUUGCGCCGGGUGAAGUAGCUAUUGUUUUUUAAAGAAAAAGAGCUUUACUUCUGAUUAUAUUCUUCUACAAAUCAUCUAGAUUUGUGAUUUCUUUUAACUGUGAUAAAUGGAUUGCUAGAGCACUCGCUCUGCAUUUCAAAUGCUUAUGAUUUUGAACUCCAUAGCCCAAUCCUUUCGAGAUGAUCUUUUAUUAAACACAGUGCUUACGAACUUCCAAAUGCUUAUCAUAUCAAGUAACAAGACAAUCUGAUGACACACAAUGCAACCGCUUCUAGUAUUUUUUGCACUAGUUGCGGUAGAAUUUGGUCCGUAAAAGAAAAUGAUAGUUGCUCAAAUGCUCUCCGCUGAGACAGUUCUCUAUGUUGCAGAAUCUACCAAGGUUUCAGCCAGAGAACUUGGCUCACAACACGAAGUUAUUUGACCGAGUGAAUGAAAUUGCGCAAAGAAAGGGAUGCAACCCAUCCCACUUAGCCCUCGCCACCACCAAGGCGACGACGUCUGCCCGAUUCCCGGCACAACCAAGAUGGAGAAUUUCAACCAGAACAUCAGAGCUCUGUCAGUGAAACUUACACCAGAAGAGAUGGCCGAGCUCAAAUCGAUUGCUUCUGCGGAUAAUGUGAAGGGUGGCAGGUACCAUAGCAGCAUCUCUACAUGGGAAACCUCCGACACUCCACCCCUGUCUUCAUGGGAAGCUGCUUAGAGACAUGCCUGCGUCUGUCGCGGCAUCUUUUUUUUUUUUUGGUAAAAUCUGUCGCCGCAUCUUUGAUAGGUAGAGUUCGAGCAUUUGCUGCUGCAUAAUUUUUCAGGCUAUGUGGUGUGGUUGUUAUAAGCAUGUGCACGAAGAGAGUGCUUGUGAUCCUGUAAUAAAUUCUGAACUUCAGAGAGUAAUUGUUGUCAUUUUGUGUAAAUGACAAUCAGUCUGAGAAGAUUAUAGAUAAGUGAUAAGCUUAUUGAACGAUUGCUCAAGAAACACAGGGCGAGCUGAGCUCUAACCGAGCCGAACAUGCCAAUUUGACCCGUCCAUACAUACUAGAGUGAUACUAUUCACCUCAGCCGUGAUUUCAUACUUUCAAGUUUCGAUCUUUACAACAUUCUCUUAGAAUUGGUUACUAUUCAUUGGAGCAAAUGCCAAGAGGCAUGUUUUCUAUGACAACACAAUUGUUAAACUAGAUGGCAUCGGUAUUAGGGAAAAGUAAAUCAUGACCUGAUGCUCUCGUGAAGGUGCCCAUUGAGAUAGCUAGUAUAAGCACCUAGAGGGGGUGAAUAAGUGCACAAACAAAUUUUCGAGAUACGGAAGCGAUUCUGGGCAAUCGAUAGAAAGAAAAAUACGAUCAAAGUAAAGUAAAGGUUAGGGAAGAGAGAAAUGAACACAAGAUUUAUAGUGGUUCGGCUUAUUCCAAGCCUACGUCCACUCUUCCGCACUGACAGCCCACCGGCUGGAUUUUACUAUGAACAAAAGAGAAGUUACAGCACAGCUUUUCCUUGAUUCCACAGUGUAGAUGUUCUCCUACACUUCCUCAAGGUUUCUCACGAAAUAGACUCUCUUUUGUUUACACGAUUUUGCUCAACAAAUGAAUUGACUAAGAACAAGAAGUCUCAGACUUUGGAAUUUUUCUAUCGUGCACCUCCUCGAACAACUAGAACGUCUUCCUUAUAUAUUCCUUCAUGCCAUCAUACCCGUUGGCACUUACUAAAGGAAUUCCUCCAAUCUACCCGUUGGAUGGAAUCAAUUAGGAUGAUCAUUCGAGCUAUUAAAGGAACAUGUCGAUAGCCUAUCAAUCAUGUUCGCCCAUACAAUCAGGAUCUCGGUUUCCAUAAGUAGAACCUUCCAAGUUUACUUUGCCAAUCAUCGGAUCCUUAAUCUUUGAAUCAGUUAUGAUCAAAUAAAGAAUUCCGUUAUGUCAUAUCCAGCUGAGAUCUUCUCCAAUCGAUAAGGCCACAUCCUUAAUGAAACAUCCAGUUCUGGAUAGCCUUUCUUCAACGGAUUAGAACUGUCAAUGAGGAUAGACUUUGAGUCUUGAGUCUGGCUGUCCGGAGGUCUUCAGACUUUAAAUAAUAGAGUCUGCAAGCCUUCAGACUAGACUGAUGGAAAUGUUUUGUCAUCUUCAAAACACUUCAAGAGGAUUUCUCCAACAAUCUCCCCAUUUUUGAUGGUGACAAAAUUUUCCUGCAGAUUUGGAAAACUUUGACCUGCAAAACAUCUCUCAAACACAUAUGCAUAUCUUAUAGAGAUAAAUGGCUAAAUGAAUAACACUAGAAUCUGCAACCACAGAAAUAGGUUAGUCCAGUAUGCAAUAAAGCCAUCCAUAAGAUAUCAAUAGUAGUUAAUAAUAAGCAGUAGUCAAAUCCAAAUCCCAGAUUUAGUCCAUAUCCAGACACACAUGACUCAAAAGUCAAGUCAAAAUAAACCACAAACCAAACAAUCCAAAAGUUCGACAAAUUUAAGUUCAAAGUUUUUCAAAGUCUCACAACUCUCCCCCUUUUUGUCAGCAUAAAAAAGAUUAAGAUGAAAAUGAAGUCAAGGAUUCUUGGGAACACGAACAAGCUGGAAAUCUCCCAUCGACUGAACGAUGCCUUCCAGUCUUUUCAAGUCUUCCUUCAGUUGUGCAACAUCCUCACACUUAGCAUUAGCCUGAAUCUGAAGAGAAAGGGCUUGGAUUUUAUCAUUUAAUGAACCCGAAGAGACUUGUCCUGCAUUAUGCAAGUUUUGAACUUCACAUCCCAAUGUAUAUAUCUGUCCUUGCAUUUCCAAGAGAAUAUCCAUCACUCUGCGAAAGUCUGCUGAAUUUUCGGUCUGCGUACUGGCAUUAGCACGAUUUGAUGGAGUAAAUGCAGACGAUGGUGGAUCAACAUAAUCACGCAGAUUUGGCGAAGAAACCUCAUGUCCUUCCUCAGGAAAUUGAGAGGCAAAAACCUCAUCUGGAUCUGAUGGGGAUCAACUGACUCUCUCACUGGUUGCAGGAUUUGAGGUCAUUCCUCUUUUCUCUUGGUCUCCCUCUGUGUUCAUGCCUUCAGGUGGAGAGUGCUCCUCAUGUUCUCCUUCUUCUUGAUCUCUUUUCUCUUCUUCUUCUUUUUCAACUCUCUCUUGCUCAGCAUCUCUUUCCUCUUCUUCUCUUCUUUCCUCCGUUUCUUUUUCCUUUGCUUCUUUCUCUGCUCUUUCUUCUGUCUGCUGUUCUGACUCUUUCUCUGGAACAGAUUUACUAAGAUUCUUCAAAGCAGAAAUAGUGAUGUUAUCCUCAUCAUCUUCAUCCUCAACGAGGAGAGCUCUUCUUCUCUUGGAUGGAGCAUCCAUGGGCUCCUUCCCUUUCCUUUUUCCUGCAGAAGAGAAUUGAUGAGAUUUGAUUGGAGUCUCCUCCUUAAAUUUCUCAAAUGCCUUGCUUAGUUCCUUCAGACGCAUCUUGGUCACCAUUUUCAGUCCUACCACCAUAUGAUCGCACGAUUGAGCACAAAGGAUUUGCGGAGGCUGAAUGUUCAGAUGUCUAAAUAACUUCGUCACAAGACCUGGAUAAGGAAGUUGUCCUCUGUCCUUCAUCACAGCUCUAUACAUGUGGAACAUAACAGUGUGAGGAAGAGAAAACCUUUUCCCAGUGAUGAUUGCAUACAUUAGCUUUGCCUCUGAACUUGAGACAUCAGUCUUGGAAGUUGAUUUCGGUCUGAGGCAAUUGAUUACAAUUUUGUGCAACAAGAUGUUAAAUGCACUCAUCCUUGAAUAGGAAAUUUUUCCCUCUGUUCUCCUGUUCUUAACAAGUUCCAGAGUAGUACGAGCAAUAGAAACUUUUAUCCGUUGAUAUCUUCCUCUCUCAACUCCUAACACAUCUGCCAGCAUAUCCAUGUCCACAACAAAAUCUUGAUCUUUGACACUGAAGGAGAAUCUAUUCACAUCCAAGAAACUAAGAUUUGAAUAGAAAUAUGCAGUUAGUUGAGGAUAGGCCUCUGUGGUGUUAGAGCAGAAUUUCUCAAGUUGAAGAUGACCAAACUUUUCCCUUAAGUUCACAUUUAUAGCAUCCAGAAAGUCAAAAUCCACACUCCUAGGGUUUAUCACCCCACGCUUCAGCAAUUUUGAGUAUAGAUCCAUCUGUUCCUUCGAUCUAAACAACUCUCCCCUUUUUCCUCGAUUUUCCGCUGCAGUUCCCAUUCUUGGCUGAAAUUCGCUGUAUAAUUUAUCAUCAUCAUUUCCAUCCACCAGAUUAACUCCCCAGUCACGAGGGUCACUUGGGAUAUUCGCAAGGGAUUCUUCUGCCACACCCUUACGAGCAAUUCCCAUACUUUCCAUUUUUCUCAAAAAGAUAUAUUCAUUUCCAUAUCCUUUGUCUUUAAGAAAAUCAUCCACAUAGUUCAAUGGAGUACCAGUCCCUUUUAAAGCAUGAUACAGCUUAUAAAUAAAAGAGGGCCUUUGAACUCUUACAGAGUCUGCAUCUUCAAUGAUUUCUUCAUUUUGAUGAUGAUCAACAUCUUGAGGACUAGAUGGAGGAGAAUGACGCUGCUGAGAAUGUUGUGGGCUCUGCUGCUGAUUCGGAGACACUUCUUCUUCAGUGAGAUCGAAGUGCGUAGGCCCCUCACUCAUUCGCCGUGGUCCCCUGCUUGCGAUCCUCGAAGACUUUCUUGAAGACGACAUCUUUCUUAGUCUUUGAAAGAUUCCUUGCUUGACUUUCCCAAGAAAGAUGACAACUUUUUCGAAGAUUAAAUAAGAGAAGAAAACAGGAAUGGUAGAUUGGUGCUUUUUAGGGUUUUGGAGUUAAGCGAAGAGAAACUGACCGUAUAUAAGAUAGUCGAAAGGAGAGAAUACGGACCAUCGUAAUGGUAAGUGAAAAGAUUCCUUUUAAAAAAUAACUGCCUUUUUCGAAAAAUGGUCACAUCAAAAUAACUUAUUUUUCUAAAAGAAACGAUGCGAUAAUUUCGUUAAUUAAAGAUAACGAUUGAGAUAAUCAACACGGUUGAUGAAUCGUACCUUUUCAAGAUGAGAUUAGAGAGAGAGAAUAACUUACAGUCAAAGUCUUGUAGUCAUAGUCUUAUUUGUCUGAGUCUGAGAGUCUCUAGACUUUAACUUCUUCGAACCUCAAAAUAUUGAGUCUGGAAUGGAUAAUUUCAAAUUGAUUUUUCUCCAAAGGCUUUGUAAAUAUAUCCACCAGUUGGUUCUUUGAGUCAACAAACUAAAUCGAGAUUUCUCCAUUUUGAACAUGAUCUCUAAUGAAGUGAUGUCGAAUCUCUAUAUGCUUUGCUCUUGAGUGAAGAAUUGGAUUUUUGGUGAGGUUGAUAGCGCUGGUGUUGUCACAUUUAAUCUCUGUGCAUGAAUCUUCAACUCCAAAGUCUCUUAGCUGUUGUUUUAUCCACAGAAUUUGUGAACAGCAACUUCCAAGAGCUACAUAUUCUGCUUCUGCUGUAGAGAGAGCUACCGUACUUUGUUUCCUUGAAAACCAAGACACUGUCCUGCCUCCAAGUAGUUGACAGGUACCUGAGGUGCUCUUUCUAUCAACUCUGCAUCUGGCUAAGUCUGCGUCUGAGUACCCAAGAAGAGUAAAGUCUCCCCUUUUAUGAUACAAGAGACCGAAGCUUGAAGUUGAUGCAAUAUAUUUGAUAAUACACUUUGCAGCAUUUAAAUGUGAUUCUUUAGGGUCUGCUUGAAAUCUAGCACAAAUGCAAACAUUAAACAAAAUGUCAGGUCUAGAGGCAGUAAGAUAAAGAAGUGAACAGAUGAUACUCCUGUAUAACUUUUGGUCGACUUUCUUUCCUCCUUCAUAUUUAUCUAUCUUCACGGAGCUUGACAUUGGUAUAUCGGCCUUUUUGCAAUUGUCCAGUCCAAACUUCUUCACAAUGACAUUAGCAUAUUUUUCUUGAUGAAUAACGGUUCCUACCUUCAAUUGUUUCACUUGAAGUCCAAGGAAGAAGGUUAACUCACCCAUCAUGCUCAUUUCAAAUUCGUCUUGCAUAGUCUUACAGAAUUUCUUGCACAGACUUUCAUUAGAGGAUCCAAAAAUAAUAUCAUCGACAUAUAUUUGAACAAGUAGAAAACUCUUGCUUUCUCUUUUAAUGAAAAGAGUAGUGUCUACUUUACCUUUAACAAAUCCAUUUUCAAUUAAAAACUUACUCAGUCUGUCGUACCAAGCUCGAGGAGCUUGUUUCAAGCCGUAUAAAGCCUUUCUGAGUCUGAAUACUGAGUCUGGUUUCCUUGGGUCUUCAAACCCAGGAGGUUGUUCCACAUAGACUUCCUCUUGGAUGAAUCCAUUUAGGAAGGCACUUUUGACAUCCAUUUGGAAUAACCUGAAAUUCUUAUAACAAGCAAAAGCAAGUAAUAAUCGAAUUGCUUCUAACCUUGCUACUGGUGCGUAAGUCUCGUCAUAGUCUAUCCCUUCUUCUUGUGUGUAUCCCUUGGCCACGAGUCUUGCCUUGUUUCUUAUGACUUUUCCUUUCUCGUUCAUCUUGUUCCUGAAAACCCAUUUAGCUCCAAUAACAGAUUUACCUUUUGGUUUAGGAGUCAAUUCCCAGACAUCAUUAAUGCUGAAUUGCCUGAGCUCUUCUUGCAUAGCUUCAAUCCAGCUUUCAUCAUAUAAAGCUUCUUCUAUGCUUUUGGGUUCUAUUUCAUAAACAAGUGCCACAGCACUAGACUCUUCGCGCCUUUUGGAUCUAGUGCGAAUUCCUUCAUUGAUGUCGCCAAUAAUAAGAUCUUUGGGAUGACUGGACUUAUGUUUCGCUGGUUAAUUUGUUAGAUUGAUGGUCACUUCCUUCACUUGAAUCUUCAACAGUCACUUGUUGCUGGUCCUUCAAAGUCUGAACUAUUUUAGACUUUGUAGAGUUUGGAGCAGGUUCAGAUUCUUCAAGAUGAGUCUGAAUGGAUUCAUUUUACAUAGAGUCUUGGAAUUUAACAUUCAUUGAUUCUUCCACCGUUUGAGUCUUCUUGUUGUAGACUCUGUACGCUUUGCUUGUGGAUGAAUAUUCAAGGAAGAUGCCUUCAUCUGACUUUUCUUCAAACUUACCAACUCGAUCAUUUGCAUUUUUCAGUAUAAAACAUUUGCAUCCAAACACAUGAAAAUAUGAAACAAUAGGCUUCUUUUCUUUGAAUAGUUCAUAGGGGGUUUUUUCCAGAAUAGGCCUUAGAAAAACUCUAUUUAUAAUGUAGCAUGCUGUAGAAAUUGCUUCAGCCCAAAAAUGUGAAGAAAUGUUACUUUCAAUUAAAAGAGUUCUAACCAUUUCUUGAAGUGAUCUAUUCUUUCUUUCCACAACUCCAUUUUGUUCUGGAGUAUAUGGAGAGGAGAAUACAUGCUGAAAACCUGAUUUAUCAUAGAAUUUUGUAAAAUCAUGAUUUUCAAACUCACCUCCAUGAUCUGUUCUUAUACUCGAGAUAACAUACCAUUUUUCAUUUUGAACCUUUUUAGCAAACUUUUCAAAGUAAGAGAAGGUUUCAGACUUACUUGCCAAGAAAUAUACCAAAGUGAAUCAUGAAUAAUCAUCCACAAUUACCAGGCAGUAUUUCUUACCUCCAAUGCUUUGCGUUCUGGUUGGUCCAAAAAGAUCCAUAUGCAGAAGCUACAGUACACGGUUAGUGGAAACUUGAUUUAUUGGUUUAAAGGAAUUUCUUACCUGUUUUCCCAAUAUACAUGGUGUACAUAGAUCAUACUUUUGAUAUGAUAAAUUGGGUAGACCACGAACAAGCUUCUUUGCUGAGAUUUUGGCUAUUUGCUUCAUAUUGACGUGCCCAAGCUUUCUGUGCCAUAAGUUUGCUUCGUCUUGGAUUGAGAUUAGACAUUGUGAUUCAUCUGGUUUCACAUCCAAGAGGUAGAUAUUUCCAUGUCUUCGACCCAUGAAUGACUGAGGAGAAUCUUUACUAAUUCCAAAACAUAUUCCCUCUUGAAAGCUGAUUUUGAAACCAGUAUCACAUAGCUGACUAAUACUGAACAAAUUGUAAUUGAGCCCUUCUACUAAGGAAACAUUGCUGAUUUUGAGAUUUCCAAUCUUUACAGUUCCAAAUCCCACAAUUUUUCCUUUGUUGUUUCCUCCAAAAGAAACUUUUCCACCAUUUACUCGAACAAGCUUUAUGAAGUAAUUUGAGUCUCCUGUCAUGUGUCUUGAGCAUCCAUUAUCCAGAUACCAUUUUACCUUUUUUUUUAUAGUGACCUGCAUUUAAAAAAGAAACUCAAACCUUCUUUGGUACCCAUAUUUUCUUGGGUCCAUUGGUGUUAGUAUGAUAUGUGGUUUUUGUCCAUUCAUUUUUAACAGGUUUCCAAAUCAUAGGACAUUCUUUUUCAAAAUGAUCUGCACUUUUGCACUUUGAGCAUCUGAGAGCAUUGCGACCUACUGGUUUUACAAAGUUCCUUUUAAAAUGAUUUUUGUAAGCAUCUCUUGUGGGUCUUUGUUUGAUUCUUUCCUUCACCUUAGGAAAAUCAAUUAAAGGAAUGGUUUCAGCAUUCAUUCCCAAACCAGAUUUAUUGAAAUAAGGUCUUUGAACAGAAAGAAUUUUUUCCAGUUUCUCAGAUCCUAUAUAAAAUCUUUUAGAAAUAUUUGAGAUAUUAUUUUUCAAGAAUGCAUUUUCUUUUAACAAAUUAUCUUCAAUUUCUUUAAGAGAAGAAACAUUCUUGUCUAAACUUAUCACAUUUUCUUUCAAAAUAUUUUCCUAUUGUUUUAAAGCAGAAUUUUCUUUCUUGAGUUCGGAAAUUCUUUUAAGAGAAGUCUUAAGACUAAAACAUAAUUCAUCAAUAUACUUUGAAAUCUUAAUAGGGAUUUUGAAGUUACUUACCUCAAAUUCUCUUUCUGAGUCUGAAUCUGUCUCGGAAUUUGAGUUUGAAUCCGAUUGAGCCAUCAGACAUAUAUUGGCGUAUUCAUCAUCACUUUCUUCACACUCUGUAUCACUCCAGGUUUCAGCUUUAAGAGCUUUUCGAUACUUUUUAGUUUUUCCUUUCUUCUUCCUCAGAAGAGGACAGUUGGGUUUGAUGUAUCCAUUUUUCUUGCAUUCAAAGCAGACUACAUCUUUGUUUGAUUCAUCAUCCUCAACAGACUUAGUUUGUUACUUUUGAAAACUUUGUUUCUUUGGAUUGAAUCUUCUUCCUUUUUCUGUUCAGCUUUCUGAAUCUUCUUAUCAUGAGAGCAAGUUCCUCAUCAUCCAUAUCGUCUUCAGAAUCUGUAACAUCAGAAUCAUCAUUAGAUUUUAAUGCAAUGGAUUUCUUACCUUUAGGGUCUUCGUCUUCAUUGAUUCGUUCCACUUCAUAAGACUGAAGAGUCCCAACCAACUCAUCAACAGAUAGUGGCAUGAUUCUUUGGGUCUCUCUGAUUGAGGUCUUUAUGUGAUUCCAAUCCUUGGAGAGUCCACGCAGUAGCUUGUUUACUUUCAUGGGAUCAGAAAUUGGUUGACCUUGAUUUUCAAGACCGUUCACAAUAUCUGUAAAACGACUAAAGAUAUCAGUUAUAGAUUCUCCUGGUUUCAUUUUGAAGGCUUCAUAUUGGCCGAGGAGAAUGUUGAUUCUAGUCUCUUUCACUCGAUUGGUUCCUUCAUAGGUAAUAUGUAAUCUAUCCCAGACUUCUUUAGCUGUAACACAAGAAGAUAUUCUGUUAUAUUCAGUAGGGGAUAAAGCACAAUAUAAAGAAUAAAUUGCUUUUGCAUCAAGAGCUUGUCUCUUGAUUAUCUCUUCCUAAGUCAUUUCGCUAGACUCAACAGCAUCUUUUCCUCUUUCUAAGACAACGUCCCAUUCCAGAGGAUCCUUUGAUCUUAGAAAUGCUUUCAUCUUGUUCUUCCAUAUGUUGUAAUCCUUUCCAUCAAAGUAAGGUGGUCUGCUAUUGCUUUGCCCUUCUACCAGUCCUGGAGCCAACAUACUAGCCAUGGAUCUUUAACUCUGAAGUAAAACACUUCAACAAAAGUGAGUACACAGGCUCUGAUACCAAUUGAGAUAGCUAGUAUAAGCACCUAGAGGGGGUGAAUAGGUGCACAAACAAAUUUUCGAGAUACGGAAGCGAUUUUGGGCAAUCGAUAGAAAGAAAAAUACGAUCAAAGCAAAGUAAAUGUUAGGGAAGAGAGAAAUGAACACAAGAUUUAUAGUGGUUCGGCUUAUUCCAAGCCUACGUCCACUCUUCCACACUGACAGCCCACCGGCUGGAUUUCACUAUGAACAAAAGAGAAGUUACAGCACAGCUUUUCCUUGAUUCCACAGUGUAGAUGUUCUCCUACACUUCCUCAAGGUUUCUCACGAAUAUAGACUCUCUUUUGUUUACACGAUUUUGCUCAACAAAUGAAUUGACUAAGAACAAGAAGCUUUAGACUUUGGAAUUUUUCUAUCGUGCACCUCCUCGAACAACUAGAAGUCUUAAACAAAAAGGNNNNNNNNNNNNNNNNNNNNNNNNNNNNNNNNNNNNNNNNNNNNNNNNNNNNNNNNNNNNNNNNNNNNNNNNNNNNNNNNNNNNNNNNNNNNNNNNNNNNNNNNNNNNNNNNNNNNNNNNNNNNNNNNNNNNNNNNNNNNNNNNNNNNNNNNNNNNNNNNNNNNNNNNNNNNNNNNNNNNNNNNNNNNNNNNNNNNNNNNNNNNNNNNNNNNNNNNNNNNNNNNNNNNNNNNNNNNNNNNNNNNNNNNNNNNNNNNNNNNNNNNNNNNNNNNNNNNNNNNNNNNNNNNNNNNNNNNNNNNNNNNNNNNNNNNNNNNNNNNNNNNNNNNNNNNNNNNNNNNNNNNNNNNNNNNNNNNNNNNNNNNNNNNNNNNNNNNNNNNNNNNNNNNNNNNNNNNNNNNNNNNNNNNNNNNNNNNNNNNNNNNNNNNNNNNNNNNNNNNNNNNNNNNNNNNNNNNNNNNNNNNNNNNNNNNNNNNNNNNNNNNNNNNNNNNNNNNNNNNNNNNNNNNNNNNNNNNNNNNNNNNNNNNNNNNNNNNNNNNNNNNNNNNNNNNNNNNNNNNNNNNNNNNNNNNNNNNNNNNNNNNNNNNNNNNNNNNNNNNNNNNNNNNNNNNNNNNNNNNNNNNNNNNNNNNNNNNNNNNNNNNNNNNNNNNNNNNNNNNNNNNNNNNNNNNNNNNNNNNNNNNNNNNNNNNNNNNNNNNNNNNNNNNNNNNNNNNNNNNNNNNNNNNNNNNNNNNNNNNNNNNNNNNNNNNNNNNNNNNNNNNNNNNNNNNNNNNNNNNNNNNNNNNNNNNNNNNNNNNNNNNNNNNNNNNNNNNNNNNNNNNNNNNNNNNNNNNNNNNNNNNNNNNNNNNNNNNNNNNNNNNNNNNNNNNNNNNNNNNNNNNNNNNNNNNNNNGGCGCUACAUGAACGUAGAGCGGUGGAACAGCAGGCGAAGGUGGCUCGACGGGCGGGUGACAAACUGAAUGGUGGACGCAUGGCUCGCGGACUAGUGGGGUCAAGGCUAGCCUCGAGGGCAACCAGAGGGCGUCCAGGCAACUCAGGUGGACGGGUAAUGGCUUGGACGGCGGUGGAGGAGAGCUGGCUGGUUCGGUGAGGGCUGGUGGCUAUUUUGCUAGUUCUCUCAUUUUGUUUCAAUAACAAUGGAGAGUGAGGGAGUGAGAAAGAAGAAGAAGAAGAAGAAGAAGAAGAAGUUGUUGCUGCUGGAAGGGGUGAACAAGGGGCCACAAAGUCAAGCUAAAAGAUCUAAAACACUCAAGUGCAAGGACCCUAAAGUCUUCAUCCUUGAUCCACAGCCACUUUUCCCUCCCAAUAUUCCUCCACAAGCCAAGGAUUGAUGCUCAAAUGUUGUAGUCCCCAUGCCCUACAAAUUUCAUGCAAUCCCCUCACCAAAGCAACUCAAUUCCACUCCAAAUGGCUUCCAAUUCAUGGCCAAAUUGCUGAGGAGUAAGCCCACACUAAAUUCCACAAUUUCGCUCACCAAAUGAUCCAACUUGAAGGCCAAAAGUGCACACAAAAAUGGCCAUUCGAAUUUCCCUAUUAAAAUCGCCCAACUUUCAUUUUUCACUGAAAAUCCGAACUCGCAAAAAAUUCUUUCCAAGACGAGUCGACAUCCUAGAAAUAAUCAUGACAUACUGAAACUUUUGAUUCCUAAAACCGAGUUCAAUUUUGUGGUUAAUUUCAACCGAACGUGAUUUUAGCGUGACCUAACCUAUCGGAUAGCUUUUAGAAAUUUUUAGUGCAUUUAACCUGUGGUCGAUCAUUUUCGAUCCACAUUGUGCAUUUUCAACUCAUAGGCGAUUCUCGGUUGUCGUAAAAAUCUCAAGGUUUCAAUUACCGGCACAUGGUACAGAAUCGACAGAAAAAUGGGUUUAGUGUUGUUCGAUAAGAAUUUUGCAAUCAGGUGGAAUCACCCACAAUUUAGUUACAGGUCUUUGUCAAAUCGACCCAUCUCCGGUCUCUAGUUGAUUUUAAUGAUGUCAUGUUGACAUUUGCAUAUUAGCACGGUCGAGCAAUCGAUUUCUCAUCAAAUUCUCAAGUCGGUCGCGUUUAUAUUCCUUAACGGCUUCACCAGAUAGAUUGAUUAUCUCGUGAGUGAUCAGCUUAGAGAAAAAGACUAUAGGCACGUAGAUAAAAAGCCCAAUUCACAUUAUCAGGAUAUGGUUGAAAAUCAAGGUGUCACACUCCAUGAGCCAUCAAAUAAUCCAUUUUUACGCUCCUAAAUAUCAGUAAAGUAUCUGGAUAUAAUGUGCGAGUUUACUACAAUUGUAUAUGACUUUUCUAUUUUAUUCUUUUCUUUUCUUUUCUUUUUUUCGGGGUUAAAGUUGUGCAAUGCUGUUCUGUAUAUAAGUGAGGACUCCCUAACACCCUUCUUAUGUAAGUUUUGGGAUUAUGUUAAACCCAAUUGGGGGUUACUACCCACAAUUAGUGGUUGACUAGUGAUUGCACCGGCUGAAGUAGCUAUUGUUUUUUAGCUAAAAAGAGCUUUACUUCUGAUAAUAGUCUUCUACAAUUCAUCUAGAUUUGUGAUUUCUUUCUUUAAAAUGUGAUAAAUGGAUUGCUAGAGCACUUGCUCCGCGAAUGCCUAUGAUUUUGAAUUACAUAUUCCAAUCCUUUCGAGAUAAUCUUUUACUAAUCAUGCUCCCCACACAGUGCUUGCGAACUUCCAAAUGCUUAUCAUAUCAAGUAACAAGACAAUCUGACGGCCUGCAAUGCAACCACUUCUAGAAUUGUUUGCACUUGUUGCAGUAGGAUUUGAUGCUAAAAAGAACAUGAUAGUUGCUCAAAGGCUUUCCGCUGAGAGAGUUCUCUAUGUUAUGCAGAAGCAGCCAAGGUUUCAGCCGGAGAACUUGGCUCACAACGCGAAGUUAUUUGACCAAGUGAAAGAAAUUGCGCAAAGAAAGGGAUGCACCCCAUCACAGUUAGCCCUUGCCUGGGUACACCACCAGGGCGACGACGUCUGCCCAAUUCGCAGCACAACCAAGAUCAAGAAUUUUAACCAGAACAUUGGAGCUCUGUCAGUGAAUCUUACACCGGAAGAGAUGGCCGAGCUCGAAUCGAUUGCUUCUGCGGACAAUGUGAAGGGUGCCAGGGAC
This 198928-nucleotide long non-coding RNA is filed under the name Eucalyptus grandis. Its description in RNAcentral is "long non-coding RNA (EGRA_LNC004550)". Lineage: Eukaryota; Viridiplantae; Streptophyta; Magnoliopsida; Myrtales; Myrtaceae. The record is from RNAcentral.